Molecule: long non-coding RNA, 283976 nt
Filed under: Triticum aestivum (bread wheat)
Lineage: Eukaryota; Viridiplantae; Streptophyta; Magnoliopsida; Poales; Poaceae
Description: long non-coding RNA (TAES_LNC012361)
Rfam family: tRNA (bases 91177-91241)
Source: RNAcentral
UAGUUAAUGCAUAAUAUUGUGGUUAGGAAUGAACAUCUCCACGUGUGCCCGAAUGGAAACACCGACGGAUAACGCUAUAUGCAGAAAAUAACUUAGUUUGCCUUUUAUUCCCAAGUUUGAACUAGUGCCAGUCUAGUCCACACAUGAUAAUGCAUGGCACUUUAUUUUUCACCGCUACAUGGAUCGGACCAUUGACUAAACAUUGGUGGUCCAUUUUUCGGAUACUAGAACUCUCGUCUUCUCAGUAGCCGCCCAUGUCGGUAGUGACGUCACUGGAUGGUGAUAUGGUGGUGUAGCAGUAUGGUGGAACAUGCACGUCGCACAUUGCCGGGAUGGUCUGAAUCACCCAUGUCCCUAUCACCGCAAUCCAACCCUGAUCCAGUUGUGUUUGUUGUUGUGGCUGGCUAGAACCCAGACCCUGUUGUUGUUGUUGACCUUGUUGUUGCUGCUGCUGAGGUUGGGUGGAAGUAGCUUGUACCAAUUGUUGUUGUUGUUGCAAAAUAAUGGCGUGCACGACGUUGUGGAUGGCCUCGCAUCUUGACUGCUUGGGGAUCGCUUUUAGUUGCUGACAGCACUGCUCCCACAUUACCAAGCAGCUGCUAUGUUGCACCACCUGUGACCGGAGGAAUGACAUAUCAGCAACUGGGCUACACUGUUGUAGGAGGGCAUCCCUGCAUGGGUUCAACUUUUGAUGUGGAACUGGAUGUUCUUGUGGCUGCGGAGUUGGUUGAUGCUCCGGAGAUGAUGGAUGUUGCGGCUCCCAAGCACUACGGAAUGCAGUAAAGGGUUCGGCGGCCGUGGUGGUCGCCGCGACAACAAUGAGGGCAAGGACGAGGAAUUUCUUCAUGGUUGAUUUGUGUUAGAUAAUGUUUGUUCUCCAGUUGAGUGAAUGGUGGGUGCUGGAGGAGUGUCUUGAUUGUUUAGGCCUAUUUAUAACCGACAUGGCAUCGCCUUUUUUCAUCUUUGCAUUUCCUUUCCUUAAAAGUGCAUGGAUGCUUCUCGGACUCUAUCAUUUGGUAUGCUGCGUUAGGUGCAACUACUUACAAGCAUAUUCCUGCACUGAUCAUCAAAGUUCUUUGUUGUUGCAUGUAUCAUUCCGCUAUCAACAAAUCUUGAUAAUUGACAUAACUCAUCUUACUUACUUUACAUGUCAAACAUCGAUCCGGAUUGCAACAUUUUCUAAAACUGGGUUUGUUAUAUUCUACAAGUUGUUACGCAUAAACUAGAUUAGCUUGCCUUGUGCCGAACUAAAGUUUGUAAUUUUGUGUGGCCUGUAAAGAUACAAUAGACUAGUAUUGUAACUUGCAAAAGUAGAUGAUGACAUGAUUCGUCAAAGUCCCUUUACAUGCCAAGGAUUGUAAUGUCGUACAGGAUUAGUAUAAGGAUUUACACUCAAGUACAGGCGAAGAUUUGUUCAAGAUUCCAUCUAUUUGUCGAAUUAAACCUGUACUGUUGUGCAAAUCGUUAAGAUAAUCAAGUAUUGUUUGCUGAAUAAGUUCGGGAUUGUUCAUGACUAGUGUUAGCACCGGGGAUUCCUAAGAAUGAUACAGAGCAUGUACAUAUAAGUAUGAAUAGAUAUGCAUCCAGGCGUUUCAUCAAUCUGCAAGAGAAAUCACAAGCCAUCUGUUAAUUAAGCUACAAACCUACAAAACAAAUAUGCGUCCAGAAAAUGUACCGGAUUUCAAAACGUUCAUGUUUGCAAAAAAUGUUCUCAUUACACAAAAAAGUUCAAAACUUUCUAAAUUCAGAAAAUGUACCGGAUUUCAAAAUUUUGUUCACGUAUUCAAAACAAAGUUCACGCUUCCAAAUUUUUUCGGGAUUUUUCAAAAUUGUUCUCCGUUUAAAAAUUUGUUCUCAAAACUAAAAAAUGUCGGUGCUUUAAAAAGUUGUUCGCGCUUCAAAAUUUGUGCUCAAGAUUCAAAAAAUAUUCGUGCUUUAAAAAGUUGUUCACAAAUUCCAAAACCAUCAUGUUUUAAAAAAUGUUUGGGAAAUUCAAAAUGUGUUCGUUUUCAUAAAUUUCGUUUGCGUUUGUGAAAAGAUCAUACGAUCAAAAAAUUUGGAAAAAAAGGGAUUUUGCCAAACAGUGUUAAGUCCGCAACUGUACUUCGUUUCUUUUAGAUUUCCGCUGUAUUUCGGUCGACAUGCCAGUUCGUGCAAGCAGGAAGUGCCAUGUUCCAUUCCUUGCCACCGCGCGCUACCCUGUUUUGUGUUUUUCACGCUCGUAUUCGAAGUGCACUGAAUGGGCAGGCCUACUCGGCACCCCCUGUGCGACAAGGCGUAUAUUUGCCGCAGAACGCGGCAAAUAGGAGCUCCCGCCAUGCGAAGCGCUGAAUCGCGGACGCCCCGCUCCCCCGCGCGAUGUUUUGGGCCGGCCCAUGUGCGGCGCAGGGGGUCCUUUUUUGUUGUUCUCUUCCAUUUUUUUUCUUUUUCGUUGGUAGUUUUUUUUUCUUCUUCUUCUUUUUACCUUUUUAAACAAUAUUCAAGAUUUUCAUAAAAUUUUCAUGAUUUUUUUAAAUCAGCAAAUUGAAAAAUAUUAAUAGCUAUCAAUAAAAUGUUCGUGCAUUUAAAAACAAAUUUAAAAAUGAAAAAAAUGUUCCAAUUCAAGUAAAUGUUAGUGCAUUUCAUAAAAUCUUCACUCAUUCAAAAAACGUUCUUGCAUAUCUAAAAAAUGAAAAAUAAAUUGUAUCUGAUGAACAAUUUUUGAAUUCGAUGAAUUUGAUGAGGAAAUUCUGAAUUGGAUGAACAAUUUUUGAAAUCGAAGAACUUUUUUUAUAUAUUCAAGAACAAUUAAAAAAUGAUGAACAUUUUUUGUUUUUGACAGAAAUAUUUUGAAUUUGAUGAACAAAAUUGGGUUCGAUGAACAUUUUUUAACUCGGUGAAUUUUUUUGAAUUUGAUGACAGAAAAUGUUCAGGAUUUAAAAAACUGUUUGUGAAUUUGAAACAUUUGCAAAUAAAAAGGGAAAUAAAAAUAAAAAAAGAAAACGAAGACAAAAAAUAAAAAAAAUGUCUGUGAACGUUCUAGAACUUCUACUACUACUUCAUAACAAAAGAAUAAAGAGAAAGAAACAAUAGCCCAUACGUCCCACAGUGAUAUUCCGUUAUUAGCUAGCUAAUUAUACAAACAUUGAUGAUCAAUAAUACUACCUCCGUUCAAAAAUAACUGACGUGGUUUUAGUUCAAAUUUGAACUAAAACCACGUCAAUUAUUUCUGAAGGAGGGAAUAUAUACUAGUGUGGCUCCGCUCCUCAUCACUCACAGUCUAUCUGUCUCCAAUCAAGAGUUGGCCACCACAUCGUUUCUCCCUCCCUUAAUAAACUAGCUACUCCACAAAAUUUAAUUAGCUUAAUCAACUCAUCANNNNNNNNNNNNNNNNNNNNNNNNNNNNNNNNNNNNNNNNNNNNNNNNNNNNNNNNNNNNNNNNNNNNNNNNNNNNNNNNNNNNNNNNNNNNNNNNNNNNNNNNNNNNNNNNNNNNNNNNNNNNNNNNNNNNNNNNNNNNNNNNNNNNNNNNNNNNNNNNNNNNNNNNNNNNNNNNNNNNNNNNNNNNNNNNNNNNNNNNNNNNNNNNNNNNNNNNNNNNNNNNNNNNNNNNNNNNNNNNNNNNNNNNNNNNNNNNNNNNNNNNNNNNNNNNNNNNNNNNNNNNNNNNNNNNNNNNNNNNNNNNNNNNNNNNNNNNNNNNNNNNNNNNNNNNNNNNNNNNNNNNNNNCUAGUUGGUGCCUUGCUAUUUGCCGGUCCACUGUGUGUUCCCGGGGCUCCACUUAGGGCACUUGGGGCUCAGGUACUUGCCCUCCACCAUGUCAUCGAGGAGCUCCACCACCGGGCCCUACCACACACACUCUGACACGUUGCACUGGUUGAUCGAUGCAUCGCGACCGAGCGCGUAGUCCAUGAUCUUGCCAAAGGUGCCCUUGGGAGACGAUGUGGAUCUCGAGGGGUCUGACGGAGCAGUCAGCUGCACGACAUUGCCGGUACACAUUGUUGGAGCUCUCACAGUCACAAGGACCGACUAGGCGGCAUGAUUGAUCUUCUUUUGCCGAUCCGCCUUUUAGGUUCACCUCUUAGCCAUUGAUUGUUGGCUCUCUGGAGUAUGUACCCUUUUUAUUUUCCUUUUUGCACUUGGGCUUGUUUGUGCGGUAGUCCUAGCUGACCUUUAUUUUUCGUUCAUGCAUUUGAACUAUCUGUAUUGAUGGGGUGGUUGAUUUAUAUAUAAAGCGGGGUUGUCUCAAAAUAUAUAUAUAUAAAGCGGGGUAAAACUCUAGUUCAAGAUAAACUUAAGGAGGUUGCCUGCAAGAUUAAAUUUGUGCCCUCUAUUUCUUUUCAGAUGUUGUUUAUGAGAAGAUACACCUCUAACAUUAACGGAAGGAGUAUAUACUUUUACAGACGACAGCCCAUGACAAUCUUGCAUCAAAAGUUUUUCACACCAUGUAAUUGUACACUCUGUGUUGUAAAUGAAGGGGUAGGUACGGUGAAAGGGGGAGGAUGAAGUAGUCCAAUCCUUUGAGAGUCGAUCCACCGCUCAUCAAGUUCUUAGUGAAGUCGAACAUGGAGGGGAAGGGGCUCCUUGAGCACCUAAAAUAGGUAAAUAAGCAAUCGAUGAAGAACAUCAUGAAAACAAGAGGGCAUGUUUGACUCGCAAGAUUCUAAAUAGAAAAACGGAAAGGUAGGAACAUGAUAUAAGAAUACAUGCAGAAAGUACAUGACUGACAAACAUAUAAAUGAGGAAUAUCAAAACACAAGAAUUAAUCCUAAUAAACAAUGUCAAACCAUAGUCAAACCACAUGGGAAAGUAUAAUUGGAACUAUACCGUUAAGGAUCUGAGCCUCGUUCUUCGUUUGUAGAAAUUUGAAAAAGAGGACCUAACGAAUUGCACAGUUCCUCGUUUUUCCUUUCAGAUCGAAGGGAAAUCCUUCUCCAUUUCCCCUUUGCUCCAUUCAUUUGAACCAAGUGUAUGAAUAGUGCACCAGAUGGAAAUUUUGUCGGGUUGGUCGCGACGGCUUGCGUGACAUCACCGUGGGAGCAACAAAGGCACCCUUAACAUGCAAGGUGUGUCAGGCGAGCUAUGUUAGCCAACCUCGCAUGACUGAAGUGGCAUAUGUCUGCUCUAUCAGACGAAGUGUUCCUCUUCGAUGUCACUGAGCUUCGUGGAUAUCCUUGUGCCUGCCCGGAUUGAUACAACGUUUUCGGUGUGCACUCUAGUAGCGGCGAAGGCGCUAGAGUUUCAUGAUGUUGUGUGGUGUUGGUCUUCUCGCGUGUUGUAUGUUUUGUGGUGCUUUAGGUCUAGUCUAGCUAGGCGUUGUUUAGGUUUCUGCCUGGAUUUCCUUGAUAUUUUGAGCAGUCCUUUUUCAUUCCUUCUUUUUUUGGCACUUGGCUUUAUGCGGUGCAUUUCUCCUUUGGGGUGUUACUGGUAAUACCCUUUUCUAAUCAAUGAGUUUGGCAUCUCUCCUGCCAACAUUAAAAAUAAUCUUACAUGGACCACAUUGAAGGUCAAAAUCCAGAAGGCUCACCAUUAAAGAGUUUACCUUAAUAGAGAUUCAGCUUGCUCCAAUUUUUAAAAAUGCGCUACAUACAAAGCUAAGUAAUGCAUAACAUUGUUUUUCGUAUGAACAACUCAACAUGUGCAUGAACGGAACACUGACAAAUAGUAUAUAUGCAACAAAAAAUAAAUAUCUUGUAUUUUAUUAAUUUGUCGCCGCUACAUGGAUCGGACCAUCGACUAAACAAUGGCAGUCCAUCUAUCGAGUACUAGAUCUCUUUUCUCAUUAGCCACUCAUGUUAGUAUAGCGAUGUUACUACGGUGAUGUGGUGGGGGAGCAGUAUGAUGGUACGCGGAGGUCGCACAUUGUCGGUAGGGUCUGGAGCACCCAUGUCCUUAUUGCAUCGAUCCAACCCUGAUUCAACUGAUGUUGUUGACGUUGGAUGGAACCUUGACCUAGUAGUAGUUGUUGUGGUUGGGCCAAAGUACCUUCUACCAAUUGUUGUUGUCGUUGUUGCAAAAUAAUGGCGCGCACAACGUUGUGGAUGGCAUGGCAUUGUGCUCGCUUGGGGGUAUGUGAUAGUUCCUGACAGCACUGCUGCCUCAACACCUGGCAUCUGCUUUGUUGUACCAUCUGUGACCGGAGAAAUGACACAACUGCCACUGGACGACACUGUUGUAGGAGGACAUCCCUACAUGGGUUCGGUUGUUGUUGUACAAAUGGUUGUUGUUCCUGAACUAGGUGUUCAUGUUGAUGUGGAAAUGGAUGUUGCGGUUGGGGGUAGGAUGGCUGUUGCGGUUGGGGAUAUGGUGGUUGUUGUGGAAAUUGUUGUUGCCUAAAUGGUAUCUGUUGUGCUGGAAAUGGCUGUUGUUGCGGAGUUGAUUGCUCCUCUUGAAAUGGUUGUUGUUGCGGUUGUGGAAAGGGUUGUUGUGGUUGUUGUGAAAAUGAUUUUUGUGGUUGCAAUUGGGGACUAUGGCGAUGGUAGCGAUGGAGGCAAGAAAGGCAAGCGUGAGGAAGAUCUUCAUAGUUUAUUCGUGUUGGAUAAUGUUUGCUUGCCUUUGAUGUGUUGUUCUCUAAUGUGAAUGGUGGAUGAUGGAGGAUCUUGAUGGUGUAUGCCUAUUUAUAGCUACCAUGGCAUUGUUUGUUUUCACCCUUGCAUUUACUUUUCUUGGGAAGUGCAUGCACGCUUCUCAACUCAUUAUUUCGUAUGUUGUGUCUGUUGGCACUACUUAUAAGUGUAUUGUUGGAUUGCUCAUCAAAGUUCUUUGUUGUUGCACAUAUCACUCCACUGUCACCAAAGCUUUAUAAAUUGAGAUAACUAAUGUUAUUCACUUUACAUGUCAAACAUCAAUCUAGAUUGCAUCGGAAGUUUCUGAAACUACUCCCUCUGUAAACUAAUAUAAGAACGUUUAGAUCACUAAAGUAGUUAUCUAAACACUUUUAUAUUAGUUUACGGAGGGAGUAGUUUGUAAUGUUCUACAGGUUGUUACACAUAAACCAGAUUAGCAUGCCUUACACUGAACUAAGUUUGUAAUCCUGUGUGGCCUGUAAAGAUACACAAGACUUUACAGUACAAUGUGACUUGCAAAAGUAGAGCAUGACAUGAUUCAAUAUUCUGUUGGUUUGCCAAACUAAGUUUGUAUUGCUGUGCGGAUCAUUCAGAUAAUCAACAGGUUUUGCUUGCUAAAUCUGCUCAUGACAAGUGUUGGAACUGGGAUUGCUAGGAAUGAUACCGAGCCUUUACAUGGCAUAAUUUUUCUGCAGCUCGAGGGAAAUUUAUUUAGCAGGUAAAAACAAAUAGAUAAGAGAUAUCCAGGCAUUUCAUGGAUCUGCCAGAAAAUUCACAAGGCAUUAUCUAUCAUGAACAAUGCUACAAAACAGGUUGAGGAAAGCAAUCACAUUCUUAUUCCAGCCGAACAGUAGUUGAAUGCCGUAUGCUCAGAUUAGAAAUAUUGGCUUCAACUCAGCAGUCUCUAACUAGUAGGAGAAAGACCUGUAACAAGUCCAGAACAAAAUCCAGAUGUGCAGAUCGAAGAUGAUAAGCCAUCUAAAACUCAGACCACUGGAAGCUCCCCGCACUCACUAAUGACCACCUUCUUCUUCGGACGGUCACCUCUGUCAGUCUCCGACGACUCUAUCGUCCUUACGAUGUCCAUGCCUUCAAGAACCUGGCCAAAGACAACGUGUCUCCCAUCCAGCCACGGUGUCUGCAAGCAAGGCAGCAGAAACCUCAAUAUGGAAUUAUGAACUUCAAACUCAGCAACAGAAAAAGGGUACUAUUAUUCAAAUUGACUGACUGGUAGCAGGAAGUACACAAUUAAUUACCUUCAUUGUGCAGAUGAAGAAUUGGCUGCCGUUGGUGUUCGGUCCAGCAUUAGCCAUGCUGAGCACUCCAGGUCCAGUAUGAACCACUAAGAACAUUAAAUAACAUAUAAUCAGUUAGCAUAUAAUCUGAAGCAAAGCUGUGCGACACAGGUUCAUUGCAACACAUACAUUGGAAGUUCUCAUCCUUAAAGGUGCGGCCAUAUAUGCUUUUCCCUCCAGUACCCUGAAAUUAUCAGUUUCUAGUUAUUUAAUGCCAUUGUUGGAAGCUGUAUGUUUCAUUUUAGGCAAUCUGAAGUCUCAAAGUACUUCAAAUGCAGAUGAAACACAAAAUCAGGUAUGGGCUCAAUAUAGGAAAGGAUGGCGCAAUGACAAUCACCUUGAAUUCUUACCACGAGGCCACUGACCAAAAAAACAGAGUAGGAUGCACUUGUGCAAGUGAUUAAUGACAAUCAAACAUGGAUAAGAUCCAGGGUCAAAAUGCAGCACCAUAACAAAUUGAAUGCAGGUACACGAGCAAAGCUAGUAGUAAAGGUUCUAAACUCCCUUUCCUUCUCCCCCAGUCCCUCUGGUCCGUAAAAUAAUGCUUAAACAGCUAGCAUAACUAUCAACAAACUGAAACAGGUACAUUCGUGCAAAAAACAAAUAAGCACAUGUAUCUGUUCAAUCUUGUAAGCAAAGGUAUUUGCAUGGUAACAACUGAUAGUCUUUAGCUUUUCUUAAUGCAAUCUGUAAUACGGCAUAAGGAUGCACAUGCAACAAACAAGAAUAGACGAAGGUAGGAAACACAUACGUUGCCCUUGUCAAAGUCUCCUCCCUGAAUCAUGAAGUCCUUAAUGACACGGUGGAAACUUGAUCCCUUGUAUCCGAACCCUUUCUCCCCUGGACAAAAGAAAAAAAGAAAAAUUGCUCAUACACCUCAUCAGAAUUAAUUCUUGAAGAUGGGAUAACAGAACAUGGCUCCAGCAGUCCCUCCUACCAGCGCAGAGUGCACGGAAGUUCUCAACGGUUUGUGGAACGUCAUCCCCAUAGAGCCCGAUGACAAUCCUUCCAACAUUCUUCCCGACAGGGUUGCCAAUGCUUAUGUCAAAGUACACCUUGUUUGUAACUUUGGACUGAAGCUCAGGUGCCUGCAAUGCAUGACGAAAGAACAGCUUCAAACACCAUGAAAUGCAUGACAUCUAUAAUAAGGUAAAAGACAUACAACAGUGCAAGCACAAAAGCGGCAUAUUGUUUAAACCAUACAGUGGCACAUUUGUUCCCUUAGACAGCCGGCGACUAAAACUAACUGGGCCAUAUAAUGUACUAAACACUAACACAUGCCAUACCAAUGUAUGGUAAUAUCUGCAUCUAACACUGGCAUAACCCGACGGUUAUCAUAAGUGAUGAUAAAACCUCAACUUGCAAAUUUGUUCACACAAAAAAAAAAUUAUCAGUUAGUGACCAGAUUUUUCUCAUGAAAAUUACAGCUACCAAAUAACAUACAGAAUAGUGUGGAUGUUCACAAACAAACGCAAACUACAUAUCUAUUAGAUUGCAACUCAGCUUCCUGACAGAACAGGGAGCGGUGCCAGAUAUGCAGGCUUUACACAGGUAGCGGCCACAGCGCCCAGAUAGAAACAGCGGCGCAUUUGAUUCCUCAGACUGCGGGGGACUAACACUACCUGAACCUAUAAUGGACUAACACAAAAACAUGGCAUGAAUAAUACUGCGACGUCGAGUCGGAGUUCGCCUCCAAAGGCACAUACGCCAUGUCUACCAGAUUGCAAUUCGGUAUUAGAUAUGCAGGCUUCACAUAGGUUGCGGCCCCAGCGCCCGGAUAUAUAGAUAAAAAUAGAUAAAUGGGGAAUCUUUACAUAGGGUUCGGCGCUGGCGGAGGCGACGAAGCGCGCGCGGCUCUGCUGGGAGACGGAGAGGGCCGGGGACGCGACGCGGCCGCCGCGGAGGGAGAGGGCCGACGAGGGGACCUUCGAGGCGAGGAGCGCCCUCUGCGCCGCCGCCCCCGACGCCGCCGGGCGGGCGAUGGCCUGCAAGAAAGAACAGCACGCACAGCACAAGAUUCAGGCGGAGGAGGAGGAGAGCAGGCGGGUCCGACAAGAAGUGGUGAGGAGGAGGAGGAGGGGAGGGAGCUCACGAGCGUGGCGAAGGAGGAGGUCGCGGCCGCCAUUGGAGGUCGACGAGGUUUCGGGAUGGGAUUUGUUGGAGGGGACGGACGGAGUCUCUGGAGAUAACCAAAAGGAUGAGCUUUUUAUUCUGCUUCCUCACUCCCCUGAUGCCCGUGGAGCUGUUGAUUUGAGCCCUUUGCGUUCAUCCUAUUUGCGCACCCAAGUCCCUGGGUUAAACCUUCUACUAUGAAGUUUGGAUGUCGACGGCUUGUGGAUAUUCAGAUCCGGCGCGGAUCUGAGGUGCCGGUGCCCUCAUUGGCCGUCCAUCUGAGCCGACGGGUGAUGUAUUACCCGUUUAUCAUGGAGAUAUCCCACUCUCUCCGAAUUGCGGACGCAAUUGCAUAUAGUAAGAGCAUCUCCAGCCGUUCGGUUCCCAGGGCGCCGAAAAAGAGCCGCCUGGAGCCGAACCGGCACUUGCUUGGCGCAUGGGGGCGACUGCAUUCUCACUCGACGCCCCCAGGUCGACGUUCCCACUCGACGAAAGGGGGAAUAAAAAGCUCGUGUUUAUUGGGGAGAUAUAAUUAAUGAGCUCGUUUUGCGGAAGGGGGAAUGAGAAGAGAGGAAAAUAAUAAGAGGCGGAAAGGGGGAAUGAGGCUCAUCUUUAGUAUUUAACAUAUAAACAUAGCAAUAUCUAGUGGAAUCAUCUAUUAAUGUCAUGAAGUAUUUUCUUUCCACCUUUAGUCAACACACCAUUCAUCUCACAAAGAUCAGAAUGUAUGAGUUCUAAUGGUGCCAAGUGUCUCUCCUCCGCGGCCUUACGAGGCUUGCGAGGUUGCUUAGCUUGCACACAUGAAAGACACUUAGAACCUUUGGCUAAAGUGAAACUCGGGAUUAAAUCCAACUUAGCUAGCCACGUCAUAACACCAAAACUAAUGUGACAAAGACGUGAAUGCCAAACUUCAGAUUUAUUAACAUUCGAAUGAAUAUGGUUCACGGCUGUAUUACAAAAAUUUGCGAGGGAAAGGCGGAACAUCCCUCCGCUCUCAUAACCUUUUUCAACAAAGAGUCCAUAUUUCGUAACAACUAAUUUAUUAGACUCGAAAACCAACUUAAACCCUUCUCUACAUAGAAGGGGCCACUAACGAGGUUCUUCUUGAUGGCGGGGACAUGUUGCAUGUUCUUCAGCUGCACGAUCCUUCCCGAAGUAAACUUCAGAUCGACCAUGCCAACACCAUGAACAGAAGCACUCGCGCCAUUCCCCAUCAAUACGGACCCGUGACCUGUGACCUGGUAAGAAGUGAACAAUGAAAUGUCAGCACACACAUGAACACCUGCACCUGUGUCCACCCACCAAUCGGUAGGCUGAAGCACUGAAAAAACAGUAAAUAAAUUACCGUUCCCAGAUGCACCAUUCUCAUUGUUGCCCACAAUCAUGUUGACAGACUUGGAGUCCUAUCCUGACUUCUUGUACUUGUUUGGGCACUUGUUGGCCUAAUGUUCAACCGAACCACAAGUAAAGCAGCCCUCGUCCUUCUUGUUCUUCUUGAAGGUCUUCUUACCCUUCUUCUUAAAGUCGGUAUUGUGUUGGACACCGUUCUUUCCCUUGGGCUUGUGGGAGUUGAAGUUCUCUGGUUCACCAUGUUGGCGACAGAAGUCCCUUCGGCCCCUUUUCCGUGCGAGUCUUUUGCCCUCGAAUUCUGCUCAACACUCAGAUGUCCAAUGACAUCCUCCACAGAGAAUUCACGCCUCUGAUGUUUCAGAGUGGUGGCAAACUUCCUCCUGGAAUUAGGGACCUUAGCGAUUAUGCAGCCCGCGACAAACUUGUCCGGUAACUCGCACUUAAGAAGCUCAAGUUCCUUAACAAUGCAUAUUAUCUCAUGAGCCUGCUCCAAUACAGGACAGUUUUGAACCAUCUUGUAAUCAUGGAACUGCUCUAUAAUAUACAUCUCGCUCCCUGCAUCGGUGGCCCCAAAUUUAGAUUCGAGCGCCUCCCACAAGUCCUUGGCGACAUGCACAUGUAAAUAUGCGUCGACCAGUUUAUCUCUGGUCACGCUAAGAACUGCUUCGAGAAACACAACGGUAGCCUCCUUGAACACCUUCUCCUGUUCAGGAGCAAUCGUUCCCGUGGAGACACCGGUGACCUAGAACACGUUCAUAGCCGUGAGCCAUAACGUGGUCUUAGUCUGCCAACGCUUAAAGUAUGUACCGGUAAACUUAUCCGGUUUCAGUGCAGCGGCAAAGCCACUUGCCGAGAAAUUCCUACACAUAAUAGGUUUUUGGAUUGUUUAGUAAAUAGGCAAUUUCUCCAUUAAAUUAAUCCACGAGUAAAUCACUAGCAUGGCAUUGACACAAAUAAACGCAUACUGAUAUUCAGUCAAGCUAGCACAUACUACGCUAAUUGCAGAAAGAUCUACGUAUAACGCUAGCAUGGCUAAAACAGAAAACAAUAGGAGCGGGAUAAACGAGUUAUACCUCCAGUAGGCCAUGCAGAGGCCGCGGCUUUGGUGGCAGCAGCGGCGUCCUCGGCGGCCUUCUUGUCGGCUCCAGCUUUCUCGGCGGUGGCACAUUCGGCGUCGGUGGACAUGGUGAUGAUGAAGACGACGCGGACGUAGAGGAAGUAGACGAUCGGAAGUGAGCAGUCGCGUAAUCGCUGCCCAAAAACCUAUUCGCCCCUCACCCCGUACAGGAACCAGAAGGGCGUGGUUUCGGAGACCUGCUCUCCCGUCGACCGUGUACGCGGCGGACGGGAUGGAGUCACCGGCGGUAGCAGCAGCAAGGGAACGACGGUGGGCGUGCGCGUGGAGUAGAUGUGAUCUGUUCGUGGCGGCUAGGGUUAGGAGACACCGCACACUUAUAUAGGCGCAGCCGCGUGGAGAGACGUGGGCUCGACCCACAAAAAUAAGCGCGUAGAUAUGAGCUCGGCUCGGCGCAAUCACGCAACCCGCGGCGCGUCGUGACGAGGCGUGGCGAGGCGGGUGGCGGAGGAGGAGUGCGCGAGGGCCUCUUCUCUUCUCAAGCUCCAAUAGCAUGUAGAAGAGAAAACCCUUAUAAGGAGGUCCAACUCCUCUUCCACUUCCGGGGUGGGACUAAACUUCCCACUACACCUAGUGCCAUAUAACCCACAUGGGCCCUUAGAGAUUUUUCAGAAAUUGCUAUAUGGGCCUAGAGCCCAUCUCAAAUUUCAGCAAUCCCCCACCAGAUCUCGAGGGCCCAUUGUGUCCUCUGUUCCAAUUACUGUUUUGAUAUACCAGUGUUUUAGUGAAGACCUGUUAAGGUUGAACUUCACCUAGAGCAAGUAGCUACACUCCUUCACAACUGAACAAUGGACUAUGCCUUGAAUUGUCAGUUUGGUGUAAAGAAGUUUCACCACAUGUCUUACUAGUACUAGGCUGCCGAAGGCUGACCCCUCGGGUGGAGCAUAUAAGUCACACUCCUGGCCUAUUCAUGAGCUUACUAGAGAUCACCCCAAUCUCAUACACUGUGACCAGCAGUCGGGCUCAUAUAGGUGUGUUCCUCCAAAGAUUGCUCUGUAGGAUAGCAUCUUGCUUUCAUAAGCUUUGGAACACAUUAAGAUAGUAGUCAUCCUACCAUAUAGUAUCGAGAGUAUUGCAUCUUCAACGGAGUGGGUUAGUAUAAUUACUCUCCUUAGUUCACCACUGGCUUGUUUUCCCAGGUCCUACUUCACGGGAUCUCCGAUCACAUAGGUUGGGUUACCACCAUGGCAACUCAUGUGGGUCUCAUACCCAUCUCCCUCGAUGCAUUAUCUAUCACAACACGUGAUAGCCCUUUCGUAAAGGGAUCUGCCAGAUUCUUAGCCGUAUGGACAUAGUCCAACGCUAUCACUCCGGAGUUUCUUAAUUUUCUGACAGCUUUUAAUCUUAUUCUUAUGUGUUUGUUGGACUUCAUGUUGUCCUUUGAACUCUUCACCUUGGUGAUGACAGUCUGAUUGUCACAGUUCAUAAGGAUAGCCGGAACUGGUUUAUCAACCAAUGGCAAGUACAUCAAUAGAUCUCGAAGCCAUCCUGCUUCAACACCAGAUGUGUCUAGUGCUGUUAAUUCUGCUUUCAUUGUCGAUCUCGUUAAGAUCGUUUGCUUGCAAGACUUCCAGGAAACAGCGCCACCUCCAAGAGUAAACAUAUGCCCAGUUGUGGCCUUCAUCUCAUCAGCAUCAGAGAUCCAAUUCGCAUCACUAUACCCUUCAAGUACCGACGGGUCUCCGGUAUAGUGAAGUCCAUAGUUCAUAGUACCUUUCAGAUAGCGCAUAACUCUUUCAAUAGCAUGCCAAUGUACAUCACCCGGUUUGGAAACAAACCGGCUUAAUUUGCUCACAGCAAACGCGAUGUCAGGCCUCGUUGCGCUCGCUAGGUACAUCAGUGAACCAAUGAUUUGAGAGUAUCUCAAUUGAUCUUUAGUCGUGCCUUUGGACUUUCGAAUCAACACGCUAGGAUCAUAUGGUGUUUGAGAUGGUGCAUAGUCCGAAUAUCCAAAACGACUCAACACCUUCUCAACAUAGUGGAAUUGCAGAAGUGUAAUCCCACCCUCAUUAUCUCUCAGUAGCUUGAUGUUCAAGAUAACAUCAUCCACACCAAGGUCUUUCAUCUCAAAGUUCUGAGAUGGAAACGAUUUGACCUCCUCAAUGACUUUGAGGUUUGUUCCAAAUAUCAGUAUGUCAUCAACAUACAAGCACAGUAUAACUCCUUCGCCCCCACCAUGGCGAUAGUAUACACAUUUGUCAGCCUCAUUAACAACAAAACCAACAGAUGUCAAAGUUGUAUUAAACUUAUCAUGCCAUUGCUUAGGUGCUUGCUUCAGGCCAUAUAAAGAUUUCAGCAACCUACACACCUUUCUUUCCUGACCAUCUAUCACAAAGCCAUUUGGCUGUUGCAUGUAGAUUUCCUCGUUUAGCUCUCCAUUCAGAAAAGCUGUCUUAACAUCCAUUUGAUGGACAAGAAGACCAUGUGAGGCCACCAACGAGAGUAAUACUCGAAUGGUGGUCAGUCUAGCCACAGGUGAGUAAGUAUCGAAGAAAUCUUCCUCUUCUUUCUGGUCAUAGCCCUUGGCCACAAGCCUAGCCUUGUACUUUUCAAUCGUACCAUCGGGCCUAAGCUUCUUCUUGAACACCCACUUACAUCCUAAUGGUUUGCAACCAUAGGAACGGUCAGUGAUCUCCCAUGUCCCGUUAGCCAUGAUGGAGUCCAUCUCGCUACGGACCGCAUCCUUCCAGUAAUCAGCUUCUGGAGAGGCAUACGCUCCGGAAAUAGAAGUGAGAGUAUCAUCCACGAGGUACAUGAAGAAAUCAUCACCAAAGGUCUUUGCUGUCCUUUGUCUCUUGCCCCUACCAAGGGUUUCCUCGUCAUCCUCCUUAGGAUUUUUAUUAUGUGUUUGUUCAUAAUAAUCCAUAGGAACGGCAGGCUCAGGAGUCUCAGUUAAACACAUGGUUUAGGGUUUUGCGUUGGUGGUUGACAUCCAGCCUCACGUCUCAAUAUAUAGAUGAUCACAAUUACAAUUACAUACGUAUACGAAUACGUGUACAAGGACAAUACACUAGACCCUACUUUACAUGCCCCCUCAAUCUGAACUACACACAAGAUUCAGAUUGGUUCUAAAACGGUCUAGCAUCUGUCUAGUAGCGGGUUUAGUAAAUACAUCCGCUAACUGAUCAUCUGUAGAAAUAAACCUGACUUCCAGUUCACAAGAACCUACUCGUUCCCUCACAAAAUGGAAAUCAAUCUCAAUGUGUUUGGUCCGAGCAUGAAACACUGGAUUCACCGUCAGGUAAGUUGCCCCUAAGUUAUCACACCACAAUAUAGGAGUGCGCUGCCGUGGGACUCCAAGUUCUGUGAGAACUGAGUCUAUCCAAAUGGCUUCAGCCGCGCCAUUGGCCAAUUCCUUAUACUCUGCCUCGGUGCUUGAUCUCGAGACUGUGGGUUGCUUCUUCGAGCUCCAAGAUACAAGGUUAGGUCCAACAAAUAUAGCAAAACCACCAGUGGAGUGCCUAUCAUCAACACAGCCUGCCUAGUCUGCAUCGGUGAAUAUACUCACUCCAGUAAAUCUGGACUUACGAAUCCGUAGUCCCAUGUCUAGCGUACCUUUGACAUAUCUCAGAAUACGCUUGACUGCUUCCCAAUGAUCCUCCGUUGGCUGAGACAGGAACUGACACACUCUGUUCACUGCGAAGGAGAUAUCAGGACGAGUGAGGGUCAAAUACUGAAGUGCUCCAACCACACUGCGAUACCAAAAGGAGUCAUCUCUACCCAGUAGUGCACCACUAUGACGUGAGAGACUCUCGGAAGUAGCAAGCGGAGUAGAAGUGGCCUUGCAGUUCUCCAUGUUGACGCGAUGAAGAAGAUCCAAAGCAUACUUUUUCUGCGUCAAAGCUAGCAGACAACGACUGCACAAGACGAUCCACCACGCGGGGGUAGAGCCAGCAAUCACAAUAUCAUCAACGUACACCAGCAUGUAUAUCUGUAUUUUACCCUGGGAGAAGAUGAACAGAGAUGCAUCUGAUCUGGAGGCAACAAAACCGAGCUGUGAAAGGCGCUGACUCAAACGAGCAUACCAGGCACGAGGCGACUGCUUUAGACCAUAAAUAGACCGCUGAAGUUUGCAGACAUGAGAGGGAUAAGUGGCAUCCUCGAACCCAGGUGGCUGCUGCAUGUACACAUCUUCAGCCAAGAACCCAUGUAAAAAGGCAUUGCUCACAUCAAUCUGUCGGAGGCUCCAACCACGAGACACAGCAAGAGACAGAACCAAGCAAACCGUGGCAGGCUUCACCACUGGGCUAAAAGUAUCUCCGUAGUCAAUCCCAUGCUGUUGAGUGAAACCGCGAGAAACAAGACGAGCUUUGUGCUUAUCAACAGACCCAUCCGGACGAUGCUUGGUUUUGAAAAUCCACUUGCAGCUCACAAUAUUAACACCAGGUGGCCGAGGCACCAACACCCAGGUGUUAGUGUGACGGAGAGCAGCAAACUCCUCGGACAUGGCGGCACGCCAGGCAGGUUCACCCAAAGCAUCACGAUGGGAAACUGGCGCGGCGAAGAAGGCACGGCGGCGAGAGUCAUACCGAACCGUGCCAUCAGUGUAAGACUUCUCCUUGCGCGUAUGAUCAGGAUGGCGUGUAACCAUAGCAUGCGCCGGAGCUGCAUCGCCGGUAGGAGAAGACGACGGCGAUGAGGGCUCGGCCGAGGGUGUCGCGGCUGAGGAGACCUCAGCAAGGGGCAACACGGGCCGAGAGACGAUGGUGUGCUGGACCGACCCAGGUGAGGGUGGCGGCCCGGGCGAGGGUGGCGACCCAGCCGCGUCCGCGGUCGCGCCAUCGGGCGCCGCGCCUGCCUCGGGCGACGGGACAUGCAUGUCGGGCGCAUCAGGAGGCGUCGGAGCAGCAACAUGUACCUGGGGGGACUCAAAGCAAUAUCACCUGCAAAAGACAAGUUAGGUGCCAAAUAGGACAUGUCAUAUUUACGCAAAUGGACAUCCGGAACCGGUUCAUCGGAGGGAAAAGUGAGUGCAUGUUCAAGAGAAGCAGGAUCAACCGAGACGCCGGGUUGAGAGUAAGGGAACACAGUCUCGUCAAAAACAACAUCACGAGAGAUGUAUAUCCGACCAGAGGUACGGUCAAGACACUUAUAGCCCUUAUGCAAAGGACUAUAGCCAAGGAAAACACACAUCUUGGACUGAAACUCAAGCUUGUGAGCAUUGUACUUGCGGAGCCUAGGCCAGCAAGCACACCCAAAAAUCCGAAGGGAGGAGUAGUUGGGCUGAACAUGAAACCGACGGAACAGAGGUGUGUCCUUGUUGAGAACCGGAGUGGGCAUACGGUUGAUGAGGUAACAUUCCGUAAGAAAAGCCUCAUCCCAAAACCGAAGUGGAAGAGAGGAGUGCGCUAGCAAGGCAAGACCGGUCUCGACCAAAUGUCGGUGUUUGCGCUCGACAAUACCGUUCUGCUGAGAGGUAUGUGGACAUGACACUCGGUGAGAGAUGCCCGUGCGUUGAAAGUAGCGAUGGAGUUUGUGGUAUUCACCACCCCAGUCGGACUGAACGGCCUUGAUUUUAUAAUCCAGAAGGCGUUCGACAUGAGCCUGAAAGUUGUAGAGAACUUGCUCAACAUCAGACUUGUGUUUAAGCAAAUAAAUCCAGGUGAAGCGCGUGUAGUCAUCAAUAAAGCUAACAUAAUACUUGUACCCUCCCGACGAAGCAAGAGCGGGACCCCAAACAUCUGAAUGUAUUAAUUCAGGAGGUACAGUAGUGAUAUGAAACGAAGUAGAAUAAGGGAGUUGAUGACUCUUAGCACGCUGACAAGCAUCACAAACUAACGAUGAAUUAUUUGAACUAGAACACGGAAGGUCAUGACUCCGAACAAUGGAAGUGACCACAUUAUUUGUAGGAUGACCAAGACGUUGAUGCCAUUGCAACGACCAAACUCAAACACCGGAGGAGGCACGGCGAGACGAUGAAGAUGACGCACGAGCGAAGGGGACCGGAUAGACCCCCCGUAACUUCUACCGUGAAGGAUGACGUGCCUGGUUGCUUUGUCCUUAACAAGGAAAAAACGACGGUGAAAUUCAACAAAGACGUCAUUAUCACAAAGAAGACGAUAAACAAAGAGAAGAUGCUGGCUGAUGUGUGGAACAUGAAGGAUGUUACGCAGUUGAAGAGAUGAACCGGGUAAACGCGAAUGACCAAUGUGCGAAAUAGACAAACCUGCACUAUUGGACACCUGAACCUGAUCCUUGCCGUCAUAGCGCUUGUGAACCUGGAGGCGCUCAAGAUCAUUGGUCAAGUGAUCUGUAGCCCCGGUAUCCAGCACCCAAGGGAAGUCGACGGUGUUGGUGGAGGCCGAGUUUGCGGUGCGGGAGUUGUGAUCCUGAUCAUAGCGCUUGCGGCAGUCGUCGGUUUCAUGGCCCCAGUUCUUGCAAAUUUGGCACCGGGGACGCCAGUGGUUGCGACGCCCACCUCCUCCAUCGUUGUUGUUGCCGGCGUUGCCCCCUCCACCUUGCCGGCCAUUGCCAGCAUAACCAGCGUUGCGGUCACGGCCGCCGGUGUUGCCGCCAUUACCGCCCUGGCGGUUCUGCCCUGGCUGGCCAUGUCCAUCAGCCGGGCGCCCCCCACCAUGGGAGGGAUAGGGAUCGGAGUAGGGCGCGCGUUCGCCCGCGCCGUACGAACCCGAACGGGUCACGGCGUUCGCGGAGGGAGACCACCCCUCCACCGCACUCUGUUGUGCCUACAACGCCUCGAAGGACAGAACCAAUGAGUAAAAACUGGAGUAGGGCAUGGGUGCAUUACUCACGCCCAAGGAGGCGGCGAUGGAGUUGUAGGCGGAGCCGAGGCCGGUGAGGAUGUGAUCGAUAAGCUCAUCAUCGCGGAUCGGAGAGCCGGCGGCGGCCAUAGUGUUGGCCAAGGCCUUCAUCUUGUGCAUGUAUUCCGCGGUAGACAUAUCGUCCUUCCUCAGCGACUGAAGUUGCCGCCGGAUGUGGCGGACAUUGGCGCGACUCUGGGCGCCGAACAUGGCGGCGACGGCUGUCCAUACCGCAUGCGCCAACUCGCAGCCAAUGAGUUGGCAUGCAAUAUCCUCAUCCAUGGAGGUGAGAAGAAGCUCCUUGACGCGCUGAUCUUGAACCCACCAUUGGUGGUACUCCGGGUUGGUGACAGUGGUAGCAGCGUCGCCGGUGCCGACAACGAGUGUUUUGGCCGGUGCCGCCUUGGUGCCAUCGAGGUGUCCGUGGAGGUUGGCACCGGCAAGAAUGGUGCUAGUGAUGCCCCCCUAGAGCAUGAAGUUGUGACGACCGAGGCGGACGGAGAUCGUCGGGACGGCGAGCGCGGCGGGGAUCGAGGCGACGGGGGAAGAGACGAUGGCGCCGGCGGUUUGGGCGUCGUACAUAGGGGCAGACGACAUCGCAGCGGCGGCGCGGAUGGGACAGCGCGGCGGCAGCGAAAGAUGGCUCGCGCGGCGGCAGCGAACGGAAGCAGUGGCAGCGAUCGGAAGCGGCGACCGCGUACGGGCAAAGCUAGCUAGCUAGCUAGCAGAUGGAUGGUUCCUGCGUAUGAGCGUAGCUAGCUAGCGGCAGCGGCGACGCGGAAGCUAGCUAGCAAGCAGCGGCGGCGACGCGGAAGAUGGGAUCGGGCGGCGGCGGCCCGACCUGGCUGAUAUCAAGUUAAACACAUGGUUUAGGGUUUUGCGUGGGUGGUUGACAUCCAGCCUCACGUCUCAAUAUAUAGAUGAUCACAAUUACAAUUACAUAAUUACAUACGUAUACGAAUACGUGUACAAGGACAAUACACUAGACCCUACUUUAUAGUCUCCUUAGAUUCCUGUCUAGAAGUGCUUUGCAUAUCUCUCAUAGGAAAAAUAUCCUCGAAGAAUGUAGCAUCCUUAGACUCCAUAAUCGUACCGACCUUCUGGUCAGGUACCUCAGAUUUCACUACUAGAAAUUUAUAGCCAACGCUGUUCUUAGUAUAGCCCAAAUUAACACAGUCCACAGUCUUGGGUCCAAGCUUACGCUUUUUGGGGAUCGGCAUAUUGACUUCCGCCAAACAGCCCCAAGUGCGCAAGUACGAGAGUGUUGUCCUUCUCUUUGCCCAUUUCUCAUAGGGAGUGAUCUCAUUAUCCUUUGUCGGAACUUUAUUCAGGACAUGACAUGUCGUUAAUAUAGCCUCCCCCCACCAUGCCUUGGAUAAACCCGAUGUAUCUAACAUGGCGUUAACCAAAUCAGUUAGAGUACGAUUUUUCCGCUCGGCAACCCCGUUUGACUGGGGUGAAUAGGGAGGCGUCCUCUCAUGAAUAAUGCCGUGUUCCGCACAAAAGGAAUCAAACUCACUCGAGAAGUACUCUCCACCACAAUCUGAUCGGACUCAUUUAAUUUUCUUUUCAAGUUGACUCUCAACUUCUGCCUUAUAGAUUUUAAAGUAGUGUAGAGCCUCAUCUUUAGUAUUUAACAGAUAAAUAUAGCAAUAUCUAGUGGAAUCAUCUAUCAAUGUCAUGAAGUAUUUCUUUCCACCUUUAGUCAACACAACAUUCAUCUCACAAAGAUCAGAAUGUAUGAGUUCUAAUGGUGCCAAGUGUCUCUCCUCCGCGGCCUUACGAGGCUUGCGAGAUGCUUAGCUUGCACACAUGAAAGGCACUUAGAAUCUUUGGCUAAAGUGGAUUAAAUCCAACUUAGCUAGCCGUGUCAUAACACCAAAACUAAUGUGACAAAGACGUGAAUGCCAAACUUCAGAUUCAUUAACAUUCAAAUGAAUAUGGUUCACGAUUGUAUUACAAAAAUCUGUGAGGGAAAGGCGGAACAUCCCUCCGCUCUCAUAACCUUUUCCAACAAAGAGUCCAUAUUUCGUAACAACUAAUUUAUUAGACUCAAAAACUAACUUAAACCCUUCUCUACAUAGAAGGGAGCCACUAACGAGGUUCUUCUUGAUGGCGGGGACAUGCUGCACGUUCUUCAGCUGCACGAUCCUUCCCGAAGUAAACUUCAGAUCGACCGUGCCAACACCAUGAACAGAAGCACUCGCGCCAUUCCCCAUCAAUACGGACCCGUGACCUGUGACCUGGUAAGAAGUGAACAAUGAAAUGUCAGCACACACAUGAACACCUGCACCUGUGUCCACCCACCAAUCGGUAGGCUGAAACACUGAAAAAACAGUAAAUAAAUUACCGUACCCAGAUGCACCAUUCUCAUUGUUGCCCACAAUCAUGUUGACAGACUUGGAGUCCUGUCCUGAUUUCUUGUACUUGUUUGGGCACUUUGUUGGCCUAAUGUUCAACCGAACCACAAGUAGAGCAGCCCUCUUCCUUCUUGUUCUUCUUGAAGGUCUUCUUACCCUUCUUCUUAAAGUCGGUAUUGUGUUGGACACCGUUCUUUCCCUUGGGCUUGUGGGAAUUGAAGUUCUUCUGGUUCACCAUGUUGGCGACAGAAGUCCCUUCGGCCCCUUUUCCGUGCGAGUCUUUUGCCCUCGAAUUCUGCUCAACACUCAGAUGGCCAAUGACAUCCUCCACAGAGAAUUCACGCCUCUGAUGUUUCAGAGUGGUGGCAAAGUUCCUCCAGGAAUUAGGGAGCUUAGCGAUUAUGCAGCCCGCGACAAACUUGCCCGGUAACUCGCACUUAAGAAGCUCAUGUUCCUUAACAAUGCAUAUUGUCUCAUGAGCCUGCUCCAAUACAGGAUGGUUUUCAACCAUCUUGUAAUCGUGGAACUACUCUAUAAUAUACAUCUCGCUCCCUGCAUCGGCAGCCCCGAAUUUAGAUUCGGGCGCCUCCCACAAGUCCUUGGCGACAUGCACAUGUAAAUAUGCGUCGACCAGUUUAUCUCCGAUCACGCUAAGAUCUGCUCCGAGAAACACAACGGUAGCCUCCUUGAACGCCUUCUCCUAUUCAGGAGCAAUCGUUCCCGUGGAGACACCGGUGAUCCAGAACACGUUCAUAGCCGUGAGCCAUAACAUGGUCUUAGUCUGCCAACGCUUAAAGUAUGUAUCGGUAAACUUAUCCGGUUUCAGUGCAGCGGCAAAGCCACUUGCCGAGAAAUUCCUACACAUAAUAGGUUUUUGGAUUGUUUAGGAGCGGGAUAAACGAGUUAUACCUCCAGUAGGCCAUGCAGAGGCCGCGGCUUUGGUGGCAGCAGCGGCGUCCUCGGCGGCCUUCUUGUCGGCUUCAGCUUUCUCGGCGGCGGCACGUUCGGUGUCGGUGGACAUGGUGAUGAUGAAGGCGAUGCGGACGUAGAGGAAGUAGACGGUCGGAAGUGAGCAGUCACGUAAUCGCUGCCCAAAAUCCUAUUCGCCCCUCACCCCGUACAGGAACCAGAAGGGCGUGGUUUCGGAGACCUGCUCUCCCGUCGACCGUGUACGCGGCGGGCGGGAUGGAGUCAGGCACAGCCGCGUGGAGAGACGUGGGCUCGACCAGAAGGGCGUGGUUUCGGAGACCUGCUCUCCCGUCGACCGUGUACGAGGCGGGCGGGAUGGAGUUAGGCGGAGCUGCGUGAAGAGACGUGGGCUCGACCCACAAAAAUAAGCGCGUAGAUGUGAGCUCGGCUCGGCUCAAUCACGCAACCCGCGGCGCGGCGGAGGAGUGCGCGAGGGCCUCUUUUCUUCUCAAGCUCCAAUAGCAUGUAGAAGAGAAACCCUUAUAAGGAGGUCCAACUCCUUUUCCACUUCCGGGGUGGGACUAAACUUCCCACUACACCUAGUGCCAUAUAACCCACAUGGACCCUUAGAGAUUUUUCAGAAAUUGCUAUAUGGGCCUAGAGCCAUCUCAAAUUUCAGCAUUAACCAGUAGUAUGGGUCGAGGGUCAUACAUGACGGUACAUUUCAAUGCGUUUAUUCAUAUCAGCUCUAGUGGAUUGAUCCAUCGGCUUGAUCGGUAAAGCAUAUAUAUAUAUAGUGUACCGCCACCUUUGCCUUCUUAUCACUCAACGAUGUCGCCGGCUGGCGGGAUGGUGGUGCUGCUGGCCACGAUGCAACAUGGCAUCACGUGCACGUCGCACAUUGUAGGCAGGGUCUGCAGCGCAGUGCUCAUCGUCUCCUCAAACUGGCCUAGUUGUUCUUGCUGACGCUGGCGGGAACCGUGUCUUGGUUGUGGCUGUUGUUGCCGUUGCUCUUGUUGCUUCACGAUGAUGAUGGUGUGCACUAGAGCACAUAUGGCUUGGCAUAGGGAUGGCAUAGGGAUCUGGUUGAGUUGUUGGCAGCAUUGCUGCCGUCUCAGUUGGCAGUUGAUUUGUGGCAACAUCUGUGAUUCAAGGAAUGGUGGUGUUGCCACAGGGGUGCACAACUGUUGUAUGAACACUUUGCACAUGUCCAACUGUUGAUGACGUAAUGGAUGGAAUGUUUCUUGCGGCUGUUUCAGAAACGAUUCUUGUGGCUGCUUCGACACUAGUUGUGGUUGCUGUGGACCUGGCUGUGGAAAUGGGUUGUUGGCCAAUGCCGAUGCGGCAGCCAGUCUCCAACUGCGCAACAACAUUGAUCACCGGUACACCAAGGAAGACGAGGAUGAGCAAUGUCGUCAUGGUGGACCGGCGUGUGGCUAGCUUUUGUUCGACUUUGAUGUAAGUGUGAAGGACGAUGGAGGAGGAUGUCGACGGUGAAGGCCUAUUUAGCAAAGAUGGUUCUGUCUCCUGGCUCGCUUCUCUUCAGAGUGUUUGGAUGCUUCCAAAACCGAUCAUUUUGGUAUUGCUGUCACGUGAAGCACUACAUACAAGCAUAACCCCAUGUGGAUCGCCAAAGUGACUUUCUAAUGCCCAUAUAUAUCAUGUGGAGUGGCCGUAUGCAUCCACCUGAUGCAGAGGCCGGGAAUCACCCCUUUUCAAAAAAAAUAAAUAUAUAUCAUGUGGCCAUUGUAGAAACAGAUAACUGAUAAUCAAAAUGACUCAUCAUGUUCACUUUACACCUCAACACUCGUCAGGAUUACCUCCCACCACCCCAAACUGAAUUUAUAAUCUUGUACAAGUUGAUAUCACGCAUAAAACCAGAUUUGCAAUGUCUUUUGUGGAAUAAUAAUUUUGUAAUCUUGCAUGCCCGAGGGCUUUUUAUUCUUGGAAAUGUUUGCAAGUAAUCUGGUAAGUACCCACAACCGGUUUCUCUCAUCAUGUGUUUCCGGGCGGAGCAAACGAUGGCGUAGUGAUCCUCCUCCUCGUUGUAGGGGACGCGUCGUUCGUGGUGGCGCACAAGAAGGUGAAGUUGUCCCGCCCCGGCCCCGUCGUCAAGCGCCUUGCCGUCACCCUCGACCUCUACAACCAGGGCUCCGCCUGAGUCAACUAGAUCUCGCUUCUUAGCUCACCUAUCUGUAGGAGGACGCCACGAGCAAUCACGGCGAGUUUCACUACAUCUUGGAUAAAUUGCUAUGUCCUGCUCUACUUGUAGUUAGAAGCUUGAGCGAAAUGAAGACUAGGGGUGUUAUUAUUCUAAACAUCAUCGUGUUUUGUGUUAUGUUAUAAUGUUGUGUUCAAGGAGCUUAAAAGCUUAUUUUCACUUCUGAAGGAGGCAUAUUCAUGGCCCGUCCUUCCAUUCGAUAUUCUCGCCGAGAGACCUCCACAGCACAAGUUUGAAUUGGUUAGUUAUCAAGUUAUCAUAUCACUUCAUGAUUCUAAUGUUUGAAUGCAAUAUCUUUGGUGCUCACACUUCACUUCGGUGUAUCCACCUUCGGCACUUGCAACCUUUCGGGCUAAGGUAAUUUCACAACCAUUCACCUGUUUGCAUGGAAGUAGGAAACCAGAAUUAAUCAUCAUCUACCUGGUCGCAAGCCCAUCGAAAUCUGGUGCUGCGAAAGGAGGCAAGAUGAGACGCUGGAACUGUCUAGUUGAUCGCAAUGUACUCUAUCUUUUUUGCAGGAAAAGAAAGAGAGUAAAUCUGACUAAAUCUAGUUGAUCGCAAUGUACUCUAAUGGCUAACGCAACCAGGAUCAUACCUGACUAAAUCUGACCAGAAGAAUAUAUUUUGUAGAACAUAAAUCUUUUGUGUUUUUUGCCUUGCAAUGAUGGACGGUGGCACAAUAUCCUUUCAACAGUGAAUAGUUGCACAAGAUAUGUGACUUGCCGUGGAUAUUUUGUCCAAUUAAGUUUGUUUUUGUGGAGAAUUACUCGAUGAACACAUUUUAUUAAAGGAAAAAUGGCAGAGGAAAAGGAUAGAAUCAGCUUAAUCACUCCCUGUGUAAAUCAAUAAUCAAAUCUAAGGUGGGCCUCAUUAAAAACACAUCUGACAUGUAUUGUUUCGUUAGAAUGUGUAAAUCAACAAUCAAAUCUAACGUGUGCCUCAUUAAAAACAUCUGACAUAUACUGUUUAAUUAGAAUCAGAUGCAAGAUCCAGAAUAGUCAAGAUGGUCACACAACUCAUAAGCAUUGCCAUCAAAGAUAUAAAUUGCAAUUAGUCAACUUACUUUAGUAUAGUAUAUACUUCAACUGAAUCCAAGUUUCGCACUAAUCAGUUAAGUUAUGCUCAUAUUACUUAACUGCAGAAAUAGCUAGGAUAUUCCUCUUCCUCUCUCUCUCUCUCUCUCUCUCUCUCUCUCUCUCUCUCUCUCUCCUCCCUCUAUGGCCACCGCAAUGCCACCAGACAGUGCCAAAGUUUCCUCUUUCCAAGCACUGCCUCCAAAUAAUUGUUCUGAUCGCACGGUGACUUAUAUUGUCUUCUCCGCACCACUCUAAUUAGAAGAUGCCGCUGGUGGGAGGCGCGACAUACAAAUGAGGCCUUAAUAUUUGCAUCCACCGACUCAUAAGUUCCGCCUCCCAUAAUCCGGUUCAACGACAUUUACCAAGGUCUUUUUGAGCAUUUAUUUGUGGUUGGCAUGCUUCUGUAGGAAGGGGAAGAAGGACUGCUCCAUGGUGAUCCUCGAGUGGAAGAAGUCAAUAAGCCGUCUGAUGGUCAACGAAGCCACCAAUGACUCCGUUAUUGCCUUGCGCCCGGACACAAAGCAGAGGCUGCAGUUGUUCCAUGGGGCCACCAUCCUCCUCAUGGUACUACAUGGUCUAAUUGAGCUAAUACUUAUUUAAAUUUAAGCUAUCUUGCUGGAUGGGCUCAAGGAUCCGUGGCUGAUUUUUUUGAAUUUGUAUUAGUUCUAGGAUACAUAUUUGUCAAAAAAAAUCAUAUCUUUAUCAUUGUGAUAGUUCGUAUAAGGUAGAAUAGACUAUUUUGCUGAGUUUUAGUAGUUUGCUGGGUUAUUUGUUCAACAUUUGAGCAAAAAUUCUACGCAAAUUUAUAUCCUACUAUUUGUGUCCCACACUUGUCUUUCAAAGUGUCUACUGGUUAUGUUGAUUUUUCAGCUUUAACUAUGUAAGAGACGAGCGCAAUGUUAAAAUUGUUUAGCUCAAAAUAUCCUUCUAACGAACUUCUACAUAGAAUGAUUUCUCAUCUCUUUGAAUACCAUAGCAGCAAAUGUAAUAUUUGCUUUGUGUUCCUAGAUUGAGAUAAGUCAAUAUCACAGUGCAUGUUUAAAGAAAUAACAACUGAGUUAUUCUACAGGUAAAAGAAAUUUCUACAAUCAAUUAGAACUGAUGCUACUUAAGCUUUGUUUGUCAUCAAUAAAUUAUUUCCCUCUCCGCAAGAAACGAUAUGAAGUGCUUAAUGGCAUGUUUGGCGCUAGCUAUUGUGACUCAAUAUUUGCUCUUGCUCACUGCAUGCUUUAUCUUUUACCAUGUGGCAACUUUAGUUUGAUUUUCACGUCUUUGGAGUCCCCUAUAGAAUUUGUUUGAAGAAUGCUUCGGUGCCAUCAAACUCAAAGUUGCACCAACGCAAAAAUAUCCAGAUUAACAUUUAAAGUGAUGGAUGGUUUCUAAUCAAGCGCUUGUUUUUCUACCGAAAUGGCCCUUUUACUUCUAAAAAUUGAAAUACGUUGAACUAUUAUUGUGUGCACUGUUUAGGAAAUCGCUAACUGAUAGUUGCUCGAUCGGCUUGGGAGCAACAACUAAUAGAUCAAUCGACCUAUUAACAAGAUUAAUAGGUUGACAACCACACUGAAAGGCAACGCGACAGAAAACAAAAAUUUUCUGACCUACGCACCAGCCCAGGACCACUAUGGAGACUGCAUACAUGGUUUGAUCUUUUUCGUUACCGACUCGUAGCGCAGCGGGAAGUAGAGUCGAUGACGAUCGGCGGUGCAGAUCCCCGCAGCUAGGAUUUACAACCUCCCAACCGCGAGGAUGUAUACCCUCAUCUGCUCCUUAGACAGCCCUCCGGGAGGCGGCCGAACAGCCCCCCGGACGGUGUCGCGGACAGCCCUUCGGGAGGACCUUCGAAACUCGAACGGUCACUCGGACAGCCCUUCGGGAGGACCUUCGAAACUCGGACGGUCACACGGACAGCCCUUCGGGAGGCACUCACGAACUAAGACCGAAACUACGAUCUCUCUACAGAGUUGCACACAUACGGUGUCAUCUAUCCGGCAGGGCUUCGCCGUCCAGAACUAGUUCCUGCCGGAACCCAGACAGCCUUACGGCUCUACGAAACUCUUUUCGUGGGAGGGAGAGAAGAAGCCAGAUAAUGCAUGGCAUGUGUAUGAGAGCAAGGGAUGAGUGUGGAGGGCUGCCCCUCCACCUCUAUUUAUAGGAAAUCCCAAGGGGGUAGGGUAGUUUCACAAAAAACCCAAAAUGCACAUGAAUGAAGUCCUUCCACAAGGACCUAGGAGUGAAACCAAGGAACAAGAGGGUCCCCAAGGGGGGAUACCCCAUGUGGCCGGCCACACCCCCAUGAGGGGCCCAAAAAAUGGCUCCUAUCCAUCCAUGUCAUCCCCAAGAUCUUUUGGAGCAAAGCCCCAAAAGGUGGCUUUCCAUAAAGUAACCAUAAAGCUGAUUUUCACUAUUCACGACGACAUUUUUCAGCGUCUGAUCGAACUGAAAAUAUUUAUGUGGGCUAAGAACAUUUCCAGUACCCACUAAAAUGAUUUUCAACGCGUUCCGAAACAAUUCCGGUUUUAGCGAUUUUCAUCUGCGAAACGCAUCUGAAGUGGCUCCGGCAGCUCCGGAACAUUUCCGGUUUUUAUCUCAGAAAAUUCCAAAAAGCUUCCAGAAUGAUUCUGGCAUCCUCCAAGAAUUAUCAGGCAUGUGCCGAAACCAAUUUGACUUAAUGGUGUAUCCCGAAACAACUUUUCGGUAUCAUCAAAACUUAUCCGAUGACCUCUCUCUGCGGUACGAUUCUGCUGUCCGAAACUUUUCGGUGUCCGAAACUUUUUCAAUGAUUUUCUCUCAGACUCCCUGUCUAGUAUUCAGCAGAUAGAUGACCCUUAAGCGUGUGACCCUAUAGGUUCGGUGAAGUAUAGACAUGACCCGGAACCCCUUCCGAUCAAUGAUCAACAUCGGAGCCGUGGACACCCAUAUUGACCCCUAUACCCACACGAAUAAAUAUUCGAGUGAACCUCCAGUUGCCGUGUGCUAUUCCUGUUGCUUCGCGAUAUGUUACAAAUACCCGAGGUGAGGCAUGUUGGCAUUCCCGUGGAUCAACAACUUGUCCACUAUGCUAGUUACCUCGUUACCGGUUUUGUUCUCUUUUCUCGUUUCGUGUUCCGGCAUCCCCGUGAUCAAAUCACAAAGUGUCUGGCCAGACAAUGAUGGACACCGUAACACCGAGAGGGCCCGAGUAUAUCUCUCCAUCGUCGGAGGAGCAAAUCCCAAUCUCGAGCUAUCAAGUCACUUAACAUACUUUCCCAUGAACCCGUAAGCCGCCGUAAUAGCCAUCCAGUUACGGAUGACGUUUAACAAACCCCAAAGUUCAUGAAGCAAGCAUGAAGAAACUCGAUACUCUCAUGGUCUAAGGAAUUAUGCAAACAUUAACUAUCUCUGUGUUAUAAACCAUUAACUUGUGAUGAAUGUACCUCAUAGCAUAACAUCAAUUCGGGUCGAUUCAACACAAAUGUCCUUCCUGACAUUGUGCCCUCAAAAUUGCUUGGCAUAGACAUGCCCAUGAUUGGGAAAACAUAAUCAUCAUGCAACACUUGAGCUAGUCUUAGAGGCACGACUAGGAAUACAUUUUACCGUUUAUUAUUCCACACGUGCAUAUGGGUUCUCCCCAGAGCCUUUAUGGAUAUACGGGCUCGGGAACCACAUCAGUUAUAGCAUGGAACAUAAACAUAAUUAUGAACAGGGAGAUAAUCAAUAACAUUUAUUAUUGCCUCUAGGGCAUAUCUCCUACAGACUCCCACUUGCACUAGAGACAAUAAUCUAGCUUAUGCUAAUGCACUUCACACCUGUGGCACACCGGUGUAAAUAUGCUUCGCUUGUGGUAUAGCCUGAUGUCCAAUGGAUCUGACGACUUCAGUUCCGUGUGUAUCUUUGCAUGUCCUCGCGUUUUCACAAAAUUCAUAUUUUGUGUGGACUUGGCUUUGUAUGUAUGUGAAUCACAGGUCGAACCUGGAUUCCUCAGACUGAGUUAUGGAGCAACUACCUGCAGUAGUGUCCCAUUGUCAAAAGCCAUCUUGGAACUAUACUAAGUUCAUGAAUGAACUAUAUGAUUCAACAUCUUCUUUGUCGCUUCUAAAGCGUCAACAUACUUAGCCCUUGUUAUAGAAUUCGCCACAGUAACUAGUUUGAACAAAUUCCAACUAACUGUGCCACCACAUUGUGUGUUACACAAAACCCUUAAUUUAAAUCGAAAAUCGCAUGGAGAAAAGAUGAAGAUUGUAUCGACGUAACAUUUUACAACGAACUCUUCAUGAUCUCUGCUUGCGAGAGAACCAUGUCAUCAGUACUUACUCUAGUACUCUGUGACAUCUUUCACUGUUGUCCCAUGAUCAGUAAUUUGAUCACUUUAGUAUCCAUACUCGCAACACCUUGGGAGUAUCGGACAUAUCUGGUUGUUUUACAUACCAUGGAAUAGAUGAUUAAUCCAAACACAAAAGUGUGUGGAAUCUGCAUCAUGUAUUUUACUCAUCAGUGUUUUGGGACACCGAGUCUUGCAAAAACUCUUUCCAUGUGACUUUGGCAAGAAUCACUCCUUGGCGUUUUAAAUGCUAAAAGGUUUUAGCAUCUUGUCAAUAUGUAUUCAUUGCUUAGCCCCAUUAGGUAAAUCUAUCUCCAUAGAUCAUCAUGCCUAAUAUUGAGGCUAUUUAGCCUAAGCACUUCAUCGAAAAACUAUUUUCAAAUGAAGUCCUAAUUUGUGUCAAGAAAUUUAUUUCCAAUUACCAAUGUGCCAAGCACAUAAGGUUUUUAGAAAUAUUAUUACGCUCCCACUUACUUUCUUGAAUUACAAGCAUCUUCGUUACCCAUUGAUGAAGUCAAACCCCUUUGACCAUUUCAUCAAAGCACGAAGAUUCCAACUCCAUUUUGCUCUCUUCUGUCCAUUGAUGGAACUCUGAAGUUUGCAUACCUACUAGCAUCCUCUGGAUCGACAAAUUACUUUGGACUGUAUCAUAUACAAGUCCUAGCUUUCAUUUCCAUCAGAUGGAAAUCCUUUUAUCAUCCAUGUUUCAUAUCUCAUGAUUGAAAUAUGUAUUAAUUGCUAGUUCAACCCGAACCGACUUUAAGCAUCGCUACGAUGAAAACAACCUCAUCGUAUUAUUUCAACAAGUCGAGCUUUAUGGAUAAAACAUUUUAUCCGUAUCAGUUUUAAGUUCCAUAAAUAUUCGUUAGACUCUAAGUCUUCCGAAAGGUGUAUCAAGGUUUUAAUCUUGAAUCACUUAUAUGGAAACUAACUCGGGUUGUAUUGGCAUUUAGCCAAUUCCGGAGUCAGGGCCCGUCAACGCUUCCUUGUGUAUCGUAGGUAUAAUGUUGUCUAACAACAAUAUCUCGUUUGCGCACCUGAGAGGUUUGCACGAGCCUUGCCUACGUGGUUCAGCUGCAAGUUCGACCGAAGUUCAUACAUUUUAUUGUAGAGACUUCCAUAUCAGUCGCAGUAGGAAACUCUGGAAUUACUUCCAAGGUCUCUUUCCUUUGAUCUGAUGAAGAUACUGUUUAUCUCGUCGAGUUGCACUAUUCUCCCACUCACCUUUUAGAAAGAACCAUUCUCUUUAAAAGCAUACCGUUCUUUGUGGCAAACCUAUUUGCCUCGGUAUAGUGAGGGAGGAAUACCCAACAUUUUGGUAUAACCUACAAAGUAGCACUUGUCUGAUUUGGAAUAGGUUUGUAACCUUUUACACAAGCCCCAUAUUCCAAAUGUUAAGAAAAGAUAUAACAUGGUUGGGCGUACCAUACCAUGGCUUCAUUUCAACAGACCCGAUGUAGCUCUUUUCAGUGUAAAAGCCGCAGUCUCUAAAGCAUCACUUUAAAAGGGAUAAUGGCAAAUUUAUUUAUGUCAUCUUUGACCUUACCAUGUCAUAAAUGGUUUGAUUACAUCUCCACGGACUUUCCACUUGCAGUGGUGUUCCGGGAGGUGCAAGUUUAUGAAACCCCUUUCACAACUCAUCAGACAUUCACUAAACAUGUAACUCAAAUAUUCCUUUGUGCAAUCAAAUUGCAGAAACAUAAUUUUCUUGUUACAAUAACUUCUACUUCAUUUUGAGAACCUUUCGAAUGAUUUCAAAAGAUCCAGACUUACGUCUCAUCAAGUAAAUAUCCAUAUAUCUACUUGAGUCAUUUCUGAAGAUAAAUAAAUCCACCACUAACAACACUUAUCGGACUACACACAUCAAAUGUAUGAUCACUAAUAAGUUUGUUGUUCGUUCCUUAUGGCCUGUGAACGGUAUUUUAGUCACUUCACUUUUCGGAGGAAAGUUGCAAGUGUCAGAUGAUUCAAAAUCAAAAAGACUUCAAAAUCCAUCAUAAUGGAAUUUUCCAUGCGGGUUUCUCCAAUGUGACCAAAUGUAGUGCCACACUUGUGUGGUAUUCUUUUAGUCUUGCGACAUUUAGUGUCAGUGUUAUGGAUGUAUCAUAUUACCCUCAAUAUUCAUAACAUACGUCCCAUCGAUGAUGGAAGUAUGGCCCUUAUGUUAUUCAUAAUACUUAACAACAAUUGUUGUUUUUAUGAACAACUCUUUUGCAACAAACAUUGUGUAAUGGGCUAGAGUGUAUGAAACUCUAAAAUGAAUUAUGUAAGUAAACCCAGAGGUAUUGUAUUAUUAUCAAUAUUCAUAACAUACAUCUCAUUCAUAAUGAAAGUAUGGCCCUUGUGUUAUUCAUAACAUCGAACAUAAAAAGUUCUCUUAUGAACAACCUUCUUGCAAGAUGCCUUAUGCAAUGGGAUAGAGUUUGUAAAACUCUAAAUGAAUUAUGAAAAUAAAUACAGACGGCAAUACACCGAUGGAAGGUAUAGUAACAUUUACUAUGUUCCCUGUGUAUACCUUAACCUCAUUUCUAGCAAGUCUUUCAGGCCAUAGUAGUUCUUACAUCGAGUUGCAACAGAAUGCAAUCGAGCGGGCAUUUUUGUGAUGAACUCACAAUACCCAAGAAUUAGUGAUUAACAUGUUUAACCAUAAUUCGCAAGAACUAUAUCUUUGACCAGCCUUCUAUACAUCAAAAACUUGUAUGGCAUUCAUACAUGAGCUGGAUAUUCCAGUCUUCUUUCCUUUUGCCUUUAUACUUCUAGCAGUUUAACUUUUAGUAUUUCUCCUACUCUCAGAAGAAGCACCCAACUUAAGAGUGGCAUUAGCCCUGGACUUCCUAGGCGUGUAAGUCAUACUAACACCCUUUGGACACUUCCUUUCUCUUUAAGUUGUUGUUUUAUUCACCUUUCAUUAUAUGACAGGCGUUCUUCUGGAUCCCUUUCCCAACAGUCAAAUGCAUAGUAAACACUUUUACUAAUAUUUGCAAACAAACAUUGCUUUGUUUGUAUCUGAAAAUAAUUUCCAGUUCCAUGAAUAUCAUAUAACUAUCCCAACUUUCGAAGUUUGGGUUUCAUGGAAGCAAACAUAUUCCACUUGACCGUAACAGAAUUCUAGCUUUUGGAUCAAAGGACGAGAGUCACAUGAUCCAUAGCAUUAGCGGGAGGAUACGGAAAGCAUGCGAUAGGACAAAGUACUUCUCGGCACUUUUGAGGACAAUCCUCAUAUUACGUUACCAAUCGUAAAGUUUUAACCAGAUAUUUAACAGCUAUUCAAUUUUAACAGGGAAGGUGGAAACGCGAGCCAUUAUUCUACAACUAUUUUGCAUAUAACACUUAGACAAUGUUCAUAAUUAAUUGCACUAAGAAUUAAACAUGUUAAUUCAACAGUGUGCUCCCACUCAAUUCAAUAUCUCUCAAAAUUGAUUGUGAGUGAUACAAGACCCACAUUUCAAUUGUUCGCCAUUGGUGUAACACCAUUCAUGACGAAAAAUUACAACCGGUAGGCCAACUUGCCAAUCACAUCUCUAUGUGACUCUUGUUCAUCUUUUGAUGCGUGUGUUCUGAGCUCAUGACGGUCAUGCCUGAACGUCAAGACAACCAAGUGAUCUCGCUGCAAGGUCUCAACUCACCCGCCUCACACUUCUCUAGUCGUUCGUACCCGUGUGACACGGCGCACCCCGAAAAGAUAGGUGCCGUGACGGUGCUACACUUGGGAGAACACUAACUACUUGGUAUUUUAAGUGAGAGAUCACCCUAAUAAAAGCGACUACCGCGCAAUCUAGAAGGGUGCAUCAUAAGGGAUAAACAUCUCAGGCAAUUCAUAAUAGCAUGAUAUGGUAUAGCCCUUUCUGACGGAGAAGUCUUUCAUUUCUUCGUCUUCGGCAUUCGCGUCGGUGUUCACCUUCGCGAAGAUUGCCACCACCUUGUCGAUGCACCAGAUAAUAUUGCUAUCUCUAUAGCUAACAAAAUAAUGCAUUACAACAAGGUGGACACGUAGGUCAUUAAAGUGCAAUCAUAUGGCUCCAACCAUCAUGCCGAAUCAUGACACGCAGGUCAUGUUAAUCAAAUUACAUCAUAUAGUCAUCUCAUACAUAAUCGAAUUAGUAUGAGCACUGCUAUACCACAUCAUAUGCACAUCCUGCAAAACCAAGUUAGACGCCUCUAAUCGGUUUAUGCAAAAUUUAUUUUACGUGGCUUCUAAGGUUUUGACUUAAACCGCAGCGACCAACGUUUUAUCAUCAAGUAUGAUUAUUCAAGUUGCUAGAUUAACAUCUCGGGGUGUAUGAAACACGGGAUAAUUAAAUCUCGAGCCCCAUACUAAACUUCGUCAUACGCAUGACCCCCGUGCAGAUCAUAUCUGCAAUGCCCUUUCAUCUGCGAAUUUCAUCUUUCUUUUGACUACGGCAGAACCCAAAGAACUGAUAGCACUUCCAUGAUCAAUCAGGAUCACGGAUUGCUAGAACUUUGUCAAAUUCCACCAUGAUGUCUCGAGAUUGAGCAAACGCAAAUUCUAGGGAAGCAACAAGAACCUCGGGUAACAGAUUUCAUCUGUCACCCGCAUAAAUAAUUUUCAGCAAUAGAUCUCAUCUACUACCUAAUUAUAUUAUGCAAUACCCAUACAUCUCCAUGUAUUCUAGAUCGAAACCUGCAUCUACGCAUAGCACGGCUCUUGAUGCCACUGAAAGGGAACGCGACAGAAAACAAAAAUUUUCUUACCUACGCACCAGCCCAGGACCACUAUGGAGACUGCAUACAUGGUUUGAUCUUUUUCGUUACCGACUCGUAGCGCAGCGGGAAGUAGAGUCGAUGACGAUCGGCGGUGCAGAUCCCCGCAGCUAGGAUUUACAACCUCCCAACCGCGAGGAUGUAUACCCUCAUCUGCUCCUUAGACAGCCCUCCGGGAGGCGGUCGAACAGCCCCCCGGACGGUGUCGCGGACAGCCCUCGGGAGGACCUUCGAAACUCGAACGGUCACUCGGACAGCCCUUCGGGAGGACCUUCGAAACUCGGACGGUCACACGGACAGCCCUUCGGGAGGCACUCACGAACUAAGACCGAAACUACGAUCUCUCUACAGAGUUGCACACAUACGGUGUCAUCUAUCCGGCAGGGCUUCGCCGUCCAGAACUAGUGUCUGCCGGAACCCAGACAGCCUUACGGCUCUACGAAACUCUUUUCGUGGGAGGGAGAGAAGAAGCCAGAUAAUGCAUGGCAUGUGUAUGAGAGCAAGGGAUGAGUGUGGAGGGCUGCCCCUCCACCUCUAUUUAUAGGAAAUCCCAAGGGGGUAGGGUAGUUUCACAAAAAACCCAAAAUGCACAUGAAUGAAGUCCUUCCACAAGGACCUAGGAGUGAAACCAAGGAACAAGAGGGUCCCCAAGGGGGGAUACCCCAUGUGGCCGGCCACACCCCCAUGAGGGGCCCAAAAAAUGGCUCCUAUCCAUCCAUGUCAUCCCCAAGAUCUUUUGGAGCAAAGCCCCAAAAGGUGGCUUUCCAUAAAGUAACCAUAAAGCUGAUUUUCACUAUUCACGACGACAUUUUUCAGCGUCUGAUCGAACUGAAAAUAUUUAUGUGGGCUAAGAACAUUUCCAGUACCCACUAAAAUGAUUUUCAACGCGUUCCGAAACAAUUCCGGUUUUGUUCUCUUUUCUCGUUUCGUGUUCCGGCAUCCCCGUGAUCAAAUCACAAAGUGUCUGGCCAGACGAUGAUGGACACCGUAACACCGAGAGGGCCCAGAGAUAUCUCUCCAUCGUCGGAGGAGCAAAUCCCAAUCUUGAGCUAUCAAGUUACUUGACACACUUUUCCAUGAACCCGUAAGCCGCCGUAAUAGCCACCCAAUUACGGAUGACGUUUAACAAACCCCAAAGUUCAUGAAGCAAGCAUGAAGAAACUCGAUACUCUCAUGGUCUAAGGAAUCAUGCAAACGUUAACCAUCUCUGUGUUAUGUACCAAUAAACUUGUGACGAAUGAAUCUCAUAGCAUAACAUCAUGCCGGGUCGAUUCAACACAAAUGUUCUCUUAACAUUAUGCCCUCAAGGUUGCUGACAUAGACAUGCCCAUGAUCAGGAAAACAUAACCAUCAUGCAACACUUGAGCUAGUCUUAGAGGCCAGACUAGGAAUACAUUUUACCGUUUAUUAUUCCACACGUGCAUAUGAGUCUUCCUCCGAGCCUCGUGGUUAUUGCAGACUCGAGAACCAUAGCAGUUAUAGCAUGGAACAUAAACAUAAUUAUGAACUCGGAGAUAAAUAAUAUCAUUUAUUAUUGCCUCUAGGGCAUAUCUCCUAAAUGGUUUGAUUACAUCUCCACGGACUUUCCACUUGCAGUGGUGUUCCGGGAGGUGCAAGUUAUGAAACCCCUUUCACAACUCAUCAGACAUUCGCUAAACAUGUAACUCAAAUAUUCCUUUGUGCAAUCAAAUUGCAGAAACAUAAUUUUCUUGUUACAAUAACUUCUACUUCAUUUUUGAGAACCUUUCGAAUGAUUUCAAAAGAUCCAGACUUACGUCUCAUCAAGUAAAUAUCCAUAUAUCUACUUGAGUCAUUUAUGAAGAUAAAUAAAUCCACCACUAACAACACUUAUCGGACUACACACAUCAAAUGUAUGAUCACUAAUAAGUUUGUUGUUCGUUCCUUAUGGCCUGUGAACGGUAUUUUAGUCACUUCACUUUUCGGAGGAAAGUUGCAAGUGUCAGAUGAUUCAAAAUCAAAAAGACUUCAAAAUCCAUCAUAAUGGAAUUUUCAAUGCGGGUUUCUCCAAUGUGACCAAAUGUAGUGCCACACUUGUGUGGUAUUCUUUUAGUCUUGCGACAUUUAGCGUCAGUGUUAUGGAUGUAUCAUAUUACCCUCAAUAUUCAUAACAUACGUCCCAUCUUGGAUGGAAGCAUGGCCCUUCAUGUUAUUCAUAAUACUUAACAACAAUUGUUGUUUUUAUGAACAACUCUUUUGCAACAAACAUUGUGCAAUGGGCUAGAGUGUAUGAAACUCUAAAAUGAAUUAUGAAAGUAAACCCAGAGGUAUUGUAUUAUUAUCAAUAUUCAUAACAUACAUCUCAUUCAUAAUGAAAGUAUGGCCCUUGUGUUAUUCAUAACAUCGAACAUAAAAGGUUCUCUUAUGAACAACCUUCUUGCAAGAUACCUUAUGCAAUGGGCGAGAGUUUGUAAAACUCUAAAUGAAUUAUGAAAAUAAAUACAGACGGCAAUACACCGAUGGAAGGUAUAGUAAUAUUUACUAUGUUCCCUGUGUAUACCUUAACCUCAUUUCUGGCUAGUCUUUUUAGGCCAUAGUAGCUCUUACAGUGAUUCGCAAUUGAAUGCAAUCGAGCGGGUAUCUUUGUGAUUAACUCACAAUACCCAAGAAUUAGUGAUCAUGUUUAACCAUAAUUCCCAAGAACUAUAUCUUUGACCAGCCUACUAUACAUCAAAAACUUGUAUGACAUUCAUACAUGAGCUGGAUAUUCCAGUCAUCUUUCUUUCUGCCUUUAUACUUCUAACAGUUUAACUUUUAGUAUUUCUCCUACUCGCAAAAGAAGCACCCAACUUAAGAGUGGCGUUAGCCCCAGACUUCCUAGGCGUGUAAGUCAUACUAACACCCUUUGGACACUUCUUUUCUCUUUAAGUUGUUGUUUUAUUCACCUUUCAUUAUAUGACAGGCGUUCUUCUGGAUCCCUUUCCCAACAGUCAAAUGCAUAGUAAACACUUUUACUAAUACUUGCAAACAAACAUUGCUUUGUUUGUAUCUGAAAAUAAUUUCCAGUUCCAUGAAUAUCAUAUAACUAUCCCAACUUUUGAAGUUUGGGUUUCAUGGAAGCAAACAUAUUGCACUUGACUGAAACGGAAUUAUAGCUUUUGGAUCGAAGGACGAGAGUCACAUGAUCCAUAGCAUUAGCGGGAGGAUACGGAAAGCAUGCGAUAGGACAAAGUCCUUCUCGGCACUUUUGAGGACAAUCCUCAUAUUACGUUACCAAUCGUAAAGUUUUAACCAGAUAUUUAACAGCUAUUCAAUUUUAAUAGGGAAGGUGGAAACUUGAGCCAUUAUUCUACAACUAUCUUGCAAGAAACACUUAGACAGUGUUCAUAAUUAAUUGCACUGAGAAUUAAACAUGUUAAUUCAACAGUGCGCUCCCACUCAAAUCAAUAUCUCUCAAAAUUGAUUGUGAGUGAUACAAGACCCACAUUUCAAUUGUUCGCCAUUGGUGUAACACCACUGAUGAUGAAAAAUCUCAACCGGUAGGCCAACUUGCCAAUCACAUCUCUAUGUGACUCUUGUUCAUCUUUCGAUGCGUGUGUUCCGAGCUCAUGACGGUCAUGCCUGAACGUCAAGACAACCAAGUGAUCUUGCUGCGAGGUCUCAACUCACCCGCCUCACACUUCUCUAAUCGUUCGUACCCGUGUGACACGGCGCACCCCGAAAAGAUAGGUGCCGUGACGGUGCUACACUUGGGAGAACACUAACUACUUGGUAUUUUUGUGAGAGAUCACCCUAAUAAAAAGCGACUACCGCGCAAUCAAGAAGGGUGCAACAUAAGGGAUAAACAUCUCAGGCAAUUCAUAAUAGCAUGAUAUGGUAUAGCCCUUUCUGACGGAGAAGUAUUUCAUUUCUUCGUCUUCGGCAUUCGUGUUGGGGAACGCGACAGAAAACAAAAAUUUUCCGACCUACGCACCAGCCCAGGACCACUAUGGAGACUGCAUACAUGGUUUGAUCUUUUUCGUUACCGACUCGUAGCGCAGCGGGAAGUAGAGUCGAUGAUGAUCGGCGGUGCAGAUCCCCGCAGCUAGGAUUUACAACCUCCCAACCGCGAGGAUGUAUACCCUCAUCUGCUCCUCAGACAGCCCUCCGGGAGGCAGUCGAACAGCCCCCCGGACGGUGUCGCAGACAGCCCUUCGGGAGGACCUUCGAAACUCGAACGGUCACUCGGACAGCCCUCCGGGAGGACCUUCGAAACUCGGACGGUCACACGGACAGCCCUUCGGGAGGCACUCACGAACUAAGACCGAAACUACGAUCUCUCUACAGAGUUGCACACAUACGGUGUCAUCUAUCCGGCAGGGCUUCGCCAUCCAGAACUAGUUCCUGCCGGAACCCAGACAGCCUUACGGCUCUACGAAACUCUUUUCGUGGGAGGGAGAGAAGAAGCCAGAUAAUGCAUGGCAUGUGUAUGAGAGCAAGGGAUGAGUGUGGAGGGCUGCCCCUCCACCUCUAUUUAUAGGAAAUCCCAAGGGGGUAGGGUAGUUUCACAAAAAACCCAAAAUGCACAUGAAUGAAGUCCUUCCACAAGGACCUAGGAGUGAAACCAAGGAACAAGAGGGUCCCCAAGGGGGGAUACCCCAUGUGGCCGGCCACACCCCCAUGAGGGGCCCAAAAAAUGGCUCCUAUCCAUCCAUGUCAUCCCCAAGAUCUUUUGAAGCAAAGCCCCAAAAGGUGGCUUUCCAUAAAGUAACCAUAAAGCUGAUUUUCACUAUUCACGACGACAUUUUUCAGCGUCUGAUCGAACUGAAAAUAUUUAUGUGGGCUAAGAACAUUUCCAGUACCCACUAAAAUGAUUUUCAACGCGUUCCGAAACAAUUCCGGUUUUAGUGAUUUUCAUCUGCGAAACGCAUCUGAAGUGGCUCCGGCAGCUCCGGAACAUUUCCGGUUUUUAUCUCAGAAAAUUCCAAAAAGCUUCCAGAAUGAUUCUGGCAUCCUCCAAGAAUUAUCAGGCAUGUGCCGAAACCAAUUUGACUUAAUGGUGUAUCCUGAAACAACUUUUCGGUAUCAUCGAAACUUAUCCGAUGACCUCUCUCUGCGGUACGAUUCCGCUGUCCGAAACUUUUCGGUGUCCGAAACUUUUUCGGUGAUUUUCUCUCAGACUCCCUGUCUAGUAUUCAGCAGAUAGAUGACCCUUAAGCGUGUGACCCUAUAGGUUCGGUGAAGUAUAGACAUGAACCGGAACCCCUUCCGAUCAAUGAUCAACAUCGGAGCCGUGGACACCCAUAUUGACCCCUAUACCCACACGAAUAAAUAUUUGAGUGAACCUCCAGUUGCCGUGUGCUAUUCCUGUUGCUUCGCGAUAUGUUACAAAUACCCGAGGUGAGGCAUGUUGGCAUUCCCGUGGAUCAACAACUUGUCCACUAUGCUAGUUACCUCGUUACCGGUUUUGUUCUCUUUUCUCGUUUCGUGUUCCGGCAUCCCCGUGAUCAAAUCACAAAGUGUCUGGCCAGACAAUGAUGAACACCGUAACACCGAGAGGGCCCGAGUAUAUCUCUCCAUCGUCGGAGGAGCAAAUCCUAAUCUCGAGCUAUCAAGUCACUUAACAUACUUUCCCAUGAACCCGUAAGCCGCCGUAAUAGCCAUCCAGUUACGGAUGACGUUUAACAAACCCCAAAGUUCAUGAGGCAAGCAUGAAGAAACUCGAUACUCUCAUGGUCUAAGGAAUUAUGCAAACAUUAACUAUCUCUGUGUAAUAAACCAUUAACUUGUGAUGAAUGUAUCUCAUAACAUAACAUCAAUUCGGGUCGAUUCAACAAAAAUGUCCUUCCUGACAUUGUGCCCUCAAAAUUGCUUGGCGUAGACAUGCCCAUGAUUGGGAAAACAUAAUCAUCAUGCAACACUUGAGCUAGUCUUAGAGGCACGACUAGGAAUACAUUUUACCGUUUAUUAUUCCACACGUGCAUAUGGGUUCUCCCCAGAGCCUUUAUGGAUAUACGGGCUCGGGAACCACAUCAGUUAUAGCAUGGAACAUAAACAUAAUUAUGAACAGGGAGAUAAUCAAUAACAUUUAUUAUUGCCUCUAGGGCAUAUCUCCUACACACACGAGCAACUAGCUCAUGACGUGCAAGGCUAGAAUUACGAUUAGGGCCAGACAUCUAAAUACGCAGCGAGUGGAACAAUGACAACCAAUGCUAGCAAACAAGAACUUUGUUUGUCUUUUAUUCCCAAUCUUGAACUAGCACUUGGUCGGGGUCACACAUGAUGGUGCACGCCACUUUAUUUGUCAUCGUUACAUCGAUUGGUGCAUAAGCUAAGCAACGUUGACCUAUCUACCUUUUAGUAUAGCUCUUGCUUUUUUUUCAUUGGCCACCAAUGCCGGCGACUAUGCUGGCAAAUGGUGCCCUGAUGGUGGAGCAGUAAGGUGGGACAUACACGUUGCACAUGGUUGCAAGAGUUUGCAACACCAAUGACCUAAUCACCUCCAAUUGAGCUGGUUGUUGAGGUUGGAUGAUGCCCUGACCUUGGACGAGAGUACCUUGACCUACCUGUUGCUGUUGAGACAGUGGCACCAGGAUUUGCACACCCUGUCGUUGUUCUUGUUGUUCUUGCUGCAUGAUGAUGGAAUGCACGAUGCUAUGGAUGGCUGCACACUGGAGUUGCUGAGGAAUUUGUGCUAGUUGUUGGCAACAUUGUUGCCGCAUCACCUGGCAAUCGCUUCGUGGCAAGAUCAUUGACCAGAGGGAUGACACCAAGGACACAGGUUUGCAUUGUUGCAAGAGGAAAUUCUUGCAUGGGUUCAACUGUUGUUGUAGAGAUUGUUGAAUCAACGAUGGUUGUUGUUGGGGGAAUGAUUGUUGUGGUUGUUGGGGCUGCGGGAAUUGUUGUUGGGGCUGGGGAAAAGGUUGUUGUGGUUGCUGGGACUGGGGAAAUGGUUGUUGGGGUUGUUGAGUCUGGGGGAAUGGUUGUUGUGGUCGCUGGGGAUAUGUUUGUUGUGGUUGUUGGGGGAAUGGUUGUUGGGGCUGGAUAAAUUGUUGUUGUGGUUGCUGAGGCUGGGAAAAUUGUUGUUGUGGUUGAUGGGGGAAUGUUUGUUGGGGUUGGGGAAAUGUUUGUUGCGGUUGCUGGGAGAAUGGUUGGUGAGGCUGCGGGAAUGGUUGUUGUUGUGGCCAUGGUACUUGGCCGCUAGGGUCGACCUGCAUAUUGGCGGUGGCGAUGGUUAUUGCCAUCACGAGGAUUGUUUGGAUGAGUAAGGUCUUCAUGGUGGAUUUGCGUUAACUACUACCUACUUGGAUUUGAUGCUUGUGCUCUAGUUGUGUGAAGGAUGGAUGAUGGUAUGGAGUCUACAUAUUGUAGGCCUUUUUAUAGCUACCAUGGUUAGGUUUCUUUUCAUUAUUGCUUUCCUUUUUUAAAGUGAUUCGAUGCUUAUCGAACUAAUUUUUUUGGCGUGUUGUGUUUGGUGGCACUGCAUACAAGCGUAAUUUCGGAGUGAUCAACAAAGUUGCCUUUUUACCGCUCAUAUUAUCUAAGAGUGAGGAAAACUUGAUAAUUGGCACUGACUCAUCUUAUUCACUUUACAUGUCAAACAAUUAUCUGGAUUGCGUUCCUUUUGGAUCUAAGUUUGUCAUGUUAUACAAGUUGUUAGGCAUAAACCAAAUCUUCAUAGCUUGUGGGGGACUAAAUUUGUGUCCUUGUGCAUGUUGUUAAGAUAGAUCAGGCUAGUAUUGUCAUGUUCGUUCUGAACUCUUAUUCCUUUUUAAACUAACUCGUAGUGUUGUAUAGUAUGAUGGUAAGAUGAACAAGCUGAUAGUAAUGUUGUACACAUUAUUAAGAGAUGAGUCAUCAACUUCUCUUUUUAUGUCAACGGUAGUAAUGUUGUACACGUUAUCAAUACAUGACUCAUCAUAUUCCCUUUUUACGUCAUGUGUUGUAAUUUUGUGGAAGUUAUUACUAAAUAUUGGAUUAGUACUUGCUUUACACGUCUUAAUUGAUUCACUCUAAGUACAUUUCAAGGUUUGUUUUCUUGCUUCAAUAGGUUAACUUAUUGAACUAAGUUUGUAUGUAUUAUUCGUAACAUUUGAUGCAUUUAGUCGAAGUUGUUCAUGACAAUUGUUGUUACUAAGAUUUCCGAGAAUGAUUUCGGGCAUUUACAAAAUAAAUAGUGGCAUAUUUGUACGGAUAUUGUCUUUGGAGGCCGAGCUCCAUGGAGAUCGGUUUUGAAAAUUUUGAAUUUUGUCUACUUGCACAAAUUUUUUCAGAUUUUUUUGUAACCGAAAAGUUCGAAUUUUGAUUUGUUUUAAAAAAAAAGGCCUCCAUGGCUCCCGGGAGCCACACGUCCACUCUCCAUAUUUGUAUCCUUAGAUAGCUAAAAGCAUGUAUUAUUACACCACCUACUAACAUACCUUUAAUCUACACAGACUUGUCAAGAAGUCCUUUAUUGGCGUGUUUAUCUACCUGACCGGAAGCCCAUCAAGUUCUAGUGUCGUAAAAGGAAGCAAAGAAUAGGUGGUAAAAUUGCUCAACAAGUCAAUCUUCUUGUUUGUUUAAUUACCUAGAACUGACGGUUGACUCCUGAGAUCUUGUGGGCAUAUGUUUUCGAAAUAAAAAAUCCACUCAAGUUUUAAUAUGUUUGACAUGAUUCACAUUUUUAUCUGAGGGUGGGGGUGAAAUAUGAACCUACAUGUUGCCGGGUCUUGGUGUGUCUUCAGCCAUUUUUCUUGCCAGUCCUCCUUGGACAGGUCUUGCCACGGGAGCUCGCGGUAGCAGCAUGUAGCUCCUAGCGCCAACAUUGUGUUGCCCUUCCUGCUGGAUUCUGCGCCAGCACAGAAUCCAAUGCAUUCUUUUUAAUUCACCUGCAAAUAAUUCUUUGGAAAUAUGGGUCGCUGGCAUCUCUCGUCUCCUUUGUUGCCGUGUUUAUCUACCUAGUCACAAGCCCAUCGAAAUCUAGUGCUGCAAAAGGAGGCAAGAAGAGACACUGAAACUGUCUAGUCGAUCGCAAUGUACUCCAAUGGCUAACGCAACUAGGAUCGCACCUGGCUAAAUCUGAAAAAAAUAAUAUAUUUGGUAGAACAUAAAUCUUUUGUGUUUUUGCCUUGCAAUAUGAUGGAUAGUGGCACAAUAUCCUUUCAACAGUGAACAGUUGCACAAGAUAUGCAACUUGCCGUGGAUAUUUUGUCCAGUCAAGUUUGUUUUUGUGGAGAAUUACUCGAUGGACACAUUUUAUGAAUGGAAAAAUGGCAGAGGAAAAGGAUAGAAUCAGUUUAUCAAUCCUUGUGUAAAUCAACAAACAAAUCUAACGUGGGCCUGAUUAGAAACAUCUGACAUAUACUAUUUAAUUAGAAUGUGUAAAUCAACAAUCAAAUCUAAUGUGUGCCUCAUUAACAACAUCUGACAUAUACUGUUUAAUUAGAAUCAGAUGCAAGAUCCAGAACAGUCAAGAUGGUCACACAACUCAUAAGCAUUGCCAUCAAAGGUUUAAAUUGCAAUUAGUCAACUUACUUUAGUAUAGUAUAUUCUUCAACCGAAUCCAUGUUUCCAACACACUACUAGGGAAAAGCCUAGCAGUAGCGUGGGUUUUAGGUAUAUCAGUAGCCACUAGUAGAAAAAGGGGCUUUGGUUCAGCCAGAAAAGAGCAUUAAUACCGGUUGCACUACGAACCGGGACUAAUGGUCCCGGUUCGAGCGGCGAGGGCACCGUACAGGCAUUACUCCCGGUUCAAAUGGGACCUUUAGUCCCGGUUGGUGCCACGAACCGGUACUAAAGGGUGCGAUGCCCAUUAGUACCGGUUCGUGGCACGAACCGGUACUAAAGGUCUAACCUUUAGUACCGGUUCGUGGCACGAACCAGUACUAAUGGCGUUGAGACCUUUAGUACCGGUUCGUGCCACGAACCNNNNNNNNNNNNNNNNNNNNNNNNNNNNNNNNNNNNNNNNNNNNNNNNNNNNNNNNNNNNNNNNNNNNNNNNNNNNNNNNNNNNNNNNNNNNNNNNNNNNNNNNNNNNNNNNNNNNNNNNNNNNNNNNNNNNNNNNNNNNNNNNNNNNNNNNNNNNNNNNNNNNNNNNNNNNNNNNNNNNNNNNNNNNNNNNNNNNNNNNNNNNNNNNNNNNNNNNNNNNNNNNNNNNNNNNNNNNNNNNNNNNNNNNNNNNNNNUAUCGCCUUUUCAGUUUUGUAAAAAGCAAAACAAAAUGAUAAAAACUUCAAAAGUUAAUAUCCUUCGAGAUGUAGUUAUGUUACCACAUCUACUAGUUAGGAAAAUUUAAAAACUUAAAUUUGGACAUGUUUUGCAAAAAGUGUAGGGAAAAUGUAAAACGGCUAUAACUUUUGCAUACGAUGUCAGAAAAAACGUAUAAUAUAUCAAAAUGUUCAGCACGAAAAUCCGCAUCCGAUUUUGACGGCCUACGGCCUGUUUGCAAAUUUUUAGAAUCCUCAAAUUCCAAAAGGAAAAAAAGUUAUGCUCAAAUUUCAGUUUUUUUAAAUUUUCGUUAAAUCUGGUCAAACUAUGGUCAAACUACUUAUUCAAGAAUUAUUAGUGUUACUAAAUAAUUAUUCAAGAAUAUUAGUGUUACUAAAUAAUUAUUUCAGUUUUUUUAAAUUUUGGUCAAAUCUGGUCAAACUGUGGUCAAACAAUGGUCAAACUACUUAUUCAAGAAAUAUUAGUGUUACUAAAUAAUUAUUGUUUUUUAGAACAAUAGCUUCAAACUCAAACAGUGAAAUGUGUGACUUCAUGCUCAAGCUAAACUCCUGAGGGUUAAUAGGAUUGACAUCUUACUAUUGUCAGGAAAACAACAAGUGCAGACUUGGAAACGAGGGAGAAUAGAACCCGGAAGUUAAGCGUGCUCAGGCUGGGGGAGUGGGAGGAUGGGUGACCGUUCGGGAAGUUAGAUGAUUUGGAAUGAUGAGGGGUGAUUAGAGAUUAAAUUGAGCAGUGAUGAGGGGUGAUUAGAGAUUAGAGGUUAAAAUAAUUCAGAAAUUUGAAAAUCGGGAAAAUAUUUCAAAAAAAUUAAAAAAAUCCUUUAGUACCGGUUGGUGUUACCAACCGGGACUAAAGGGGGGACCUUUAGUAACGACCCUUUAGUCCCGGUUCCAGAACCGGGACUAAAGGCCCUUUUUCUACUAGUGAGCGCGGGUGAGGGCGAUACUGAUACGGCGCUACAACUAACAGGUAGUAGUAGCGCGGGUGCCACCCGCGCUACUACUAUGUCCGUUAGUAGUAGCGUGGAUACCACCCACGCUACUACUAACUAGUAGUAGCGUGGUUCUGCAUCCUCGCUACUGCUAACUAAUUAGGAGAUAAAAAAAAUAAAUUUCAACCACGGCUGCUGCUACUAGACGUCAUCGUCCUCUGCAUCCAUGGCCGAUGCUGAUCCUGGAGGGGAUGAAGUCAUCCAUGGAGAUGUUGCUUCCCCAUCCAACUCUUCUCCACACCUCUCCUUUGCUGCUGCUACAAAAAAAGGGACAAGGAUUAGAAGAAGAAGAGAGAGAUAGAGAGGAGUAGGUGCAGCAACUCACCAGUUGCCGCCGGAGUUGGAGCCGAACCCCUAGAUGAUGCCAUGGGUUGCGUCCAUCAGAGAUCUGGCCAUCAUCAUGGGCGGCGCUCUGCUGGAUCUUCCUCUCCUUCCAGCAGCGGAGGAGGAGGAGGCAGGAGGGGCAGCGGAGGAGGAGGAGGAGGAAGGAGGGGCUACGGUGGAAGAGGAGGUCGCGGAUAUGAGGGAGACGUCGCGGCGCGAGGCCGACAGUUGCGGUGGAGGAGGAGACGCGCAUGUGCAGGAGCGCCAUGGAGAGAGAGAGGAGGAGGAGGAGAGGGACGGGGGAGAGGAGUGAUUUGGACGAGGAGGUGGGGAUUUCAGGGCUGUUAAAAAACCCAGCACUUAGUAGUAGCGCGNNNNNNNNNNNNNNNNNNNNNNNNNNNNNNNNNNNNNNNNNNNNNNNNNNNNNNNNNNNNNNNNNNNNNNNNNNNNNNNNNNNNNNNNNNNNNNNNNNNNNNNNNNNNNNNNNNNNNNNNNNNNNNNNNNNNNNNNNNNNNNNNNNNNNNNNNNNNNNNNNNNNNNNNNNNNNNNNNNNNNNNNNNNNNNNNNNNNNNNNNNNNNNNNNNNNNNNNNNNNNNNNNNNNNNNNNNNNNNNNNNNNNNNNNNNNNNNNNNNNNNNNNNAGUAGUGAGGGGUAAAAACCCGCGCUACUACUAUCAACUUAGUAGUAGCGUGGGUUUAUAAACCUCGCUACUACUAUGGCAUGUCCCGGGGGGCACGGUAGAGACUGCUUAGUAGUAGCGAGGGUUAAAAACCCGCGCUACUACUAUCAACUUAGUAGUAGCGAGGGAUAAAAACCCGCGCUACUAGUAAGUAGCAGUAGCGAGGGGUAUAGACCCGCGCUACUAGUAAGCGUCUGUGUAUAAGCUUUUCCCUAGUAGUGGUACCUAUUGGUUAAGUUAUGCUCAUAUGACUUCACUACAGAAAUAGCUAGCCUAUUCCUCUUCCUCUCUUGCGCAUUUUUUUCAUCUUGGUUUUCAUCGUCGAUCACCGCUGCUCCUAGUUUUCCCAUUCAGCAUCCCUCCCUCCAUCCCUCUCUCUCUUCAACCCUGCGGCUACCGCAAUGCCAUCGGACAGUGCCAAAUUCUCCUCUUUACAAGCACUGCCUCCUAAUUGUUUCGCUUGCACGGUGACUUAUAUUGUCUUCUCCGCACCAUUCUAAGUAGAAGACACCUCUUGUGGGAGGCACGACAUACCAAUGAGGCCUCGAUAUCUGCAUCCACCGGCUCAUAAGAUUCCGCCUCCCAUAAUCCGGUUCAACGACAUUUACCAAGGUCUUUUUGAGCAUUUAUUUGUGGUUGGCGUGCUUAUGUAGGAUGGGGAAGAAGGACUGGUCCACGGUGAUCCUCGAGUGGAAGAAGUCAAUAAGCCGUAUGUGGUCAACCAAGCCACCAAUGACAAUUACUCCAUUAUCGCCUUGCGCCCGGACACAAUGGAAAGGCUAGAGUUGUUCCAUGGGGCCACCAUCCUCCUGAAGGUACUACAUGGUCUAACCGAGCUAAUACUUCUUUCAAUUUAAGCUAUCUUGUUGGAUUGGCUCGGGGAUCUAUGGCCGAUUUUUUUGAAUUUGUAUUCCAAAAAAAUUCAUAGCUUUAUCAUGGUGACAGUUGGUAUAAGGUAGAAUAGACUGUUUUGCUGAGUUUUAGUAGUUUGCUGGGUUAUUUGUUCAACAUUUGAGCAAACAUUCUACUCAAAUUUAUAUCCUACUAUUUGUUUCACACACUUGUCUUACAAAGUGUCCACUGGUUAUGUUGAUUUUUCAGCUUUAACUAUGUAAGGCACGAGUACAAUGUUGAGAGUGGAUGUCCUGCACGCAGCGGCAGCUGAACGCAUUCGCGUGGUGAUGCGUGCAAGUUGAUUUGAAAAAGGGGUAAAGCGGAGACACAUCGCUGAUACAGACAAAUACACUGCCUCUCGUCCGUCCAUUGGGCUCGGGCCGUCGUACCUUGUGACACGGGAGAGGGACGUGCCACGCACGGCGUGCAGAGUGGGACAUUGUUUUUCUGCUCCACGGGCCCGGGGGUCUGACCGGAGAAGCUCUGUACGGACUGGACCUGUUGGUGAGGACACAGGUUAGUCGCAUGCGCUGCGUCUCGCACGAGCCCCUUUCCGUCUUGGUGGCAAAGAACAAGCUGAGCUGCGAGAACAACACCGGCGAGAUGGUGUUCGGAGUUUGGAUCUGCCCACUGAGAUGGUGUUCUUCUCCCACGGACAAAUCUGCAAGGGGUGGAGAAGCAUCACGGGGGUUAGUCUAGUCGUGGGGGGAGCUGCGGAAAGCGCCGGGGGCCUGAGGUUCGCUGCGCGGCGGAGCCGCUGCCUGAUGCGUCGCCCGGCGAGGGCGUAGCUCGUGACGUACAGUGCCGCAAGCAGGGGAGGGGAUGGCCGCCGCAACGUGUGGCAGCGUUUCGUUUCAUUAAUUGCGGUAGCCGCGUGGUUGGGGGUCGGGUUAUGUUAGACCGUGCGUGUCCUCCUCUCCUCUGACAUGCGGUGCAUGCGCUUUUUGACCGACCGGCCGUUGCCACAUGUGCCCUCCGCACGCGUACGCAGAAAAGUCGUCGGUCGGGGUGUGCCUUCUGACACAUAACAGUACAAUUCCAUGUUUUAUUACAUCUAAUCGGGGAUUAACUAAAACAUUGGUGAUUACAUAAACAUGUAUUGCACCCCGCUGGUCGCACCGAGCUACUAAUGCACAAGGGACUGCUAAAUUCAUUAUUUCUACAAUCAUGCUCUUGUGAGGCACGGCGGCGUCGACGGAACGCGGCAACGCAGAGGUGCUUGUGUGCGUGCAAAACGAUCGGUACUGCCAACGGCUGGUGCAUGGGCCUUAAAUACAUGCAGCUGGGUAAAGUGUUUACGUUAUACAGUGCGCGGUGCAACGGUAGUAUUCCGUCCUCUCGACUGCACAUGCGCAGUGCUUGCAGUAGCUGCGUCAGUCCGGCUGUCACUGCACAGUACAACGAAUACAACAUAUACGAAACAUAACGCUCGUCGGCGGUGCACUAUACUCCAAGUAGCACUUUGGCUGGUCCUAAUCGGGAUGCUGUGCCAGCCGUGGAUGCGCUGCGUGCAGCGAUGGACUUCUCGUACAAUGUUAAGUUUGUUACUUAGGUCAAAAUAUCCUUCUAAGGAACUUCUACACAGAAUGAUUUCUCAUCUGUUUGGAGUCCAUAGCAGCAAAUGUAUUAUUUGCUUUGUGUUCCUAGAUUGAGAUAAGUCAAUAUCACAGUGCAUAUUUAAAGAAAUAACAACCAAGUCAUUCUACAGGUAAAAGAAAUUUCUACAAUCAAUUAGAACUGAUCCUACUUAAGUUUUGUUUGCCAUCUGUAAACUGUUUCCCUCUCUCCAAUAAUCCAUAAGAAGAGUUUAAUGGCAUGUUUGGCGCUAGCUAUUGUGACUCAAUAUUUCCUCUUGCUCGCCGCAUGCUUUAUCUUUUACCAUGUGGAAACUUUAGUUUGAUUUUCACCUCUUUGGAGUUCCCUGUAGAAUUGCUUUGAAGAAUGUGUCGGUGCCAUCAAACUCAAAAUUGCACCAAUGCAAAAAUAUCCAGAUUAACAUUUAAAGUGAUGGAUGGUUUCUAAUCAGGCACUUGUUUUUCUGCUAAAAUGGCCCUUUUACUUCUAGACAUUGAAAUACGUUGAAUUAUUAUCGUGUGCAAUGUUCAGGAAAUCACUAACUGAUAGCUGCUCGGUCGGCUUGGGAGCACCAAUUAAUAGAUCAAUCGGCCUAUAAACUGGAUCAUUAGGUCGACCAUUAAUCGGUAGAUUACAUAGGAACCUGCCGGCACGAGCAACUAGCUAUUGAUGUGUAAGACUAGAAUUGCAGUUAGGGAUGAAAAUCUAAAUACACAGUGAAUGGAACAAUGACAAGCGAUGUUCGCAAACUUGAACUUUCUUUGUCUUUUAUUCCCAAGCUUGAAAUUGCACUGGUCGGGGUCACACAUGAUGGUGCACGCCAGUUUAUUCUAUCAUCGUUACAUCGAUGGGUAAAUCAACUAAGCAACGAUGAUCCAUCUACCUAUUAGUAUGGCUCUUGCAUUUUUCAUUGGCCACCAAUGCCGGCGACUACGCUGGAAAAUGGUGCCUUGAUGAUGGAGCACUCAGGUGGGACAUACACGUUGCACAUGGUUGGAAGAGUUUGCAACACCAAUGACCUGAUCGCCUCCAAUUGAGCUGGUUGUUGGGGUUGGAUGAUGCCCUGGCCCUGGACGAGAGUACCUUGACCCACCUGUUGCUGCUGAUAUAGUGGCAGCAGGAUAUGCAUGCCUUGUUGUUGUUCUUGCUGCAUGAUGAUGGAAUGUAUGACGGUAUGGAUGGCUGCACACUGGAGCUGCUGAGGAAUCUGUGCUAGUUGUUGGCAGCAUUGUUGCCGCAUCACUUGGCAAUCGCUUUGUGGCCAGAUCAUUGACCAGAGGGAUGACACCAGUGACACAGGUUUGCAUUGCUGCAAGAGGAAAUUCUUGCAUGGGUUCACCUGUUGUUGUAGAGAUGGCUGAAUGAACGGUGGUUGUUGUUGGGGGAAUGAUUGUUGCGGUUGUUGGGGCUGCGGGAAUUGUUGUUGGGGCUGAGAAAAUUGUUGUUGUGGUUGCUGGGACUGGGGAAAUAGUUGUUGGGGUUGUUGAGUCUGGGGGAAUGGUUGUUGUGGUUGCUGGGGAUAUGGUUGUUGUGGUUGUUGGGGGAAUGGUUGUUGGGGCUGGAGAAAUUGUUGUUGUGGUUGCUGAGGCUGGGGAAAUUGUUGUUGUGGUUGAUGGGGGAAUGUUUGUUGGGGUUGGGGAAAUGUUUGUUGUGGUUGCUGGGAGAAUGGUUGGUGAGGCUGUGGGACUGGUUGUUGUUGUGGCCAUUGUACUUGGCUGCUAGGGUCGACCUGCAUAUUGGCGGUGCCGAUGGUUAUUGCCAUCGCAAGGAUUGUUAGGAUGAGUAAGGUCUUCAUAGUGGAUUUGCGUUAACUACUACGUACUUGGAUUUGAUGCUUGUGCUCUAGUUGUGUGAAGGAUGGAUGAUGGUACGGAGUCUAAUAUUGCAGGCCUUUUUAUAGCUACCAUGGUUAGGUUUCUUUUCAUUAUUGCUUUCCUUUGCAAAAGUGAUUCGAUGCUUAUCGAACUAAUUAUUUGGUGUGUUGCGUUUGGUGGCACUACAUACAAAUGUAAUUUUGGAGUGAUCAUCAAAGUUGCCUUUUUAUGGUUCAUAUCAUGUAAGAGUGAAGAAAACUUGAUAAUUGGUAGUGACUCAUCUUAUUCACUUUACAUGUCAAACAAUUAUCUGGAUUGCAUUACAAUUAUCUGGUUUGCAUUCCUUUUGGAUCUAAGUUUGUCGUGUUGUACAAGUUGUUAGACAUAAACCAAAUCUUCAUAGCUUGCGGGUAACUAAAUUUGUGUCCUUGUGCAUGUUGUUAAGAUAGAUGAGGCUAGUAUUCUAAUGUUCGUUCUGGACUCUUAUUCUUUUUCAAACUAACUUGUAGUGUUGUAUAGUACGAUGGUAAGAUGAACAAGCUGAAGUAAUGUUAUACACGUUAUCAAUACAUGACUCAUCAAAUUCUCCUUUUAUGUCAAGGGUAGUAAUGUUUACACAUUAUCAAUACAUGACUCAUCAUAUUCCCUCUUUACGUCAAGUGUUGUAAGUAUAUGCAAGUCAUUAAGAAAUAUUGAGUUAGUACUAGCUUUACACGUCUUAAUUGAUUCACUCUAAGUACAUUUGAAGGUUUGUAUGUAUUAUUCGUAACAUUUUUUGCAUUUAGUCCAAGCUGUUCAUGACAACUGUUGUUACUAAGAUUUCUGAGAAUGAUUUCGAGCAUUUACAAAGUAAAUAGUGUCAUAUUUGUUUCCUUAGAUAGCUAAAAGCAUGUAUUUAUUACACCAUCUACUAACAUACCUUUAAUCUGCAUAGACUUGUCAAGAAGUCCAUUAUUGGCGUGUUUAUCUAGUACCUCCUUUCCGGUUUAUAAGGCUUGUAUGUAUCCCUAGAUCUAUAAUUUGACCAACAUAAUAUGAGCUGCAUAGUCUAAAAUUAUACCAUUAAAAAGUAUAUGAUUUGAAGUUCCUAAUUAUAUAUUUUUCGUGAUAUAUAACUUGUAUUAAGUUGGUCUAUUUGUCAACCUAGAGAUACGCGCAAGCCAUAUAAAUCGGAAAGGAGGUGACCGGAAGCCCGUCAAGUUCUAGUGUCAUAAAGGAAGCUAGAAGAGGUCGUAAAGUUGCUCAACAAGUCAAUCUUCUUGUUUGUUUAAUUACCUAGAACCAACGGUUGACUCCUGAGCUCUUGUGAGCAUAUUUCUCCGAAAUAAAAAAUGCACUCAAGUUUUAAUAUGUUUCAAAUGAUUGACGGUUUUAUCCAAGGGUGGGGGUGAAAUAUGAAUCUACAUGUUGCCGGGUCUUGGUGUGUCUUCAGCCAUUUCUCUUGCCUAUCCUCCUUGGGUAGGUCUUGCCCACGGGAGCAGCACGUAGCUGCUAGCGUCAGCAUGGUGUGGCCCUGGCUGCUGGAUUCCGUGCUAACAGAGAAUUCAGUGCAUAUAUGGAAUUAACCCGCACAAAAUUCUUGGGAAAUAUGGGCCGCUGGCAUCUCUCGUCUCCUUUGUUGCCGUGUUUAUCUACCUGGUUGCAAAUCUAGUGCUGCAAAAGUAGGCAAGAAGAGACGCUGAAACUGUCUAGUCGAUCGCAAUGUACUCUAAUGGCUUACGCAACCAGGAUCAUACCUGGCUAAAUCUGAACAAAAGAAUGUAUUUGAUAAAACAUAAAUCUUUUGUGUUCUUUCCUUGCAAAGAUGGAUAGUGGCACAAUAAGCUUUCAGCAGCGAACAGUUGCACAAGAUAUGCGACUUGCCAUGGAUAUUUUGUCCAGUUAAGUUUGUUUUUGUGGAGAAUUACUCCAUGGACACAUUUUAUGAAAGGAAAAAUGGCAGACGAAAAGGAUAGAAUCAGCUUAUCACCCGCUCUAUAAAUUAACAAUCAAAUCUAACGUGGACAUCAUUAAAAACAUCUGACAUAUAUUGUUUAAUUAGUAUCAGAUUGAAGAUCCAGAACAGUCAAGAUUGUCAUACAACUCAUAUGCAUUGCCAUCAAAGAUUUAAAUUGCAAUUAGGCUUUACAACUUACUUUAGUAUAGUAUACUUCAACUGAUUCCAAUUUUUACACUGAUCAAUUAAGUUAUGCUCAUAUUACUUCAUGACAGAGAUAGCUAAUCUACCCCCCCCCCCAACCUGCUCGUGUUGUUUUCAUCUUGGUUUUUGUCCUCAAUCACCCAAUUUUUUUCCAUCCAUCACCUCUCCUCCCUCCCCAGUCCUCUCUCACUCUCGUCGUCCCUACGGCUACCACAACUCCACCAGAAACUGCCAAAGUCUCCUCUUUACACGCACUGCCACCGAAUUUUCUGCUCCCACGGUGACUAAUACUGUCGUCUCCGCACCGCUCUACCCCUAAUUAAAAGAUGCCUCUGGUGGGAGGCACGACAUACACAUGAGGCCUCUGGCGAGCAACGAUGAGGCCUCGACAUCUGCAUCUACCGACUCAUAAGAUUCCUCCUGCCUACAAUCCGGUUCAAUGGCAUUUGCUAAGGUCUUUUUGAGCAUUUAUUUUUGGUUGGCGUGCUUCUGUAGGAAGGGGAAGAAGGACUGCUCACGGUGAUCCUCGAGUGGAAGAAGUCAAUAAGCCAUCUGGUGGUCAAAGAAGCCACCAAUGAUUACUAGUAGAACGCCCGUGCGUUGCCACGGGCCAACAAAUGGAUCUAUCAUGAGCCCCUCAGCUUUCAGCCCUUCGACCAUUGUGUCAUUACUUCGCUAUGUUGUCACACUACUCCAAAUCCGUGUUCCCUCCAAAUCAAUCAAAUUGUCGAGUCCAUCAUCUCGAACUCAUGGACUAACAAAUGUAUGAAUCAUUUAGCUUAAGCUCUACAUUGCUACCCAGCUCAAAUUCGCAUAUGUUUUCUCCAAGUUUGCCAAAUUGCCAUAGGCAUUCCCAUCAUCCUAAGUUUGAAUGUCUUCCAACAUUUGCCACUCACUCCCUCCUAAAAGUUCUGACAAAUUAAACAUUUUUUUCAUAUAAUUUGCAAUGUUAUACAACAAAAGUCGCAAAUUCCUCUCAUUUUUCUUUUUAAGCAUUGCAUGAGAGCUGAUAGUUCGACUUGUACGAACCCUCCUACCUCAUGAUAAGAACCACCCAUGCAAAGGAAAAUAGCUAGAUCGUAUCAUAUGCAUAUAAUGAUCAGGGUGUAGCACUUGUGUUGUCGAAUUAGUUGUUAUAAAAACAAUUUGUUUCCACUUUACACAAAAAAUCACAUGAAACAAUUUCUUCUCGUUUGAAUUGAUGAUUCAUGCAACAUCUUUGUAUUCUUUUAUUUAAAUGAUUGCAUGCACCAUAAAAAUAGUAGAACUAUGACACCUUCUCGCCAAAAUAAGGAAACAAAGGCAACCUCGGCUUCGGUAUGAUGGUUUUAGUAUAUCCUUGCAUGCGUCAUGAUAAGUCCUGCGUGUUUUAUCAGAUUAUAAAGGAAGCAGUUUGCUGCAUACAUUGAACGAUGAUUUUAGAAUUCAGAAUGGAUUUUUUGUUCUUGUACAUGUUUUAAGUGUUAUUUUGGAGCAGUUUUCCAGGUUGUUAUUAGGCAUAAGCAUAUUGUUCUAGUACUGUAUUUAGUAUGUAUCAGGGACUCAAAAAGCUUCGGCAAAUCUUCUAUUUGCAUAUGUUUCCUAUAGGAACAAAAAAAUGUGUUUCUGAUAAUAGAAAUCAAAAGCUAGGUAAAGGAAACGAUCAAAAAGCAUCCCGGAAACUUUUGUUCUUCUUAUUUAGACCAAAAAAGUUUCUACAUAUACUGUGUCAAUGAUAAAUCUACAACCACAAUAAUAUAUUAAGAGCGAAAAACACUAUAGAAUUAAAAUCUCAUGAAUCAUAAAGGACAAAUAGCUCACCAAAUCCCAUUUUAUAAUGUAGUAAAGAUAUACAUCAUUUUGUUUUGACUCCCUCUCCCUCCCUCGCUCACACGCGCACAAGCUAGUCGUCGUUGUCGUUGUUGAUGUUCAUGGUCCUUUGCCCCUCCUUUUCCACCUCUCAUCAGUGCCUCUUCUUGUGCUGCAAAAGAGAUGCAUGUUGGUGGUUAUGUUUGCCUCCCUUUUCAAGUCGUGCCCACCUUUAGUGAGAGACGUAAAAUGAAGCCGCGAAAAAGAGGAAACAAAAUAAGGAAUUUGGAAUGUUAUGGCUAAUGGCCGAUCGAAAUAGAUCAACAGAAAGUCCCCAUCUUUCCAAAUCAACGGAGAUUGCACCACAAAAAGAACAUAGAAAAUCAUUGUAUUGUCACAACAAACCGGAUCAAACAAUCAAGCGAUUGGAGCAAACAUUCAGAUUAGAAACAUAUGAUAGCUCAUCACAUGUCUCUGCUACAUCUACUUGAGGUUAUUGUUGGAGCUCCACGCGAUCUCCAGCCUUCUUCAAUAACCUACUGACUGAAUGUUAAUGCGGACUUGUAUGAGAAUUUGUCAGUAUCAUCUGCAUAGUAAAUGCCACUACUAUUUAUGGAGCAAGUUUUCCUUUAUUAGUUCACCCGUGUGCUCACAAAAAGGAAGCUUAGAACCGUUUGCUCACGAAAGGAAGCUUAGAAUAUUUGAUGUCUAGAUCAAAGAGGGAGCAAUAUAAGCUUCAGUAUAACCGACAAAUAACUUAGUAACUUAGUAAUAAUAAUUAUUCAAACCUUCAAGUACUAACAAUUAAAAUAAGUAGCAAGGAACUUAAGGUAAGCACAUAGCUAAUCAAUAGUGACUACCAAGAAUUGUUCAGUUCUAUUUUCUAAACUGUGUACCAAUUAGCUCUGUCUCACAAUUGCUCGUGUUCUACUUAUGUCUGAGAUGAUUUGUUCAGCCAAAAAUCCUAAUGUAAGGUAUCAAAUUAUUUGAAAACACAGUCAGGGAAACUUAGAUACCUGUGAACUCCAAAUGCAUGAAAUUCCUGAACAACGAAUCAAUUCUUCAGAAUCUGCAGAAGCUAGAGCACCAAAAAAAGUAUUAUCACUCUUGAUUCUGAGAGGAAGAUGUAAGGAACCAUCCGAAUCUAAUUUUGUUUGUCAUCAUACCUAAGCCGAGCCUGACCUUGUUGUCCUGGCUGCUGCAUUCCACAACCACUAUCUCGAAUUGGUGCAAACAGAAGCAGGCCCUAAUCAGAACUGAGAAGAAGACAUCAGAGACCAAUUCAUUAGUAGUUUGGAAAGAUGUAUCAGAGGUAACACGUACCCGAAGCCCAGCCGCAAUAUCAUGGCUAGUGGAGACCUGAAGAACACAAACCACAAGCGGAGACUUGGAGUAGACCAGACGCGAUCAUCAUGAUGUCGCUGCCAAAUGAGGCGGUGCUAUGCGAGGUCUCUAGGCAGGCUCUAAACUCCUCAAUUUAUUGUUUUAAUUUACCACAGUGAGCAAGGAACCGUGUUAAAUCUGUACCAGUUUCUGAAAAUCAUAGUUAAAUCAAGAUUAUUUCAAAAAAACUCCAGAGCAAAUCAACCAACCCAAGACUCGUCACACAACUGAUAAUUUCUCCUACUUAAAUUCAGGCAAGUAGAAGCACCAGGGAAAAAGUACUACUACCUAGCCCUUGAAUCCCUCCUCCUCAAAUUUGCAUGCAAGGCACAUGCAACUACAAUAUGUCCACUGAAUCACAAUUCUGGGCUUCCUUCGCAUUGUCGAGUAAGCUGACAAUUGAUACGUCACAAGAUUUACAAAAGCAGACACCAACAAAGUACUUGACAUUUUUUUUUUGAAAUGGAGGAGGACCCCCGGCCUCUGCAUCUGGACGAUGCAUGCAGCCACUUUAUUAAUUAUUCACACAAGAUCUUACAAAGUCAUACAACAGUAAGGCUGAAGCCACCGUCUAGGCAACAAAAGUGUCGCUACUCCUAUCCAAGUGAUGAAGGGAUGCUGAUAGUCUGGGCCUAGUACCAAACACACCUCGCAGCCAAACCUAACAUCUAAGACCUGAGGUCCCAACCAGGACGCCUGCCGGGUAUGGGUCACCUACCAGUCCGGCGCACUCCUCAACCAGGACGCCUGCCGGGUCUGAGGCCGCCGCAGCCACCUGCCACCAAUCCAUCUUCAGAGAUGUACUGCUGCAUCUACCUUGCCCGGUCUAGCUGCCGUCGACGCCAGACCGCGUCACCCUCCUGUGCGAGUUCAUCUCCGCGCAUCGGACGCAGAGUCACCACAGCGCCAUGCCGCCGAGACCUGCCGCUAUCAAUGAGUGAGAUGCCACACCGCUCCACCAAAAAAUCCGUCCUCUGGUCUUGCAUCCAGCCGCUGCUCAAAAAAAUGAUGCCCCCAUGAGGGAAAACGACACCAAAAGCACCGCCAUCGUCCGAUCCGGAAACUCCGGAUCUAGGUUUUCACCCAUAGCAGCGCAAGCAAGUCGACAUAAGCUGCAGAGGCGAUGUCUUCAACAAGAUAACGACGCGAAAACGCCGCCAUCGCCCGCCAUGACCCGAGUGAUAGCACGGUUUUCACCGGCAGCCUCGUCUCCCCACUCAACGCCGGGACUGGAUGCGAGAAUCCACAACCAUCUAGCCGACCACCUCCGGCGAAGAAGAUGGACACCACCUCCACGCCCAGGGCCGGAGCCACCGACGUCCUCGUGUCGCGUGCCUAGUCCAGAGGCCGCUUGCCACGCCGGAACAAAGGAUGCGCACGACGGCUCGAGGAACCACCAUCCAGAUCCGAAAGGGAUCCAGAUCGGACACCAUAGCCGCCGCCGUGAUCUCUUCGUCGCCGCUGCCAGCACGACAACCCUGGUCGCCACCGGCCUGCGCCACCGCCCUUGAAUCGGCCGGAGUGGGUCGCCGCCACCCAGAUCCGAUCGCCGGCCGAGGAAGAUUGCCGCCGCCGCCGCUGCGGCCCGCAGGCUUAGCCUGCGAUGCCCUUGGGGGCGGCGGCGGGAGGAGAGGAGGCCCGGCGGGGAGGAGAAGGAGGCCCGGCGGGGAGGCCCCGAUGCGGCGCGGCGCCGCCGCACGAGGGGAGGAGGUCACGAGGAGAGGAGGCCCGGCUAAGUCCCUUUGCCUGAUGUACUUGACAUAACCAGCAUAUUUAUAUGUAUAUGGAGAUUCAGGAGGGACAAAAUAGGUGCAGAACAAUAAAUGCACAGUUGGCCUUGCAGGAUCAAAAGAACCUACAAUAUAAUGCACCAUCAGUUCAUUGCUAACUGCUUGCAAGUAGUAUUCUUUAACAUCUAGCAUAAAACAGUAGAAUCACAGUACCAUUGCUCUCUUUCCGACAGUUGAUAUUCACUUAAACGACAUGUUUUAUAAUCUAGCAACAACAUAACCAUCCCCAAUUAGCCAUUGAUCUCUCUCUCUCACACACACAUACGCAGCAAAGCUGGCACAACAACAAUAGGUAGCACGAUGCGGCCUCAUCCCAUCAUCUCAUCUCCGUAAGAAGGUGAUGCUGCUGCAUUACCAUGGAGCCCGUAGAAAGGCUUGACGGCACAACACACAAACACCACCAAAUUGGGCGGCCAUUCGUGACCUUCGCUUUCCUGCUUCCCAAGGCCUCAAGGUUAAUUUCUUUUGUCUAGGUCAAGAUUUUCAAGAGAAGAUAACCUCACCUCCGAGCCACCAUGUCCAUCAUACACGACGAGCAUCUCUCUUCCGGUGACUUGGCCUAUUACUAUUGUUGUAACAACAAUGUCAUCCCAGUACUUGAUGUUCUUCUUGUUAUUAUCUCGAUGGAAUCAUUUGAGUUUUUCGACCAAAUGGUUGUCUGCGUUUGAGGAUAGAUUGGCUGAGACAAACAAGUAAAUCAGUUCAAAUGAAUAGCAUCAUAAAUUGAGCACUGAGGCAAGUAAUCUCAUUACCAAUCUUGCAUCUUCUUCCGAUGUCCAAGCCAUACGGUGUGCGAUCCUACCGGGUUUUGAAUCCCCUUCAAGACUGACGACAACAUUGGUGGUACUUGGUCAGCUACUGCGGGCAGUUUAAGGGAAUUGUGCAAAUGGUGUUAGACACAUAUUAUUUAGUCCUUCUGAUCUAUCCUCCGCACAACACAUAGUGGAAAUAAAUUCUAUUAGCUAAUCAAAAUAGAAAAUCUGAACAUUUGCAAAAUUACUGUAUCAUGCAACCUGAAUAAACCGAAGUAGUGGACGAGCAUACAAACUGAACAAUCCUACUGUUAUUUAUCUGACUGCUCCGUGUUAACGGGAAAAGUUGGGAAAAGUGCCUUUCCUUUUUGCGGUUUAAGUGCAAGGAACUUGAAAUAGGAUCCUACUGCGUUUUUAGUGGAACGCCUUUUAAGGCAGAUUCCUUUAGUAAUAUAUAAUCUAUACAUUCAAUUCAUCAACAGAGAGGGGCUACAUAAUACCACAUUCUCUGAAAAAUAAACAACACAAGGAUGAAUUUGAGAGGGGGAGAGAUGACUUGCUCAUUAGUCAUUACCUUCUGGCUAUGAUGAAUGGACCAGCACACAAGGUGGAGAUCAGGGCGUACAAGGGGGAGCUGGCUGCAGGUAGGAUGACUCCGGCAGAGAGAAGAUCCUGGUGGGAGGUGUGGGUUGAGGUUGUGCCCACUGGGGUGCCAGUCUCGAACUUCACGACACGGGGCGGUGCGAUGAUGGGCUUCUCGAGGUCCUGUUGGUCCUCGUCCAUGACAAGCGCCUCGACGCCCGGGCCAUAGACCUCGUCGAUGACAUUUGUUGUUGAUUAUUAUUAACAAUAUUGGCAAUGGCAAUUCAGCUUUCUUUCUCAUCAAGUAAUUUAUUGGGAAGUCGUUGAAACAGAGAUCACAAUUAUCAAUCCGUAAACCUGAAGAUUCCGUCAAGAGCAAGGACGGAAAAGCAAAAAAGAUUAGCCAUACCAGCCUAUGUUCAGUCACAUCCAAAAGUUUAGGACAUAAGCACUCACCAACUAUGAGUUCUGAGCUCCAAAGUAAUAACCCUGCCCUACUAAAGUCCUGAUCAUGUUCAGCUAUGCCAAUUUCAUAUUGACAGAUAUUGGUUUAACCUACGAGAGCACAAAUAAAAACCAUUUUAUGGUCUACUCUUCAGUCUUCACUGAAUGAUAUGUUCUGCAGAACAAGUAUGCUUGUCAAGCCUCGCGAUAAUGCAUGACCAAUAACUAUAGCCAUACCCUGCUAUCAAGUUUUUGAAAUCGUUAACAUCACCCUCCUGAAAACUGAAGGAAAACAGAUGCAUGACAAAUGCCAAUGGAACGGACAAAGCAUGAGAUGAAGGCAACUAAAAUGAAGAUAAAAUCGAGAGUUUACAUCCCAUAGCACAUACCCAGGGCCGGCCCUGGGGCAGGGCGAACGGGGCGGCCGCCCCGGGCCCCCUCCCGUAUGCAUGUGUAGUAUUGGGGCCCAUGUUUAGAACGAUAUUUUUUGAAACCCAGGCUUGCGCGUACUGCGUACAUAGAAUGAAAAGAGAAAAAGGCCUGGCCCAUGUUCGCGUGUAGGCAGAGACGAACGUGGAAACUGGAAACCAAAUGGCUCGUUUCCGUGUUUUUCGGAUCACGGGAUCGAUCAGACCAUGCCCUUUUUUUAAAGAAAGGCCAUCAUGGCUAGCUUUAUUGAUUAUGGAUAAUGUUUACAUCGUCCCACUAGUGCAAAACAGGCCUUUAUCACCGGUUCGUAAGGGCUUUUAGUGCCGGUUCUGCAACCGGCACUAUGAAGUGGAGACUAAAGGCCCCCCUUUUAGUACCGGUUCGGCACGAACCGGCGCUAAAGUGCCACCACGUGGCACGAGCUAGGCCCGGAUGCUGAUAGACCAUUACUACCGGUUGGUAGCACCAACCGGUACUAAAUGUUUGGGGGGUUUUGGUUUUAAUUUUUAUUUUUCCAUUAAUUUUGUGUUUUCCAUGUAAUUCUUUUUUGUUUGCUGGUAUUUUACGAUACUACAUAUUGUACACGUUAUGCAUAUAUAUAAAUAGAUUUUCUCGUAGAACCGAUUAUAUAUAUAUAAUCGAAUGUCUCACAACCACCAUUAAUUAUUCACACAUACACAUGUAUAUAUAUACAAUUUCUCCUACAUGUUGCCUUGGUGCCUUCGGAGCACGAUGACAAGUGGUUCAUGGGGCGGUAGCGGGUAAUAGUAUUCUUCUUUGGAUCUAUGAUCUGGUCGAGCAAAAAUCCCGCUAUUUCCUCUUGAAGUGCUCGUAUGCGCUCCUCUGAUAGGAGCUUGUCCCGCACCUCUUUGAACGGUUAAGAAGGAGAUCAAUAUGCAUGUGUAUUAGUUGUGUGACUAGAUAUCGACAAUCAUGUAACAUUUGUGUAUAGUGUUCUGGCAAACGUACCUAGUUCUGUCUAUCAGAUCUGCUCCUUUCGGACGCCAUCAUGCGAAUGUUCUCGCAAACGUAGUAUGCACACACUUCAGUCCCCGGCGCCUGCUUCAGAGCCUUUACGACAAUAGAACUUAAUCAGAUAAUAAUUAAUCAAGCAUGUUAAUUAAUUAAUGGUAUUGAAACAAGAAUUAAAGAUAUGGUAGCUAGCUAGCUAGUACUACUUAAUUACUUACCUUGGGUCGAUACCAACUUAGCUUUUGUCGCCAUUUUCCUGAAGUCACCUUGAUGUACUUUGCCCAAGCCCUGCCCGCCGGCAAAGAAAAUUAAUAAAGGGGUUAUUAAAAAUAGUUCAUAUCAGGAAAUGACGAACUAAAUAGGCCGAGAUAUAGUUAAUAAUGAUUGAAAUAACCUGUCGACUAUCCCCUUCACGAUGCUGUAGUCACUAUUUUUUUUAAAUAGUGAGUUCAGUACUUCAACUUUUCCUUCUUCAACUUUAAUGUCUAACAAGAUCCAAUGGAAGCUGUAUGCGCAUACGUUUGCAUGUAUAAAUUAAGCGGGCAUGUGCAUAACACUAAUCAACUAUAACCCUAAACCCUAUACACUUAUUAACAUCUAGCUAGUAAGCAAAAACAGAAUUUGUAGUACAAAGACAGUGUGACUCACUCGAAGUUGUAAGGAAGUAGUAUAUCUUCAUUGCUAUUGAGGCGCUUCAAGAACUGUAGCAUGCAUUUCUCUACAUCUUGUCUACACCAUUCCAAUUUCCAUGUGUAUUCAUUAACGGUAUUUGGGUCAAUGAACCCAAUGCCAUAGCGUCCAGCUUUUUUCAUUUCAUACAUCUUCAUCCUGCAUAAUACCACAGAAAAGAAUAUAUAGUGAGGAUAUAUAAUUACAGGUACUUAAUGAUCAAUCAAUGAGCACUAGAGCUAGCUUGAGACUUAAAUUACAGAAAGAAAUCACUUACAGACAAUAGCAACUGACGAUAGAUUUGUCGAGUGCAUCUUGAUUGAAUAACUGAAAUAGUUCUGAAUACUCAACGGCCAGAGCUUUCUUAUGGAAGUAAUGAUCUUCCUCGACUUGCACCAUGAGGGACUCUCGAUUGGAAAUCUUGGUAAUUUUCAUGUACCAAUCAUGCAAUUCAUACAUUCUCGUUGGGAGGUUCUUGACCUCCUCGGGCUCGACCAAAGGUUGGCCCCGGACAUAUUUCCGUUUUAUUUCCUCCUCUCUAAGCGGAGACAUGGGCUCGAUCUUGAGGAGUUGUCCAACAGUGAUCUUGAGCAUUUCAGCCUGCAUUAUAUGUUCCUCGGUUAUUACCACAUCGCCCAGCUCAGGAACGUAAACGGUUUGCCCACAAUAAUAUAGGGCGCGNNNNNNNNNNNNNNNNNNNNNNNNNNNNNNNNNNNNNNNNNNNNNNNNNNNNNNNNNNNNNNNNNNNNNNNNNNNNNNNNNNNNNNNNNNNNNNNNNNNNNNNNNNNNNNNNNNNNNNNNNNNNNNNNNNNNNNNNNNNNNNNNNNNNNNNNNNNNNNNNNNNNNNNNNNNNNNNNNNNNNNNNNNNNNNNNNNNNNNNNNNNNNNNNNNNNNNNNNNNNNNNNNNNNNNNNNNNNNNNNNNNNNNNNNNNNNNNNNNNNNNNNNNNNNNNNNNNNNCUGCUUGUUGGCUCGAGCUCGAGCUCGCUUCUUUCUGUAGUCGUGCUCGAUGUGCCUUCCUGAUUUGGCGCUCAUAGUCUGAGUCAACAGGCUUGGGAGCUGGUGGUCUAGCCAUACGAAUGAAGUGGUCAAUCUUUUCCUCAGACACUUUCACCCUCGUCGGCGUUGCCGGUUUCGGUCGAAAAUGAGCGUCCACUUCGGCCCGCACUAUUGCAUCGUUUUGCUCCUCGGUCAUGUCGUAAGGCCUCUGAGGAAGAGGAGCGAGGAUGCUUGGACCAUAUUUAUAUCGCUUGUCUCCGCCUGUACUUUCUGUACUACCUCGACUCGUACCGCUACGCACCAUAGCUGCGGCGUGUCUCUUCUGCGAUUGCUUAGGCGGCGGAGACGGCUGACGUGGCUUAGUUGGAGCAGGAGGAGUGGCCUGACGCUGUGCCGGACUUGAAGGAGGAGGUGUGGCCUGACACGGUGUCGGACUUGAAGCAGGAGGUGUGGCCUGACGCUGUGCCGGACUUGAAGCAGGAGGUGUGGCCUGACAGAGUGUCAGACUUGAAACAGGAGGAGUGGCCUGACGCUAUGCCGGACUUGAAGCAGGAGUCUGCUCACGCGUUCGUGGACUUGGAGGAGCGGGAGUCUGCUGACACGGUGGCGGACUUCGAGGAGGAAUCGGCAGACGCGGUGUCGGUGGACUUCGAAAGAUGAUGCAAUCCUUUUUCCAUAGGAUGAAACAAUGUAUGGCCUCUCCCAGUGUUUGCUCGUCGUCACCUCCAGGAAUGUCAAGCCUUAGCCCCGAAUAUGGGCCCACCACCUCAUCAACCAAGACACGAGCAUAGCCCGCUGGAAUUGGGGCGCAAUGGAAGGUUGCUUCGGGGGUAAUUGUAAAAGCAACGGCGUUCGCCACCUUCAUGGAUAUGUUCUUCAUUUUGAAGUGUAGCUCACAGUUAGUGUUCUCUAUGAUGUCAUCCACAGGGUAUGUAUCCAGCAGUGCGUCGCCCGGGGCGGAACCAACGCUGCUUCUCGGCAUGGAUGGGACGGUGCUAUCCAAUGCUGGAUGAUCAUCCGCUUGCUGCUGCCGCUGCUGAGACCCCCUUUCCUGGCUAAGUGAGUCGAUCUGCUGCUGCUGCUGCUGCGGCUGGAAUUUGAGUGCCAAGUCCGCGUGCCUUGCUUCUAGGCCUUGAAGGCGUUCCGCGUCCUGCUUCCGCUGCUCCUCCUCCAGCUUCCUCUUCUUCUCCUCCUCCAUCUUCUUUCUUGCACGGGUCCUGUAGUCGUCGUUCCAUUCCGAAAAGCCCUCAUACCAGGGAAUAACGCCCUUGCCUCGUGUUCUUCCCGGGUGUUCAGGAUUUCCCAGGGCGCGCGUAAGCUCGUCGUUCUCUCUGUUGGGCGUGAACACCCCCUUUCGAGCAUCUUCUAUUGCGUCAAGUAACUUUUGUUCUGCUCCGUUUAGACUUGCCUUCUUCGAACCCAGGCCUGUCUUCGGGUCCAACGCCCCCCCAUGCGCAUAGAACCAAGUCCUGCACCUGGGGGGCCAGCUCCUAGUAACCUCCUAGUAACCAGAGUGACCCCUGCAUCCUCCAUCUCUUGCUCAGACUUAUCCCACUUAGGCAUUGCCACCGCGUAGCCACCUAGACCCAGCCUAUGGAACUGCGUCUUUUUUGCGGCAUUGGCCUUGUUUUUUCUCGACCGUUCCUUAGAUAAUUCUGAUUCCUUGAAUUUCACGAAAGCGGGCCAGUGUUCUCUUUGUUUCUCCAGUGUUCCCUUGAAUUCUGGAGUCUUCCUUUCUGCAGCAAGUUAGUUGGCCCAUACAGUUUUCUUGUGGGUGUUGAAUGCAAUUGCCAUCUUCUUAAGAGCAGCGUCCUUGACUUUCUGCACAUCUGCAUCAGUGAAAUAAUCUGGUAGGGUGAAAUGUUCCAUCAGAGAUUCCCAAAGCUUUUGUUUUGCUCUGUCGUCGACCCAAGUAACAUCUGGGCGUUUAGUUUUUGGCUCUUUCCAUUCUUGAAUGGAGAUCGGGAGUUGGUCCUUCACAAGAACUCCGCACUGACGAACGAACUUGCUCACAAUGUUCUUAGGCGUGAGGGGUUCGCCACUAGCUUUGAUGGAAUCGAUGUUGUACUUUACACCCUCCUUCAACUUUUUGCUCGGGCCGCGCUUUGUCCUGCUGUCUGUAGAAGCAGAUUUGCUCGAUCCGGAGGGCUGAAAGAAGAAAGAUUGAUUCGUUAAUAUAUCUUCAAAUAAAAAAAACAUGUGAUGAUCAAUAGAUGCCUGCUUAUAUAAAUAUACCUCGCCGGUAAGUCUUUGUUAUUUCAAGAUCAACAUUGUAUUCGUCAUCAUAAUCAUUGUCUGCGUCAUCAUAAUCAUAAUCAUAGUUCAUGACUUCAUCAGCUCGGUCGUCGAGAUCGAAAAAUCUUAUCAUCACCCUCCCCGGUAUUGUUCAGAUAUUGGGAGCCGUCAUUUGCUUCAUUCAGAUCAUCUGGCCUUCUAGGGCUGCGUAUGAUCUCGAACAGGGCCUCUUCUCCCUCUCUGCCGGUAUUGUCCGCCAUAGCUUUUAUUUAACUAAUACAGAAGAAAUAUAAAACAAUUUAGUAUUCAAAUUACAAUGCAUGGAUGCAAUCAAUAAGGAAAAACUGAAUCAUAUAGUACAUAAUAUGCAUCGUCUCGAAUAAUAUAUAAUCUCGAAUACAUCGUCUUGAAUAAUAUAUAAUCUCGAAUACAUCGUCUCGAAUAAUAUAUAAUCUCGAAUACAUUGUCUCAAAUAAUAUAUAAUCUCGAAUACAUCACUGGCUAGGUAGCUAAUAAAGAUCGAAUACUAUAGAAGAAUCUAGGCCACUCGCGGUUCCUGGGGCGCGGGCGGUGGACACCCAACCAUCACAGGAUCAUAUCUCCGGUCAUCUGCCCAAAGAACCUGCCAGGUAUUGGAGAACCUGACGUCCAUAGCAGCCAUGUAGCGAUGGACGUGCUCGUCCUACUCCCUGACACGACGACGCACCACCUCCGACGGGGCCGGCUCCCUCUGCACUGAGUGUGGCCCACGCGAACGCCACCAAAGGAGAUCAGGGUCGACGACGGGACCCGAGGCCGGGUUCCUCACCAAGCGUCGCGCCCCUCCAGGUAGCACCUCCCAGUGCCAGCCCGGCGGAGCCCAAUCCCGGACAUGGGUCCUCUGAAGCAGGACGUCGUCGCGAACGGGUCGACGGUGAGGAUGCGGGCCGGGCAUCGUCGACAACAAAUACUAUAUGCCGCAAAAGUAAAGUAACAUUUUUUAAAUGAUUGGAUUGUGAUUUCUUAUAUGCAAAUUCUAAAUUUUAUAACUAAAAAUAUAAUCAACUAAAAAAACAUCGACCAUAUCUAAAACUAACAUUUCUAUAACUAAAAUUGUAUAACAAAUUUUUCUUUAACAUUUCUAUAUAACAAACAUUUCUAUAACAUUAAUAUAGAAAAAACUAACAUUUCUAUAUAUAACUAACAUUUCUAUAUAACUAACAUUUCUAUAACAUUAAUACAGAAAAAACAAAAAAAACUAAUAACUAAUAACUAAUAACAGAAAAACUAAAAACUAAAAACUAUAAAACUAAAAACUAAAAACAGAACAAAAAUUGUGUAUGUGUGUGUGUGUAUGGUGUGUGUGUGUGUAUUUGUGUGUAUGUGUUGUGUGUGCAGGCGACGGCGACGGCGAGCCAAGGCGACNNNNNNNNNNNNNNNNNNNNNNNNNNNNNNNNNNNNNNNNNNNNNNNNNNNNNNNNNNNNNNNNNNNNNNNNNNNNNNNNNNNNNNNNNNNNNNNNNNNNNNNNNNNNNNNNNNNNNNNNNNNNNNNNNNNNNNNNNNNNNNNNNNNNNNNNNNNNNNNNNNNNNNNNNNNNNNNNNNNNNNNNNNNNNNNNNNNNNNNNNNNNNNNNNNNNNNNNNNNNNNNNNNNNNNNNNNNNNNNNNNNNNNNNNNNNNNNNNNNNNNNNNNNNNNNNNNNNNNNNNNNNNNNNNNNNNNNNNNNNNNNNNNNNNNNNNNNNNNNNNNNNNNNNNNNNNNNNNNNNNNNNNNNNNNNNNNNNNNNNNNNNNNNNNNNNNNNNNNNNNNNNNACGGGGGCGGCGCGGAGUCGACGGGGACUGGGCGACGGCGGCUGCGACGGCGCGGGACGGGGCGGCGGCGAUGAAGCAGAGAGAAGUGGGAGGAAACUGACGAAAUUUUCGUAAGUGUUUCUUAUAUACGAUGGUCCUUUAGUACCGGUUGGAGCCACCAACCGGUACUAAAGGUCGAUUUUGGCCAGGCCAAGCGUCGGGAAGCGCCCACCUUUAGUACCGGGUGGUGGCACCAACCGGUACUAAAAGGUGGCCCUUUAGUACCGGUUGGUGCCACCACCCGGUACUAAAAGGUGUGCGCUGCCAGGCGAGGGGCGCAGAAGUUUAGUCCCACCUCGCUAGUUGAGGAGCGCCAGGACCAGUUUAUAAGCCCCGACGCGGGCACUGCAUUGAGCUCCUCUCAAUAGCAGGCCUUCUGGGCCUACCUCUCCUACUCUGCCUAUGGGCCUACCGGGCUUGCGGGCCUGCAUCCUGGCCCAACUACAGGUUGGGUUUCUAGUCGUAUGCGGGCCUGCAUCGUGGUCGAUGGUGUAGUGUGUGAUGUAGUUUCUGUUGAGGAAGUCGCUAAGUUUGAUGGUGUCGUGGUCGAUGUCGUCGUUGUGCCCGGGGGAAGACGUUGUAGUAAGAGCGGAAGGCGGUUGCAGCGGUAGUCAAUGUUGGAAAUAUGCCCUAGAGCCAAUAAUAAAGUGCUUAUUAUUAUAUUUCUUAUGAACUGUGGUUUGGCAAGAAACCUAAGCUGUCGUUCCUUAAGGUUUGGGGCUGCGAUGCUUAUGUCAAAAGGCUUCAGCCAGAAAAUCUCGAAUCCAAAGCGGACAAAUGCGUCUUCAUAGGAUACCCAAAGGAGUCGAUUGGGUAUACCUUCUAUCUCAGAUCCGAGGGCAAAGUGUUUGUCGCUAAGAACGGGUCCUUUCUCGAUAAAGAGUUUCUCUCGAAAGAAUUGAGUGGGAGGAAGAUAGAACUUGAUGAGGUUGUUGAACCUUUACUUCAACCAGUGAGUAGUGUAGCACAGAAAGAUGUUUCUGUGACACCUACGUCAGUUGAAGAGGAAGCUAAUGAUAGUGAUCAUGAAGUUUCAGAUCAAAUUACUAUGGAACCUCGUAGGUCGACAAGGAUACAUACUACUCCUGAGUGGUACGGUAACCCUUUCUUAGAGGUCAUGUUGUUGGACAACAACAACGAUGAACCUACGAGCUAUGGAGAAGCGAUGGUGGGCCCGGAUUCUGACAAAUGGUUAGAGGCCAUGAAAUCCGAGAUGGGAUCCAUGUAUGAAAACAAAGUAUGUAUUUUGGAAGUAUUACCUGAGGGCGAAAGGCCAUUCAGAAUAAAUGGAUCUUCAAGAAGAAGACGGACGCGGACGGUAAUAUCACUGUCUAUAAAGCUCGACUUGUGGCAAAGGGGUUUUCACAAGUUCAAGGAGUUGACUACGAUGAGACUUUCUCACUUGCAGCGAUGCUUAAGUCCGUCAUAAUCAUGUUGGCAAUAGCUGCAUUUUCAAUUAUGAAAUCUGGCAGAUGGAUGUCAAAACAACGUUUCUUAACGGUUUCCUUAAGGAAGAGUUGUAUAUGAUGUAACCGGAAGGUUUUGUCGAUCCAGAGAAUGUUGACAAAGUGUGCAAGCUCCAGCGAUCCAUUUAUGGGCUAGUGCAAGAAUCUUGGAGUUGGAAUAUUUGCUUUGAUGAGGUGAUCAGAGCGUUUGGGUUUAUACAAGUUUAUGGAGAAGCUUGUAUUUACAAGAAAGUGAGUGGGAGCUCUAUAGCAUUUCUAGUAUUAUAUGUGGAUGACAUAUUGCUGAUUGGAAACAAUAUGGAACUUUUGGAAAACCUGAAGGAAUAUUUGAACAAGAGUUUUUCAAUGAAGGAUCUAGGAGAAGCUGCUUUCAUAUUAGGCAUCAAGAUCUACAGAGAUAGAUCGAGACGCUUAAUACGACUUUCACAAAGCACAUACCUUGAUAAGAUUUUGAAGAAGUUCAAAAUGGAUCAAUCCAAAAAGGGGUUCUUGCCUGUUUUGCAAGGUGUGAAAUUGAGUCAGACCCAAUGCCCAGCGACUACAGAGGAUAGAGAAAAGAUGAAGGUCAUCCCCUACGCCUCUGCCAUAGGCUCUAUCAUGUAUGCGAUGUUGUGCAUAAGACCGAAUGUCAGCCUUGAUAUAAGUAUGACCGGAAAGUUUCAAAGUAAUCCAGGAGUGGAUCACUGGAUAACGGUGAAGAAUAUCCUUAAGUACUUGUAAAGGACUAAGGAAAUGUUUCUCGUUUAUGGAGGUGAUCAAGAGCUCGUCAUAAAGGGUUACGUCAACGGAGGCUUUGACACUGAUCUGAAUGAAUCUAAGUCUCAAACCGGAUACAUAUAUGUUCUGAACGGGGAAGCGGUAAGCUGGUGUAGUUCCAAACAAAGCAUGGUAGCUGAUUCUACAUGCGAAGCGGGGUACAUAGCUGCCUUGGAGGCAGCAAAGGAAGGUGUCUGGAUGAAGCAGCUCAUGACAGAUCUUGGAGUUGUGCCCAGUGCACUGGACCCGAUGACUCUGUUCCGUGACAACACUGGUGCCAUUGCUCUAGCCAAGGAACCAAGGUUACACAAGAGGACCAGACACAUAAAGUGACGCUUCAAUUCCAUCCGCGAUUACAUCAAGGAGGAAGACAUAAACAUUUGCAAGAUACAUACGGAUCUGAAUGUUGCACAUCUAUUGACUAAACCUCUUCCACGGGCAAAACAGGAUGAACACCAGAACUCUAUGGGUGUUAGAUUCAUUACCAUGUAAUAGUAGAUUAUUGACUCUAGUACAAGUGGGAGACUGUUGGAAAUAUGCCCUAGCUAGAGGCAAUAAUAAAGUGGUUAUUAUUAUAUUUCCUUGUUCAUGAUAAUUUUUUAUUAUCCAUGCUAUAAUUUUAUUGACCGGAAACUCAAAUACAUGUGUGGAUACAUAGACAACAAUAUGUCCCUAGUAAGCCUCUACCGGACUAGCUUAUUGAUCAAAGAUGGAUAUGGUUUCCUAGUCAUAGACAUGAGUUUUCAUUUGAUAACGGGAUCACAUCAUUGGGAGAAUAAUGUGAUGGACAAGACCCAAACUAUAAACAUAGCAUAUGAUCGUAUUAAGUUUAUUUCUAUCUUUUUUGCAUGUCAAGUAUAUGUUCCUAUGACCAUGAGAUAAGCAACUCACUGACACCGGAGGAGUACCUUGUGUGUACCAAACAUGGCAACGUAACUGAGUGACUAUUGAGUUGGCAUGGAUCAAGACUGGGAUUUGUCACUCCGUAUGACGGAGAUGUGUCUCAGGGCCCACUCGGUAAUACAACAUCACAAUGAGCUUGCAAGAAAUUUGACUAAUGGGUUAGCCAUGAGAUCUUGUAUUACGGAACGUGUAAAGAUACUUGCUGGUAACGAGAUUGAACUAGGCAUGGAGAUACCGACGAUCGAAUCUCGGGCAAGUAACAUACCGAUCGACAAAGGGAAUUGCAUACAAGAUUAGCUGAAUCCUUGACAUCGAGAUUCGACCAAUAAGAUCUUCGUAUAAUAUGUAGGAACCAAUAUGGGCAUCCAGGUCCUGCUAUUGGUUAUUGACCGUAGAGGUGUCUCGGUCAUGUCUGCAUAGUUCACGAACUCGUAGGGUCUGCACACUUAACGUUUGGUGAUGAUAUAAGUAUAGUUGAGUCAUUGUGGUUGUUACCGAAAGUUGUUCGGAGUCUUGGAUGAGAUCCUGGACGUGACGAGGAACUCCAGAGUGGUCCAGAGGUGAAGAUCGAUAUAUAGGACGAAGGUCAUCGUAGUCCGGAAGUGUUCCGGAGGUACUGGGUUGAGACCAGGUGAGCCAAAAGGGGUUUCGGGUGGGCCCGACAAGUGUUUGGGGGCCCCAUGGACCAAGGGGAGGGGGCACACCAGCCCACUAAGGGGCUGUGCGCUCCCCCUCACCGCAUCCUACAAUGCCAUAGCAGGUAGGGGCGCCCCCCUAGGGCAGCCGACCCCCUUGCCUUGGGGGCCAAGGCUCCUAGGGGGGCGCACCAAACCCAUCUAGGGUUUCGCCCUGGUGGUCAUCGGCCCCUCCUAGGGAACCCUAGGGCGCCAAUCCUCCUCCCUUCGCCCUAUAUAUAGAUGAGGAGAGGGAGGGAAGCCGCACCCUGAUACGCCACGGCGCUGCCCCUCCUCUCCCUCGUAGUCUUCUUCCUCUCCGUAGUGCUUAGCGAAGCUCUGUUGAGAUUCCACCACCAUCGCCGCCAACACAACAUUGUGAUGUCGGAGGACUCGAGCUACUACUUCACCAUCGCUCGCUGGAUCGAGGAGGUGAAGGCGUCAUCAAGUCGUACGUGUGUUGAACGCGGAUGUGUCGUCCAUUCGACACUUGGAUCGGGAGUUCGCGGGACAGAUCGUGAUUGGAUCGCGAAGACGUUCGACUACAUUAACCACGUUUCUUAAUGCUUCCGCUCAGCGAUCUACAAGGGUAUGUAGAUGCAAUAUCUCAUGUCGUAGAUGGUCAUCUCCUAGAUUAAUCUUGGUGAAUGUAGGAAUUUUUUUUUUGUUUCCCAUGCAAUGUUCCCCAACAGUCAACACUAGGUAGUCGAGGUAGGAUCGAUAGUAGAUGCCGGGGAUUGAACAUGUACUAUCCACAUGCAAGAUCUCUUUCGCAGUAUUGAAGGCGAGGUAGUAGAUGUCGGGGAUUAAACCCGAGUCAUCAGCGUGUAGGAGCGCGGGGGACUUGAUAGAAGGUGCCAUGACCCAUGUAACUUGAAGAUCAUCAAUAAUAUCUGAACAAAACUAAACCAAUGAUGUUAAACUAUAAUCCUAAACACCGGUGUUAAACCAUAAUACUAAACACUGGUGUUAAACCAUAAUCCUAAACACUGGCUUUUCAACACUGGUGUUAAACCAUAAUCAUAAACCCCAAACUACCAAACAACACUUAGAGAUCAUUCGUUCUAUCCUUUGAUAGAUUAGAUAGUAUCUUUUCAUGUGAACUUUGGUUAGCGUUUAGCAGUAUGUUUUCCUGCCUUCAAGGAUAGGAAAAAAUCCAGUCGUACGUUGCCACCACCAGCUUUGUGCAACUUUGUACUUUCUCAUCUUAUAAACUGCAAGCAGCCCAUGCAUGUUUUCUUAAUGGUGAAAAGCCGGCCAUGCCUGUCCCGCUAACCUUGUUCUCACUGUUUUCCACAAAACCAUCGAUGACGUGGUUGGAUUAUGGCUCACCUAAUAUGCAGUUUUUCUCAAGUGAUCGCAUCUCUUCCUGCAUAGCAGCUCCUCCAGCACUUCUUGCAAAAUAUUGUUAGAUAGAUGAAGAUGAAUCAUAGACUUAGCGUUACGAUCUUUGCGCUUCUCAUCAUCGGUCCAUGCCCUCUGUUCUUCUCCACCGAAGCCAUCUAGCGCCUCGUCCAGAUCAGGAUGUGCCAGCACAGCCCGCAUCUUCACUUGCCAUAAGGAAAACAUCGUUCCAUAGUUCAACAGUGGAAGAUCGAACUUCAUCGAUGCCAUGUCGUGGAAACCCUAGACAGAAACAAGGCUCUGAUGUCACUUGUUGGAGAUACGAUAUGCAAAUCAAAGGAUGAAGAACGAAACCUACACAGAAGACACACGAUUUUAAUGUUGAAAACCCCUCCAACACGAAGGGGAAAGGACCACAGGCGCCAGCCAGCAAAUCUUCACUACAUCGGGGGAGCUUACAAACGCUGAGGAUUUAUAAAGGAUAUAUAUAACACAGGUGACCCAGGUCAAUACUGAUCGGUUCCUACCUUUGGCCCAAGACUACCGGCAAUGAGCCUCGCUCCGCUCGCUCGUUAGAAGUUAGCAUUUAUCUUUAUACUUGAAUUUGGAUCACAACAUAAAAUUUCACACGGGAAAUGUCACCUGUCGGUACAAUUGUGAUAUUACAUCAGUUUCGAGGUCGUUGGCUCAUGGAGGCUAAAAAUGAAAUUUGUACUUAAUCUGGUGUCACGGUGGUGCUCCGUAAUAUUACGUUACCAACAAGAAAAGUUACCUCGUCUAGCAUAUGCUAUUGUAUUAUAUUUGUUUUUCGUCUUCACAUUAAUACCUACAAGUAAUUGCUUGCCUCACUUCUCGGAUUUAUUUGGUCUUUGCACCAUGUGCGCAAGAGGUCAUCUAGUAAUGAAGUGAUGAGGGGCUUACUGGCUGUCUAGAAUAAAACUAUGAAUGAAUGUAGCCGGAGCUAAUGGUGUAGCUUUUUGAUUUCAUUGGAAGAGAAAGAAAUACAAAAAAGAGAUAGAGAGAGGCAGGCUAGACCACCACAGAAACAAGCUACACUGAUGUUCAUAGUUUAACUGAAAGCUAGCUCACUUGCUUAUUUCGUGCACACGGAAGUAAGCUCAUAGAUAGAUGGAUUUAAGCCUCCCACAUCUGUGAACCAGACAAUAUGGUGCCUGCUAAGGAGUCACGCUUUAAUUCAUAGACUUGCGACCUCGACUCGUGAAAUUUGUCGGAGGCCGACUUUGGCUUUUCCUUGGGCUUCAUCCGUGGAUCGAUCAUGGCCGGUGCCCAUCGAGCCCUGCUUUCAGUUCAAACAUUGCACCCCACCAAGACAGAGCUAAUUAAUGAUGCAUGUCACCCGAAAAUUAAGCUUGAUGUUUUUCAUUUUGUUGUCAAAAAGCUCAUGGUAGUGCUUGCAUGCUUUGUCAGCAUAGACGGUGGGUGAAAAAAGUGGCAUGUGCACAAAAAAGUGUCCUAGUUUGCGCAUUCUUUUUAUUUUAUUAGAGGGAAAAAGGUUUGCGCUUUGUUGAAGAUCGUUGUAGCAACUUGUCGGAUUCAUCAUUCGAUCUAUAUCUAACAAUCCCCUUUGUACGGCAGCGCUACUUUCAAUUAGUACACCACCAUUAGCUGCCGAGGUUUCGUUUAAGGUGAGAAGGACAACUUUAAACUGGCCCUGCCCAUGCAUUGAUGCAUGUUCGUGUGAAACAAAACAUACGCGCGUCAAGUCAAUGAAUCUAAGCAAUUUCCCUGAUGCAUCCAUCAAAUUAUCAAGUAUCAUAGGUUAGGUACUGUACGUCUAGUUUCCAUCAUACCUCAUGACGUGUGGGAAUUGACGUCACCCUGCUAGAUGACCUUUUAUUAAGUUGAAAAAAAAGCAGAAGAGGCCGUGUCCCCACUGAAAAUUGCAUCCUAGAGCGUGCAUGCAAUAGCAUGCGUGGCCGCGGUUCCCCUCCCUUUAUGAUGAUGCGCUUGCUAUUGAUUGUUUUUCCUCCACCCUUCAUGUUGCUUCGCUGAAGAAAAGGAUACCAUGUGUCCAUGGGGGUUGCUACUACUGCUAUGUUCUCUCUCUUUAUUUGUCGAUAAAUUCUUUUUCUGUUAUCCGUAAAGCUCCUUCUGUGUUGCCUUCGCCAUGCCCUGGUUUGGUAUUGUGGCUAUUCCGGGGCCCAUGUGUUUCUUAUCCUGCGGGCUAGCGGCUGGCUGGUGCUUUGUGUGUGUGUGUGUGUGUGUGUGUGUGUGUGUUCCCUGCUGUUAUCUCUGCUCUGUCUCUCGCAAUGGGUUUGUGUGGUGUGGGGUGGCGCUCAGCGCGCUUCUUUCGUUCUCGUUUCAACAUACGUACACUCGGAAACGGUAGGGGACUGGGCAAUAGGGAAUGCCACAAGGCACGUUUCGUAUUUGUCACCAGCUUGUCGAGUUUAUCUCACCGAACUCGGCAGGGCUCUGUGCCAUGUGGCAUCUCCGUCAACAUCCAGCCCCGUCUGACGGUCUAGUUUGCCGACUUAUGUUCCCCCGAAACUCGGCAAUGCGUGCUUAAAUCUUCAUCAAAUUACUGAUAAUAAGAACUCACCUAUUUUAAUGAUUGUUGACCCAUGUCCAGUCGAGUCAUAUUCACUGAGUACUGACCUUCAUAGUGGGUAGUGUUAUAGGUGUGGUAAUGUAGAUGUCUUCAUUUAUUACUUUGUAGACUCAUUUUGCACUGGGAAGCGCUAUGCGAUGGUAACAUAUUAUGUUAUUUUAUUUGCCUCUCUCCUCAUUAACUACUUGCCACAUCACUAUUUUUGCUUAUGUGGCAUCUAUAUUAAUACCUAUGUUACUCCCACUAUGACCAGCCUUUGGAAGUUCACACUAACUGCUCAACUUGAUAGGCAUAGAGGUUCGUUGUUGAGCUACAAACUGGUGACCCUAAAAUUAGAUUUGACCUUGCUAGUUGAUUCCUUCGUUCAGGUUGAGUAAUUUCACUCAUAUUUUGAAUCAAACUUUAGCUAUAGAUUUGACUAGCAAAAAUUCAAUUAUAUCCAUAUAAAAUUGUAUUGUGGUCCUGGUUUGAUGCAAAAUAUGAGGAGAACAAUAAACCUGGACGGAGGAGGUGCAUGUGAAGACAUAUCGCAACUUCUCACUCUAUCGACAUCUCUCUCUCUCUCUCUCUCUAAUUUAACAAAUUGUCCGAGGGAAGCGACGAGUCGAAAGCUAAUUAACGAUAAAUCUUUAUCAAAAAAUUAACAAUAGAUAACGGAAGGUAGCAAGCACCUGCAUGCCUGGCGCACAUGACAUUGUGUUGCCCAUGUUGAAGAGAUCAUAUAUGAGCAAUUUCUCAGAUGCAUGCGUCGUUCGCAUUCUAUCCUUAUAAUAGUAUCUUCCCAUGUGAACUUUGGUUAGCUUUUAGCAAUACCUUUUCCAGCCUCCAAGGAAAGGAAUAAUCCAGUCGUACGUUGUUACCACCAGCUUUGUGCAACUUUGUACUUUCUCAGCUUAUAAACUGCAAGCAGCCCAUGCAUGGUUUCUUAAUGGUAAAAAGCCGGCCAUGCCUGUCCCACUAACCUUGUUCUCCACAAAGCAUCGAUCACAUGGUCGGAUUAUGGCGCACCUAAAAUGCAUGCAUGAAUGUCAUGGUAGGUUCACACUAAGCGCCUCGAGUAUAGAUCGUGGUUCAUUCUAGUUUCAAAGGGUGCAAGCUAGGCAUUGUUGACCUGCUGGCCAUAUUUUUGAUCUAGCUACCUUAAGAAAACAUCAAUCUACAUGGAUUCCCAACCGCACUACAUUUAGGCCCUGUUCUAAACGAACCUAAAUUUUCAUAGUCCAUUCUUCGAAAAUGUAUUGAAUUUCAUGCGCCAACCAUUUCAUUCGAAAUUAUGCCGGAGCCAAUGGAAUAGAAUGAGCAAUUUAUUAUUACAUAAUUUUCCUUCAUGUCUAGCUAGCCUCCACCUGGGCUAGCUAAGACAUCCUACCAAUGUAGGGCACCAAUUUUUUUUAUCAAAUUCUUUGUCCGACCAGUUAUGAGCAAGAGACCUCUUAGCUCAUCAGACCACAUUGAAUUUCAUGUUCUAGCAGUUCGUUCAAAACUCUAGGUUGUGUCAUCGAUGCACAAGUCUGCGUAGGUCAGAAACUCGGGAUGCCCCAUCGCUGCACCAACCUGAUAUUGUUAUACUGCCAUGGAUUAAUCAGCCAUGGAAAUGAGCAAAGGGCGUGGUCAAUCAGGGAAAGCAAACGAGGCGUGUGUUCAUAUUGAUUCUUUAUGUCACUUGAAUACUCUUGUAUCCGCGUCUUGGGUUUGGGAAGGGCAGUAAGGGGGAGAGAGAGAGAGAGAGAGAGAGAGAGAGAGAGAGAGAGAGAGAGAGAGACUGGUGAGAAUUAUGUUCAUGGGUACCAUUCGUUAGUGUUCAUUAGAUGGACCGAACAUAUAUAGUGGUUAUCAGAAUUAACUGUUAUUCUUAGUCUCCUUAUCAAGUUCUUUUUUUGCAGGUGUCUCCUUAUCAAGUUCUAAACAACCACUUAGAAAAAUUUCAUGUGUUUUCUAAACAUUUUUUUCCACCUAAAUUUCUAUUAAAUUCUUACAGUUUUUCUAAUACUGUGUCUUGUCUAUCAUGUGUUUCAAGCACGGCCCUAGAGUUCAAGAGCUAUAUCGUACUUGUAGCAACUUCUCGGAUGCACCGAUCUAACCUCUAUGCACGGCAGCACCAACGUUAACUAGUACUCCCUCCGUCCCAUAAUUCUCGUCGUGGUUUUAUUCGAACUAAAAGCACGACAAGAAUUACGGGGCGGAGGGAGUAUACACGUUGUAACCAUGACACCACCACCAUGGGGAGGUUGAUGGCAGAUAAUAGAUGGGUUUUAAAGGUGGGAGAAGGACAACUUUAAAGGCUCUGCCCAUGCAUUGAUGCAUGUGUGUGUGAAACAAACAUAUACUUGUUAAUGACUCUGUGUGCGCGUCAAGCUAAUGGAGCCCAUCCAUCAAUCUAUCCUUCGAUAGUACAAGGUAUCACGUGAGGUUUUGGCUUUUCACCUUUUUCCAGCCUUCAAUGAAAAGGAAAGGGAAUAAUCUCACGUUGUCACAGUCAAAACCCAGAGCUGCUUUUUUAUGGUGGAAAGUCCAUAUGUCCCGGUUCGGUUGAAAAUUAACGGUUAGAUGGAUAGAUGUUAUUGGUGGAGCUGCUUUGACAGAGUACCUCGCCUUCCAGCGAAAGAAACACUAGCCUUUGCUAUAUAAGGAGUCUAGAAGAGCUCAGGACCUUAUAUCUAUCCAUCUAACCGUUGUUGUUCCAAUCUCAUCGAGAGUUUUGAGGCGGGCUAGCUAGCGUACCGCAGGCAUGGGCAACAUCUUUGGUGGUCGGCCGCUGACUGCACCAGAGCUCCCUCCGGAACGAAAGCCGUCGGCGGGUGAAAUACUACCGCUCCCACCGCCUAGGUGUGGGAAGCUCAUUACGAUUCUGAGUAUCGAUGGUGGCGGGAUACGCGGGCUGAUCCCCGCGGUCGUCCUUACCGGCCUCGAGGAAGAGCUCCAAGUAAACCAUCAUCUCUCCUUGUCGUUUGAGAACACCGUACGUAUUUGUUGUGUUAUAUGUAACUUGAUAUAUAUCAUUCGUGUUCAGCUUGAGGAGGGGCGCAAUCGAGGGAAGAAGGAUAGGGACCAUGAUUACCAGAUAGCAGACUACUUCGAUGUGAUUGCGGGCACGAGCACGGGCGGCCUUAUCGCAGCAAACAAUGUCCACGGACGGCCAACAUUCACCGCCGAGCAAAUCGAGGAGUUCUACGUGCUGAACGGGCCUCUGAUCUUCCCUCCAAAGUGGAAUUACGUGUAUCUGCAUCUGCCUAUCUAAUUUUCCCUUCAAGCCUAGAUAAUUUGUAGUGAUUCUCCUUGCGUUGUCACUUGCAUGGACAUUCGCUCGCACAGGUGGUUGUCUUGGUGGCCCCUGGGCCUGGUGCGUGCGUUGUGGGGGCCAAGGUACGAUGGCAAGUUCCUGCGCAAGGCGAUCGAGGCAGUCACGCGCGGAAAGCGCAUCAACGAAACCUUGAGUAAGUUAGUGGUGCCUACGUUCGACGUGCAUAGCCUGAACCCUCGCACCUUCACCUCAUACAACGAGGACCCAAAUGAGGAGAAAGCGCUCCUGUCGGACGUCUGCAUCGGCACGUCAGCCGCGCCGACCUUCUUCCCUGCGCACCACUUUGAAUGCCCACGCCUCGACGACAAGCCGCCAUCACAAUACCACCUCAUUGACGGCGGUGUGGUCGCCAACAACCCAACCAUGACUGCCAUAACGAGCGUUACAAGGCAGCAACUGCACGGGAAUGAUGACUUCCACAUCGAACCCGUGGAUUACAAGAAAUACCUCGUCAUCUCCGUCGGGACCGGGGUUGAAGUGAAGGAAAAGGGGACAUACACAGCCAAAGAAUGUGCCAAGUGGGGUGCCUUAAAAUGGGUGCGCAACAGGGGCGACAACCCGAUCGUCAACAUCUUCUCCCAAGCCAGCGCCUUCCUGGUCGACUGGCAGGUCCGCUUGCUCUUACGCAAGCCCCCAAAGCAGGAGCAGAACUACCUCCGCAUCCAGGCUCAGGUACGUAGUACUCCCCACUAUGGUAUUUAAGUACAUCGAUGUCCGUACAAAAACUAACGCAUUCAUGUAUGUAUAGCCUCCGUUGUUCGUUGAGGACGUGCUGAAAAUGGACAACGCCGAUCCUACCAACAUGGGUAAACUCGUCACCAUCGGCAAGCAGCUGCUGGGUGAAAAUGUGGCUACGAUGCACUUAACCAUGGGGACGUACCUGCCCGACCCAAACGGGGGCACAAACAGAGAAGCGCUCACGCGCUUCGCCAAGUUGCUCGUCAAGGAGCGCAACCUGCGCCUUGGGGGAAAAAAAGAAGACAAGGUGGAUACUCUACGGUCUGACCCAUCAACGUCUACACCGCCAGUUACAAAUGACACGCAAAGUGCAGACCAAUCUUCAGAGGCUCCCAAGGAGAUAGAGUUUGAAACGGAUACUCUACUUUUUAUGGACAGAGUCUUGGGACGAGGGCAAUGAGUAUGGCAUUCUGGAUUUAUUUCUGUAUAAUUACUACUUUGCUACUCAUUGCGCCAUGCAGCGUGUGCGUGUACACGAAUUGGCUGCUUUCAUUUCUUUCUUUCCGUGUGGUGUGCCAGAAGCGUGCUGCCAGAUUUAUCACUUCGUGGGAAAGCACGAGCUCAAAGUGAUUACGCAUGGCCGCAUUGCAAUGGAGGAGGACCGAGUAGCUGUGGGAUGGCACAGCCGGUAACCAGCUCAGUCCAACGCCCAAAUUUGAAUUUGUGUCUCUCUUUCCAUUUGUAUCAGAUCCGACGGCUUGCUAUAUGAGUCCUGUCGAUAAUUUAAAAGAACAGAAAAACAAAGAAAAUGCUGCAAGUUUUAUGCAGCGCCAAUCGGCAUGUGUCUCCUUCAACCACCUGUAUUAUGUAUGCAUGAGUUUAUAUCCUCGUAUGUGUUUGUGUUGUGUGUUUGAUACAAUUGGCGACUGCAUAUAUGGCACCCUGAGCCUUUUUUUGGGUGUUGCCCAUGUUGCUUGUAGUUCUCUCUCUAUCUCUCUAGAGUCUAAAUUAUUAGACAGAGCGGAGCGACGACUCAAAAGCUAACACAAUAGAUAAUGGAAAGUAGCAGGCACCUUUGUCGAAAAAGCAGGCACAUGCAUGCUUGGCGCGCGCGACAUUGCGUUGCUCAUGUUGUGUGAAAUAUCGGAGCAGUUUCUUGGUUGCAACGUGGCUUAGACCUCCAAUAAAUGUAGGCACCAAUAUUUUUUAUCUAAUUAUGUGUCCACAUAUAUACCAUAUGUCUUCGUUCGUCAAGGAUGAGCCAUCGCUGCUGCAACAUGUCUUCCGAGGCUGCUGGCGGUAUGGCACGUCCCCUCCAUCUAUAGAUCGGGUUUGAUGCGGCUCAAGAGGUGACACAUGCAUCUCUUUCAGAGUCGUCGUGCACUGCGCGUCGCUACCGGCGGAUGCUACGCAUGACGUCUCAUGUGGGGACGUCAAGUCAUGCCUGCUACCGGGACAUGCUGCACGGUGGCCCUGGGUGAGGUCUCAUGUCUAGCCUAUUGCUGCUGGACUGAAGGUGGUGCGGCAGUGGCGGGAGGCAGGCAAUAUGGGACGCCUGUCUUCUGGUGUCUCCUUCAGAGGUAUCCGAUUAUCGAGGCGCCGGUAUCCGGAUAAGGUAUGAUGGUACAUACAGCUUCAACUAAGACUUUAUGCACUCUGGUGGAAACACAAGAUCUUUGAUUAGGCUAUGCCGAUGCGCCAUCAUCGGAGAAGGUGGUGGAUAAUGCUUGGCUUUGGGGAUGAGAAUCCAGAAUUCAACCUUGUGUUGGACUCACCAUCAUCGGCGCACGUGCAGCGAUUCCUUCGUGACGGCGUAGCCUAGGAAUAGUGUAUUUUUUUAGUUUUGUCGUCUUGGAACAUAAGGUUAGUGAUUAUUUAGUGGAGUUACUAUCGCGAGGCAUGCGGCCUUCGGUUUUCCUUUUUGCUUUAUUUCCGGGUCAAUGUUGUUCGGCUGCUGAAUUCUGCAUUCUUAAUAAUAUAUGACUGUAUGCAUCGUCCUGAUACAGAGGCCGUGGGUUAUCGUCCUUUCGAGAGAGAGAAAAAUGACAUGGAGAAAUCCGUCAGGGAAACGAGCAAAGCGUGUGGUCAAUCAAAGAAAGCAAAUGAGGCAUGUGUUCAUAUGGUACUUUAUCUCACUCAAGUUCAUCCGGUUCUUCGGUUUGAAAAGAGCAGUGAAGGUGAGAGGGAGACAUGACUAGGUGAGAUUAUGCCAUGAAUGAUCAUAGUUAUAAAUUGUUACUUUUCUGUCUAUUGUCCAACCGUAAUUUGUUAGCAUGCCACUACCUGUUGUCAAGAGAUAUGCCACUAGUGAAACUAUGGCCCUUUGCGUUGAUUCCUUCACCAUAAAAUCUCAUAUAUUCCAAAAAAAUCAUAUUAAAUAGCCAUGGUGUUUUGACCUUCCUAGAUAUUGAUUUUCUGUAAAACAAAAAAAUGCAAAAAAAUUGUAACUGCUAAUGGGCACUAGAUUAAUAGAUUAGUCAAAAAUAAUAAUAUAAAAGUGCAUCAAAACCAUUAAUAAAUGAUGUAUAUACAAUAUGAAUACUUUGGAAAUUAUAAAUAUGUUGGAGACGUAUCAGUGAUAAACCUCGACUUCUAAGUAUGAUUGUGUUAUGAACUACUAUGUAAAAUUAUCCACUAUGUGGUCUUAAUCUAGUUUGAAACUUGAGUUUUGAAUAAGAUGUGUGUGCAUAAUUUUGAUUUUAGGAUUUAAAUUUUAGGGUCAGUUAGCUCCACACCUUUUUAAGUCAUCUUAUUUGUGAAGUUAAGAUUUGAGGAAAAACUUGAGGGAAAUGUUUUGAAAGUUUGGUUAGAUUUGCCAUAAGUCAACACCGUGUCGCUCCGAGUAAGGGUCUGAGGUGUUGGUCGGCCAAUCCUAUUUGCCGCUUACUAAAAUUGCCAUGAAAUCACACAGUGAACGUGAGAUUGGGUAGGCCCAUUUAGCUACCUACAUGCUACAGGAAUCCCGGUUUUUCCCAGAACCUUUUAGAAAGUUCCGGUAAGAUUUUUUUUCAUUUGUUUUUCUUUUCACAAUUUUUUUAGUACACUUUGCCUUCUAUAAAAAAUAGUUAUUUUUUGAAGAAAAAUAAAAACCAACUCAAAACCAAAAGAACCACUCGUGUCAAUAGCGAGGCUACUACAGUAUUUCACCAAACGUUCUUAUUUAUUUUGCUUUCUUAUCUGGUUUUCUUCAUAUUUUGUUUGCUUAAAUUACACAUCUUAGAAAAUAUAAAAUGUUCACAUAUGUCCAAAAUGUUUGAGGAUGUAAAAAAGUUCCAUACGUAUUUCAAAAAGUUUUUAUACGCCUAUUUGAAAAGGUUCAUCAUGUGAUUAGAAAAAGGCCCCACUGGUUAUUAAUUCAAGCAUGGACUUUAGUAUAACUUCUGAUUUGGAUUUGGAGGGACCGCCUCUCCAUCAUCUUCUAGCCAGCCAGCCAACUCUUAUUAGAGAAGGCUGUCGAGGUACUCGUCAACGGUGUACCUCACGUCGGGGUACAGCUCCGUGGCCUUUGACUCAAUCGGUGUACAUCAUGUGAUUUCACACUCUGAAGAAUGAACCAUCUCCACAAGCUCCCUAACCAGAAUAUCAGGAGGCUCAUGCAACCAAACAGAAGAAACCUUAUUACAAUAACUGAAGUUUGCUAUCACAUGAGCUGCACGGUUAUAAUAACGUAAGCAGUGCUUGUAGAUGACCUUCCCGAUCGAUGAACUUAAAUCGACACAUUCUGCAAAGAGCGCUGCCGCUUCAUCCCACCAUCUUGUUUGACCCGAACAGAAAUUGAUAACUUGUAAAGAGUCAGAUUCCGCCUCCAGACAGCUAAAUCCCAGUGAGUUAGCAAAUACCAAUCCGUCCCUCAUUGCCAUGGCUUCUGAUGUAAUCGCAUCCACUGCCACUGGGAGGAGCUUGCAUUGGGCCGCAAUAAAACUUCCCCUUCCAUCUCGUAGGACCACCGAGGUAGCACCCACCCCUUCAUCUGAGAAGAAGGCCGCAUCAACAUUCAUUUCAACGGAACCUGGGUUCGGUUUUGUCCAUUUCGCUUCAGGCACGCUCAAGGGACCUGCAUGUAUUGUUGCAAAGUUACGUAUUAUAGAGAGGACCAAAACAGGCCAUCUCCAUGUUGGCGGAACCUGUUCAUUAUGAGUAAUCUGCCUCCUUAUCCACCACAGAUACCAUGCCCCCACCAUCAGACCUUGCUUAAACUCGACGUUAGGGUGUAUGGAUAGUUGAUUCUCCGGUAGAGAUAGAAUGUGUUCAACAAUAACAGACCCCGACCGAUCAACCACAGCUGAGUGAUCGAUGACAUCCAUCAUACCCAGUCGCCUCCACAACUCCUUUGCAUUAGUGCACAAGAACGAAAGGUGUUUAGGAUCCCCCGCUCCCUGAUGACAAAUCGGACAGGCCCCAUCCGAUCCUACAUGCCGGUUCAUUAGGAUUGAUUUUAGUGGGAUGAUCCCUCACAAUAUUCUCCAACCAAAUUUGAACUUUACGUGGCACCUGAAGUUUCCAUAGAGUAUUCCAAAUAUCCAAGGGUGCGGAUCCAGUCGGGCUCUCUACCCUGUUUGCAUGCGCCCUGAAAGUAUGAUUCCACUGAAGAUGGUAGGCCGUUUUGACAGAGAAAAUCCCUGUUCGGUUAGGUUGCCAAGCAAUGAAAUCUUCGAAGGCUUGCGGGUAUAUGGGAUUUGCAUAAUCCUCCGUACAUCCACUGCCCAAAAUAUAUCUCUUAGUAACUCAUCCCAAGUUCCAGUCAACGGAUCCAUCAAUUCACAAACUCUUGUCAGAAGUGUUUGGUUAUGAGGGGUGAUCACUUUCCUGUCUGCGCUGGUAGGGAUCCAUGGGUCGUUUCAGAUAUUCACAUGUUCUCCCGUACCAAUUUUCCAAAUAUAUCCUCUUUUGAAUGUUUCUAAUCCUUUCAGUAUGCUUUGCCAUGUGAAGGAAGACCCGUUUUUCGGGGUAGCUUCUAAGAUACUCCCAUUAGGGAAGUAUUUAGCUUUCAACACACGAGCCACUAGGGACUCCGGCUCUGUUACAAUCCUCCAGCACUGCUUUGCAAGCAUUGCAAAGUUAAAAAGAGUAUAGGUCUCGAAAUCCCAUUCCACCUUCACUUUUGGGGAUGCAAAGCUUUCACCAUGCCAUCCAAUGCAUCCUCUUGUGAUCCUCACCGUCCCCCCACCAAAACUGAGCUAUGAUAUCUGUAAUCUCUUUACAAAUCCCCUUUGGAAUACAGAAAACUGACAAAGCAAAUACUGGGAUAGCUUGUGCAACAGCUUUCAGUAAAAUCUCUUUGCCCCCAACAGAAAGUUGUUUUUUCCAUUCACCCUAAUAUUUUUUUAUCCUUUCAACAAAAUGCCUGAAAGAAUCACUCUUAUCUGCCCCCACAAUAGCUGUAAGACCCAGAUAUUUGUCUAACAAGGCUUCUAUAUCAAUAUGAAGUAUUUGACCAAUUUCUGCUUUUGUUACCUCACUGGUAUUAGGGCUGAAAUAUAUGCUUGAUUUAGCCAGGCUCACCAUCUGUCCAGAACUUGCACAAUAGGCAUCCAGAACUUGCACAAUAGGCUCACCAUCUAAUCCCAUCCAUGCCACCAACUUCUUCUUCAUACUGCAACAUGCUGGAUAAUCCUUCUGCACAUAGAAGGAACAAAUAGGGAGAAAGGGGAUCCCCUUGUCUAAUCCCCCUUGAGGGAAUAAAUAUUUCAGUUUCUUGAGAAUUUACCCUCACCUUGUAUCUUACCGAAGAGACACACACCAUGAUCAUAUCUAUCCAUUGUGUGUUAAACCCCAGUUUCUCCAUCAUUCUCAUGAGAAAGAUCCAUUCCACUUGAUCAUAGGCCUUAUGCAUAUCUAGCUUGACUGCACACAGACCAGCCACCCAUGCCCUCUUAUUCUUGAUUUUAUGAACACAUUCAUAGGCAAUCAAAACAUUAUCUGUGAUAAGUCUCCCAGGAACAAAAGCACUCUGAGAAGGUGAUAUGAUCUAAGGUAGGAUACCCUUCAGUCUACCAGCCAACAUCUUGGAAAUGAUUUUAUACAGCACAUUGCAUAAGCUUAUAGGUCUAUAUUGUGUGAUUAGUUUAGGAGAAUCAACUUUGGGAAUCAGCGCAAUAGAUGUAUCAUUCCAUUCCUCUGGAAUCUGCCUUCUGUUAAUAGCAAACAGAACUUCUUGGGUUAUCUCAUCUCCUAAUAUGCCCCAAUAUUUUUUGAAGAAAAUGGCAUGAAGGGCAUCCGGCCCGGGGGCUUUAAGAUCCCCAAUACCGAACACAGCUUUUCGCACAUCGUCAGCAGUAUAAGGGGCCAUUAACAUAUCAUUCAUUUGAUCUGUCACUUUAGUUUGUACUUUAUUUAUAACAGCAGGGUCUACAAAAUUAACCUCGGAUGUAAACAGGUUACUAAAGUAGCCUCUUAUAUGUGGCUUUAGGGCGUCCAUACCUUCCAGAAUAUUUCCAUUCUCCUCCAUCAGCUUUUUAAUCAUAUCCUUUUUACGUCUAGCACUUGCAUAGGCUUGGAAGAACCCCGUGUUGCGGUCUCCAUGUUUCAGCCAUCCCGCUCUUGAUCGCUGCAUGUAAUGAAUUUCUUCUAACUCAAGCAAGGAUUCGAUAAGCUCUGAGAUCUCCUUCCUUUUCUCCUCACUGGCUUCAUCCAUUGGACCAGUCAUAACUUCCUCAAGCUCUCUUUGCGCUUUCCCAAGUCUCUUCUUUGGUUUCUUCAGCACCCUUUGAUCCCAGUCAUGAAACGAGGCAUGCAUGCUGUUUAGUUUCUCCUGGAUGGUUGUGAGGUUCGGAUUCAAAUUUGCUGCAUGCCAUGCCUCUUGUACUAUCUCCGGGAAAUCUCUUUCCCUUAGCCAUCUCGCACCAAACCGCUUUGUACGUUCUCCACCACCGUGCGCUGGAGCAUAGUACUCUGUAUCAACCUAAAUUGGACGGUGGUCCGAGUGAUUGUAUAGCAUGUUUUGCAGUGCCGCCGAUGGGUACAUAGCUUCCCAAGAGGCGUUGAUUAGCCCUCUGUCCAACCUCUCCCUGAUUCCACCCCUCUGCCACGUGAACCGAUCGCCUAUAUAACCCAUGUCCCGCAAUUCACAGUCGUCAAUCACCGAUUGGAAGGCCUGCAUGUACUGCGGCGGUCUCGGGUUUCCUCCUUCCUUUUCAGACAAGAAUUGAAUUUCAUUCAGGUCCCCAAUCAGUAGCCACGGCAUAUUGUUGUCUUGGUGCAAACGGCGCAUUCUCUCCCAUGUUUUAUAUUUGUGCGCCCACCUGAAUUCACCAUACAUCCCCGUACACCUCCACACUGAAUGUCUUUCAUCCUCCACUUGUACAUCAAUGAACAUUGGGUCUAAAAUUAGUGGAAGAAUCUUUAUUUCCUUUUUCCAUAGCAUCACCAAACCUCCCUUUCUACUAUCACCAGGACAAACUAUUUUAUGAUCCAUCUUCAGUCUUCUCCUCAAACAUUCACCCGGAAAGCUUUCUAGGCGUGUCUCCGACAAAAACAUCACAUCUGGGCUACAACUUCGCUGGACGUCCAGCAAAGCACGAACUGCCGGGGCGCUCCCAAGCCCCCGACAGUUCCAACUUAAUAGUUUCAUUGCGCCCGGCGGUCCCCUCCGAAAUGGGCCGCCGAUCUCUCAUAAUCUGUUUCUUGCUCUAUCUCCUCUACGUUGCUCAGCACUUCUCCAUUCACUCCUUUGAGCUUCUUCCUGUUGGCAUUCUUUUGGGGGGUAAUUGCUUGGUUCUCUGAGCAGCUCGGUUCUUCAUCCUCUCCUUCAUAGCGAUGUAUUAAGUUUGAUACGACCGAUUUCGCAGUUUUGCCCACCAGUACCAUGGCUAAGUUUUCUGCCCCUGCUGCAGUCGAAUCCUCCAUUGUUCUUUUUCCCAAACAGAUUCCCGCCCCUACUAUGUUCUCAACAUGUUCCAAUCCUCUGGUAUUACUUGCCUGGUGUAUUGCCAACGAUUGACCCGUUUCUACAGCCUUCAUCACUCUCACAUCCUAACUCGGGAUGGUGGUGCUUGGGUUUAGCAUAUUCUCAUCCUCAUCCCUUGCACUCCUCAUUGCCGUUUCGCCCGCUGCAUCAGACCAUGACCUUGAUUCCGAUCAUUCCUUGACUUCCGUCCCUUCCUUCUUUUUGAUUACCUGUUCGAGUGUUCGUCAUCUUCGACGGCUCGACCCCUGGUUCGACUCUCCUGUCUUCUCGUCCUGAGGAAUGGCGGCGACACGGGCACACAUCGCUACGCAACUACGGCAGGUACGACUGUACGAGCACGUCUCCUUGCGCAGUCGCGCCUAACGCCCAAUGCUUUCACCUGUACUGUUUUCCUAUUCUUCCUGUUUCUUUUCUAGUCCUAAAUUCUCGAAUCUCGAUUGAUCUAACAGGGAAGGGAAUUGUCGCAUACUCGCAUUGUCGGUGCUCGCGCUCGAAUCAUUGCACACGGCGCACAGAAUAAAAUUGUAGCCACAUUAAAUUAGAGAGAAUGUACUAUACUAUGCCCUAGACUUCAAUAAUCGAUCUUGUGUCUAACAUAGCUUUUUGCUAAUUUUAAAAGCUAAUUGUUCCUUUUAAUUUCAGAACCAUCAUGUCAGGCUUAGGCAGAAAUUAUUCAGAAAGAAUUGCUUGAUGAAAAUGAUAUUGAUAUUAUCAUUAGAGAUUUUGCAUCUCGGAACAUUAAAAGCAAUUUUGAAGGUAUUAUGUAAUAUUUUAUUCUAUAUGCCCACUAAUUUUGGAUGGACUUGAUUGCUUUCUUUGGUACAAUUUUUAUAUCUUCAUAUGUUAAUUACUAUUAAAAUUUAUACUAAAGGCCUCGAAGGGUCCCGGAUUAUUGUUUCGUCCCGGGCCCCUGAAUUCUCAGGACCGGCCCUGCACAUACCUUGCCAGGGUACAUGUUAAUGAUGGAACCUAGUCCUCACGUCGACCACAUCCAGAGCGUUGUCGAUCGCCAUGUUCCACUAAUGAACUCAACCCCGAUCCCGUCCAGCUGCCGACUACAGCACGGGAAGACAGGCACAACACGGCUUGGGCACGCGUCCUCCAUCUACACAGCGCGGCAGCAUGUCACGGCGAACAGUACAGCGGCGCAGUCCCACGUUGCCUCCGCUCGCCCUACUUCGCAGGCAUCAAGCCAAGCCGUCGCGGCCGUGUCCCAGAGAUGAUGUGGCGUUUGAAUCCCAACCCACAGUGGCUAGGUUCGCCGACACAAGGCGGCGACCGGCAGGGAAGGCCAGGACCAGCAUGGAAGAACCAGCGGGGUAGGAAACAAGAGAGAGAGGGACAAGGGCGGCGAGCGAGGAUGGAAGCGGGAGAGAAGGGGAGGGGAGAGGCAGGAGGGCCAUGCAGCGGCGGCGCUAGGGGUAAUCGGGGAGAGGAGACGUCCAGGCCCAGAAUGAAGGCGGCGGCAGCUCCUCUCGGACCUCAACGUCGGCGAUUGCGGACCUCGGCGGUGUGUCCGGACGGCGACCUAGAAGUCCGCAAUGAAGACGGCGGUGGCUCCUCGGACCUCGGCGGUGGCGAAGUGCUCCGCUAUGGCCGCUGGGGCGUCCUUAGCGAUCAACCUAGGGAACAGAUUUAUUUUCUUUUUUUGCGGGAUAACAGAUUUAUUUUCGUUACAUGCAAGGUGGAGAUGAAAAAAAAACAGAUGGUGGUGGAAAGAGAGACAGAAAAAAUGAAACGAAGAUGGCAGAUGAGACAAAAAAACCCGUGGAACGGAGACUAACAACUCCCCCUAUUGAACAUCUGACACAAAAGGGGGAGUUGUUCCCUCUUUAGAAGUAGAGAUUGAUGGAACAGAAGGCAAGAGUAAUUGACCACACAAAUGUGGGUUCGGUGUUACCUCAUAUAUAUAGACAGAUAAUCAUGGAAACAAAUCAAUACAAUCAUAACCAUAAUGACCCGAUUUAUAUGCAAAUAUAGGAGCACUACAUAUGGCAGGCUAUGACCAGAUCGGAUUGCCUAACAGCCCCCCGCAGUCACAACGGAAGAUUCUCGGACGCUGAGACUGGACCGAAAAUCCAAGAACAAUGGCGAUGGCAAGCCUUUGGUGAAGAUGUCCGCGAACUGUCGGGAAGAAGGCACAUGAAGAACUGGAAUGUGCCCAAGCGCAACACGAUCUCGAACGAAGUGAAGAUCGAUCUCGAUGUGCUUGGCAUGCUGAUGCUGAACGGGGUUCGUGGACAUGUAGAAGGCGCUGACAUUGUCGCAAAAAACGACUGUGGCAGCAGGGAGAGGUCGGUGAAGCUCCUGGAGGAGUUGGCGAAGCCAACUUGCUUCAGCGACGGCAUUAGCGACAGCUCGAUACUCUGCCUCGGCGCUAGAGCGGGAGACGUGUGCUGGCGCUUGGAGGACCACGAGACCAGGUUGUCACCAAGGAACACACAGUAGCCAGAGGUCGGUCGGCGAGUGUCAGGACAACCAGCCCAGUCUGCAUCAGUGUAAGCAACAAGGCCGUGGUGCAGGGUACCUGUCGGGGAUAUGUCCCGCGGUAUGACCCGGCUGAAAUUGGCGACUCACUGGUGACCCGCCCGGAGCUUGGCGAUUCAUAGAUAACCUGCCCGAUCUUGGCGACUCAUUAGUAACCCGGCGGGCGGGUCAGAUAAAAGACUAGGCCCAAGGCCCAGAAGGCCGGCUCAUGUUAUGGUGGGCCGGCUUAAGAAGGAAGGGAUGACGAAUAUUUCCUUUACGAGGAAGCAAGACCCGGACUUGUAAUUAACUUGUAAGAGAAGAUAGACUAGUCCUAGUCCUACUAGGACUCCACAUGUAACCCGCCCCUCUAACUUAUAUAAGGAGGGGCAGGGCACCCCAAAGAGGGACAGGCAACAAGAAACAAUCUCUAAGGCUAGACACAAAGAGCCGGCUUACCGGCGACUCUCUCAUGAGCAUAAUGAGACCUAGCCUCAAACAGCACGUAGGGUUAUUACCGGAUGAUGUUUCCCGGGGCCCGAAGCUGUCUAAACCCUUGUCUUGUGCGUUGAUCCGCCCUGCGUCUCUUAUCCCAAUCAACCCCUCUCAAGCUACUACAUAGAUGCGCUGGCCUCACGACUAAGUCCUUACACCUAGGACAUCUGACGUGUCAAUUCCACGACAGUACCCUUGACAUAGCGGAGAACACACUUGACCAAGGUCAAGUGCUGGUCACGGGGAUCAUGCAUGUGAAGACGAAUCACGGGGAUCGUAUUCGAAUCAGCAUCGUUAAAACAACUCUCAAGGUCAUUUGGGGGCUUCCUGUUCAAACAUAGGUCGUAUUCGAAUCAAAGAGAACAUAGCCGUCGGUACCCUCUUGAUCGGCAACGCCAAAGCCACUGGGGGCUAUAUGAUCGUAUUCGAAUCUUAGCUUAACCCCUUUGGGACGGUUUUCUGAUCGUAUUCGAAUCAGAAGCCUCAAAAUUGUUGAAGUCUCUUUUUGCAAACAAUUUUUGGAUUUUAUUUGAAGCUCUUUUUCAUAUGUAAAGUGUAUAUGAGUGGUUUCUAUUUAAACCCGGCUUGAUUUUCGAUGAUAAGUCGCCGGCUUAUGACCAUCAUCAUAUAUUUGGAAGUAUUGGCUUCUAAGGAUUGGGUUAUCACCCUUACUGCAUAGGUCAUGUAAACCAGCAGUACAAAUUCAAUAUCACAGUGGUUAUAUGUGAGAUAUUAUGACCCGCCCUGCGUAAACCGCCAAGGGUUCUUGUGAUCUACUUGCGUGCAGGAUAAGACUACAUUUGGGUGGUUACCCGCCAUGGUUUUUGACGUUAAGUCGCCAGGGCAUAUGUUGUUUAAACUUUGCAGGAUUUACAGAGCUAUGACUUACAUAAAUGAUUAAAUUCAAGCCCAUCAUAGAUGGAAAUUGGUGUCUCAAAAGGGUUAUCAAUUCUUAAUUUUCUCAAAGGCUAUAAGCCGCCGGGUUGUACAAAUUCCGGCUUACAAUGGAGGCGUAUUAAAUCGGCAUCGGCCAAGAGCCGCCGGGUAUUUAAACUCCGGAUUGGCCUAUCAGCAGAUGAGGUAUUCAAAGUCACUUUGGCGCAAUGGCUAUUAUUUUAUCAAUUGAUAUGAUUUAUUCUACAAUGGAAAGAAUAGUCCCGAGUCGCUACAGGCUUACGACCCGGCACUUGGGGACUACAUUAUUCAAAUUGAGAUUACAUCAAAUGUGCAAGUCCCAUGUCACUGCCAGCAUGCACCAUGGCACUUGGGGGCUAAUGCAAGAUUACUUUUUAUUGGCCUUGUUGAAGACCCGACUCAUCAUAUUAUGAUAAACCGACCCUUGGGGGCUACCAAUUGCUCCUGUCAACAAUUCAAGGUACAUAAGUCUUAAUCCAUUAUAUUGAAGGAUCCACUGUUUAGUUGGUAAAGCACAAAGCUCUUAACCUUGUGGACGUGGGUUCAAGCCCCAUGGUGAGGGUUACAUCAUAUGAUUAUUUUCAAUGAAAAGUCCCAGCUCAGUAUUAUCUUACUAAGCCGGCCCUUGGGGGCUACACAUUGCUGUUCAAAUUUACAUGAUCAUAUUUAUAAAGUCCCUGCUCAUUAUUGCAUAAUGACCAGGCCCUUGGGGGCUACACUGGUUGAAAUUUUUGAGAAUCAGGCAAUUACAAGUCCCAGGUUGCUGCAAGCAUGACAACCCGGCACUUGGGGGCUACAUAAUAUGGAAUAUUCAGUUUGUACUAGUGAUUGGGAUGAACAACAUGGAUUUCUUCAAAGUGGCAGUAUUCAUAUUGAAGCAAGUCUUAAGCCAUCGCUUUGUUCUGCUCAAGACUUGGGGGCUAUAGGUAUUAUAUUAUUAUCAAAGAAAUAUCUUCAAUUUCUCUGUUUUGAGCAAAACCAGAUUGAUCCGGUGUCACCAAUCAUUAUGACCCUGUGUCUGUAAACCGGCGUCAUUAACAAUCAUAAACCGGCGUCGGCGACAAUUAUGACUUGGCAUCAUCUAUUUAUAACCCGGCAAUUUUGGUACUCAUAAACCGGCAAGUUUUAUAUCUUUAAGCCGGAUGAAUAUAAGUUGAAUAUUUGAAGACCAAUAUUUUUGUCAAGUCAGAGCAUUGAAAGCCGAUUCAAGUGGAUUGUUUCUUACAAUAUUUCUCUACAAGAGACCAAUGCCAGCAAAUUGACUCUGAAGCUGGCCUAUUGACCCGGAUUUCUCAAAAGAAGUAUCUGGAUUUUUUGCAUUCACAAAGUUUGAACAUAUCUAUUAAAGGAGAUUUUCUAUGAAUUCAUGGGCAUGUAUCAAGAAAGAAAUGACAAGGAUUUAAAGAUGAUCAGGUGCCGACUUACAAAAUUUAACCCGGAGCACAACCUAUCAAGUAUGUUCUUGUGUUUAUUUUACAGGAUCAAUUUAACAUGGAUAAAUCCAAAUUAAACUGGGGGCUAAUGUCGGGGAUAUAUCCCGCGGUAUGACCCGGCUAGAAUUGGCGACUCACUGGUGACCCGCCCGGAGCUUGGCGAUUCACAGAUAACCUGCCCGAUCUUGGCGACUCAUUAGUAACCCGGCGGGCGGGUCAGAUAGAAGACUAGGCCCAAGGCCCAGAAGGCCGGCUCAUGUUAUGGUGGGCCGGCUUAAGAAGGAAGGGAUGACGAAUAUUUCCUUUACGAGGAAGCAAGACCCGGACUUGUAAUUAACUUGUAAGAGAAGAUAGACUAGUCCUAGUCCUACUAGGACUCCACAUGUAACCCGCCCCUCUAACUUAUAUAAGGAGGGGCAGGGCACCCCAAAGAGGGACAGGCAACAAGAAACAAUCUCUAAGGCUAGACACAAAGAGCCGGCUUACCGGCGACUCUCUCAUGAGCAUAAUGAGACCUAGCCUCAAACAGCACGUAGGGUUAUUACCGGAUGAUGUUUCCCGGGGCCCGAAGCUGUCUAAACCCUUGUCUUGUGCGUUGAUCCGCCCUGCGUCUCUUAUCCCAAUCAACCCCUCUCAAGCUACUACAUAGAUGCGCUGGCCUCACGACUAAGUCCUUACACCUAGGACAUCUGACGUGUCAAUUCCACGACAGUACCCUUGACAUAGCGGAGAACACACUUGACCAAGGUCAAGUGCUGGUCACGGGGAUCAUGCAUGUGAAGACGAAUCUGCUGGACCGCGUAGGCGAUGUCAGGACGUGUGAACGUUAGGUACUGAAGAGCACCAGCUAGACUCCGAUACUCCGAAGGAUCAGCAACAGGUGAGCCGGCGGCAGCGGCCAGCUUAGGCGAUGUGUCCACCGGUGUUGAGGCAGGGUGGUAGGAGCUCAUGCCAGCACGCUCGACAAUCUCGAGAGCAUACUGUGUCGGCGAGAGGAACAUCCCACUGGAGUCACGACGAACAGCAUGGCCGAGGAAGUGGUGUAGCUCGCCCAAAUCAGUCAUGGCAAACUCGGCACUGAGAGCGGUAGUGACGCGCUCAAGCAGGGUCGAUGUAGAAGCUGUGAGGAUGAUGCCGUCGAUGUAGAGGAGAAGAUAAGCAGUCCCCAUGGAACCGUGCAGAGUGAAUAGUGAUGUAUCCGACUUGGAGCAGGUGAAGCCGAAGGAGGUGAUGAAGCUCGCAAAGCGGUGAUACCAUGCACGAGGGGCUUGCUUUAGGCCAUAGAGUGCACGGUUGAGGCGGCACACAUGGUCAGGGCGAGCGGAGUCAACAAAGCCAGUUGGCUGGUGAUAAAAGACCACCUCAUUAAGACGCCCAUGAAGAAAGGCGUUCUUGACGUCGAGUUGGCGAAUCUUCCAGUUGGAGGACAGGGCGACCAAGAGGAUGACCCGGAUGGUAGCCGGUUUAACCACCGGGCUGAAGGUCUCAUCGAAGUCGAUGCCGUGUUCCUGAGAGAAUCCGCGCAACACCCAUCGAGCUUUGUAGCGAUCGAGGGUGCCAUCCGGCUUGAGCUUGUGACGAAAGACCCAUUUGCCGGAGACGACGUUGGCGUUAGCUGGCGGGAGGACAAGUUCCCACGUGUCGUUAGCGAGGAGAGCACUGUACUCGUCGGUCAUCGCUGCGAGCCAGUUCGGGUCUUUUAGAGCACCACGAACAGACUUGGGAACCGGUGAUGGAGCAGCUUCGGUGUCGACGUGGAGGUUAAGACGCUCACGCAGACCGAUGGUCUUGCCAGCUUGGCGGUGGGUCACCAUGUGGUGAGGAGCAGCCACAGCUGGUCGACGCGUUACCGGUGGAGGAGGGAAGACCAUAGGUGCCGGGGGCGGCGAGCACGGCGGUGUCGUUGUCGGAGACGAACGGGGCAUGGAGGAGGCAGCGUCGAAGGCUGCGGAGCCAGAAGCCGCGGUGUCGGAGUCGGCGGCAGAGGCCGCUGGAGAUGGGCCGCGGUCGAGCGAGACCGAGGCAGACGAGGCCGGAUGGGCCGGUGAAUGGCCCGUCGCAGGCGAAGCCGGAUGGGCCGGUGAAUGACCCGGCGUGCGCAAAGCUGGUGUGCGCGUGACCGACGUCCGCGCGGCCGAGUGGACCGGCGUGGACGGUGCCGAGUGGGCCGCCGUGCGCGAGGGUGAUGAGGCCGGCUCGGAGGUUGUCGGUGAGGAGGCGAGGCGCUGUCCAGCGGACCGAGACGACCCAGCGGAGGGACGCAACCCAACAUGCAUGGGUGGCACGACGACUGAGUCGAGUAUGUCGAUCGGAUCAUCGUCCGAGGGAGGUGUAUAGGCAUGCUGCUGCAUGUUAGAGACAGAAAAAAAGAGGAGCGAACGGGAACCGAGUUUCGUCAAAAAUCACAUGGCGAGAGAUGAUGAUGCGACGAGUUUCAAGUUCCAUGCAACGAUAGCCACGGUGGUUAGAUGGAUAGCCACGAAAAACACAUGCGACUGAACGGUGUGACAGUUUGUGAGACAUAGUAGACGCGAUGUUGGGGUAGCAUAAACAACCAAAAGUAAGAAGAAGGGUGUAGUCUGGUGUUCUGCUAAAAAGAGUGAAGAAAGGACAUGAAGCCGCAAGGGCUUUGGUGGGUAAUCUAUUGAGAAGAUAGGUGGACGUAUGGAGAGCUUCAACCCAAAAUUUUGGAGGCAUGCUCGCUUGAAAAAGCAAAGUACGAACUACGUCGUUGAUAGUGCAAAUGAUGCGUUCAGCUUUACCGUUUUGUGGAGAGGUGUAGGGGCAUGAGAAACGUAGGAGGAUCUCGUGCUGGACGGAUAGAUCCUGAAGGGCGCGAUUGUCGAAUUCGCGGCCGUUGUCGCAUUGGAUCGCUUGGAGAGAAAGAGAGAACUGUGUAUCGACAUAAGUACGAAAGUUAGACAAAAGAGCAAAAGCUUCAGAUUUUUGCCGCAUGGGAUAUGUCCAUGCAUAGUGAGUGAAAUUAUCUAAAAUGACAAGAUAAUAUUUAUAACCAGAUACACUCUCAAUAGAUGAAGUCCACAAAUCACAGUGAAUUAACUCAAACGGUCUAUGAGUAUGAGUGGUAGAAGCAAAAAAAAGGUAAACGGACAUGACGGCCAAGUUGACAAGCAUGGCAUAAACUAGGAUCCUUGUAUACUUUAUUUAUAGGAAGCGAGGAUGACGAGACGAGGCGCCGGAACGCGUCAUGACCGGGGUGGCCGAGGCGCCGGUGCCAAAGGGUGGACUCGACGGUGAUGGCGGUGAGAGCUUGCGGCGAGGUAGUGAGCGGAUAGAGGUCACCCGAGCUACUGCACCUGAGAAUCACGCGCCCUGUCCUGAGAUCCUUCACAGAAAAAGCCCAAGGGUCAAAUGCAACCGAGCAAUAGUUGUGAGUGGUAAAUUGACGAACUGAGAUUAAAUUCUUAACAAUACCAGGAGUAACAAGGACAUCACAAAGAGUGAGAUGAUGAGAGGUGGGGAGACGAACAUGUCCAGAAUGAGUGACAGGAAUAGAAGAACCAUCACCAACGAUGACAUGUUGAUGUGGAGGUGUUCGACGCGUUUUUGUCGCAAUUUUAUGAAAAUAUGGCACCAAUAGAAAGGUACAAGCGUGUAUAUGGAAGUGACAAAGAUGUUGAUGUUCUUUGAAAAAUAAUAUCGAAACCAACCGGCGGAGAGCAUUAUGUAUGCCUACCUGUACGUAGAUCUAAUUAACUUGAUUAGCUAGCUGUGCAUGCAAUGAGCCAUGCAUGGCUCACGUGCGCUAUGAAGAAUGAAGUAUAUUAUGUGUGUAUCCAUGGAUGUGUCCAUGUGGUACGUGCUAGUGUAUAUGUACAUAUCUAAUUAAAUGGCCAAGUUGUACCGGAAGCAAACGACCAUACAUUCAUGUAUGCCCGAUCGAUCAGGUCGUGGUGCGCCGCGUGCUUAGUCGCAUACAUGCGCGUCAACAACUCAAUGACCAGCCGGAUAAGUACCAAAGAACAGAUAACUAUGAUCCUCACAAGUACGUACUUAUCUGUCCCAAGAAAAUCGGCAACAACAUCAACUAGCCCGCGCGGCUCUCUGCCUAUAAAUACGAGAGAGCAGAUUGAUUGGUGGGGAGGCAGGAGAGGAGACGCGUCCGUGGCGGCUGCGUCGUGGAGAUCAGGCAGCAGUGACGCGGCCGCGUGUGGAGGACGCGCCGGCGUAGCACCUGCCUCCUGUCCAGCUGCAGCGGCCGUGGUGUACUAGCAGGAGCUCAACGCCGGCAGCCGCGGCAGAACGCCCCCUAUCGAAGAAGGCGGCAGCGCGGCGCCGAAGACGGCGUUGGCAGUGUCCGAUCCUCAAGACGCGCCGGCGUGCGGCAAAGGUGACAUGGCCGUUACCACGUCCAAGCUAUCAUUCGUGGUGCCUGCAGGCUGCAGCUACCGGAGGUGUCCGAAGACAUCAUGCAUGGAUGUCCAGCUUCUCUGCAUCCAUGAUACGUGUAUGUUCUUUUCUCCUCUCGAUCUCCCAUCUAACAGGUACAGUACAUGGAGGCGACCCAGGGAGGCGAGGACGACCCCGCGGCAGCGCGCACGGCGCGUGCGCCCGGGACAGCCAAGAAACCAGAGGCUGGACGGAGGAGAUGCGUGAGCCCUUGGUGGCGUGCGACGGCGCCCCCACACAUGCGCCCAUGCAAAGGAAGCAGCGGCGGCAGCGUGCCGGCCGCCGGAGUCAACGAUGGUCGUGUCCGCAAGGCCGGGAAGUUGCGCCGCCGGCGGUGGCGCACACUUGGCGCUUCAUGUGGACUUGUCCAAGCUAGCUCCACGGAAAUAAUCAUCACGAGACAUCUCAUGCGGUAUAUACAUAUAUCUCGUUCUCUCGGCCCCUAAUAUUUCAGGUAAUCGCCAUGGAGAAAAGCAGUGGGAGGAGACCUCAAGACCAUCGGGAGAUUGCACCCGGAGGAGGGACCCGGCCAAGAGGAGACGCGCCUGAGGUGGGAGCGUCGAGAACCGGAUGACGCGUCGGCGGCCGCGCGCGCCGAGCACGGCGACCUCACAUACGCAUGAAGGCCAACACAUGACCAGUUGAAGAUGCUCCCACGGCCGCGGCGGCGAGGAGAUCGCGAGGACGUGCCCAUGGCAAAGGCAUGCUCCGCGAGCAUGCCAUACACCCUGGUCGUCCGGCGGCUGCAGAUACAUGAAGGAGCCCGCACAACAGGCCCUAGCACUCAGGGCGGCCGCGGGCGCCACCCAUGGUGCCUUCUUCGAUCGGCGUCUUCAUCCAUCUACACCACCACAAGGCUGGCGGCGUGUAGCACGACACCAACUCCACCUUGGCGGCGACAUCGGGGAGGCCAGCGGCAUCCGGCCCGACAUCAUCUACACCACCAUGAAGAAAAAGCUGGGAUGCCAUCUCCACGUGGUCGAUGAGACAGUUGCGGCAGCGACGUAGUACGUGCCACAACAAGGCUCAAGAUGGCGGCAACCUAGUGCGCGCCCAUGAAGACCGCGGCGACAACGACGAACGUCAGCAGUGGUGUACAAGCCGAAGUGGGGAGGCCGUCGUCCAAGGCUGUACCAUCAUCCACCUUAGCGAGGGAAGAUUAAAAUCACGUCAUCUAUCUUCUUUAAAUGGCAUGCGUACAUGCAUCAUUUUAUCUUUAUCUUUUCAUAUCCUUCUCAUUUCAGUGCAUCCGAAUCACGAUCGAGAUGGAUGGAUAAUCAGCGCUCACCCGUGUGCGAACGAAGAAGACGGAGGAGGAGCUGCUCACCGUCUUCACAUCUACAUCAACCUCGCCAGUGCCGUCAUCACCAAUCCUGGGCUCGACGAGGAGGGCUUCUACAUCAACCUGGCUUCGCCAUCUUCAUCAACUUCUCUCCCGGCGAGGGCACCGACUGCCUCGACACGCCACCCGGCUACAUCGACAUGGCGUCGCCAACUUCAUAAGCUCUACAUCUGACGAGGAUGUCGUGUACAUCAGCGCCACCGGUCGUCCAUAUGUCGUGACCAUCUUCUUUGACUUUGCAUCUAAGCGACGACAUCGUCUACACCGACAUAUUGUCAUUCUUCUAUACCAAGUGGAGGCCGUCCCUGUAACUGCGACGGUCUGAGGUCUACAUCGAUGUGCUCACAUUGUCGUCAUCUUCAAGCAACGCCGCCACGCGGAGACACUCGAGUCUACUCCAAGUUCUACAUCAACACACUCCCCAAACCCCGUCCAAGCUCCGACGAGGCGAAGCCACUUCACCGACAUGUCUUCUUCCGAUGAAGAUACCCAGAUCUUGCCGGGCACUAACGAGGCGAAGGCAAGACACACCAUGUCCGACACCGACGAGGCGGACACCACCAGGCCGGGCACCGACGAGGCGAAGGCCGCCAUCUGUCUGAGCUAAUGAGGCCAGACAUCUUCAUCAUCGGACAUCGACAAGCCAGAGGGAUGUGGCUAAGCAUCGUCGGAGCGAUGGACGUACCGCUCCACUCUUCUAUUCCACCAUAUCAUCACCAUCGUCUACACCGAGCACUUGGAGAAGACGAGACUUGAAGACGACGACCAUUGCAGCAGCUUCAUCGGAGGUGGUUCGCGGCUCCGGCUCGCGGACGUAAUUAAUCGGGAGCCUUCCGAGGCCCCGUGAACCAGAACUUCACAAUCGCCGAAGUAAUCUUGGCCGAGCUAGCAGGCCAUUGAGCGCUUAUGUAAAGGGAUCAUGUAAUUUGUUUUCUCCCACGAGAGAUUAAUAAAGCACAAGUUUCCCUAUGUUUUCUUUGUGUACUUGGUACACUGGCACGCCCGCAUGUUUAUUUCCCCUGGCGCGUAGAGAGAUAAUGACAUGACAACCGUUUGUUGUUUUUAUUAUUUCUCGUGUCAAACAGGAGGAGUUGAAGAGAGGGAGGUGAGAUUACCGGCGUCCGAAGACAUGUGAGCGGCUGCUCCAGUGUCCAUGAUCCACUCCAUAGGAGCCUGGAGACUCAUGGUAUUGAAGUAGCUCGCGAGGGCGGACGGAUCCCACGUCUGUGCCGAGGAGGAGCCGUAGGCGGGGUAGCCGGUGUAGGAGUACGUCGCCUGUGGGGUUGGAGGCGAUGGGGCAGGCAAGGCCAUGUAGCCCUGAGCAGGAGGGUGAUGCAGCGGCGCCGAGGGGCGGGGUCCCGGUCCGAGGAUGCUGACGGUGUAGGAGAUAUGCCCUAGAGGCAAUAAUAAAUGAUAUUAUUUAUCUCCGAGUUCAUAAUUAUGUUUAUGUUCCAUGCUAUAACUGCAAUGAUUCUCGAGUCUACAAUAUCCACGAGGCUCAGAGGAAGACUCAUAUGCAUGUGUGGAAUAAUAAACGGUAAGAAGUAUUCCUAGUCUGGCCUCUAAGACUAGCUCAAGUGUUGCAUGAUGAUUCUGUUUUCCUGGUCAUGGGCAUGUCUAUGCCAGCAACUUUGAGGGCACAAUGUUAAGACAACAUUUGUGUUGAAUCGACCCGGAUUGAUGUUAUGCUAUGAGAUUCAUUCGUCACAAUUUUAUUGGUACAUAACACACAGAUGGUGAACGUUUGCAUGAUUCCUUAGACCAUGAGAGUAUCGAGUUUCUUCAUGCUUGCUUCAUGAACUUUGGGGUUUGUUAAACGUCAUCCGUAAAUGGGUGGCUAUUACGGCGGCUUAUGGGUUCAUGGAAAAGUGUGUCAAGUAACUUGAUAGCUCAAGAUUGGGAUUUGCUCCUCCGACGAUGGAGAGAUAUCUCUGGUCCCUCUCGGUGUUACGGUAUCCAUCAUCGUCUGGCCAGACACUUUGUGAUUUGAUCACGGGGAUGCCGGAACACGAUAACGAGAAAAGAGAACAAUACCGGUAACGAGGUAACUAGCAUAGUGGACAAGUUGUUGAUCCACGGGAAUGCCAACAUGUCUCACCUCGGGUAUUUGUAACAUAUCGCGAAGCAACAGGAAUAGCACACGGCAACUGGAGGUUCACUCGAAUAUUUAUUCGUGUGGGUAUAGGGGUCAAUAUGGGUGUCCACGGCUCCGAUGUUGAUCAUUGAUCGGAAGGGGUUCCGGGUCAUGUCUAUACUUCACCGAACCUAUAGGGUCACACGCUUAAGGGCCAUCUAUCUGCUGAAUACUAGACAGGGAGUCUGAGAGAAAAUCACCGAAAAAGUUUCGGACACCGAAAAGUUUCGGACAGCGGAAUCGUACCGCAGAGAGAGGUCAUCGGAUAAGUUUCGAUGAUACCGAAAAGUUGUUUCGGGAUACACCAUUAAGUCAAAUUGGUUUCGGCACAUGCCUGAUAAUUCUUGGAGGAUGCCAGAAUCAUUCUGGAAGCUUUUUGGAAUUUUCUGAGAUAAAAACCGGAAAUGUUCCGGAGCUGCCGGAGCCACUUCAGAUGCGUUUCGCAGAUGAAAAUCACUAAAACCGGAAUUGUUUCGGAAUGCGUUGAAAAUCAUUUUAGUGGGUACUGGAAAUGUUCUUAGCCCACAUAAAUAUUUUCAGUUCGAUCAGACGCUGAAAAAUGUCGUCGUGAAUAGUGAAAAUCAGCUUUAUGGUUACUUUAUGGAAAGCCACCUUUUAGGGCUUUGCUCCAAAAGAUCUUGGGGAUGACAUGGAUGGAUAGGAGCCAUUUUUUGGGCCCCUCAUGGGGGUGUGGCCGGCCACAUGGGGUAUCCCCCCUUGGGGACCCUCUUGUUCCUCGGUUUCACUCCUAGGUCCUUGUGGAAGGACUUCAUUCAUGUGCAUUUUGGGUUUUUUGUGAAACUACCCUACCCCCUUGGGAUUUCCUAUAAAUAGAGGUGGAGGGGCAGCCCUCCACACUCAUCCCUUGCUCUCAUACACAUGCCAUGCAUUAUCUGGCUUCUUCUCUCCCUCCCACGAAAAGAGUUUCGUAGAGCCGUAAGGCUGUCUGGGUUCCGGCAGGAACUAGUUCUGGACGGCGAAGCCCUGCCGGAUAGAUGACACCGUAUGUGUGCAACUCUGUAGAGAGAUCGUAGUUUCGGUCUUAGUUCGUGAGUGCCUCCCGAAGGGCUGUCCGUGUGAUCGUCCGAGUUUCGAAGGUCCUCCCGAAGGGCUGUCCGAGUGACCGUUCGAGUUUCGAAGGUCCUCCCGAAGGGCUGUCCGCGACACCGUCCGGGGGGCUGUUCGACCGCCUCCCGCAGAGCUGUCUGAGGAGCAGAUGAGGGUAUACAUCCUCGCGGUUGGGAGGUUGUAAAUCCUAGCUGCGGGGAUCUGCACCGCCGAUCGUCAUCGACUCUACUUCCCGCUGCGCUACGAGUCGGUAACGAAUAAGAUCAAACCAUGUAUGCAGUCUCCCUAGUGGUCCUGGGCUGGUGCGUAGGUCGGAAAUUUUUUGUUUUCUGUCGCGUUCCCCUUCAGUGGCAUCAAGAGCCGUGCUAUGCGUAGAUGCAGGUUUCGAUCUAGAAUACAUGGAGAUGUAUGGGUAUUGCAUAAUAUAAUUAGGUAGUAGAUGAGAUCUAUCGCUGAAAAUUAUUUAUGCGGGUGACAGAUGAAAUCUGUUACCCGAGGUUCUUGUUGCUUCCCUAAAAUUUGCGUUUGCUCAAUCUCGAGACAGCAUGGUGGAAUUUGACAAAGUUCUGGCAAUCCGUGAUCCUGAUUGAUCAUGGAAGUGCUAUCAGUUCUUUGGGUUCUGCCGUAGUCAAAAGAAAGAUGAAAUUCGCAGAUGAAAGGGCAUUGCAGAUAUGAUCUGCACGGGGGUCAUGCGUAUGACGAAGUUUAGUAUGGGGCUCGAGAUUUAAUUAUCCCGUGUUUCAUACACCCCGAGAUGUUAAUCUAGCAACUUGAAUAAUCAUACUUGAUGAUAAAACGUUGGUCGCUGCGGUUUAAGUCAAAACCUUAGAAGCCACGUAAAAUAAAUUUUGCAUAAACCGAUUAGAGGCGUCUAACUUGGUUUUGCAGGAUGUGCAUAUGAUGUGGUAUAGCAGUGCUCAUACUAAUUCGAUUAUGUAUGAGAUGACUAUAUGAUGUAAUUUGAUUAACAUGACCUGCGUGUCAUGAUUCGGCAUGAUGGUUGGAGCCAUAUGAUUGCACUUUAAUGACCUGCGUGUCAACCUUGUUGUAAUGCAUUAUUUUGUUAGCUAUAGAGAUAGCAAUAUUAUCUGGUGCAUCGACAAGGUGGUGGCAAUCUUCGCGAAGGUGAACACCGACGCGAAUGCCGAAGAUGAAGAAAUGAAAGACUUCUCCGUCAGAAAGGGCUAUACCAUAUCAUGCUAUUAUGAAUUGCCUGAGAUGUUUAUCCCUUAUGAUGCACCCUUCUUGAUUGCGCGGUAGUCGCUUUUAUUAGGGUGAUCUCUCACUUAAAAUACCAAGUAGUUAGUGUUCUCCCAAGUGUAGCACCGUCACGGCACCUAUCUUUUCGGGGUGCGCCGUGUCACACGGGUACGAACGAUUAGAGAAGUGUGAGGCGGGUGAGUUGAGACCUCGCAGCGAGAUCACUUGGUUGUCUUGACGUUCAGGCAUGACCGUCAUGAGCUCGGAACACACGCAUCGAAAGAUGAACAAGAGUCACAUAGAGAUGUGAUUGGCAAGUUGGCCUACCGGUUGAGAUUUUUCAUCAUCAGUGGUGUUACACCAAUGGCGAACAAUUGAAAUGUGGGUCUUGUAUCACUCACAAUCAAUUUUGAGAGAUAUUGAUUUGAGUGGGAGCGCACUGUUGAAUUAACAUGUUUAAUUCUUAGUGCAAUUAAUAUGAACAUUGUCUAAGUGUUAUAUGCAAAAUAGUUGUAGAAUAAUGGCUCGCAUUUCCACCUUCCCUGUUAAAAUUGAAUAGCUGUUAAAUAUCUGGUUAAAACUUUACGAUUGGUACCGUAAUAUGAGGAUUGUCCUCAAAAGUGCCGAGAAGGACUUUGUCCUAUCGCAUGCUUUCUGUAUCCUUCCGCUAAUGCUAUGGAUCAUGUGACUCUCGUCCUUUGAUCCAAAAGCUAGAAUUCUAUUACGGUCAAGUGGAAUAUGUUUGCUUCCAUGAAACCCAAACUUCGAAAGUUGGGAUAGUUAUAUGAUAUUCAUGGAACUGAAAAUUAUUUUCAGAUACAAACAAAGCAAUGUUUGUUUGCAAGUAUUAGUAAAAGUGUUUACUAUGCAUUUGACUGUUGGGAAAGGGAUCCAGAAGAACGCCUGUCAUAUAAUGAAAGGUGAAUAAAACAACAACUUAAAGAGAAAGGAAGUGUCCAAAGGGUGUUAGUAUGACUUACACGCCUAGGAAGUCCGGGGCUAAUGCCACUCUUAAGUUGGGUGCUUCUUCUGAGAGUAGGAGAAAUACUAAAAGUUAAACUGCUAGAAGUAUAAAGGCAAAAGGAAAGAAGACUGGAAUAUCCAGCUCAUGUAUGAAUGUCAUACAAGUUUUUGAUGUAUAGAAGGCUGGUCAAAGAUAUAGUUCUUGCGAAUUAUGGUUAAACAUGUUAAUCACUAAUUCUUGGGUAUUGUGAGUUCAUCACAAAAAUGCCCGCUCGAUUGCAUUCUGUUGCAACUCAAUGUAAGAACUACUAUGGCCUGAAAGACUAGCUAGAAAUGAGGUUAAGGUAUACACAGGGAACAUAGUAAAUGUUACUAUACCUUCCAUCGGUGUAUUGCCGUCUGUAUUUAUUUUCAUAAUUCAUUUAGAGUUUUACAAACUCUAGCCCAUUGCAUAAGGCAUCUUGCAAGAAGGUUGUUCAUAAGAGAACUUUUUAUGUUCGAUGUUAUGAAUAACACAAGGGCCAUACUUUCAUUAUGAAUGAGAUGUAUGUUAUGAAUAUUGAUAAUAAUACAAUACCUCUGGGUUUACUUUCAUAAUUCAUUUUAGAGUUUCAUACACUCUAGCCCAUUGCACAAUGUUUGUUGCAAAAGAGUUGUUCAUAAAAACAACAAUUGUUGUUAAGUAUUAUGAAUAACAUAAGGGCCAUACUUCCAUCAUCGAUGGGACGUAUGUUAUGAAUAUUGAGGGUAAUAUGAUACAUCCAUAACACUGACACUAAAUGUCGCAAGACUAAAAGAAUACCACACAAGUGUGGCACUACAUUUGGUCACAUUGGAGAAACCCGCAUGGAAAAUUCCAUUAUGAUGGAUUUUGAAGUCUUUUUGAUUUUGAAUCAUCUGACACUUGCAACUUUCCUCCGAAAAGUGAAGUGACUAAAAUACCGUUCACAGGCCAUAAGGAACGAACAACAAACUUAUUAGUGAUCAUACAUUUGAUGUGUGUAGUCCGAUAAGUGUUGUUAGUGGUGGAUUUAUUUAUCUUCAGAAAUGUCUCAAGUAGAUAUAUGGAUAUUUACUUGAUGAGACGUAAGUCUGGAUCUUUUGAAAUCAUUGGAAAGGUUCUCAAAAAUGAAGUAGAAGUUAUUGUAACAAGAAAAUUAUGUUUCUGCAAUUUGAUUGCACAAAGGAAUAUUUGAGUUACAUGUUUAGCGAAUGUCUGAUGAGUUGUGAAAGGGGUUUCAUAAACUUGCACCUCCCGGAACACCACUGCAAGUGGAAAGUCCGUGGAGAUGUAAUCAAACCAUUUAUGACAUGGUAAGGUCAAAGAUGACAUAAAUAAAUUUGCCAUUAUCCCUUUUAAAGUGAUGCUUUAGAGACUGCGGCUUUUACACUGAAAAGAGCUACAUCGGGUCUGUUGAAAUGAAGCCAUGGUAUGGUACGCCCAACCAUGUUAUAUCUUUUCUUAACAUUUGGAAUAUGGGGCUUGUGUAAAAGGUUACAAACCUAUUCCAAAUCAGACAAGUGCUACUUUGUAGGUUAUACCAAAAUGUUGGGUAUUCCUCCCUCACUAUACCGAGGCAAAUAGUUUUGCCGCGAAACGGUGUGCUUUUAAAGAGAAUGGUUCUUUCUAAAAGGUGAGUGGGAGAAUAGUGCAACUCGACGAGAUAAACAGUAUCUUCAUCAGACCAAAGGAAAGAGACCUUGGAAGAAAUUCCAGAGUUUCCUACUGCGACUGAUACAGAAGUCUCUACAAUAAAAUGUAUGAACUUUGGUCGAACUUGCAGCUAAACCACGUAGGCAAGGCUCGUGCAAACCUCUCAGGUGCGCAAACGAGAUAUUGUUGUUAGACAACAUUAUACGUACGAUACACAAGGAAGCGUUGAUGGGCCGUGACUCCGGAAUUGGCUAAAUGCCAAUACAACCCGAGUUAGUUUCCAUAUAAGUGAUUCAAGAUUAAAACCUUGAUACACCUUUCGGAAGACUUAGAGUCUAACGAAUAUUUAUGGAACUUAAAACUGAUACGGAUAAAAUGUUUUAUCCAUAAAGCUCGACUUGUUGAAAUAAUACGAUGAGGUUGUUUUCAUCAUAGCAAUGCUUAAAGUCGGUUUGGGUUGAACUAGCAAUUAAUACAUAUUUCAAUCAUGAGAUAUGAAACAUGGAUGAUAAAAGGAUUUCCAUCUGAUGGAAAUGAAAGCUAGGACUUGUAUAUGAUACAGUCCAAAGUAAUUUGUUGAUCCAGAGGAUGCUAGUAGGUAUGCAAACUUCAGAGUUCCAGCAAUGGACAGAAGAGAGCAAAAUGGAGUUGGAAUCUUCGUGUUUUGAUGAAAUGGUCAAAGGGGUUUUGACUUCAUCAAUGGGUAACGAAGAUGCUUGUAAUUCAAGAAAGUAAGUGGGAGCGUAAUAAUAUUUCUAAAAACCUUAUGUGCUUGGCACAUCGGUAAUUGGAAAUAAAUUUCUUGACACAAAUUAGGACUUCAUUUGAAAAUAGUUUUUCGAUGAAGUGCUUAGGCUAAAUAGCCUCAAUAUUAGGCAUGAUGAUCUAUGGAGAUAGCUUUACCUAAUGGGGCUAAGCAAUGAAUACAUAUUGACAAGAUGCUAAAACCUUUUAGCAUUUAAAAUGCCAAGGAGUGAUUCUUGCCAAAGUCACAUGGAAAGAGUUUUUGCAAGACUCGGUGUCCCAAAACACUGAUGAGUAAAAUACAUGAUGCAGAUUCCACACACUUUUGUGUUUGGAUUAAUCAUGUAUUCCAUGGUAUGUAAAACAACCAGAUAUGUCCGAUACUCCCAAGGUGUUGCGAGUAUGGAUACCAAAGUGAUCAAAUUACUGAUCAUGGGACAACAGUGAAAGAUGUCACAGAGUACUAGAGUAAGUACUGAUGACAUGGUUUUCUCGCAAGCAGAGAUCAUGAAGAGUUCAUUGUAAAAUGUUACAUCGAUAGAGUCUUCAUCUUUUCUCCAUGCGAUUUUCGAUUUAAAUUAAGGGUUUUGUGUAACACACAAUGUGGUGGCACAGUUAGUUGGAAUUUGUUCAAACUAGUUACUGUGGCGAAUUCUAUAACAAGGGCUAAGUAUGUUGACGCUUUAGAAGCGACAAAGAAGAUGUUGAAUCAUAUAGUUCAUUCAUGAACUUAGUAUAGUUCCAAGAUGGCUUUUGACAAUGGGACACUACUGCAGGUAGUUGCUCCAUAACUCAGUCUGAGGAAUCCAGGUUNNNNNNNNNNNNNNNNNNNNNNNNNNNNNNNNNNNNNNNNNNNNNNNNNNNNNNNNNNNNNNNNNNNNNNNNNNNNNNNNNNNNNNNNNNNNNNNNNNNNNNNNNNNNNNNNNNNNNNNNNNNNNNNNNNNNNNNNNNNNNNNNNNNNNNNNNNNNNNNNNNNNNNNNNNNNNNNNNNNNNNNNNNNNNNNNNNNNNNNNNNNNNNNNNNNNNNNNNNNNNNNNNNNNNNNNNNNNNNNNNNNNNNNNNNNNNNNNNNNNNNNNNNNNNNUGUAGGAGAUAUGCCCUAGAGGCAAUAAUAAAUGAUAUUAUUUAUCUCCGAGUUCAUAAUUAUGUUUAUGUUCCAUGCUAUAACUGCAAUGAUUCUCGAGUCUACAAUAUCCACGAGGCUCAGAGGAAGACUCAUAUGCAUGUGUGGAAUAAUAAACGGUAAGAAGUAUUCCUAGUCUGGCCUCUAAGACUAGCUCAAGUGUUGCAUGAUGAUUCUGUUUUCCUGGUCAUGGGCAUGUCUAUGCCAGCAACUUUGAGGGCACAAUGUUAAGACAACAUUUGUGUUGAAUCGACCCGGAUUGAUGUUAUGCUAUGAGAUUCAUUCGUCACAAUUUUAUUGGUACAUAACACACAGAUGGUGAACGUUUGCAUGAUUCCUUAGACCAUGAGAGUAUCGAGUUUCUUCAUGCUUGCUUCAUGAACUUUGGGGUUUGUUAAACGUCAUCCGUAAAUGGGUGGCUAUUACGGCGGCUUAUGGGUUCAUGGAAAAGUGUGUCAAGUAACUUGAUAGCUCAAGAUUGGGAUUUGCUCCUCCGACGAUGGAGAGAUAUCUCUGGGCCCUCUCGGUGUUACGGUAUCCAUCAUCGUCUGGCCAGACACUUUGUGAUUUGAUCACGGGGAUGCCGGAACACGAUAACGAGAAAAGAGAACAAUACCGGUAACGAGGUAGCUAGCAUAGUGGACAAGUUGUUGAUCCACAGGAAUGCCAACAUGUCUCACCUCGGGUAUUUGUAACAUAUCGCGAAGCAACAGGAAUAGCACAUGGCAACUGGAGGUUCACUCGAAUAUUUAUUCGUGUGGGUAUAGGGGUCAAUAUGGGUGUCCACGGCUCCGAUGUUGAUCAUUGAUCGGAAGGGGUUCCGGGUCAUGUCUAUACUUCACCGAACCUAUAGGGUCACACACUUAAGGGUCAUCUAUCUGCUGAAUACUAGACAGGGAGUCUGAGAGAAAAUCACCGAAAAAGUUUCGGACACCGAAAAGUUUCGGACAGCGGAAUCGUACCGCAGAGAGAGGUCAUCGGAUAAGUUUCGAUGAUACCGAAAAGUUGUUUCGGGAUACACCAUUAAGUCAAAUUGGUUUCGGCACAUGCCUGAUAAUUCUUGGAGGAUGCCAGAAUCAUUCUGGAAGCUUUUUGGAAUUUUCUGAGAUAAAAACCGGAAAUGUUCCGGAGCUGCCGGAGCCACUUCAGAUGCGUUUCGCAGAUGAAAAUCACUAAAACCGGAAUUGUUUCGGAAUGCGUUGAAAAUCAUUUUAGUGGGUACUGGAAAUGUUCUUAGCCCACAUAAAUAUUUUCAGUUCGAUCAGACGCUGAAAAAUGUCGUCGUGAAUAGUGAAAAUCAGCUUUAUGGUUACUUUAUGGAAAGCCACCUUUUAGGGCUUUGCUCCAAAAGAUCUUGGGGAUGACAUGGAUGGAUAGGAGCCAUUUUUUGGGCCCCUCAUGGGGGUGUGGCCGGCCACAUGGGGUAUCCCCCCUUGGGGACCCUCUUGUUCCUCGGUUUCACUCCUAGGUCCUUGUGGAAGGACUUCAUUCAUGUGCAUUUUGGGUUUUUUGUGAAACUACCCUACCCCCUUGGGAUUUCCUAUAAAUAGAGGUGGAGGGGCAGCCCUCCACACUCAUCCCUUGCUCUCAUACACAUGCCAUGCAUUAUCUGGCUUCUUCUCUCCCUCCCACGAAAAGAGUUUCGUAGAGCCGUAAGGCUGUCUGGGUUCCGGCAGGAACUAGUUCUGGACGGCGAAGCCCUGCCGGAUAGAUGACACCGUAUGUGUGCAACUCUGUAGAGAGAUCGUAGUUUCGGUCUUAGUUCGUGAGUGCCUCCCGAAGGGCUGUCCGUGUGAUCGUCCGAGUUUCGAAGGUCCUCCCGAAGGGCUGUCCGAGUGACCGUUCGAGUUUCGAAGGUCCUCCCGAAGGGCUGUCCGCGACACCGUCCGGGGGGCUGUUCGACCGCCUCCCGCAGAGCUGUCUGAGGAGCAGAUGAGGGUAUACAUCCUCGCGGUUGGGAGGUUGUAAAUCCUAGCUGCGGGGAUCUGCACCGCCGAUCGUCAUCGACUCUACUUCCCGCUGCGCUACGAGUCGGUAACGAAUAAGAUCAAACCAUGUAUGCAGUCUCCCUAGUGGUCCUGGGCUGGUGCGUAGGUCGGAAAUUUUUUGUUUUCUGUCGCGUUCCCCUUCAGACGGGGCCGGCAUGACCGUGCGUGGGCGCGCCUGGACCCAUCAUCGGGUACAUGUGGAUGGCAUCGGCCCAGGGGUUCUGCAUGUUGGGGAAGAUGGGGGCGCCACCACCCCAAGUCUUCUUUUUCUUCCCCUUGUAGCAGCCGGUACCGUACCCGGUGGGAGCACCGUAUGGCGCCGGAGCACCGAGACCGGCCGGUUGUGGUGGUGGAGGUGCAAAUCCCCCGCGAGGCCACCAUUGGCAGGAGCGGAGUAGAAGACCACGGGCGACGUAGAGCUCAGGGAGGACGGCUUAAGUUCCUGCAGAAGAAGCAUGUCGCAAAAUUCAAGGAACGUUGGGAACGGCUUGAUGAGAGGCGCGUGGUUGCCGAUGUCCAUGUAGUGGUCGUUGAGGCCCUUGAUGGUGUUCCACACCAGAGCGUCGUCGGAGACCGAGGCAUUGACGUCGGCGAGAGCAUCAGCGACCGUGUUUUGCUCGAGGCAGUAGGCGGUGACGGUCUUGUCGCCUUGGACGAUGUUGUGGAACUUCUGGACGAGGUAGACCACACGCGACUGUUGGUUGCCGCGGAAGAGGGAGGUGAUGCCAGCGAAGACAGCGACAGUCGUGGUACCGGCUGCCAUGACCAUGUCGGCGAUGUCGGGGUUGAUGGAGCCGUACAGCCACCGAAGGACGGUGGAGUCCAUCCGCAGCCACUCCGCGUCAGCUGGAGGGGGUGCCGGUUCAAGAUGAUCGGCGAGGGCGAACUGGUUGACGGCAAUGGUGAGGAAGUUGCACCACUUGGAGAAGUUGGACGCCUUGAGGUCGAGGGUGACUGGGAUGAGGCUCUUGAUGUUCUGGAUGGAGUUGUCUUGCGCCCAUAGGGCAGCGUGGGGAUGGAGAGGGCCGGCGUCGGGCAUGACGGCGGCGGCUGGAGGUGGAGAGGAGGGGCGGCGGCAGAAGUGGAUGGGGAUGGAAGAGAAUCGUUUGGCUGAUACCAUGAUGGAAACAUAAGGCAAGAGUAAUUGACCACACAAAUGUGGGUUCUGUGUUACCUCAUAUAUAUAGACAGGUUACAAGAUAAUCAUGGAAACAAAUCAAUACAAUCCUAACCAUAAUGGCCCGAUUUAUAUGCAAAUAUAGGAGCACUAAAUAUGGCAGGCUAUGACUAGAUCGGAUUGCCUAACAGAGAUAACUCCGUUAUCGCCCUGCGCCCGAACACAAUGGAGAGGAUGUAGUUGUUCCAUGGGCCCACCAUCAUCCUCAAGGUACUACAUGGUCUAAGAGCAUUUACACCUGGGCAUCCCAAACCAACUUCAAACGCCCGGGCGAACGGCCCGGUCACAGAAAAAUGACCCAGACGGGCCUCAAAUGCCUGGCUAACCAACACCUCUCAUAUUCAGCCCAAAUCUAGGACGAAUAUGGGGUGCCUACGCGCGUUCUCCAUGUCGGUUUCGGUCCACGCUGGCCCACCCGACCCCACAUAUAUUCCUCCCCAUCUGCUUGCCAGACCAAACCCUAGCCACUUCAUUCCACUCCCUGCCGCCAGCCAAGCUCCCGUCCGACGAUCUUAUGGCCUUUUCCGGCAUGGCGGGUGGUGGAUCCAAGUCCUACACCUCCAUAUCCAUCGACCCCGAGCUCAUCCCACGCGGAUCCUAGGAGGACUUGGUCGUCCGGCUUGCGCUCCACCGCUCCCGGGAGGAGGCCGCCCGAUGGCAACGGCAACGCUCGGACUCGUUCGCGGGGAAUCCAUUGCGUCCGCCCAAAUGAUGCAUGGAUCUGGCGCUAGGUGUGCCAUCACUGCCUCACCGAAGGCGGUGCGGUCCAUCUGGCGUUCGAACGGGUGGCGAAUGUGCAACCCCUCCAUUGGCGCGAAGAGGCCAUGGACGCACCAUGGGAAUCACCCGAUGCAAAAAAUAGGUCGGCGCGCCCGUCGUGCGAGGCAGCGGGUGUGGGAGGUGGCGGCUGUCCUCGCGACGGUGGGCGUUGCGGAGGCCGAGUCGUAUUCUCCGGCUCUCCAUAUGGUGCACCAGUCCGGGCACCGCAACCGCAUGGUGGUGGAUGUUGCUAGCUCGUCCCAGGAAUGAUCCAUCAUCGAUCUGACGUCCACCGGCAGUCCGAGUUCCGGGUUACGAAGGGGCAGAGUAGGGCACGGAGGACGGCGGCGCCUCCAGUUCCAUGAGCCGCCUCGUGUCCCAUGCCCUACUCUACCCUGUCGGUGACUGGAGCAACACUCUGGGGAGUGCAUUCGACCGCCGGACGUGCUCUUCUUAAAGAACGAUUUAUGUUGCAUGUCAUAAUAUGGAUUUGAGGUUUCUAAUUUGAGGUAUCCGGUUGUAGAAUGAAAUAUUUGAGGCGUGACCACUUACUGCCGGGCGCGUCCGUGGGCGUUUGAGGGGUCAAAUUUGUCAAGUCCUUCUGUAGGUGCUCUAAUCGAACUAAUUCAGCUAUCUUGUUGGAUGGGAUCGGGGAACUGUGGCUGAUUUUUUUGAACUUGUAUAAGUUCUAGGAUACAUAUUUGUCAAAAAAAUCAUAGCUUUAUCACUUUGAUAGUUCGUAUCAGGUAGAAUAGAUUGUUUUGCUGAUUUUUAGUAGUUUGUUGGGUUAUUUGUUCAAUACUUGAUCAAACAUUCUACAAAAAUAUAUAUCCUACUAUUUAUUUCCCACACUUGUCUUUCAAAGUGUCCAAUGGUUAUAUUGAUUUUCAGCUUUAACUUUGUAAGACAGGAGUACAAUAGUAAAUUUGUUUGGGUCAAAACUAUUAUAUCCUUCUAAGGAACUUCUACAAAAUGAUUUCUCAUCUCCUUGGAGUUCAUAUCAGCAAAAUGUAAUAUUUUCUUUUUGUUCCUAGAUUGAGAUAAGUCAAUAUCACACUGCAUGUUUAAAGAAAUAACAACCGAGUUAUUCUACAAGUAAAAGAAAUUUCCACAAUCAAGUAGAACCGAUGCUACUUAAGUUUUGUUUGUCUCUCUAAAUUUCCCCCAUCUGUGCACGAAACCAUAUGAAGAGUUUAAUGGCAUGUUUGGCGCUUGCUAUCAUGACUCAAUAUUUGCUCUUGUUCGCCGCAUGCUUUAUAUUUUACCAUGUGGCAACUUUAGUUUGAUUUUCACCUCUUUGGAGUACCUUAAAGAAUUGCUUUGAAGAAGGCUUCGGUGCCACCAAUCUCAAAAUCGCACCAACGCAAAAAUAUCCAGAUUAACAUUUAAAGUGAUGGAUGGUUCCUAAUCAGACGCUUGUUUUGCUGCCAAAAUGGCCCUUUUACUUCUAGACAUUGAAAUAUGUUGAAUUAUUGUUGUGUGCAAUGUUCAGGAAAUCGGUAACUGAUAGCUGCUCGGUCGGCUUGGGAGCAUCAAUUAAUAGAUCAAUCGGCCUAUGAACAAGAUUGAUAGGUCGACCAUUAAUCGGUAGAUUACAUAGGAACCUGCUGGCAAGAGCAAGUAGCUAUAGAUAUGUAAGCCUAGAAUUGUAGUUAGGGAUGAACAUCUAAAUACACAGUGAAUGGAACAAUGACAAGUAAUGCUGGCAAACAAGAACUUUGUUUGUCUUUUAUUCCCAAGCUUGAACUAGCACUGGCCGGUGUCACACAUGAUGGUGCACUCCACUUUAUUUGUCAUCGUUACAUCGAUUGGUGCAUCAGCUAAGCAACGAUGAUCCAUCUACCUAUUAGUAUAGCUCUUCAGUUUUUCAUUGGCCACCAAUGCCCGCGACUAUGCUGGCAAAUGGUGCCCUCAUGAUGGAGCACUCUGGUGGGACAUACACGUUGCACAUGGAUGGAAGAGUUUGCAAUACCAAUGAUCUGAUCGCCUCCAAUUGAGCUGGUUGUUGUGGUUGGAUGAUGCCCUGGCCUUGGACUAGAGAACCUUGACCCACCUGUUGCUGCUGAGAUAGUGGCAGAAAGAUAUGCAUGCCUUGUUGUUGUUGUUGUUGUUGCUGCUGCUGCAUGAUGAUGGAAUGCACGACGCUAUGGAUGGCUGCGCACUGGAGCUGUUGAGGAAUCUGUGCUAGUUGUUGGCAGCAUUGUUGCCGCAUCACUUGGCAAUCGCUUUGUGGCCAGAUUAUUGACCAGAGGGAUGACACCAAUGACGCAGGUUUGCAUUGUUGCAAGAGGAUAUUCUUGCAUGGGUUCAACUGUUGUUGUAGAGAUGGUUGAAUGAAUGACCGUUGUUGUUGGGGGAAUGAUUGUUGCGGUUGUUGGGGCUGCGGUAAUUGUUGUUGGGGCUGGGGAAAAGGUUGUUGUGGUUGCUGGAGCUGGGGAAAUGGUUGUUGGGGUUGUUGAGUCUGGGGGAAUGGUUGUUGUGGUUGUUGGGGAAAUGGUUGUUGGGGUUGUUGAGUCUGGGGAAAUGGUUGUUGUGGUUGCUGGGGAAAUGGUUGUUGUGGUUGUUGAGUCUGGGGGAAUGGUUGUUGUGGUUGUUGGGGGAAUGGUUGUUGGGGCUGGAGAAAUGGUUGUUGUGGUUGCUGAGGCUGGGGAACUUGUUGUUGUGGUUGAUGGGGGAAUGUUUGUUGAGGUUGGGGAAAUGUUUGUUGUGGUUGCUGGGAUAAUGGCUGUUGGAGCUGGGGGACUAGUUGUUGUUGUAGCCAUUGUACUUGGCCGCUAGGGUCGACCUGGAUAUUGGCGGUGCCGAUGGUUAUUGCCAUCGCAAGGAUUGUCAGGAUGAGUAAGGUCUUCAUGGUGGAUUUGCGUUAACUACUACGUACUUUGAUUUUCUGCUUGUGCUCUAGUUGUGUGAACGAUGGAUGAUGGUAUGGAGUCUACAUAUUGUAGGCCUUUUUAUAGCUACCAUGGUUAGGUUUCUUUUCAUUAUUGCUUUCUUUUUUAAAAGUGAUUUGAUGCUUAUCAAACUAAUUAUUUGGUAUGUUGUGUUUGGUGGCACUACAUACAAACGUAAUUUCAGAGUGAUCAUCAAAGUUGUCUUUUUAUUGUACAUAUCAUCUAAGAGUGAGGAAUACUUGAUAAUUGGCAUUGACUCAUCUUAUUCACUUUACAUGUCAAACAAUUAUCUGGAUUGCAUUCCUUUUGGAUCUGUACAAGUUGUUAGACAUAAACCAAAUCUUCAUAGCUUGCGGGGGACUAAAUUUGUGUCCUUGUGCAUGUUGUUAAGAUAGAUCAGGCAAGUAUUCUGAUAUUUGUUGUGGACUCUUGUUCUUUCUAAAACUAACUUGUAGUGUUGUAUAAUAUGAUGGUAAGAUGAACAAGCUGAUAGUAAUCUUGUACAUGUUAUCAAUGCAUGACUCAUCAAAUUCUCCUUUUAUGUCAAGGGUAGUAAUGUUGUAUACGUUAUCAAUACAUGACUCAUCAAAUUCUCCUUUUAUGUCAAGGGUAGGAAUAUUGUACAAGUGUAACACCCCCGAUGUCAUGCUACAGUAAUCUCAUGCCUAAUGAUGCUAUGUCAUCAUAAUCAUUUUACUAAUCCUCUUUCCGUUUCAAACCAAAACUCAAAUCCAAAUUCGAAUGCCAAGUCGAAUUAUAAUUUUAUAAAAAAUAAAUUAAAAAUGUUCCUUAGGUUGAAAAUAUUCACUACAUAACUGUCAUACAUUAGCAAAGUUUUUUCUGGAAACUUUUAAAAUGCCUAUGAAUAUUAAACUGUGGACCAACGACACCCUUUUAGCUCUUUUAAAUGCAAUUAUAAUUUAAGUGAUUUCAAUUUGGCCCCAAACUUUUUGUGCCACCCCAAAAUUGUGUGCUUGAUUUAUGUGCCAAGUUUCAGUUAUAGCAAAAGUCGUUUGCUGCAUAAACUAAAUGCAAUAGAGUGGUGGAAAUAUUACAGGAGAUAAAAAGGGAAAAUAUGGAAGACCUGCUGUGCACAUGGGCCUACUAUAAACUAUUGUGGCCCCGCCCACUUGGAGGAUCCCAUCUCCUCUGUUCACGGAACAGAGGCGUGGAGGCCGUCCGAGCCUUGCGUCCGGCAAGCCCCUGCUUCCCCGAGCACAACCCCGACCUCCCAAGUGAAUAUCGCUACCCUAUAUAAGUAUACAUAAUUAUUCAAAUGUUUAUAUAAUUAAUAUUCAUUAAUUUAAUUUUCAAAACUAUUUUUAUUCUAGAUCAUAAAAACAGUUUCAUACUUUGUAAUUAAUAUAUUAAUUAUAUAAUUUUUAAAUAAUACAUGAAUAUUUUUACAAUCUACUUCAAUAUUUUCUAAAUAAGUUAUUUUAUGUCUAUGUAUAAUAUUUGUAGCACACAAAUAGUUGAACUUUGUUUUUAUUACUCUCAUUAUAUUUUACGUACUUUUUUUACAAAUUGCUAAAAAAAUAACAUGUGUAAAAUGGGCCGCACUAACUAAGGGCCAUUUAAGCCCAGCGGGCAUGUUCCUUUAUGUCACAUUUUAUCGUUUCAUCCUUACUUUAUAUACAUCAAAACAGGAAUUCCCUAAAAAAAUCAAAACGGGAAUGGUCGAGGGUCUCCUGUUCGAGUUCUUGUGAUUUCCACUAUUUUUUGUCAAUUUUACCUUUGGACUAACAUGUGGGACACAGUGGCCACAUCUAUGCAAGCCAUCAUGUUCCACCGUCGCUAAGAGCAACUCCAGCAGCGCCCGAAAAUCGGCCCAGUCGCGUCCCCAGGAGCCUGUUUUUCGCCGGUUCGGGCCGAAACUAGCACCGGCGGACUCAGACCGAACCCGGCGCGCUGGGGGCGCUCGGGGGCGCAGGGGAAUCGUUUUUGGCGGGAACGAACAGCGGGCCUGCCAAGUCAGCGACCCCCGCCCCCCGCCUCGUCGUCCUCACAACGCCUCGGUUUCCCGUGGGGAAUCAAUGCCAAGGCUGCCGCCGGUCAGCCUUUCAUUGAUUCCUCACAGGCGGCGCGAUGCGGCGACGCGCCCCCUCCCGCCACGCGUACACACAACGCCGCCCCUCCCAGGCCGCUAUAUAAAGCAACACCUCCCUCGCCGGUGGACGCACCCGCCCGCAGCCCCCUCUCUCCCCGUGCACAACCAUCGCCGGCGAACUCUUUCCUCUCUCUCCCCAUUCACAGACGCCGCCGACGAUGGGCGAGAGGUUCCCAGGCGAUGGGGCGGCAGCCAAUGGCUUCAGCCACCGCUCGCUGCACGAGUGGGAAGCCCACCUCCUGUAUGAAGCCAACAUCCCGGCGCCUCCCGACAUGCGCGCGCCGGGGCGGUGGAGGCUCAGCGUCGGGGGCGUCCCCGUCCCCCCCGUUGCCCGACGUGACGCGCCCCGAAUACUUCAACGACGAGGUUGAGCGCGUGUGGGCGUCGCUAACGGAGGAGCAGCAGGCCCUCCCGGAGUACGCCGCCGGCAACCACAAGGCGGGGGCGACGUACUUCGAACGCCGGCAGGCGGAGCGGCUGUCCUCCACCAACAACGCACCAGUGGUGCGGGGGACCAAGAACAGCGACGGCCGCCACCUGUGGAGGGGCGCCCCCGGUCGCACACUCCAGCCGUCGUCCAGCACCUCAAGGGCGGCAAUGAGCCGCCGUUGACGCACCCUGCCGCCCCUCCCCCUCCCCCGCCGGAGCGGCGACCAAUGGAUGUCGAGGAGGACUGGCUCCUCUUCCUCCUCCUCCUCGCCUUCCUCUUCCCACUCCUCUGGGUCGCCGGCGCUCUUCAGCGUCAAGGCCGAGCCUGCAGAGACGCCGACAUCGUCAUCAAUGAGGGCGGGCGCGCCUUUACCUCGGCUCCUCCCCGCCUCGUCAAGCCGGAGACGGAGCCGGGGCUCACCGCCGUGAAGACGGAGCCAGGGCUCAUCGGCGUGAAGACGGAGCCGGGGCUCGACGACGCGGCGGCCAUGAAGUGGGCGUGGCAGGACUGGGCACGGCUGCAGUUGGAGCGCCAGUGCCACGCCCAAGAGGAGAUCGCCGCUCGGCACCAUGGCCGCGACGAGGGAGCCGUCGUCGUUCUCGACGACAGCGACGACGACGUGCCGCCACCGGUCCGCCAGGGCGACCCCGGGCAGGGUCCAGCAGGGGCAGCCGCGUGAAGCAGGAGAAGGACGACGAUGGCGGCGGCGACGACGGCGACUACGCCAAGCUUAGCGAGUUCUUCGGCCUGUAGUCGCAGCCUUUGUUUUUUUAGUACAUUUCAAGUUUGCUAUGUAAAAACUGUUUAAGUCGCCGAAUUUUAUGUCCUGUUUUGCCGAAUCUUUGUCCCAUUUGCCGACUUUUAGCCCAAGUUCUUUUCAAAAAAGUUUAAAAUUGGCGUCUGGACGCGACCCUGGGCGCGGCGGCUGGGAACCCGAUCGGCCCCAAGCAGAUUUUAGCGCCGGUUCACCUCCAGGCGGCGAUUUUUUGAGCCCCCUGGAGGGCCAACGGCUGGAGAUGCUCUAACACCAUAUCUGCACGCUUGGUUCCAAGGUUUGGAAUCGCUUAUCUGUUCGCAAUUGCAGCUACUAAAGUGAACAUCCAUGCCAAGCUUAAGCACCGAUGGUGCAAUUACCUCUAGCUCCUUAGGCCUCACUUUAAUAGUUCUUCAGUUGAACUCAAGUUUCACACUUGUUAAUUCUAAAAACCCAAGUAGUUAAUGUAGAUGGUUGAUGUUGUGGUUAGGAUGAACAGCUAAACAUCACAUGAAUUUCACAAUGAACAAGCAAUGUUAUGCAAACAAUAAUUUGGUUGCCGUUCUUACCAAGUUUGAACUUGUACUGAUUGGAGUCGCACAUAUGAUGGUGCACAAUUUUUUUUUUCAUUUCUACAUUGAUCGUCCAAUUGUGUAAACAAUCAAGGUCCACCGAUCUAGUAGUACAACUCUUGUCAUUUCAUUGUCCACCCAUGCAAGCGGUCAUGCUACCAAAUGGUGUAGCAACCAGACAGCACAUACACGUUGCAUAACAUAGGCAGAGUCUGAAUCACAAGUGACCUAACGAACUUAAACUGGGCUAGUUGCUGAGGUAGGAUAAAGCCCUGGCCCAAUUGCUGUUGAGGUUGCAUGGGCAUUCCCAGGCCCAACUGUUGUGGUUGCACGACGAUGGCAUGCACAAUGCUUUGGAUGGCCGGGCAUCGGGACUGCUCACUGACAUGUGCAAGUUGGCGACAACAUUCUUGUCGCUUCAACUGGCAGCUAUUCUGUUGCGAGGUCUUUGGUCGGAGGAACGGGGUCACCGAAUAGAGUAACGACGCCUUCUCCUCCGGGUUGCACUGCCUCAAGAGGAACUCCUUGCACAAGUUCCAUUGUUGUUUUUCCUCUACAAAAGGUUGUUUCUGAGCCAAUGGUUGCUCUUGCGGGUAUGGUUGUUGUGUUAAUGGUUGUUGAUAUUGGUAAAAUGGUUGUUGUUGCAGGAAUGUGGUUGUUGUUGAGGUUGCGGGAAUGUUUGUUGUUGCUGUGGAACUUGCAUCUGUCGUGGAAAUUGUUAUUGUGGCGGUUGCUGCGGAAAUAGAUGUUGUUNNNNNNNNNNNNNNNNNNNNNNNNNNNNNNNNNNNNNNNNNNNNNNNNNNNNNNNNNNNNNNNNNNNNNNNNNNNNNNNNNNNNNNNNNNNNNNNNNNNNNNNNNNNNNNNNNNNNNNNNNNNNNNNNNNNNNNNNNNNNNNNNNNNNNNNNNNNNNNNNNNNNNNNNNNNNNNNNNNNNNNNNNNNNNNNNNNNNNNNNNNNNNNNNNNNNNNNNNNNNNNNNNNNNNNNNNNNNNNNNNNNNNNNNNNNNNNNNNNNNNNNNNNNNNNNNNNNNNNNNNNNNNNNNNNNNNNNNNNNNNNNNNNNNNNNNNNNNNNNNNNNNNNNNNNNNNNNUGGCUCUUGCGGCGGGAAUGGUUGUAGCCGGGGAAGUGGUUGCUGUUGCGGAAAUGAUUGUUGUGGCCUUUCUAAGUCAUGGGCAUUAGGGACAAGCUGCGCAGUGGUGGUGGUGAUGAUCGUUGUGGCAACCAGAAGGGCAAAGAGCAAGAAGAUCUUCAUGGUGGAUUUGUGGUUACUCUUGAUUGUUUAGUUUGCAUGUUUGUGCUCUAAAUAUGUGAAGGAUGGAUGAUGGAAGGGGGUCUUCAUGGUGUAUGGCUAUUUAUAGCUGACAUGAAAUGAUUUCUUUUUGUCUUUACAUUUGCUUUCUUCUAAAGUUCUACUACUCUUAUGAAACUAAUCCUUUGGUAUGUUUUGUUUGGUGGCGCUACUUACAAGUGUAAUUUUGGAUUCAUCGGCAAAGUUGCUUUGGUAUGUACCUUCUGUUUGUAUGGCCAGCGGUUCAACGACAUCCCACAACUUUGUCUUGGAGACCAAAGCGCAGGGCAAGUUUCCCGCAGUUAUCAAAUACCGCGUUCCCAUGAAGGCUGCAGUCAAGGCUUGUUCCAUUUUACGCGAUUCAUGCGUUGAAUGCUUUAUGUCUUACUAGAAAACUGAGCUGGCAUGUUCAGAAAAUCAGUCACACUGUACCAAACAUCAAUCAGGAUUCGGAUUGUUAUAAAUGUUAGUAGAACAUGUGACUGGUGAUUUGUAGUCAGCAUUCGAUGAGCUUUACUCGUUGUUUGGUUACGCACACUCAGAUGUGAUUCACUAAUCCAUGGAUCUGUAGUGAGUAACUGAAUAUUUUCAGCUAAAUCUCAUUAUGUGCUGUGCUAUUUUAUAAUAUUAUGUUCCCUGAACUUAAUAGCUUCUUUUCCUUUUCUAAAGGAGGCAUGUUCUACGCCCGUCCUUUCCGUUUGAUAUUCUCGCUGAGAAACCUCCGCAGCAGAAGUUUGAAUUGGUUAGUUUAGUUAUCAUAUCACUGCAUUCAGUUCAAGGCGAAACCUUUCAUGAUUCUAAUGUUUGGAUAUGCUAUAUCUUUGGUGCUGACACUUCACACGUGGGUAUCCACCUUAAUUUGGCACAUGGAACUUUUCAGGCUAAGGUAGUUUCACUAUACUCUGUUUUUGGACCAACUUAUCUAGUAUUACAUCCAAAUAGGAAGCCUGAGUCAACCAUCAUUUAGCGACUGAUGGAUCAACCGUUCAUCUGCAGAGCAUUGUUGCGAAGUAUGGGCCACUGGCAUCUGUUGUUUCCUUUGUUGGCGUGUUUAUCUACCUGGUCGCAAGCCCAUUGAAAUCUGGUGCUGCAAAAAGCAGGCAAGAAGAGGCGCUGAAACUGUCUAGUUAUACUCAAUGUACCCUAAUGGCCAAUGUAGCCAGGAUCGUACCAGCGAUGCAAUUUUGGCUCUUGUACUUAACCAUCUCAGACAGGGUCUUACCUGGCUAAUUUAGACAGAGUUAUGUUUUGUAAAACAUAGAUUUCUUUUAAUGGAUAGUUGCAGAAUAUCCUUUCAGUAGUGAACAGUUGCACAAGAUAUGUGACUUGCCGGGGAUAUUUUCUGUCCAAUUAAGUUUUUUUUUGAAACUUCGGCCUCUUUAUUAGAUCAAACAACCGUUACAUCAUCCACCAGCCACCUUACAAUAGAUGCCGGUGGUUCCUCAACCCACAACCCGGGUGGAUUAAAAACCGCCAGCCUAGCUAGCUCAUGAGAGACACAGUUUGCCUCCCUAGGGCAGUGAAUGAAAGACACCGAAGUAUAACCUACUGAUAAAACGUUGCAGUCUGCGUAAAUUGCCGCCGCUCCUGUUGCAGUGAAGCCACCCGAGUUCAUUGUACUGAUCACCUCCACACAAUCCGCCUCCACCACCAGCUUGUUUACUCCCAUCUGUUGCGCUAGGAGGAGGCCAUGCCUCAAUGCAUAUGCUUCUGCUGAUGCUGCAUCCGACACAUGCUCCAGUUUGUCGUUGGAGGCUGCUAAGAACCCCCCUUUGUAAUACCUGAGCACUGCCCCAACUGCUCCAUUCAGAUUCUGUGCAUAAAAUGAUGCAUCAACGUUGAGCUUCACGAAUCCCUCCCUUGGCUUGGUCCAUCCUCCCUUCUUCACGCCCAUCUCCUUCUUUCUUGCGUUCGUGUAGUUGGUCGCUAGGGCAGAAAUCGACAGCGCCGAUCGGGCUGGCGUUUGUACUUCCUCUCCAUGGACCUUUUGCCUUCUCUCCCACCACACAUACCACACUCCCACAAGGAUUAGGGUCUGCGCACUGACAUCCGGAAGUAGACUUCCUCUCCGCGGUGCACAUAAGAUAUAGUCCAGCACCGAUGAACCAGCUCUAUCCACCUCGCUUGCCUCCUCUAUAAAGCCAUCCAAUUUCAGGCAUCUCCAUAUCUCAGCCGCUCUUGGACCCGUAAACAACACAUGCUUUAUAUCCUCGCAUCCUCCUGCACACAUUGGGCAAUUCGUGGGCAUAGCUAUAUGAUGAUUCGCGAGGACUCCAAAACAUGGCAAAAACCCAUGCAGCACUUUCCACGCAUGUAUCUUGACUUUACCCGGCAGUGAAGAUCCCCACAAUUUUGCCGAGACUGGAUAUUGUUGUGAUGGUUGGCCUUCCGUUUGCUCGAACCAGCGUCCGAACUAAUGAUCCCACUCAGCGUGAUAUGCCGACCUAACCGUGAAAAUGUUAUUCUUUGUGAACCUCCACGCUACAAAAUCAUCCAUCAUCCCGGACGGCGCCAGCGGAAUAGCAAGGAUUCUCUCCGCAUCCACCUGCCAGAACGUAUCCAUGAUAAGCUCGUGAUCCCACACUCCUGUCGUCGGGUCGAUCAGGUCAGAUACCUUCGACAACAGGUUUGCUCCUCUCGGGGUGACUACACGUCCAUCCGCGCUCGCUGCUAUCCAUGGGUCAGACCAAAUAUUAACUUGUGACCCAUCUCCUAUCCUCCAAAUGGCCCCUCUUUUGAAGGUAUGAAUACCAGCGCAUAUACUCUGCCAUGUGAAUGAACAUCCAGGCUUCAUCUUCGCAUCCAGAAGUUUCCCGUCCGGGUAGUAUCUCGAUCUUAGGACCUGCGCACACAAUGAGUCCGGAUUUUCACAAUCUCCAUACUUGCUUGGCCAGCAAAGCAAGAUUGAAGCUAUGCAGAUCUCUAAAUCCCAUCCCUCCUUUGUUCUUCGGAAUACAAAGUUUCCACCAAGCCGCCCAAUGUAUCCUCUUAUGGUUAUCGUCGUCACCCCACCAGGAUCUUGAUAUGGCAUCCGUCAUCCCUUUGCAGACUUUUUUCGGGAUAUUAAACACCGACAUCGCGAAUACUGGCAUGGCUUGAGCAACAGCCUUGAUGAGCACAUCUUUCCCUCCUAUAGAUAGCAUCUUCUCUUUCCAUCCGCUCAACACCUGAUUGAUCCGGUCGAUGAGGUAUUCAAAAGCUUCGCUCCUGUCCGCCCCCACCAUAGCCGGUAGACCCAGGUAUUUAUCAUUCAUAGCUUCCAUGAAUAUACGCAGAUUCUGACAUAUUACUACUUUUUCUUCCACUGCCAAAUUCGGGCUAAAAUAUAUGCUGGACUUGGCAUCACUUACCAACUGCCCCGAGCUCUCACAGUAAGCGUCCAAAAUAUCCCGUAGACAUUCAGCAUUAGCCCCAUCGGCACUAAUCAUAAUUAGGGAGUCGUCCGCAAAGAGUAAAUGUGAAAUUUGUGGUGCAUCUCUACAGACUGUCACACCUACUAGAUUCCCAUUGUUCUCUUCCCUUUGUAGCAAACUUGACAAGGCCUCAGCACACAACAAAAAUAGGUAAGGAGACAAGGGGUCUCCCUGCCUUAGCCCUCUGGUCGGGUGGAACACGUUCGUGGUUGUCCCGUUGAAGCAAACAUUGUAUGAAACUGAUGACACACAAGCCAUUAUCAAUGAGACCCAUCUGUUAUCAAAACCCAACCUCUCCAUCAUUCUUUUCAGGAAGCACCAUUCCACCGUGUCGUAUGCCUUAUGCAUAUCUAAUUUAAGUUUGUUUUUGUGGAGAAAUUUUUGUUGAACACAUUUUCAGAAAGGAAGAUGGUGGAGGAUAAAGAUAGAAGCAGCUGAUCUUUACCAAUGUAAAUAUUCAAUAAAUUCUAACAUAUACUAUUUGUUUAGAAUCACAUACAAGAUCCAGAUCAGUCAAGAUGGUCACACAGCUCGUUCUCAUUGACAUCCAAGAGUUGAAUUGCAAUUAGUCUCCACAACUUAGUUUAGUAGUACAAUAUUUAUAAAAGAAGGUUGCUACAGACUUAUCUGUUGAGUAUAUGUGUUAUGUGCAUAUUGUGUAUUGCGUCCGCCUCCUAGUUCCUUGUAUAGUUGAGGUCCGUGGCCCACCUUUGUACAUUAUAUAUACGUGCCUAUGCACGAAGAGCAAUAUAUCGUGCAAUUCACAUAUUCUACAUUACCUAUAUGUACUACAUUUCGGGGAGGGCGUUUUGGCUUCCGGGUGCUUUGCACCUGCAUGAACAGUAAAUUCUUAAAAAUAGUAUAAUUUUUAAAAAAGCCUGAUAUUUUUAGAUGUUCGUGUUUAGUGUCGCAAACAUGCUUGACAAUUUCAUGCAAAAUGGAGCAGCAGGGUUUCGUCGGUGAAAGAAAACAAAUUGAGGUGUAAUAUUUGGUGUUCAAUUUGUGUGUUUUUUUUUGCGCAUGACAAAAUGCUUAACCUUUUGACCUAAAAACUUUCAGGUAGCAUUUGGAUGUGACUAUGAACACAUCAAAUUUUUGUUGCGAUUUCUUUUAACAUUUUAAAUCAUUUUUCACAUGUAGGAGCACAUGCACCUGGGAGCCGAAUUGGAUUUCCGCUACAUUCCUUCCUAUUGCGUGCACUAAAAUCAACUGGUUAUACAGGCUGACUAAUGUAGAGUAAUUUCAACUAGUACAAUCAGCAACAGGGAAAUUAGAUGAGGAAGAUGUGCAAAAGAAAAAUGAUGGAUUGUAGUUUCUAUUGGAGAAUACUGCGAGACACUAGUUUUUUUCUUUUUGAACAUGGGUUAACCUCUGGCCUCUGCAUCAUUGCGAUGCACACACUCAUAUUUAUUAAUUGUAUCAUAACGAUGCACACAAUCAUAUUUAUUAAUUAUUCAGAAGAGUAUGAAACGAACACACCCAUGGCCGAACCAUUACAAGAUAUGAAAUAAAUGCCUAGCUACGACUAAGUCGACAGCUACAACUAAGUCGACAUCUUCCAUAGCAGCGCCUUCAAGAAGGGAUAAAGGUCCUCGCGCUAUCGUCUUCAUGUCCAACCGGAGAGGACCCAAACAAUAAUUUUCAUCAUGGUCGCCAAGAUCAGCCGAUGAGGACCAGUACAUUAGCAAGUAGACAAAGCCUUCAACAAGGUAAUGCCUCAAGUUUGUCGCUACCGUGACCGACCACCGACCAAUAAAGGUCACGACAGGAGUUUUCACCCCGGUCAUACAACGGUGUUUUAGUCAGCAUUCUGAAAACGGAUCAUUCCAUAGCCUCCUUCGCCAAGACUCCAUGCUAGGGACUCCUUGCCACUUUAGACCAUUGUCAAUUUGUCAUGACCACCGACAAGACACCCAUGUCUCGGCACGGAAAUGUAUGCUGCCACUCCACACCGAUACACAGGUCACACUCUAGCAUCCACCAUAACACUGAAGUCGAUGCUCCGGAGCUAGAAGUCGAAGGAGAACCACCAGUGCAACCCUUGCUCAUCGGCACUAGAGUCCACCAAGUGCCGCAGGCGACCAUCGCCGAUGUGCAUGCAUAUAUACUGAUGCGCCGCGCCUGGAUAUGCACUGUUGCAGCGCUUGAUCUCAUUAUCACGGUCAUCGAGGACCUCCACCGCAAUGACUACCUACGCAUCCAUUGCUGGCACCACCAGCUCCGCCUUUGUCGCACACCAAGACGCUGACAUUGAAGCAACAUUGUCUAGAUCUUCACUAUCCCCGGGCGCCCCCGAUACGGCGAUCAUAGAUGUAUGUGCAUUAUUCCCCAGUUACUGCACCCGAGUCCAACCCAUCCUUCACCACAGGUGCACUGCCGUCAUCAAAGAUCUGACUCAAAAGCCGCAUCUAACAUGGUGGCAUCAUUGUUUCUCGAUGUGACCUCCACAGCAAUGCAUGAUAAAGUGUCGAGAGGCGUGGCGUUGGGAUCUUCAUGGCUGCGUACUCACGCUUUGACACACCGGCGGUGACAUCCUUCAUCAAGGAAUGCCACACUCGUUCACGGUGUUGUAGUGCAGGCAGCCAGCACGCUGGCACAAUUAGGAGACAACGUAUGGCACGAUCCCCUCUCCCGGCGGCACUCACCACUACAGUUACCGACGGCCAUGCCGAUGGCUACAUGGGUGAGUAUGGGGUUGGGGAGGAGGAGGUGCCCUGGCUAGCGCAGCAGCUAGUACCCAGACAUGGACGAGGGACGUGGGAUGGCUCACCCUCGUGCCCAGACAUGGACACACACGAUGAUGCCGUGGCCAUGACCAUGCCCUCCCCCACAAAUCCGCGAUCGAGCCAUUGUGAGUCUCAUGACACCCUCCAAGCAGCACUGCCACCCCCGGAUGUCCCUCUCCACCCCAUCGCUGAGUGUCAUGACCCGGUCGUUGGAAUGAUCGAGGUUGCACAAAUGAGCUCAGCAUUUGGAUAGAUUUGGGAUAUUUUGGGAGAAUUGGGGUGAGGAAUCAGUGAAAGGAGGUGAGGACCAGAAGAAUAGGAGAUAGGGUUCCGAACAUUGAUUCAUUGACAUGCCUCUCAAAGCAAAUGGUCCUGGCCUUUAAAGCCGUAUGCACACACACUGCCCUCUGGGCUCCAUUCCUAUAUGUAGAGAAUGAUUUGGUGCAUCCAUAUCUCAUUGAUCGUGCACUAGGCACAUAAUAUAGGUACAAGGGAUGCGACCGGUAUCUUGUCUCCUAAGAUACACAUACAUACAGAGGGAGACAGACAUUACAGGUACAACAUACAAAACCCAGACCUACAUAUAUGUACACAUGUUCAACACCCCCCGCGGUCGAAGCGUCGCCGGUGACGCAGAGACUGGAUCGAAAGCCCUCAAACGUCGAGGUGGGUAGUCCCUUGGUCAUAACAUCGGCGAACUUCUGAUCGGUGAGCACAUGCAGAACUCGAACAUGACCAAGUGCGACGUGCUCCCCGAUGAAGUGAAUGCCGAGCUCAAUAUGCUUCGUCCGUCGGUGGUGAAUAGGGUUGGCAGCGAGGUACACUGUGGAAACGUUGUUGCAGUAGACAAGCGUGGCCUUGGUAACCUCACAUAGCAACUCCUGAAGUAGCUGUCGUAGCCAAGAGCACUCCGCUACGGCGUUGGCCACAGCCAUGUACUCGGCAUUGGCGCUCGAUCGUGAAACCGUGGGUUGUUGUUUAGACGACCACGAAAUCAGAGAGGGCCCGAGGUAGACACAAUAGCCGGAAGUGGAGCGCCGAGUGUCGGGACACCCAGCCAGUCGGCGUUGGAGUAGGCGACGAGGCUGGUGUCGGGUGAUGUCGUCAGGGUGAGACCCAUAGCUGUGGUGCCACGUAUGUACCGGAGAAUACGUUUCACCAGAGCCCAGUGAGUAUGAUGAGGAGCAUGCAUGUAGAGGCACACCUGCUGGACAGCAUACUGAAUAUCCGGACGUGUCAGCGUGAGGUACUGAAGAGCACCGACGAUGGAGCGGUAGAAGGGAGCGUCAGACGCCGGAGAACCCUCGACGGCGGACACCUUAGCCUUCGUAUCGACAGGCGUGGGAGCAGGCUUGCGGUUAAGCAUGCCGGCUCGCUCCAGAAGCUCGUAGGCAUACUUCUGCUGAUGCAGGAAGAAGCCAGUGGCACGGCGAACAACCUCGAUGCCGAGGAAGUAGUGAAGAGCCCCCAUGUCCUUGAGGGCGAACUUGGUGCCGAGGCGAGCUGUGAUCUGCUGAAGGAGUGCAGGCGAGGACGCAGUCAGGAUGAUGUCGUCGACGUACAGGAGAAGGUACGCGGUGGUGGUGCCCUGGUGAUAAACAAACAGGGAGGCAUCGGACCGUGUGGACCGGAACCCCUACCGCUGAAGGAAGGCCGGGAUCCGCUGGUACCAGGCCUGAGGUGCCUGCUUCAACCCGUAGAGAGAACAGGAGAGCAAGCACACGUGGUCCGGAUAGUCGGUGUCGACGAAACCAGUAGGUUGCUGACAAAACACCUGCUCGUCGAGAUGGCCAUGCAAGAAAGCAUUGGACACGUCGAGCUGGUGAACUGGCCAGGCGCGAGAGACAGCAAGCUGGAGAACAGCGCGAAUCAUGCCCGGUUGGACAACCGGGGCGAAGGUGUCGGUGAAGUCCACGCCGGCGCGCUGGCGAAAACCGGGCACGACCCAACGCGCCUUGUAGCGCUCAAGAGAACCGUCGGGGUGAGUCUUGUGGCGGAAGGCCCACUUGCUAGUGAUAACAUUGGCACGGGGAGGCCGCGGGGCAAGCUGCCACGUGCGGUUGCGCUGUAGGGCGUCAAACUCCUCACGCAUGACAGCAAGCCAGUUCGGAUCCCGAAGGGCUGCGCGGGCGGAGGUGGGGAGCGGGGAAGGGGCCGACGUAGACGCGGCACACGCGUACUCAUCGGAGGUGUAGCGCGUGCUGGGACGAAACGUCCCAGUCCGAGCCCGAGUAACCACACCAGUGAGAGGUGCGGCCGCAGUAGGCGGAGCCGAGAGGGGGACCGGCGAGGAUGAGGUCGAGCCGGUCUCCGAAGACUCCGAGGGACCACCCGCGGUGGCGCCAGAGGGCGCGACGGGAGCGGCCGAGGGGGCCACGGCGUCGGGGGCGGCCAGAGGAGCCGCGGCGCUGGGGACGGCGGAAGGGGCGCCGGAGGCCGCGGUGGCGGGGGCACCCGAGGGGGCAGCCACACCCGAGGCGCCGCGGGAGGGCGCGGUCGCCGCUGGGAGCGCGGGCAGGGCCGGGCCCAGUGCUCAGCGUGGGGGCAACUCGCCAGAGGUGGUAGCAGGGGCGAAUCGCGCCGCGGGAGAGGCCGAGGGUACCUGCUAAAACGGGAACAUCAGCUCAUCAAAGUACACAUGCCGCGAAGUGAUAACGCGGUGGGACACUGGAUCAUAGCACCGGUAACCUUUGGUGUUGGGAGGAUAGCCGAGGAAGAUGCAAGGAAUCGACCGGGGAGCGAGUUUAUGAGGAGUAGUGGACGCGGUGCUAGGAUAACAGAGACACCCGAAAAUGCGAAGACCGUCAUAAGACGGAGCCGCGCCAAAGAGGAGCUGGUGAGAGGAGUAGUUCCAGCAUGGAUGACAUGGACGAAUGUUAAUAAGAAGGCUGGCGGUCGAGAGGGCGUCCGGCAAAAACCGAGGAGGCACGUUGGAGUGGAAGAGCAACGUGAGGACACAGUCAUCAAGAGUGCGGGUGACGCGCUCAGCGCGGCCAUUCUGCUGCGACGUGUAGGGGCAAGUGAGCCGAAAGAUAGUGUUGUGGGACACAAGGAGAUUACGAACGGUGACGUUGUCGAACUCUUUUCCGUUGUCAGUUUGCAAGGCAAGAAUAGGACGACCAAAUUGUGUGGUGACAUAUGAAUAAAAUGCGGUGAGUGUGGCGAGAGCGUCGGACUUGCGACGGAGAGGGAAUGUCCACACAUAAUGAGAAAAAUCAUCCAAUAUCACCAGAUAGUAUAAAUAACCCGUGUUGCUCGCAACCGGGGACAUCCAAACAUCACUAUGCAAUAAUUGAAACAGAAAAGUGGAAAUGUGUGUAGACUCGCUAAAGGGGAGAUCAACGUGCUUGCCCAGACGGCAGGCCUCACAAGAGUGGUCGUCAACCUUAUUACAUGACAAUGAAAAACUCUGAAGAAUCUAACGCAAAACUGUGGAGUUGGGGUGACCGAGGCGGGCGUGCCAAAGAUCGACAAUGGCGGCGAAGGCGGCAGGACGGGUGGUGGUGGCGCCAGAAGGAUGCACCGGAUAAAGCUUGUCCGGACUGUCACAUCGGUGGAGUACCAUCCCUAUACAGGCGUCCUUCACAGAAAAGCCAAUAUCAUCAAAUUCAACAGUUAUAGGAUUCUCACGAGCAAGGCGACGAACAGUGACAAGGUUGGUAACUAAGUCUGGAUAGACAAGAACAUUAGACAUGUUAAUGGGAGUAGAAGUGGAAGGAAACGACAUAUGACCAACAUGUGUAACGGGUAGAGAGGAACCGUUACCAACGGUGAGGCGAGUGGGAGUAUGAACGGGAGUGGAAGACGUGAGGUUACCGGGACGAGUAGUCAUGUGAGCGAUGGCGCCCGAGUCCAUGUACCAGUCACCUCCGCCACCGUAGUUACUCGGUGACGGAGCCGAGUGCAGAGCGGCGAGGAGGGCCGGGUCCCACGGCGGCGGCACCUGGGGAGGGAAAAACCCUCCAUAGGCCGGCGCGGCGUCGUAGGUGGGCGCGGGCGCGGCGCCGUAGCCGCUGUAGGGGGCGGCGUUUCGCGUCGCAAAUAGUGCCUGGUGGCUCGCCGAACGAGGCCCAAUGCUGCCCGGAGCAGGAGCCCGAAGGACCGGCAUCGAGUACACGUGUACGACGCCCGUCCACGGGUUGGUGUCGUAAGUCCAUGGAGGGGUGGCCUGCUGCUGCUGACGAGGGGCCCCCCAUGCGCCUGUUGCUGCUGCUUGCUCCUGCUGGGGGGCAGCGGGAGGGGCGGGAGGCGCGGGCGGCAAGGGGAAAAACCCCGGGGGCGCAGGGGGCGGUGGGGCAGCCGGUGGUGGGGCGCCACGCGAGGUGCCGGCGGCGAGGGCAUGGUGCUGCACGCGCUUCUUGACCCCUUCAUCUGGCGCUCCUCCAACCGCAAGUACGCCAGAAACUUGGGGAAGGAGGGCUCCAGCAUUAAGGAGAGGUUGGAGGCGGCGUUGCCGAAGUCCUCAUUGAGGCCGGAGGUGAGCCUGCUGAGGAGGAGGUCGUCAUCAACCUUGGCGCCGAUGUCACGGAGCUCAUCCGCCAACGUCUUCGGGCGGCGGCAGUAGUCAUCGAUAGACUGAUCAUCCUGAUGACAGUCAAAAAAUUCCUGCUGCAGAAAAACGCGAGGCUGAAGCUUGUUGUCGGUGAAGAGGCCGUUGAGCUUGACCCACACCGCGCAGGCGUCAUCACCAUCGCUCACGACCGUGUGAAACAGGUCCUUCGAGAUGGUGGUGAAGAACCACCGGAUGAGCAUGGCGUCGAUCGCGGUCCACUCGGAGUCGCCCACCAUAGUACGGGAGUCGACGGUGCCGUCAACGUGAUCCACAAGAUUGUUCUCGCGGAAGAGCAGCGAGAAGUAUGUCUUCCACGCGAAUUACGUGGAGUCGGUGGCAUCGAGGACGACGGGGACGCGUUCGUGAAUGUUGAUGUCACGGAUGUCAGCGGUGUCCAGCCAGGCGAAGGGGUUGGAGUAGGUGGGGGCGGUGGAUGACAUAGCGACAGCGCGGUGGGAGAGGAAGGGGCGGCGGCUAGGGUUUGGGGAGGAGGAGGUGCGGCGCGGCGCGGGGAGGGGAGGCGCGGUGCGGGGAGGGGAGGCGUGGCGCGAGAGGGAGCGGCGGCUCCAGAUGGCGGCGGCGGCCCUAGGCGGCGGCUGCAGAUGGUCAACACUAUACACCAAAUCCACACACGAACACAUUUUUUUCCAAAAAGGUCACACGACACAUGCUGGUACAAGUCAUGGACCGGGACAUGACAUUGAGAUCCUACCUCCACGCCGUCGUCAACGGACUAUGGUGGCUGGGGGGAUUAGAGGCAUGAGAUCCCUGAACUAAAUUUUCCGGAUAAGGAGGUUCCUUUUUUGACAUCACAUGGUGGGACUGGGUUGAUAUACCUAUGAAAAAAAUGAUACAUAAUCGAUGGAUUGCAGUUCCUAUCAAAGUAGAUGUGCAUGACGUGGAAUAUUUUGUUUGCCUUUAUUCCCAAGUUUGAACUUGUACUGGUUGGAGUCACGCAUAUGAUGGUGCACGGCAUUUUAUUUUAUUUCAUUGCUACAUCGAUCGUCCAAUCGAGUAAACAAUGAAGGUCCAUCUAUCUAGUAGUACAACUAUUGUGAUUUCAUUGUCCACCAUUGUAGGCAGUCAUGCUACCAAAUGGUGCAGUAAUGGUGUAGCAAUCAGACGGGACAUGCACGUUGCAUAACAUAGGAAGGGUCUGAAUCACAAGUAACCUAACCAACUGGUACUGGGCUAGUUGUUGAGGUAGGAUAGAGUGCUGGCCCAAUUGAUGUUGAGGCUGCAUGGGCAUUUCCUGGCCCAACUGUUGUGGUUGAGGCUGGCCGAAACCUCUAUCCACAUGUUGUUGUUGCAUGACGAUGGCAUGCACAAUGUUGUGGAUGGCCGGGCAUCGGGACGGUUCACUGAUAUGUGCAAGUUGUCGACAACAUUGUAGUCGCUUCAACUGGCAGCUGUUCUGUUGCGAGGUCUUUGGUCGGAGGAACGGGAUCACUGACUGGAGUAACGACAGUUUCUCCUCUGGGUUACACUGCUGCAGGAGGAACUCCUUGCACAAGUUCAAUUGUUGUUUUUCCUCUACAGAAGGUUGUUGUUGUGGCAAUGGUUGCUCUUGCGAGUAUGGUUGUUGUGUUAAUGGUUGUUGAUAUUGGGAAAAUGGUUGUUGUUGCGGGAAUUGUGGUUGUUGUUGUGGGAGUUGUUCUUGUUGUUGUUGUUGUUGCGGGAAUGUUUGUUGUUGAUGCGGAAGUGGCAUCUGUUGUGGAAAUUGUUGUUGUGGCGGCUGCUGCGGAAAUAAAUGUUGCUGGGGAAGUUGUUCUUGGGGAAGUGGUUGUUGUGGAUACGGUUGUUGUUGCUGGUAUUGUGGCUGCUGCAGCGGAAAUGGUUGUUGUGGCUCUUUUUGCGGGAAUAGUGGUUGUUGUGGCUCUUGAGGCGGGUAUGGUUGUUGCUGGAUAAGUGGUUGCUGUUGCAGAAACGAUUGUUGUGGCCUUUCUUGGUCAUGGAUGCGAGGGUCGAGCUGUGCGGUCGCGGUGGUGAUGGUCGUUGAUGCAACGAGGAGGGCAAAGACCAUGAAGAUCUUCAUGGUGAAUUUGUGGUUACUCUUGAUUGUUUAUUAUGGAUGCUUGUGCUCCAAAUUUCUGAAGGAUGGAUGAUGGAAGGGGGUCUUCAUGGCGUAUGGCUAUUUAUAGCUGCCAUGAAAUGAUUUCUUUUCGUCUUCACAUUUGCUUUCUUGUAAAGUUCCUCUACUCUUAUCAAACUGAUCCUUUGGUAUGUUUUGUUCGGUGGCGCUACUUACAAGUGUAAUUUUCAGAUUGAUCGCCAAAGUUGCUUUCUUGCAGCACACAUCCAUGGAGUGCCAGGAAAGCUUGAUAAUCGUAAUGACUCAUCAUAUUCAUUUUACAUGCGAAACACUUAUCUAUAUUACACCCCUUUCUAAAACUAAGUUUGUAAUGUUCUGCAAGUUGUUAGGCACAUCUAGGUUGGCAUAGCUUGUCGGGAACUAAGUUUAUAGUCUUGCUUGGCGUUGUUAAGAUAGAUCAUACUAUUAAUAUGAAGAUUGUUCUAGACUAUUUCUUUCUGAACUAACUUCGUAGUUUUGUGUAAUAUGAUGGUAAGAUGAACAAGCAUACAUGACUCAUCAAUUCUUUUUUUUAUGCCAAUGUUAGUAAUGUCGUAUGAGUUGUUAAUAGACACUAGAUGAUUCCCAUGCAUUUCCGCGGGAACACCAUGAACAUGAUAUUAAACCCUUUGAGGAACUUUAUACUUGGUUCGAUAGUAGAUAUAUUGUCACCAGAAAAAAAAUAUUGCACACGGUGUAUCAAAUACAAUGACGCAUGUAAUAGCAUGCAAUGUGAAUUAGAGUGCGUUGAGUAUACUGUGGAAUAGCAUAAGGCCAACUUCAACGCAAUGACUCAAACGGACACGAAUUUUUGUCCGCUUUUUGUCCGUUUGGGUCGCCAAAACGGACAAUGGACGCAGACGGAGAGCCGGACACCACCAGUGUACCCAACAUGGAAGACCCAACUGAAACGGACACGGUUGUUGAGGGCUUGGUGUCGCUCGCGCGCCCGCAUAACAGCCCGAGCCACCCAGCACCGCCGCCUUGGCUCCUACUACGACCCGCAGCAGCACCAGGCUGCCGCCUCCUGCUCUCUUCACCUCUCACCACCCUCUCACUUCUCUUCUCGAGCAGGAAGGAGCACGGCCGUCAACCAUAGGACGCCUCCACCGGCUGAAGCCGCUGCCGAUGACACCGGUCUCCUCAACCUCGCUGCCGCCAACUGUAGACGCACAGUUCAUGCAUAUAACAAACGGUAAUCAUAAUUGGCAAUCGUUUGCUGGGAGAGAGGUGGCAAACGAAACUCUUUCGAUGGCAGUUUCGGUUCCGAGACAAGAUCAAACGAUGCCUAUUUAAAACAACAAUUUGCCUUCUCAAAAAGAAAUUGUCAUGUCGCCCUGAUGUAAACUUCCAUCCCUCAAACUAAAACUGCCAGCGAAUCAUUCGCAAAUGCCACCCCCUCCUGGCGACUAUUCGCCAGAUAAGGGGGUCCAUAACAAAAGAGUUCUUCCUGCAGGCAAGUAGAAAGUACAAUGUUUCAAAUUAUGGAAAGGCAGCUUGUGUAUAAAUUUUUGAUAAAUUACAACAGGGGAUCUAGCAGACGUGUAAGGGAGUAGGAAAAACAUUGUCUGUUGAAAUUGACAUUAUUACAAGUAGCUAGUCAAUAACAAUACUGGUCAGUCAGAAGGUUUCAGCAAACCUACAACAAAAUUGAGAGGAUUCUUGAGGACAACAGACAACAAACGAAAGCCAUGAAACAAUGGUAAACCUUCAAUUCAAGAAUAUUAAUGGAAGCAUACAAAGUAUCAAGUUGAUUGAUAGACAAAUCAACUUGAGAUAUAUUUUCGCAGCAACAUUCAGUAAAAUCGCUAAUCAAUAGAUUGCUAAGCAUGAAACUGAUAUGCAAGGGAUAAAUGAGUCGCAAAAUAGAAAGGAUAACCAAAUAUUUCAUCACACAUCAGUGCGGAGGAGAGAAAAUGAGAAAUACCGAAUACGGAUCUGAAGGUGUUGUGGCCUUAGCAGCACCAUGGACACGGCAGGGGAAGCACAUACGGUUUUUGUACCAUGCAUAUAUUCAAAUAGAAUUCCAGAACAUGUGUUCAAUCAAGCAAAAUAAGAUUCAGGUCUGGAUCAAGCGAACGAAAUCCAUAAUAGGUGAAGAUAUGCAAUCCUGUAUAUUCGAUCAAUCAAGAUUAAAUUUAAAUAUUAAGCCAGCACAGAACAUUCAAAAUUAGCAAUGGAUGGGAACAAUACGUACAUAUAGGAGCCGUAAAUCCGAGGCAUAUGUAUGUAGCAAGGGGAGAAUAACCAAGAUGACGGCCUGGGCGUCCAAGUCAUCGAGCACCUGAGGGAAUCCAAUUUGUUUGUUCAACCAGCAAUAUGUCAUCGGGAAUGUCGAGGAAAGGGGAUGGAGUUGCUCACCAAAGGCAGAAGUAUGAGCGUCCUAUGGCAGAUGUCCACUCAUAAUGGAGGAUGAUGGGAACAAAAUGAACUGGAGUGUGUGGGUGCGACUCUAAAUGGUCACCUGUUAGUUUCUUGUAGAGAUCAUGGUGAGAGGAAAUAGAGCGUCAAGCAGAAGUUUUUUUGUUUGUUUUGUUUUAUGAGGUUGUUUGGUGGUCGUAGAUGGCAACAAAGAUGAUAAACAGUGUGAGGCGUUUUGAGAAUUGGGCUGCAUACGGGUCGAAGCAGUGGGUUAUGUACGUUUGCUGUGAGCAAAGCAAGAAAUACUGAAGAACAACAGGAGCACGGGACCUUCAACUGUGUUAGCUUAUAAUCUAGCAUGACAGGUCGAUCGCCGAGUAGUUCUGUAGGUUAGUUAAGCUGCAGCAGCAGCGAUGGCUUUUCUGUUUCAUCAGUCAGCGUUUUUUCUGUUUUCAGUUAGUCAGAGCCUGAGGACGCGGCAUGUGCGAUCCCAAGGCCUUAGCUCACGGCAUGAGCACGCCCAUGAUCGUGGGAUGGCACCAUCCAGUAGUGGAGGCUGUUCUUGAUCCUUUUUCCCGUUCAUGAAGUGAAUGAGAAGAGAGAAGCAGAAAAGCAGCAGAGUUGAGCGCUGCACAAAAUUCAGUCUCUUGUUUUGCUUUCGCCAUUGACAGAGCUCCAAGCUCACACAUAACAAUUAGCAUCAGGGACAACACCGGCGGCAGCAAGUCGCCAUCGACACCGCGCGCAAGAAUCUCCGACGGCACAGGGCUGACCGUGGCAGAGAGAUCCUUGCCGCGGGUGGUGCGCGACACCGGCGGUACGGCAUGCCCGCAGCUGACGAGGAUGAACUACACGCCGUCCUCAUGCAAGUCAUGAUGGAAGGGCCGCACCUGUGGGACGCCAUGCUGACGGGCACGGCGGAGCGCUGCGACGAUCGGCUCCCACCCUCGCUGACAAGGCCAGGGCGAAGGAGGCGUGGGAAUCCGUCAAGACGAUGCCCCUUGGAGUGGCACGUGUCCGCGAGGCUAAACUCGCAACUCUCUCCAAGCAGUACAACGACAUACACUUCGCCGACGAUGAGACCAUCGACGACUUCGCCAUGCGGAUCACAAACAUGGUGGCCCAGAUGUGGCAGCUCGGGGAGACCGUUCAGGAGAAACGGGUCGUCCACAAGUUUCUCUCCGUCGUCCCGAAGAGGUAUUCGCAAAUCGCCUUGUCAAUUGAGACACUUGUUCACCUGGACACGCUCUCCAUUGAGGAGCUCACCUGUACGAGCUCGACCAGGUGGAGUCAGGUGUCGGGCGUCUCAUGUUCACGGCGGAGGAGUGGCACGCGUGCAUGCAGCGCAGCGAGACCAACGGAUCCGGAGGCAGCGGCUCUGGGUCAGGGCGUGGCGGCGGACGCCGUGGGCAUGGCCGCGGACGUGGCGGUGGGCGCGGCUCCGGCAGCGGCGCAAAGCCCACAGACCAGUGCCGCCACUGCAAGAAAUACGGGCACUAGGCGCACGAGUGCAAGACGCGUAUCCGCGAGGAGCGCGCAGAGGAGAACCUUGCCGAAGAAGGCAGGCACGCCACGGACGGCCACGACGAGGACCCGACGCUCCUCAUGGCGGUGAUCGCCGUGUCCCCACCGCAGGGUGUGGGGGAGCACGUCAUGCUCAACGAGGAGCGUGCAGAGGUGAACCUAGGAGCGGAGGAGGCGCCGUGCGACGGUCGGUGGUUUCUGGACACCGGCGCGUCAGACCACAUGACCGGCGACCGGUUGGCGUUCGCGGAGCUGGACGAGAGCGUCACCAGCAGCGUCAGAUUCGGGGAGGGCUCCAGCGUGGCCAUCCACGGCCGCGGCACGGUCACGUUCACCGUGCACAGCGGUGAUCAUCGCUCCCUCACUUACGUCUACUUCAUCCCACGUCUCAAGACGAGCAUCAUCAGCCUCGGGCGGCUGGACGAGCACGGCUGCACCACCAAGAUCCACGGCGGCGUCCUGACUCUGUACGACCGCCGCCAGCACGAGCUGGCCCAGGUAUGCCGAAACGGCAGACGUCUGUAUGUUGUACGCCUGGACAUCGCGCAUCCUGUCUGUCUGGCAGCACACGGAGACGACAGGGCGUGGAAGUGGCAUGCCAUGUUCGGCCACCAGCACUUCGACGCGCUCCGGCGCUUGGGGCGCGCUGACAUAGUGCGCGGGAUGCCGCUGGUGGACCACGUCGAGCAGAUCUGCGACGCGUGCUUGGUGGGGAAGCAACGGCGUGCCCCAUUCCCCUCCCAGGUGCGCUAUCGGGCGACAGGGCCACUCCAGCUUGUUCAUGCCGACCUGUGCGGGCCCAUCACUCCGGCCACCCACGGCGGCAAGCGCUACUUCAUGCUCGUCGUCGACGACCGCAGCCGCUACAUGUGGGUCAAGAUGCUGCCUGCGAAGGAUGCCGCUGCGGCCAGCAUCAAGCACUCCAUUGCCGACGCCGAGGCAGAGCGGGGAGCGCGGCUGCGGACGUUCAGGAUGGACUGGGACGGCGAGUUCACGUCUACUGCGCUCGACGAGUACUUCCCGGACCAAGACGUGCAGCGGCACCUGACGGCGCCCUACUCGCCGCAGCAGAACGGCGUAGUGGAGCGGCGCAACCAGACCGUCGUCGGCAUGGCCCGGAGCAUGCUUAAGGCAAAGCACAUGCCGAGCUGGUUCUGGGGGGAGGCCGUGGCGACCGCGGUGUUCAUCCUCAAAGAUCGUAAACCUGCAGCGUCGACGGCAAGACUCCAUACGAGGUGUGGUACGGCAAGAAGCCCGCCGUGCACUACUUGCGUGUCUUCAGGUGCAUCGCCUACGUCAAGAACAUGUGGCCCGGGCUGAAAAACCUCGACGACCGCAGCACGAAGAUGGUCUUCGUCGGCUAUGAUGCGGGCUCGAAGGCGUACAUGGUGUACGAUCCACUGACCAAGCGCGUGUACGCGUCGCGCGACGUGGUGUUUGAUGAGGGCGCGAGCUAGGAUUGGGCGGCCCGGCGUGCCCACGGUAGAGCCGCUCGUCGUCCGCCACGAGCUCCCGCUCACCACUCAGGUACAGGAGGUGCCCGCCACGCCGGACGACGCGAGUGGGGAGCGAGAAGGGGACGACCACACCACAGUGAGUUCACCAGCCACGCCCAAAAGCACGAUCGUGGCCACAUCUCCCGCCACGCCCGAGAGCGCGGACGUGGCCAGAUCUCCAGCGACACUACGAUCCGGCACGUCAACGGCCUCUCCGGACGGGUCUGGCGGCGGGACGCCUCCUGACGAGGCUCCAGAAGUGGAGUUUGUCACACCGCCUGCAACGCGGUGCGACUCGUACGACGCCGACAACGAUCCAUUCGCGGGGCACCGUUUCCGCCGUCUCGCGUAUGUGUACAGCGGGGCGGCCAAGUCAUCUGCGCCGGCGGAGCGCCUGCUGCUGGCCGAAGAGGAACCAACUACAUUUGUAGAAGCAGCGCCCCACGAGAGCUGGCGAAGCGCGAUGCUGGAGGAGCUCGCGUCCAUUGAGGAGAACGGCUGGACGCUCACUGAUCUACCCGCAGGUCACACAGCCAUUCGCCUCAAGUGGGUCUUCAAGCUGAAGAAAGAUGCGGCCGGUGUCGUCAUGAAGCACAAGGCGAGGCUCAUGGCGAGGGGCUUCGUACAGAAGAAGGACGUGGACUACGACGACGCGUUCGCGCCCGUGGUGAGGCUGGACCCAGUGCGCGUCAUGGUUGGCAUGGCGGUGCAGCGCGGUUGGGAGCUGCACCACCUCGACGUCAAAUCGGCCUUGAUCAACGGCGAGCUCAAGGAGGAGGUCUACGUCACACAGCCACUGGCUUCGCGCGGAGAGGCGAGGAGCACAAGGUGUUCCGACUCCACAAGGCGUUCUAUGGGCUGUGGCAGGCGCCGCGAGCUUGGAAAGCCAAGCUUGAUUGCACUAUGCAGCAGCUUGGGUUCGCGAGCUGCCCGUCAGAGAAUGCCAUGUUGGCACGAUUUUGGAUAUGCUGUCGGCGGUCGUCGAGGAGAUCACCCGGUAGGGCACGACCGAACAUACAGAUAGACGCAGAGAAGACCGGACAGGGCAACCCAACAGCCAAACUGAAUGAAAGGCCAACCACACAGCGAUGACAAAUUGUUAGGAAUAAACCGUAUGUGCGUGUGUGUCCCAGAUGGCGCGUGAGUCUGUGCUCGCGUUCGUUUCCACGGUGCAGUUCUAGUUUGGGUUGAGUCCGAGUCAGGCCGGUUUGUUGCCAGGCACAUGUGAUCGUGAGGCGAACGCGUUCGUGUGGAGCGGAAGCAUAGGCGCUGCGUUUCUGUUAGCUAAAAAGCUGGCUGAUCUCGUAUUUGUUACGAGAUGUGUGGUGCGUCCAGGUUGUUGGCGUUUUUGUAGCACCGGUGACGUGCGUCUGCCUAUAUAGGUCUAUGUAGCUCGUGAUUUGUUUACAGUUUGAGCUGGAGAAAAACGCUGUUUGUCAGCGAGGCGUUCGUCGCCGCAAAACACCUGUGCGUUUACGUCUUCUUCUACCUCUAUCCCUGAAAACCAGUUCGUGCUAUCUAGGGUUAGACCCCAACACAAAUCACCUCAACCAUGAGAAGGCCAAGCAACACAGAGGUGGGAAACGCUCCUUCACGUUCGCUCGUUGGAGCGGUCGAUUCGAUCCAAAGCAUGUUGUGGUGAAAAGGACGGACCAACAUGACAUACAUCAGGCGAUCACUCACAUGGGUCGUACCUGAACCAUGCGUGAUUAGAAUGCGAUGUACACACUAGUAAAAAAAGGGCCAUUUGUCCUGGUGCAUAAGGCCCAUUUGUCCCAACAAACCGGGACUAUAGGGUCGUUACUAAUGCCUAGUCCAAUAGGCAUCCACGUGGCCGGUGCUGCGAGCUCGGGCAGGAGGCCCUUUAGUUCCGGUUGAUGGCACCAACCGGGACCAAUAGGCAUCCACGCGUCAGCUCUUCAGCGGCUAGGGUUUUUGUUUUUUUUUUCUGAAAGGGGGUGGAUUUGGGGGUUUUAUAUGGUUAAUUAAGGUGUUUCAUAUAUUGUGUUAGGUAGCUAAUUAAUUAAUAGAGAGAAGUGUCCUCUCUUAUCUCCGUGCUUGGUCGACGCUACGUACUAUACGUAUAGAGAUGGCCACAUUGGUGGGGGCGGCGCGGCCCCCCACGACGACUCCCACUACCGCCGUCCGCGCCCCUCCCGCCACGAGGAUCCGGAGGACGACGACGAGCGCUCUGGCCGCAGCCGCUCCCCCUCACGGGACCCCUCUCCACCUCCGGGGCGUGGGGGCGCGGGUGCGGGCCGGUCGCGUGGGUUGACCUUCUCCGCCGAGGCCGCCCCCGCCACGCUUCCUGUCUCCUCUCCCUCCUCUUCGGCCGAGCUCAGCGACAUCUCCAGUGUCAGCCUCCUCGUCCUCCCGGCAUCUUCGCCGCGCUCGCCGUGCAUCCUUCCCGUGGUGGCCACGGCACCCUCGUCUCCGACCUCGGCUUCUUUGCUGCCUCCGGCCUCGCCGACGUCGGUGCCUCCCCCCCUNNNNNNNNNNNNNNNNNNNNNNNNNNNNNNNNNNNNNNNNNNNNNNNNNNNNNNNNNNNNNNNNNNNNNNNNNNNNNNNNNNNNNNNNNNNNNNNNNNNNNNNNNNNNNNNNNNNNNNNNNNNNNNNNNNNNNNNNNNNNNNNNNNNNNNNNNNNNNNNNNNNNNNNNNNNNNNNNNNNNNNNNNNNNNNNNNNNNNNNNNNNNNNNNNNNNNNNNNNNNNNNNNNNNNNNNNNNNNNNNNNNNNNNNNNNNNNNNNNNNNNNNNNNNNNNNNNNNNNNNNNNNNNNNNNNNNNNNNNNNNNNNNNNNNNNNNNNNNNNNNNNNNNNNNNNNNNNCUCGAGCCUCCCCCCCGGCUCCCUCCCCGGCCCCGGUGACGACGCGCCGGCCCCGGAUCCGCCGGCCCCGGACCCGCCCUCUCCUCAGGCGGUGUCUGGUGCCCGUAUGAUCCCUCCGGCGCCUGCUUCCCCGACUCGUCUGCUGCUGGUGGCCUCCGAGGAGGUGGUCACCCCCGUCGCCUCCCACCCGCCUCGGUCGGUGCCCUACGUCCUUCGGGCUCGGGCCUCGUCGACCCCGGUGAUGGCUUCCCGCCGCAGCGCCCGGCUCGACGCGGAUCGCCCGGCCGGCCUCCCGGCGCCGUUCAUCUCCGAGCGGGCUGAGAUCCGGGCUGCGGCCCGGAACCUCGAGUCAGCUUUGGCGGCCGCUUAGCCGCCCCCAGGACCGAGGCGUCAUCACCGCCCUCCUCUCCGAUCUUCGCUCGAUGGCGCUCCGCGUGGCUCCCCUGCUGCCGCCUCCUCCACCUGAGCCUGACUAGACCGUCUGGCGGUUAUGUGGUUUGUGGCGUGUGUGUUUUGGGUUUAGGGCUUGUUGUGCUGUCCCCUCAGCAUUGACCCUUUCGUGUACUAUUUGUCCCUGGGGACCUCCGUAUGUGUGUGCGUGUGUGUGUGUGUUGGACCUUGUUGGAUGCUUGUUGUGCGGUUGGCUUUAUAAUAUAAAGUGGGGCGAAAGCCUUUUUCGGUACGUAUAGAGAGGCCCUCGACAUGCUAGCUAGUAAGAAAAUGAAGGAAACCAUUAAGUACAGAAGUUCGUCAUGCAUACCGAGAGAAGUGAUCGACCUCUCCUUCUCCGAGAGAUUGGUCGAACAACAAGUUUUCGUAUUAUUUAUCCGACGCUACUGGCUACAUACAUAUACAAUAUGUAAGAUCUCUUACAAUCCCCUAUCAUUUGAACUCAAGUUUUACAUGGUAUUCUCCGGCUUUAUUGAUGACGUGGUCAAGAAAGAAUCCCGCCAAUUCCUCUUGAAUUGCUUUCAUGCGAUCUUGUGGUAGGAGUUCAUUCCGCAUCUGCCACAACUAAUUUGAAGAAGGGGGUCAAUACAUAUAUAUGAAUGAAACUCAACAGAAAUGAUGGUGUAAUAAAAUGAAAUUGUGAAUAUUAUUGCUUACGCACCUCAUAUUGUAUUUUAGAGUAGCCCCGCUUAUCUUUGCGAGUCGCGUUGUAGAUGAACUCGCACACGUAGUAUCCACAGUAAUCAUUCCCUUGUUCCUGCCACAAGCACUUUACGAGAAAUAGAGGUCAAUCAAACUGAUAAUGAAGCAUUAUAAAUAGCAUUGAUGAAAGUAGCUAGAAUCAACGGGAGAUGCGCGGAACUAGCUAGCUAGUAGUACUUACUUUCGGGUAUUUAUAUCGCAGCUCCUUCGGCAGACCCGAAACUUCUGCGGUGAACUCUUUCCAAACCCUGCAAGACAAAGAAAAUAAUUACUACUUGAGAUAUCAGGAAAUGAACAAAAAGUUGCCGAUAUGGUGCGAUAAUGAUCGAUUGAACUUACUUGUUGAGAAUUUUAGUCAUGUCCGCAUAGGUCUCGGGAUCUUUCCUUCUCGAGUCUAAGACGUUUACUAGUCCCUGCUCAAGCUUAAUUUCCAGGAGAAUAUAGUGGAAGCUGCGCACGCAUGCAUAACUCAUCAAUUACAUUACUAUAACCUCGCUCGAGUAAUAAGGGAAACCGAAUAUGCACACGACAGUAACACUCACUUGAAGUUGUAAGGAAAGAGUAUUAAAUCUUUGUUUUGAUUUAUUAGCAAUGAUUUGAGCAAGUUGGCAUCGGCAUCUUUGGCGCUCUUUUUAACCUGAAAUUCAUCUAUGAGAUUUGUGUUAAUGAACCCAAUAUCAUACAUUUCUGCUUUUCUGCACUCGACGAUCUUCAAAAUCCAUAAUAUAGUGAGGAUAAUUAUAAAUACAUGCAAUGAAAGAGCUGAGCUAUAUAUAAAGACUUAAUGACAGAAGUAGUACUUACAGACAGUAGCAAGUGACCGUUAAUUUAUCGAGGGCCUUUUGAUUGAAGAACUGGAAGAACUCCUCAAAUGGAACAGCCAACACAUCAAUUCCAACGAGGUCGUGCUCCUCUUUAACUCCCAGAUACAAAACGGACGUCCCCCAGACUCUCUGCAGGUUUUCAUAUACCAAUCAUGGAAUCUUCGCAUCAUCGUUGUUAGAGAUUUUUCAUCUUUGACAAGAGGCUUCCCGUACUCGUACCUGUGUCCGUCCACCUCCAAGAAAUCAUAAUGUACAUCGUUGGGCAGGUAAUCUCCAAGAUUGUUAUAACCGGGCACCAUCCUCAGAUCAUUAGCGAUGAUGUCGCUAGACACAUUGAGCGGGGGGUACGAUUGGUUCGCUUGUUCGCCGAGCUGGGCAAUUUUUUUCCCAGCUGCUCGUUCUUUUAACCUUUGAUCACUGACAGUACUUCCCGACCGCUCCUCUUCGAGAUAUACCUUUUCAGUAACGCGCUCAUAGUUGGUUUUCGGCGGAGACUUUGGUGGUUUCCUCAGGGCAUCGAUAUUGCGCUUUGCUUUCACCGGAUCUACCUUCUCCUCCGGAGGUGGAUGUCUCUUUGCUUUCACCCCUUCAAAGAAGUCCUUCACUUCGGUCCGCACGAUCUUCGUGUUUUCCUCCUCGGUCCUCUCGUACGGUAACUUCUCCAGAGGCUUGAAAGGUGGACCGUAUCUGUAUUGCCUUCCGCCUCUGGCUGUACUGUUAGACGCCGGAGCAGACGGAGCGACUGCGGCUGUCUUCUUUCAUGCUUGCUUACGAGGCAGAGGAGAAGGACUACGACGCGCCGGAGCAGCCGGGGCGGCGGCGGGUCUCUUUCGCCCUUGCUGGCGAGGCGUAGAAGGAGGAGGCUGGUGGCUGCUCGGGCGCGCCGGCGCAGGCGGAGAAGGAGGCGGAGUGCCGCCACGCGCCGGAGAAGGAGGCUGAGUGCCCUGAUCUCUCGCCGGAGGAGGAGGCGGUGGAGGAGGCAGAGUGCCCUGACUCGCCGGAGGAGGAGGAGGAGGAGGCGUCCAGUUCGGAAGGUUGAUGAGCUCCUUCCGCCAUAGGCAUGGAGUCUUCAGACAAGAACCCAGCCGAGUCUCCCCGUCACCCGUAGGGUGGUCAAGCUGGAGGUCCUCAAAUCCUUCUGUGAUUUCAUCCACCAUCACCCAAUCAUAUCCUUCUGGAAUCGGUCGGCAGUGAAAAGUUGCGCCAGGUUCAGGAGGUGCAACAGAGCCAACAGCCGCCUUGACUUUCAAUUCCAUCCACUGCGUCAUAAGGUCGCAAUGCUGAGACUCCGUGAUAGCAUCCACGGGGUAGCUAGCAGGAGCCGUGAAGACAGGCUCCUGAAGCAGCUCCGUGGAAGCCACGUUGCUUCUCCGCUGAGAUUGCGGGGUAGCUUCGGGUGUAGCUUCGGCAGGUCGCGUGCUGCGAACUGCGUCUCUUUCCUCUAGUGCUUGUACCCUUGCGUGCAGCGCCUGUAGUUGGGUCAACUCCUUUUUCUUCUUCCUCUACCGGAGUUUGUAACCGCCUGCGUCGGGAAAUCCAGCCUUCCACGAAAGGGAGCCUAGCGUGCCUCGUGUCUGUCCGGGGUGCUCAGGAUUCCCGAGGGCCUCUGUGAGCUCAUCGUUCUCUCUGUCCGAAACGAACGUCCCUUGCUGCACUUUUUCGAUAUACUCCUGAAGCUUCUCGAUGGGUGUGUUCAGCUGCUCGUUGGUCCAAACGCAUUUCCCUGUUACAGGGUCCAAUUUUCCCCCAACCCCGAAGAACCAACUCCUGCAACGGUCUGGCCAGCGUCGCAUCUCUGGUUCGAUCCCUUUAUCAAUGAGGUCAUUCUCAGCCUUGUCCCACAACGGCCGGGCUUUCAGGUAGCCACCUGACCCCGUGCGAUGGUGAUACUACUUUUUUGGAGCAUUUAUCUUGUUUGUCGCUGACAUCUUCGCUGCUCUCUCAGAUUUCUUUUUGGUGACAAAUGCGGGCCACUGAUCUUUGAUCUUCUCAAAUCGGUCGAUGAAUUCUGGAGUCUUGUCUUGGUCGACAAACGAUGAUUUCAGCUCAUUCUUCCACCUCUUGAAUAGCUCAGCCAUCUUCCUAAGAGCAUAAGCCUCGAUCAUUGGCUUUUUAACUGGAUUCUCCGGAUCUUCCUCUGGCGGGAAGGUGAAAUUUUCCUGCAGCGCGGUCCAAAGAUCAGCUUUCUGCCUAUCGCUGACAUAAGACACCUAAGAGUCUAUGUCCUUAGGCUUCAACCAUUGCUCGAUGCUGAUCGGGAUCAUGUCCCUAACUAGAACCUCGCACUAAGCAUUAAAUUUUUGCUUGGUCUGGAGGGGUUCAAUCGGUUGGCCAGCGUGAUCAAUCUCGAUGAUCGUGUACCUUUCAUCCGUGCGCAACUUUCUCUUCGGGUCUCGUCUCGUUACCGAAGUGUUGCUCGAUCUGGAGGGCUUGAAAAGAAGAAAAAGAAGAGAGUUAAUAUGUGUACAUACCAAAAACAAUUAAUGCAUCAAUUAGCUAUAUAGUCAGCACAUGCUUAAUUAAUUAAUAUAUAUACCUGGCCGGACUCCGUUCGGUCACCGGAGCCAUCAUCAUGGUGUCCUUCCCCCUCCAUUCGGUCACCGGAGCCGUCAUCACGGUGUCCUUCCCCCUCCAUUCGGUCACCGGAGCCGUUAUCACGGUGUCCUUCCACCUCCAUUGUUUGAUAAUCGUCGUAGCCUGCUUCUUCAUCCUGUCUUUCCAGACCAUCGGUGCAUGUCUCGUUGAGAAACGACAAGACGGCAUCACUUCCGUGUGCGAUUAUCUCCCCCAACACCGCUUCUUUUGCUUCGUCUCGGGGGUGCGGAUCCACAGUUUUUGCAAAUAUUUACAACAUGGCAAUUAUUAUUCAAACAUGACAGAUGGAUAUAUUAGUGGCAAACGUUGAACUAGCUAGCUAAGCACAAUAAGGAAUCAUAUUAGUUGCAUGGCCUCGACGCUUCUCUAGGGUUUGGGGUGGUCUCGGCAACGCUUCAAGGGUUUGGGGUGGCCUCAACAACGCUUCAAGGGUUCGGGGUGGCCUCGACGACAACGCUCUUUCAACUUGGUAAAUAUGGAUGGCCUCAAGAGAGUUUGUCGAUCGGUUAGGGGCGCGGUGGGAGGGGGUAGGAGACUGACAUCGUUUUUUUCUAGGGUUUGGGUGUCCUCGAGAGUUUUGGUCGAGCGAGAGGGCCGAGGGGUGCUCCGGACGUCCCCGUCACUUUAACAAAGAACUACCUUAAAAAAGGACUUGCUUCGCCGCGGGUCCUUCUUCAUUUUUUCCUUUGUUUUUUCUUAUAUGUUUGUUUUCGUUUUCAUUCUACAUUUUCGUACAUAUGAAAAAAAUAAAGUUUCUAUACAAAAGUGCACAAUUUUUAUGAACAAAUUACAACAUCUAAAUUAACUAUACAUCUAAAUAAAUAUAAUUAUACAUCUGAAAUUUCCUAAUCUUAAAACUAAACUAAACAUAAACUAAAAUUAUCUAAAAAACAUGUAAAAACAUCUAAAAAUAGCAUCUAAAAACAUCUAAGAAAACAUCUAAAAACAUCUAAAAAUCUAAUAGCUAGCACUCGGCGGGGGCGGACGGGCACGGCGGAGGGGCCGGCGUCGGCGCCGGUGGGGCAGGGCAGGGUCGCAGGGGCGCGGGACAGGGGAGGGGCGCGGGANNNNNNNNNNNNNNNNNNNNNNNNNNNNNNNNNNNNNNNNNNNNNNNNNNNNNNNNNNNNNNNNNNNNNNNNNNNNNNNNNNNNNNNNNNNNNNNNNNNNNNNNNNNNNNNNNNNNNNNNNNNNNNNNNNNNNNNNNNNNNNNNNNNNNNNNNNNNNNNNNNNNNNNNNNNNNNNNNNNNNNNNNNNNNNNNNNNNNNNNNNNNNNNNNNNNNNNNNNNNNNNNNNNNNNNNNNNNNNNNNNNNNNNNNNNNNNNNNNNNNNNNNNNNNNNNNNNNNNNNNNNNNNNNNNNNNNNNNNNNNNNNNNNNNNNNNNNNNNNNNNNNNNNNNNNNNNNNNNNNNNNNNNNNNNNNNNNNNNNNNNNNNNNNNNNNNNNNNNNNNNNNNNNNNNNNNNNNNNNNNNNNNNNNNNNNNNNNNNNNNNNNNNNNNNNNNNNNNNNNNNNNNNNNNNNNNNNNNNNNNNNNNNNNNNNNNNNNNNNNNNNNNNNNNNNNNNNNNNNNNNNNNNNNNNNNNNNNNCCGGCAGGGGCGCGAGGGUCGACGCCGUCGUCGGGGCAGAGGGCGUCAGCGGCGGCGGCGGCGACGUUGAGCAGCCUGACAGCGUCGGUGGUGGCGGCGACGGCGACGUCGAGCAGCCAGACGGCAUCGGUGGCGGCGGCGACGGCAAGGUGGAGCAGGGGCGUCGGGCGGCGACGGCGAGGAGGAGCAGGGACGUCGGGGGAAGAAGUGAUGGAUUUGGUCGAAACUGCUAAGUGUUUUCUUAUAUACCCAGGGCAUUGGUCCCGGUUGGUGCCACGAACCGGUACCAAUGCACCCCUUUAGUCCCGGUUGGUGCCACCAACCGGGACCAAAGGCCUAGUGCUGUUGCGCCCGCGUCGAAAGUUUAGUCCCACCUCGCUAGUUGAGAGGGGCGCGCAGUGGUUUAUAAGCACCACUGUCGCACCCCUCUCGAGCUCCUCUCCAUUGCAGGCUUACGGGCCUAAUUGUGACUGCUAUGCCUGAUGGGCCUACUGGGCCUUAUGCGGGCCUGAAUCCUUGCCCAUGGAUGGGUUUCUAGUCGUAUUCACGCCGUGGUGGCCCAGUAGGUGGCAAAUUUUUUAUUUUUUCCCAGUUUUUUUGUUUUCUUUUUUGCUUUAUUUUUUUGUUUUGUUUCUACUUACAACAAAAUACUUAUUUAUUUUAUUUUAUUUUGUUUCUAAUUACUUAUUUAUUUUAUUUUAUGAUAAUUCUUUUCGCUAUUAAAGUUUCUAACAAACAAAGUUCUUUAUGAAAAUUCUUUUUGCUUUUAAUGAUUUUGAACAGAAAAUACUUUGAUAAUUUUAUUUGCAUCAAUUUUAUAAAAUUUUAGUUUCAUAAAUUUUAGAGGUUGCUUAUAAUGUUUUGAACAGAAAAUACUUUGAUAACUUUAGUUUUAUAAAUUUUAUUUAUGUUAUUAAAUUUUAUUUUAUUUUAUUUUAUUUUGUUUUGUUUCUACUUAUAUAUUUUAUUAAAGUUUAUAUUAUUUUGUUGCAAAUUACUUAUUUAUUUUAUUUUAUGAUAAUUCUUUUUGCUAUUAAAUUUUCAUGCAUUUACUGAUUAUUUUGAGCUAUAAGACCCUGAAAUUGAAAAGCAUUUCAAAUGAACUCUGAAAAGGUUAAAAGUUGGCAUGGUAUCAUCGUUUCACCCACAUAGCAUGUGCAAGAAAGUAGAGAGUGUUACGGCAAAAACUGGAUGCACUUCGUGUACAAAACGGACAAUCUCUUUCGAAGUAUCGGGGUUUCAUACGGAAACUCGUCUGUUACAAAAGGAUUUCAUUUUUUUGAACUUAUUUGAACUCCAUACUUUUUAUGUGUUCAAAAUGCACCAUUCAAAGCCACAUCAUCAAUUUUCAACCCUUUCUGACUUCAUUUGUUAUUUUUCAUGCAUUUACUGAUUUUUUCAGCUAUAAGACCCUGAAAUUGAAAAUCACUACAAAUGAAUUCUGAAAAGGUUGAAAGUUGGCAUGGUAUCAUCAUUUCACCCACAUAGCAUGUGCAAGAAAGUAGAGAGUGUUACGGCAAAAACUGGAUGCACUUCGUGUACAAAACGGACAAUCUCUUUCGAAGUAUCAGGGUUUCAUACGGAAACUCGUCUAUNNNNNNNNNNNNNNNNNNNNNNNNNNNNNNNNNNNNNNNNNNNNNNNNNNNNNNNNNNNNNNNNNNNNNNNNNNNNNNNNNNNNNNNNNNNNNNNNNNNNNNNNNNNNNNNNNNNNNNNNNNNNNNNNNNNNNNNNNNNNNNNNNNNNNNNNNNNNNNNNNNNNNNNNNNNNNNNNNNNNNNNNNNNNNNNNNNNNNNNNNNNNNNNNNNNNNNNNNNNNNNNNNNNNNNNNNNNNNNNNNNNNNNNNNNNNNNNNNNNNNNNNNNNNNNNNNNNNNNNNNNNNNNNNNNNNNNNNNNNNNNNNNNNNNNNNNNNNNNNNNNNNNNNNNNNNNNNNNNNNNNNNNNNNNNNNNNUUUUUCUGUGUUCAAAAUGCACCAUUCAAAGCCACAUCAUCAAUUUGCAACCCUUUCUGACUUUAUUUGUUAUUUUUCAUGCAUUUACUUAUUUUUUUCAGCUAUAAGACCCUGAAAUUGAAAAGAACUACAAAUGAACUCUGAAAAGGUUGAAAGUUGGCAUGGUAUCAUCAUUUCACCCACAUAGCAUGUGCAAGAAAGUAGAGAGGCUUACGACAAAAACUGGAUGCACUUCGUGUACAAAACGGACAAUCUCUUUCGACGUAUCAGGAUUUCAUACGGAAACUCGUUUGUUACAAAGGGAUUUCAUUUUUUUGAAAUUAUUUGAACUCCAUAGUUUUUCUGUGUUAAAAAUGCACCAUUCAAAGCCACAUCAUUAAUUUUCAACCCUUUCUAACUUCAUUUGUUAUUUUUCAUGCAUUUACUGAUUUUUUCAGCUAUAAGACCGUGAAAUUGAAAAGAACUACAAAUGAACUCUGAAAAGGUUGAAAGUUGGCAUGGUAUCAUCAUUUCACCCACAUAGCAUGUGCAAGAAAGUAGAGAGUGUUACGGCAAAAACUGGAUGCACUUCGUGUACAAAACGAAUAAUCUCUUUCGAAGUAUCAGGGUUUCAUACGGAAACUCGUCUGUUACAAAGGGAUUUCAUUUUUUUGAAAUUAUUUGAACUCCAUAGUUUUUCUGUGUUGAAAAUGCACCAUUCAAAGCCACAUCAUCAAUUUUCAACCUUUCUUACUUCAUUUGUUAUUUUUCAUGCAUUUACUUAUUUUUUCAGCUAUAAGACCCUGAAAUUGAAAAGCACUACAAAUGAACAUGGAUAGAGAUAAGUGACCAAAUUAAUAGUAGUUCAUCAUCACAUUAAAACCAAAGUACAUACAUAGUUCAAAUUGAACAACAUAUAGCUCUCCAGAGCAUCUAGUUAAACCAUACACUGAAACUAUGUAAAACCUUUUAAUGCAACAACAAAUGCGAUCAUAAUCACAACUAAGGUAACAAUUGAUCCAACGGCAUAAUGAUACCAAGCCUCGGUAUGAAUGGCAUAUUUUCUAAUCUUUCUAAUCUUCAACCGCAUUGCAUCCAUCUUGAUCUUGUGAUCAUCGACGACAUCCGCAACAUGCAACUCCAAUAUCAUCUUCUCCUCCUCAUUUUUUUUUAUUUUUUCCUUCAAGUAAUUGUUUUCUUCUUCAACUAAAUUUAACCUCUAGACAAUAGGGUCGGUUGGAAUUUCCGGUUCAACCACCUCCUACAUAAAUAAAAUCUAUGUCACGUUGGUCGGCAUAAUUGUCAUAAAUAAUAAAUGAACCAAAUAGUUAUAAAAGAUAAUAUAUACCAUAUCCCAAUCAUAGACAGGACGAGGGCCGACGGGGGCGGAUACCAGAACCAUCGCACUAUAUAAUAACAAGGAAUAAUAAAAGUAAGAAAAUUAGACAAGUAUCUAUCUCAAGUAAGAAUUUUUUUUCUUUCAGAAAGAAGAUAAGAACAAGAGGCUCACCACGGUGGUGCGGCGACGAGAUCGGCGGGGGCGAUCGACGGCGGUGAAGACGGGGACGGGACGUGACGGACCGCUAAACCUAGAAAAAUCUUGGGGAAAAUGGAGCUCGGAGGUCGAGUUUCGAGAGAAGAAAUAUUAACUAGUGUGGCUCGGACAUUUCAUCGAACACUUCAUGUGCAUAGGAAGUGAGCUAGAGCACCCAAAUGCCCCCCCCCUCGCCGGUUAGCAAAAAACAGAGCAGUGUGGAGUGCUCUGCUCGCCGGCGAUGGGUUAUAUAUAGGCAAAUCAUUUGUCCCGGUUCAUGGCUGGAACCGGGACCAAUGGAUGUGGGCUAGGAGCGAGGCCCAUUGGUCCCGGUUCAUGCCUAGAACCGGGACAAAUGGGUCCAGACGAACCGGGACCAAAGCCCACGAGGCCCCGGCCGGCCACCUGGGCUCACGAACCGGGAUGAAUGCACCCAUUGGUCCCGGUUUAUAUAAGAACCGGGACUAAUGGGCUGACCAGACCCGAACGAAAGCCCCUUUUUCUACUAGUGACAACAAGCUUGUUGUUACCGUUCGAGUCAGCCGCAUAUUGUUUGGCAUCCCAGCCAUUCAUCGGCUUUGCGCGGACAACACGGCGGAAGGGGCAAAAACGAAAUGCAACCAAGAAGGUUGAUGAACUAUUUGAACAAUGUUUUUCUUAUUCUUCUUAUUAUUUCUUUCAACCUCAAUCAACCCUCUCUUUAUAAAUUCCUUUGUUUUCCUGAGUUACAUCCAAAUGAUUAUGCUUAUACUGUGUUUGUAUUUGUCUUGUACUUAACUCUAAUUGUUUGGCAGGCAAAAGAGUAGGAGAGGUGGCUGGUGACGGUGUAAUACACACUGAUUGGUAAUACACCAGGGGUGGCUAUGAAAGAAAAGAGGUGAAGCGUAUACCUCCUGGCAGGGAUGCGUGCGUGUUAAAUAGCAAAACAAGAUUACAUCGAGGGUUGGCAGGUUGUUGUGUUAGCUUGACCCCUCAUCCAAGACUAUACAAGAUAAGGAUCUCUAAUCUCCAACAACCUGCCCAAGUUACAACACACGCACACAAGUUACACCCCGUGACAUAUGUCACGUUACGACUACAGCCAUAUCAUUUAACAUCCUCCCUCAAUCUAAACGUGUCAAGGUUGAGAUUGUUCUUGAAAGCUUGUAGUUGUCGAAUCUGUAACGGUUUUGUAAAACCAUCCGCCACUUGGUCUCCUGUUGGGAUGAACCUGAUCUCCAACAGUGUUCUAGCAACCCUCUCUCUGACAAAGUGAAAAUCAAUCUCUAUGUGCUUCGUCCUUGCAUGAAACACUGGAUUAGCUGAGAGAUACGUUGCUCCAAGAUUAUCACACCAUAGGCAAGAAGUGCUUGUUCUUCUUACUCCUAGCUCAUCUAAUAGAGUUUCCAUCCACAUUACCUCAGCUGUUGCAUUUGCCAUAGACUUAUAUUCUGCUUCAUGCAAUGAUACGUUUUCUGUUGUAGAUAAAGGUGUACUGGAGGGUUUACAGUCUCUCAUACCUACACGCUUGAGUAUAUCCUUGGCAUAUUUUCCUGAGUCAGCAGUAUACCAUCAUGUACCUGUUUUACUUCUAUGCCAAGGAAAUAAUGUAAUUCUCCCAAGUCCUUGAGAGCAAAGUCAUUCUUCAAGUUUUUAAGUAAAGCUGACGUGGCUUGUGGAGAGGAGCUAGCAACAAUUAUAUCAUCACAUAUAUAAGCAUAUAAAUGAUCACCUUCUAGUUUUUGAAGAAAAAGAGAGAAGUAUCUCCCCUUGAGGGUCGGAAACCAAGUUAUUGAAGCCUUGUGCUUAGUCUUGAGUACCAAGCCCUGGGUGCCUGUUUCAGACCAUAUAGUGCUUUGUCCAAUUUACACACAUGUUGUGGUUUGGUGCCAUCCAGAAACCCAGGUGGUUGCUUCAUGUACACCUCCUCCUCGAGAAUGCCAUGUAAGAACGCAUUCUGUACAUCCAAUUGGCGAAGAGUCCAUCCCCUAGAAACAGCAAUAGACAGAACAAGUCUAGUAGUAGUUGCCUUAACUACUGGACUAAAAGUGUCUUCAUAGUCAAUUCCAUAACGUUGUUUAAACCCCUUUGCUACUAGUCUAGCUUUGUAUCUAUCUAUUGUACCACCAGAAUUCCUCUUAAUUUUGUAUACCCAUUUGCAAUCUAUAAUGUUUCUACCUUGUUUAGGUGAGACUAGAUGCCAAGUUUGAUUUUUCAUAAGUGCAUCAUACUCUACCUCCAUAGCUCGUUUCCAGCUAAAUCACGAGGUUCACCAGUAGCAGCAAAGUUUAUUACCUUGAAAUUUUUACCAUGCCUGACCGUUCCAUCUUUAGGAACAAGUGGUUUAAAAAUGCCUCUUUGUGACCAUGUAUUGGGUCGCUCCGGUUCAACAGCCACAGAAGAUCCUGACGUUGCAGAAGAUCUUGCAGCCGGUUCUGGAGGCGAUCGGACCUGGGGAUCGAUCCUGUCGGGAGAGACAGCCCGAGACGGCGACAUCGGUCCAGUUGGCGAGGCGGAAACGCGUCCAAGCGACACACGCCCGGGAGUCCGCGCCUCCUCAUCAUUCGGUGAUGGCGACGCGUUGGACGCACCUGCGCCAGCCCGCGCACCCGACCGCGAGCCUGGCAGCGUGUCACCCGUGGAUGAGCUGCCUGCAUCAGGUGGGGUGGCCGCGCCAGCCGGAGUGCGCGGUUCCGCCUCUGAGUCCGUGCGCGCGCCAGAUGCAGCAGCGCCGCCAGAUCUCUCGGGAUCCACGUGCGCAGGCGAAUCUGCCCUGCCACCAGAUCUCUCGGGAUCCGUAUGCGCAGGAGGAUCUGCUCCGUGUUCCGAGCGAGGCCGGUUUGGCUGUAUCUGCUGCAUAAAAUCAUGACCAAAACCAGUGUUUUCUGCUGCAUUUUUUUCACUGCGGCUUCCUGCAUCAUCAGAACCAUUAGUAGUCCUAUUAAUCAUUUGAUCAUCAACUAUUUUUCCCUUGAUCAGUAGGAUUAAGUAGGUCAGGAGGAAGUAAAAGAAUCUCAGCCCUUAGGCGAGCACCGGCAUUAGGAUGAAGGGCCGCAAAAGGAAAAAUGUUUUCAUCAAACACCACAUCCCUAGAAAUGUAUACACGCCCUGUAGAGAUAUCAAGGCACUUGUAGCCUUUGUGCACGUUACUAUAACCAAGAAAAGCACAUUGCUUUGAUCGAAAUUGAAGUUUAUGUGUGUUAUAGGGACGUAAAUUGGGCCAACAAGCACACCCAAAAAUUCUAAGAGAGGAAUAGUUGGGAGUUUCACCGAAUAACCUAGUAAGAGGUGUUUCAUGAUUUAUGACCUUGCUUGGAACCCUAUUGAUCAGGUAGGUUGCGGCAAGGAAGGCCUCAUCCCAAAACUUCAAGGGCAUAGAGGCUUGAGCGAGCAAGGAGAGGCCGACCUCAACAAUGUGACGGUGUUUGCGCUCAGCUGACCCAUUCUGCUGAUGAGCAUGAGGGCAUGAUACGUGGUGUGAAAUACCAAUUUUGGUGAAGAAAGAGUUCAACUUUUCGUACUCCCCUCCCCAAUCUGUUUGGAGAGCAAGAAUCUUGCGAUCAAAACGUCGUUCAACAAGGUUUUGGAAGUCAUGGAAUUUCUAAAAAAACUUCAGAUUUGUGCUUGAUGAGAUAGAUCCACGUGAAUUUACUAAAAUCAUCGAUAAAACUCACAUAGUAUUUUUUUCUGCCUACUGUUUCAACAGCAGGACCCCACACAUCAGAAAAGACAAGUUCCAAAGGAAAUUUAGAUUCACUCAAGGAUUGAGGAUAGGGUAACUGGUGACUUUUGCCCUUUUGGCAGGUGUCACAUACAUGCUUAUUGCUAUCAUUAUUGACACACGGGAGCUUAUUCUCACUAAGAAUCUUCCUAACAACAAUGGAAGAAGGGUGACCUAAACGUCUAUGCCACCAAUCCAGAGGUGGUUUGGUGACAUUGAGCACAUGCUUCUGGACGUUUCCCCCGGUGUGUUUGACAGGAUAGAGCCCUUUUCUACCCCUGCCUCGAAAACCUUCCUCGUUUCCAGAUCCUUGAUGAGAAAAAAAUGAGGGUGAAUUUCAACAAUAGUAUUAUUGUUAAGAGCAAGUUCACUUGCAGAAAUCAAAUCUUUUGUUGCCUCCGGAACAUGAAGAACACCUUUUAGAUGAAGAUUGCGAUCUGGGUAGAAAUAGUUGCAUGACCAAUAUGAUCAAUGGACAUACCUGAUCCGUUUGCAGUAUUACAACUACAACCAUAUCAUUUAACAGGCUACUCGGUCGGGAGCUUGGCAGCAGACCCGUCUCGGAGUCCAUGAAGCUAGGCGAAGAUCUAACUACAAGAGGGAUUCCCCGACCCCGCAUAGGCGGCGUGGGAGCCUGGUGCUGGAGAACAAGCUCGAGGUGCUAGCUUUCGCAUGUGGGAUCUCGAGGUGUUGGCCGGCGAUGGGAGAACCUGCCGGAGACGCUGGCUGAGCUGGAGGUGCUGGGGAUCGUGGCGGGAGCUUGAGGUGUUGGCCGCCAGCGGGAGCACCUGUCGGAGGCACAAGCAAAGCUGCAGGUGCUGAGGAUCGCGGCGCACUAGUAGAAAAUAGGGCUUUGGUUCGGGCCUGACCAGCUCAUUAGUCCCGGUUCAUUCACAAACCGGGAACCAUGGGAGGCAUUCGUCCCGGUUCGUGAGCCCAGGGGGCCGACCGAGGCCUCGUGGCCAUUGGUCCCGGCAGCGGGAGCACCUGUCGGAGGCACAACCAGAGCUAGAGGUGCUGAGGAUCGCGGCGGGAGCUCGAGAUGCUGGCCGGCGGCGGGAGCACCUACCAAAGACGGUGCCUGAGCUGGAGGUGUUGGGGAUCGCGGCGGGAGCUUGAGAUGCUGGCCAGCGGCGGGAGCACCUGUCGGAUGCAUGACCAGAGUUGGAGGUGCUGAGGAUCGCGGCGGCAGCUCGAGGUGCUGGUCGGCGGCGGGAGCACCAGACGGAGGCAUGACCGGAGCUGGGGGUGCUAGGGACACUAGUAGAAAAAGAGGCUUCCAUACGCCCCCAUUAGUCACCAAAAUAAUCGAACCGCGACCAAAGGGGUCUUUAGUCGCGGUUCGGGAGGAGACCCGCGACCAACUAUCUGGGCCCAGUGCGCUCGGUCGACAGCUGGCGGACGGGAGGGGCUUUAGUCCCGGUUGGCCUGGCCAACCGGGACUAAAGGUCCUCAGGCUGGCCCGAAGGCCUUUAGUCGCGGUUGGCCAGACCAACCGGGACUAAUGGGAUUUGAGGCAUUAGUACCGGUUCAUGGCACGAACCGGUACUAAAGGCCUCAUUUUCAAACUCUACCCCCCCUCCCCCCCCUCAGGAUCGCCUUUUCAGUUUUAGAAAAAGCAAAAGAAAAUGAUGGAAAUGUCAAAAAAAUAAAAUAAAAUAAGUUUCCCAUGUGAUAUGUGGUCUAAUUGUUGGGAAAAUUAACAAAUAUGAAUUUCGACUUUAUUUGCAAAAUCUCUCUGGAAUUUCUUAAAAUGGGCAUAACUUUUGCAUACGAACUCGGAUGAAAAAGUUUUUUAUAUGAAAAAUCAUCUACUCGAAAAGUUACAUCCGAAUUUUAACCGGGGGGACCCCAUUAAACAUUUUCAAAAUCCUCAAAAACCUAACAGAAAAAAAGAUACGGGGCUUUUAAGAUCUGGAGAGGCAAAAAAAUUCAAAAAAUUUCAAAUUGUGGUCAAACAAUGGUCAAACUAAUUAUUCUAGAAUAUUAGUGUUACUAAAUAAUUAUUUCAGUUUUUUUUUUAAAUUUUGGUCAAAUCUGGUCAAAAUGUGGUCAAACAGUGGUCAAACAAUGGUCAAAGUAAUUAUUCCAGAAAUAUUAGUGUUACUAAAUAAAUAUUGUUUUUUAAAACAAUAGUUUCAAACUCAAACAGUGAAAUGUGUCACUUCAUGCUCAAGCUAAAUUCCUGAGGGUUAAUAGAAUUGACAUCCUACUAUUGUCAGGAAAAUAACAAGUGCAGACUUGGAAACGAGGGAGAAUAGAACCCGGAAGUUAAGCGUGCUCAGGCUGGAGUAGUGAGAGGAUGGGUGACCGUCCGGGAAGUUAGAUAAUUUGGAAUGAUGAGGUUAGAGAUUAGAGGAUAAAUUGAGCAGUGAUGAGGGGUGGUGAUUAGAGAUUAGAGGUUAAAAUAAUUCAGAAAUUUGAAAAUUAAAAAAAAUUAAAAAAUUCGCAAAAAAAACCAGGUUUAGGGGGGCUAAAACCCUAAACCUGCGGAGGAGGCCUUUAGUCCCGGUUAGCCACGAGAACCGGGACUAAAGGUCCUCCGCCCCGACGGCCCCCUGGCGCCCACGUGGACGGGCCUUUAGUCGCGGUUCGUAAGAGGCGCGACUAAAGGGGGGGCCUUUAGUCGCGCAUAUUUAGUCCCGGUUGCACAGCCAAGGCUAAAGGCCUUUGCGAACCGGGACUAAAGGCCCAUUUUCUACCAGUGGGAUCACGGCAGGAGCACGAGGUCUCGGCGAUUGCGGUGGGUUGUGCGAAGGGGAUCACACGGAGGGGACUCGGGAUUUUUAUGUUACUUUUUGAAUUGGAGUGGUGUAACGUAAAGUGUACUUGUUCACUCAAUUUCCUUCCCUCGUGUCAAGUAAUUCAAGACACUCCCUCGUGUCAAGUAAUUCAAGUAAUUCUAGACAGAGGGAAUAUAUGUAAACAUUUUUUUAAACCAUCCGACCGCUGAUUGGUUCUCAUUACAUAUUUUAAAUAUAUAUGGGAAAUAUACGAGACACCUAUAGGUGCCUGGGCAUAUAAAUUUGUUAUAAUAUUUUUUGCAAGAACAUGUUUUCGAAAUAUAUCUUUUAGCGAAAAUGUGGGGAUGUCCACCUAUUGGAAUUCCUACCUACCAGCGAUAAAUCGCGAGUGGACUUGCCACCACGCACUGCCGAAAUCCACAUCGCAUGCUGCCGCGCGAUGCGUGCAACUUUAAUACCCUUCGGCCGUAUAUUGACUUCCCCUUGUCGUAUAACAAUCGGGUAUAGCCACGUCUUUGCAGCUGACACAUGCGGUGCAUGGCCCGCGAGGCAGUGCCUGCAUUGAACUAGGUGGUGGGCCACUAGCUCCAGGACACUCCCCCGUGCCCUUUUUAAACAACCGGAGUGCUUGUAUUCACAUCCCGUUCAAGUUUUCAUAUCAUCUCUCCUUCUCUCUGCCUCACAAGCAUGUGUUCAUCUAAGCCCAAGCAAGUACUAAUGAAGACCACUACCCAGCUUCUCCUAAUGUGAUAGUUGAGCUUUGCAACGUUGUACUUAAGGUCCACCAUUAGCACUUGCCUGCCUUGGUCACAAACAGUAAGCAUUGGUAUAUUAGGAUAAAUCUCCAUCUUCGCAUACAAUCAGUAUCAAGGAAAUGACAUAAUUUGAUUGUCUCUAGCAAAACAGCCAUAUAAACAGUCACAUGCGGUCAAUAUGCGUUUAAUUUUCGUGAAGCUAGUGGUUUAAUGGCUUGCAGGCUAUCAAUUCACCUAUAAUGAAUUAAUAUUCAGCCAGUGCAUUGAAAGCACAUACACUUUCCUUAAUGGUUGACACAUGCCGUCGGGUCAAUAUCUCUACUUCUAAUGGAGCAGUUGAUAGUCUCGCUUCCAGGUUUUUUUUCGUCCCACCUCUCAUGGUUUUUUUUGGUACCUCCUCCCACCUUCGCUAGUUUUUUUUAGAGUUUUUUUCGUCCCCUCCCCCCACUUCAUCGGUUUAUUUUCACGUCACCCUCUCACACAAUGAAAGAAAUCUGAACAGAUCAGAACUUUUCAUACUGGCGCAAGUUAUUUAGUAAUGUAGAAUCAAUCACGAACAAUCUCUAAAGAUCAAAUCUAAAUUAAUUAACCUUACCUUAAAUAACUCAAUCACGUUAAUUAGAAAACAAGUAAUUGAUUUUCAGAAAAAUCACUCAAUCACAUUAACCUUACCUUAACUCACGGAUGGUAAUCAAUCUCCAAACAAAGGAAACAAUACAUCGAGGGAGCAGUAAAUAAACUCCCUUUCUUAUGACAUGUAUAUGAUCUUCCCUUCCCUCUCCGUUAUCGUGCGUACUUGAUUCUCGAGGCCGAUGCUUGGGCUGCGUCACUGGGUCGCGUCGGUGCCGGAGGACGAGGACGGCGAGGCCGGGUGCCGCGGCCGGUGAAGGGGGCGAAGAAGGGCGGCUUCCCUGGCCCUGGCCGUGGUCAUGGCCGUGGGAGUUGGUGCGGUGGAAGCGGCACUUGAAGGACCCGGCGAGGGUGGCAGGCGCGCGGACGCACUUGGAAGCGGGCCCGUGGCCAGCGCCGGACAGCGCCGACGUCGACCCGGGCCACCUCCUCCGCGUAUUCUUGGAGCUGUGGCUAGCCGAUUUACAUGAAAUUAAUUCCCUCAGUUGUGGUGGCAAAUAUAAUACACAUAAUCCAUAUUGUUAUGCACUGGCGUGUGUGUGUGUGAAAUAAAUGGAUUAUGGUACCGUACCCAAUAAGAUGGAUAUGUGUGUGUGUGUUAGAGAGAGAGAGGGAGAGGGGGAGAGAGAGUGAGGAAGAGGGAGGGAGAGAGUGUGUGUGUGAGGAUUUGAUGAUAAAAAAGAUCGCCAAUGUCACUUGAUAUGUAUGAGAAUAUUAAUAUUGAACUCUUAAAGUUAAUGUGGCCCCGUUGCAAAAAAAAUUCCACGUAAAUGAUUAACCAUAAUUUGUUAAUACCAGUGACGGAAGACAUACCCCACAUACGUGAUUAACAAUAAUCUCGCAUACACUGUUCACUAGUAGGGCGUGUCGUCUUACCUGUGGGGUUUCUUGGAAUCUAGACUUUGGUCCGAGGGUCCCAUGAACUACACAAGGCACACCGUCCCCGUCCUUGAUGGGUGCGGAAUGAUGCUCAGUCCAUGAUGUCGACGUGGUUUUGCUUCAAGUUUAGAUGAUUUUCAUCUUCCAACCUUCCCGUGGGGCAUCUGUGAGGGGUUUGACUAUGUACAGUGGGUUUUCACUCAGGACCUCAGGGCAUCCACUCCCGUAGGGAAGGCAACAACCACAUGAGCUAACGUUCAGUUUUGCUACAAAACAGGGUUCGUAUCUAAUAGUCCCACCUCGAUUCUUUAGACUUAAUUCCACCAAUUUAAAUACGUCCAUACAUUAGUAGAAAAUAUGCCUUUAGUCCCGGUUCGCAAAGGCCAUUAAUCCCGGCUGUGCAACCGGGACUAAAUAUGCGCGACUAAAGCCNNNNNNNNNNNGUGGCUAACCGGGACUAAAGGCCCCCUCCGCAGGUUUAGGGUUUUAGCCCCCCUAAACCUGGUUUCUUUUUAAUUUGUAGUGUUUUAUUUCUUUUAUAUUUUAUUUUGUGUUUUAUUUUAAUUUUGACGAAGUUUCAGUACACAUAUUCUACGCUACUAUAUACAUGCAUAUGAAAUUUCAAACAUGAAGAAUUCAAGAGGAAUAUAUAAUAUAUAUUCAAUCUCGGGUGACCAUAUACAACUUCGAACAAGUUUCCAUACACAAUUAGGAUGGAUGACCAUAUACAACUUCGAACAAGUUUCAAUCUCGGGUAUGCAUAUAAAUUUCUUCGUCCUCGGUAUAGUGUUCUCCUUUAGGAUUGAUGACUUCCCUCAUGAAAAAUCCUGCUAAUUCAUCUUGAAUUGGUCGGAAGCGAGCUUCUGGACUAAGCCUCCUCCGCAAGUUAUCCGUCGCCUUCCGCACACUAUCCGAUGCCUUCCGCUCAGAGGUGUGUCUCCGGAUGUUCUCACAAACAUAGUAUCCACAUAGAUUGGUCCCCGGUGGCUGCUUAUCCACAUUAACUAACCUUCUAAAAUCUAGCUCAUGUUUGAAUUCACCGACAGUUUCUUCUGAGAACCGUCUCCAAACCCUACAGGGCAAAGAAAAUUAAAUGAACAAGGGAGUUAUUAGUUACUUGAUAUUAGGAAAUGAACGAAAGAGACCGAUCGAUAUAGAGCUCAAAUGAUUGAAAAUAAUUACUUUUGCAGCAUUUUUUCUCAUGUCGGCCCAACGCUUUGAAUCCGAAUCCAUAGAGUCCAUGAUUAGAACUCUGGAGGUGUGAAGUUCAAUAUUUAGCAGAAUCCAGUGGAACCUGCGGACACGUUACAUGCACAGUCAUGCAUAACUCAUCGAUUAGACAUACCAUGCAUGGAGUAAACAAAAGAGAAUGGGCACAAGACAGAAACACUCACCCAAAAUGGUAAGGAAAUAGAAUAUGACUUUUGAGUUGAUGCUUUCUAAGAAACUUGUACAAGUCUUUCUCCACGUCUUCGGGGUGAUUUUGUAACACAUGUCCAUUAACGAUACGUGGGUCAAUGAACCCAACAUCAUGGAUGUUUCUUAUUUUGCAUUCCCAAAUCUUCAAUCUGCAUAAUAGCGUACGCAACAAUAUAGUUAGGACAAUAUAUAUAUAUAUAUAUAGUGCAGGCAAUGAAGAAUGAGAUGAGGUAGAAAUAAAUCACUUACAGAACGUAGCAACUCAGGAUAGAUUUGUCGAGCUCGCGCAGAUUGAACAGCUGGAACAAUUCACUCAUAUGAACUUGUACAGAGUACCGUUUGGUGUGAUGCUCCUCUGUAACAUCCGCAUAAACAUAUUCUUUGUCGGCCCAUGUUAUGAAAUGCUUGUACCAACGUAGCAGAUUUCGCAUUUGUGGUGGUAGACUCUUUUCCCGCGCAGGCUCGACGAGAGGCCCAUUCCGCACAUAUUGUAAUGCUAUCUCACAUACUGGCGCAUCCUCAAGGCCUAACGAGGCACGAAGAGUCAAACCCAUCUCGGAUGCUUGUUUCAUGGCACUCGCUACAGUCAAUCCAAGUGCUGCCGCAGCUGCUAUGAUCUUGGGGUCCUCUUCCGAACCGGCUUUCACUAUGAGCGGGGGGUCGAUUGUUUAUUCUGCAUCCCGAGCUGGUCAACUUGUUUCCCGCUUUUUUUACUUUCUUCUUUCUCCUCCUUCAAUAUUUUUGCUUGCCUACGAAGUUCAUGUCCAUAGUCGUCAGGCAUAUUCAGCUCGGCUUGGGACGGUGUCGUCAAAAAAUGCUUAGCCCACUUCUUUUGCUUCUCAGUGAAUACUUGCUUGGGCUCAGGCUCUUUUAUCGCCUUCGUAUCCGCCUUCCAUUUCUCAUAAUGAGCAGACGCGGCCAAUUUGGUUUCAGCUUCACUAAGUUCCCAAGGCCUUGGGAGGAGAGGCUUCAGUGAUGGCUCCGGUACCCUUGUGGUCUUAGGUACAUAAGGGUCCGGGUUAAUAGUCCAGGAGCGGGUUUCCUUGCUGUCCGCCUGCUUCUGCUUCUUCGCCGGAGGUGGAUUGGGGGGCGUCGUACCCGCCGGAGGAGGAUUGGGGGGUGUCGUACCCGCCGGAGGAGGAUUGGGGGGCGGCGGCUGCUUACCCGCCGGAGGUUGUGGAUCGGGGGACGGCGUCGAAUGGCGUGAAGGAGGUGUAGGUGAACCACCACGACCACCACCACCGCCACCACCACCACCACCACCAUCGGAGGGGGGUGGACUUGUUAGCCUUGGCGCCUCGCCUGGAAACACUAUGUACUUCUUUUUCCAUAGAAUGAUCUGGCGCUUGACAUCUCCAAGUCUUCUCUCCCCUUCGGGUGUAGCUUUGUCAAUCUCCAGGUCCUCAAACUCUUGGACUAUGUCUUCCACCGUGACACGAGCAUAGCCAUAUGCAAUGGGGUUGUUGUGGUGGAGUGCUCCAGGUGUACAGGGUAAAGCACUGCCGGUAGCUACCUUCGUGGAAACGUUCCCCACGGGAUAAUGCAGAUCACAUUCUUUCAUCUCCUUUACAUCAUCCACGGGGUAGUGAGGCUCCGGUGCACGAAUCUCGAUCGUCGGUGCAUUAGCACCAGGCGGGGCAUCCGUGGAAGCCACGCUCCUUCUCCGCUGCUGGCUUCCGUGAUCCGCUUCAUGAUCUUCAUGCGGCCCUGCAGCCGAUUUUUCUUUUACUGGUUCAUGCACGGUCUGCUUCAACUCAUGGAGUUCCGAUGCAAACUUCGCCAAAAGAUCUGCAUCCCGUUCCGUCUUUCUCUUACGGCUUCUGUAACAGUACGGGUCAUUAUCCUGGGAAAACCCUACUUUCCACGGCAUUCUGCCUUUGCCUCGUACAUGUCCUCCGUGUUCAUCAUUCCCGAGGGCUGUUGUCAGUGCGUCUUUCUCUCUGUUGAACUUGAUCAAGCCCUCUUGAGCUUGGGUCAUUGCUUCAAUAAGGGCUUGGGUGGGAGCAAACUUUUUCUUCCGGUGAACACACACCCCUGUCUCCGGGUCUAGCGAUCCCUCAUGCCCGUACCACCAGCUUUUGGCCCUUGGGUCCCAUCCCUCUGUACCUAGAGGGAUUCCUCGCACCCUCAGGUCCUCCUCCAUCUUCUGCCACUUAGGCUCCGAAAGGCGGUAUCCUCCUGGCCCCAUAAUAUGAUGGUACUUUUUCUUACUCGCAUUAUCCUUAUUUUUUUUCGAUAUUUCCUUGAAAUGCUCCGAUUUCUUUUGCCUCACAAAUUCUGGCCAAUCAUCUUUCAGUUUCUCAUGUUGUCCAUUGAAAUCCGGAGUCUUGCCCUUGUUUCCGGAAUGCUUCGGCCAUCUUCUAAAGAGCGAACUCUUUAACUAGCCUCCUCCUCUCACGUCCACCCGGAACCUCGUUACUGAAUUCAUCGACUUUGUUGUAUUCCGGAGGUAGAAUGAAAUGUUCCAUAAGCUUUCUCCAGCAAUCCUUUUUCGUUCUCUUGUCGACAAAACUGAAACCAAGACGUGCCUUCUUUGGCUCCUUCCAUUCCUGGACGGUGAUCGGGACGUUGUCUUUAACAACGACUCUGCAUUGGUUGAUAAACUUUGAGGUGUGAUGUAGGGGCUUGCCGGUUUCACUGACAAAAUCAAUGGUAUAUGUUUCUCCUGUUUUCAUCGCCUUGGAUUUGCCACGCUUUGUCGUACUCGAUCCGGCCGAGGGCUAAAAAAAGAAAGAGAGUCGCGCGCGUUAAUACAUGUGUAUUCACAUUUCAGUAAGUUUGUAUCACGAGAGGCUCAAUGUAUAUAUAUACCUCGCCGGAGGUGGUUGCUACUUGCAAUUCGAGAUCGUCGUUUGUUGACGGUUGACCUCCGUCGACAAUGUCCGUUCCUUCACCUUUUUUAUCAUCGACAAUGUCUGUUCCACCGUCAAGGUUCAGAAAUAAAGAGACUACAUCCUCUUCUUGCUCAUAUUCUGAGCCCGGCACAUAAGGAAUCUCGUUGUUUAUGAUGCCCAUUAAAUAACGUUCAGCCUCCGGAUCCCUAAGCGGCUCGGCUCUAUCGUCCGCCAUAUGUCACUCCUGCAUGUAGUAAAAAUUAAUUAAGUAUAAAGGAAUUAAAAAAUAAGAUUAAGGGGACAUAGAGGAGGAGCAGCAACGGUUGAAUGAUUAAGAUCUAUUAAAAAAUAAAAUUGAUGUUUUUUUGGUCAAAUUUAUACAAUUAUUCCCAAAUAAAUUUCCUUUCCUUUUUCCUUUUCUUUUUCCUCUCUGCUCUCUCUUUCCUUUUCUUUUUCCUUUUCAGUUUUUUAUUGAGCACUAAUUUGCAUAGAAGUUUUUGUUUGAGCACUGCCAAGUAUUUUGUUUUUCCUUUUCUUUUUCCUCCGCCGCCGCUCAAAUUUAAUGAUUUAUACAAUUAUUCCCAAAUAAAUUUCCUUUUCUUUUUCCUCUCUGCUCUCUCUUUCCUUUUCUUUUUCCUUUUCAGUUUUUAAUUGAGCACUAAUUUGCAUAGAAGUUUUUGUUUGAGGAGGACGGCAGGCGGCGGCGGGCGGCGGAGGACGGCAGGCGGCGGCGGGAAGCGGAGUACGGCAGGCAGGCGGCGGCGGGCGGCGGAGGACGGCAAGGCGCGCAUCCAGUACGCGGCGACGAGGAGGACGGCAGGCGGCGGCGGGCGAGAAGACGACGGCGGCGGUCCCCUCUUCUUCUAGGCACGCGAGGAGGACGGCAGGCGGCGGCGGGCACCUACCGGAGACGAGGGCGGCGCGGAGAAGACGAGGGCGGCGGCGCGGAGAAGACGAGGUCCUGGCCGGAUGCGUUUGGUGGUUAGCGCGGAGAAGACGAGGGCCGCGGAGAAUAUAUAGGGCAAGCCUUUAGUCCCAGUUGGGGACACCAACCGGGACUAAAGGGGUACCUUUAGUCGCGGUUGGUGUCACGACCCGCGACUAAAGGUUCUUUCGCGCCGUUUUCGUUCCCGCGCGGAAAGAGCCUUUAGUCGUUGUUCGUGUCACGAACCGCGACUAAAGGUCCUUUUUCAAAUACUUUUCAUUUUAAAAUCUUAAAAAUACAAAUAAUAUAACAAAAAAUUCAGAAAAAUAAAACUAAUUCAUUUUAAAAUCUUAAAAAUACAAAUAAUAUAUCAAAAAAUUCAGAAAAAUAAAACUAAUUCAUUUGAAAAUCUUAAAAAUAGAAAUAAUAUAUCAAAAAAUUNNNNNNNNNNNNNNNNNNNNNNNNNNNNNNNNNNNNNNNNNNNNNNNNNNNNNNNNNNNNNNNNNNNNNNNNNNNNNNNNNNNNNNNNNNNNNNNNNNNNNNNNNNNNNNNNNNNNNNNNNNNNNNNNNNNNNNNNNNNNNNNNNNNNNNNNNNNNNNNNNNNNNNNNNNNNNNNNNNNNNNNNNNNNNNNNNNNNNNNNNNNNNNNNNNNNNNNNNNNNNNNNNNNNNNNNNNNNNNNNNNNNNNNNNNNNNNNNNNNNNNNNNNNNNNNNNNNNNNNNNNNNNNNGGCGCUUUGGAUCAUCGCAUGAUGUACUGAUCGUUUUCUUAUCUUUCCGUUUCCUCGGUUUGCUACUCAUGUCCUUCAAAUAAAAAACCUGAGCGACAUCUUUGGCAAGGACGAAUGGUUCGUCAAGGUAACCAAGAUUGUUGAAAUCCACCAUUGUCAUUCCGUAUUGCUCGUCCACCUUUACCCCACCUCCUGUUAGCUUGAACCAUUUGCACCGGAACAAAGGGACCUUAAAGGAGGGUCCAUAGUCAAGUUCCCAUAUCUCCUCUGUGUAACCAUAAUAUGUGACCUUUUGCCCAUUCUCGGUUGCUGCAUCAAAGCGGACACCACUGUUUUGGUUGGUGCUCUUUUUAUCUUGGGCGAUGGUGUAAAAUGUAUUCCCAUUUAUCUCGUACCCUUGGAAAGUCGUUAUAGUCGAAGAUGGUGUCUUGGCCAACAUGUACAGCUGAUCUCCAACAUCAUUGUCAUUCAUUAAAUGUUUUCGCAACCAACUGCCGAAAGUCUUCAUGUGGGCCUUUCUAAUCCAGGAUUCAGGCUUCCCCGGGUUGUCCGAGCGUAAAAUAUUCUUGUGUUGCUCGAAGUACGGAGCCACCAAGCUGGAAUUUUGCAGAACUGUAUGGUGUGCUUCAGUCAUAGAAUGACCGUCCAUACAUAUCGUUGAUUUCCUUCCGAUCGUGCCUUUUCCACUUAGUCUCCCCUCGUGCCGCGAUUGAGGAAUACCAAUCGGCUUAAGAUCAGGAACAUAGUCAAUACAGAACUCAAUUACCUCCUCAUUUCCAUAGCCCUUGACGAUGCUUCCUUCUGGCCUAGCACGGUUACGAACAUAUUUCUUUAUACUCCCAUGAACCUCUCAAAGGGGAACAUAUUGUGUAGAAAUACAGGACCGAGAAUGGAAAUCUCUUCGACUAGGUGGAGCAGGAGGUGCGUCAUAAUAUCGAAGAAGGAUGGUGGGAACACCAACUCGAAACUGACAAGGCAUUGGACCACAUCGUUCUGUAACCGUGGUAGAUCUUCUGGAUUGAUUACCUUCUGAGAGAUUGCAUUGAGGAAUGCACAUAGCUUCACAAUGGCUACUCGAACAUUUUCCGGUAGGAGCCCCCUCAAAGCAAUCGGAAGAAAUUGCGUCAUAAUCACGUGGCAGUCGUGAGACUUCAGGUUUAGGAACUUUUUGUCCGCCAUGUUUAUUAUUCCCUUUAUAUUCGACGAGAAGCCAGACGAGACCUUCAUACUGCUCAGGCAUUCAAAAAAAAUGACCUUCUCUUCUUUGGUAAGAGCGUAGCUGGCACGACCUUGAAACCAUUCCGGAUGCCGGUCAUCUGGGUCUUUCAAAAGUUGCUGGUCCUGCCGUGCUUCCUUUGUAUCAUUUGUCUUCCCAUACACGCCCAAGAAGCUUAGCAGGUUCACGCAAAUAUUCUUCGUAACAUGCAUCACGUCGAUUGCAGAGCGGACAUCUAGGACUUUCCAAUAUUCUAGCUCCCAAAAUAUAGAUUUCUUCUUCCACAUGGGUGCGUGCCCGUCAACUCCCCGUGACACUGAUUGUCCGCCAGGACCCUUUCCAAAGAUGACUUUCAAAUCCUUGACCAUAUCAAAUAUCUCAGCACUAGUACGUUCCGCAGGCUUCGGCCGGUGAUCUGCCUUGCCGUUGAAAUGCUUGCCUUUCUUUCUUACGUUAUGAUUCCGGGGAAGAAAUCGACGAUGACCCAGGUACACGUUCUUCUUACAAUUACCCAAACGUACACUUUCAGUCUCAUGUAAGCAGUGCGUGCAUGCAUUGUAUCCCUUAUUUGUCUGUCCCGAAAGGUUACUGAGAGCAGGCCAAUCGUUGAUGGUUACAAAAAGAAACGCUCAUAGGUCAAAUUCCUCCUCUUUGUGCUCAUCCCAGACACGUACACCAGGUCUGCCCCACAACUGUAAAAGUUCAUCAACUAAUGGCCUUAGGUACACAUCGAUGUCGUUGCUGGGUUGCUUUGGACCUUGGAUGAGCACUGGCAUCAUAAUGAACUUCCGCUUCAUGCACAACCAAGGAGGAAGGUUGUAGAUGCAUAGAGUCACGGGCCAGGUGCUAUGGCUGGAGCUCUGCUCGCCAAAAGGAUUCAUGCCAUCAGUACUUAGACCAAAUCUUAUGUUCCUUGCGUCAGCUGCAAAAUCUUUGAACACUCCGUCGAUCUUUCUCCAUUGCGUUCCAUCAGCGGGGUGUCUCAACUCCCCGUCGGACUUACGGUCCUCUUGGUGCCAUCGCAACGACUUGGCAUGCUUUUUGUUCCUGAACAGACGUUUCAACCGUGGUAUUAUAGGAGCGUACCACAUCACCUUGGCGGGAACCCUCUUCCUGGGUUUCUCGCCCUCAACAUCGUCACCAGGGUCAUCGCCUCUGAUCUUAUAACGCAAUGCAAUGCAUACAGGGCAUUCAUUCAAAUUCUCGUAUUCACCGCGGUAGAGGAUGCAGUCGUUAAUGCAUGCAUGUAUCUUCAGAACCUCUAAACCUAGAGGGCAGACAACCUUCUUUGCUUCGUACGUACUGGCGGGCAACUCGUUAUUCUUCGGAAACAUAUUCUUCAACAUUUUCAGCAAAUUUUCAAAUGAUGAGUCAGCUACACCUUCCCGUGCCUUCCAUUUUAGCAAAUCCAGUGUGCAGCCCAGCUUUUUCAGACUAUUAUCGCAUCCUGGGUACAGCGACUUUUUGUGAUCCUCUAACAUGCGAUCCAAAUUCUCCCUCUCCUUGUCAGUUUCGCAGCGUCUCCGUGCAUCAGCAAUGGUCCGACCAAGAUCAUCAGCAGGCUCAUCAUGUGCCUCUUCUUCACCUUCACCUAACCCUUCCCCACCUUCAGCAUCAUCCUCCAUGAAAGUAUCACCGAAAUGAUCAUGAUAGUUGUCAUCGAUAUCAUCCCCUUCUUCAUCUUCUUCCAUUCUAACCCCUCUUUCUCCAUGCUUGGUCCAACAAUUAUAGCUUCGCAUGAAACCGUGCCGAAGCAGGUGCAUGUGAACGUCUCUUGAGGAGGAGUAACCCUUCUGAUUCUUACAGACAGCACAUGGACAGAUAAUAAAACCUCGCUGCUUGUUAGCAUUUGCCACUACGAGGAAAUCUUUCAAACCCGUAGUGAACUCGCCGGAGAGUCGGGGACCGUACAUCCAUUGCCGAUUCAUCUGCAUUAUUAUUAUAUAAAGUAUAUAAUUAACCAUCAUGCAUUUGUUAAACUAACUAGCUAGAAAUAAUACAAAUUAAACAAUGAACUACACACAUGCAUAUUUUAUCAAUGACACAUGAAAGGUUCAAGUUGCUAACCGCGAUCGCGGAGGAAAAAUAAAUGAGAAAGCUCAAGUGUGGCUCGGACACUUCAUAUCAUGUUUGUUUCAUGCUCUCGGGCAUUUCAUCGAACACCUUGUGUGCAUAGGAGGAACCAAAAGCAAACCCACCACCCCCCUUCUGAAUAUUGUGAAUAGAAGUGGCACCAAUUGUGGCUAAGUGAAGUGAGCUGAGUCCUAUAUAUAGGGAUGGGCCUUUAGUCCCGGUUGGCCUGGCCAACCGCGACUAAAGGCCUUCGGGCCAGCCGGAGGACCUUUAGUCCCCGUUGGCCAGGCCAACCGGGACUAAAGCCCCUCCCGUCCGCCAGCUGUCGACCGAGUUCGCUGGGCCCAGAUAGUUGGUCGCGGGUCUCCUUCCGAACCGUGACUAAAGACCCCUUUGGUCGCGGUUCGAUUAUUUUAGGGACUAAUGGGGGCGUAUGGAAGCCUCUUUUUCUACUAGUGAUAAGUUGUCUUGAAUAUCAAUAAAGCCGCCCCGAGAACCAAGAAAUAAAAAAUCGAGAAGAAAGACCCAAUGAAAGAGGCGAAUUAAAUGAGAGCGGGACUUGCGGGGAGAAAAGGAUGGUAGCCUCUAUCUAUAUCUAUACCUAGUAAUAAAUGGGCUAUUGCUUUUAGCGAUACGUCACGGAAAUUUCCCUAAAGUUACAAACUAUUACCCUACAAACUUUGCGAACAUUCUUUUAAACAAUUUUCUUGAAUCGACGACCAUUUCUAGAAUUGAUGUACAUUUUUCUGGAAACAAUUUUUGAAAUUCGUGACCAUUUUUUGAUUUAAUGAAUUUUUUUGAGAUGCAUGGUCAUUUUUUGAAUCAGUGAACAUGUUAUGAAUGAAAAACUACUUUGUAAGAUCCGAUUUUUUUAAUUUUUUAGAUAUUUUAAAAUUUAUUAACAUUUUCUGUAUUGGCGAUAAUUUUGUGCAAUUUCAUAAACUUUUUUUAGUACUAUAAGUUUUUGAAAAAUCAUGAACAUUUUUUAUUUUCAACAAUUGGUUUUCCAAAAUUUCAAAACAAAAUGUUUACAAAAUCAGAAAUAUUUUUUGAAUCGACAAACAUUUUAUGAUUUACUAAAUAUUUUUUUUUCAAAAUUCUCAUUUUUUAAAUUUCGCAAUUUUUGAAGUACCAAAUUAUUUAAAGUAGAAAAAACGACAACGUAAAAUAAAAAGAACAAUCAAAACAAUAUAUGAAAAACUGGCCACCCGGAUAUGUGCCGGCCCAAAGAGUUAUGAUGCAUCAUCUCCCAGGCGGGGGAUUUCCCUGUGUAAAAUGUUUUUUGGGGCAUUUAUGAAAUUUUGAAAACAAAUGUUCGGGAAAUCAAAAAAUGUUUAUCAUUUUUAAAAAGUUUGUGUAUUACAAAACUGUAAAUUAAGACAAAGUUUUGCCAAACAAAGAAAGUUCAAGAAUGGAAAAUAUCCUAAAAUUUCAAACACUGUCCGAGACUUACAAACUAGCUUAUUCAUUCAUAAAAUAUUCGCUGAUUCAAAAACUGAUCAUGCAUUUCAAAACAUGUUCGUUAAAUCAAAAAAAUAUUCUUGAAUUUGAAAAAAUGUUUGACCUAUUUCAAAAAAAUUCUUCUUUGAUUCUAGAAAUGUUCACAGAUUCAAGAAAAUUGUUUCAACAGUAUUCACAAUUUUUUUAAAUGUUUGAAAACAGUAUAAAGUGCUCAUGAAUUCAAAAUAUGUUCUUGAUUUAAGAAAAUGUUCGAAAAGUUAUAAAAGUGUUCAUGAAUUUGAAAAACGUUCAUGAUAUGAAAUAUGUCACAACAAAGUAGACUAAAUAACGACACGCAUGAAGAGGACUAUAUGAACCCUAUUCGUCAACCUCUAGUAUAAGAUGGCACAUAUGAAGAGGACUAGGUUAGCAUCCUGCCCCAUUUGGAAAACGGUGAUGAACUUGUCCCCUUCCUCGCUAAUGCAUAUGUAAGAUAAUUACUAAACUCAAGUUGUAGUAAACUAUUUUAAACUCAAGUUGUGAUAAUUAAAAUCAAGUUAUACAUACUAAUUAAUCAAUACACUACAUACAACACUAAUUAAUCAAUCUAACUAAUCUAAUAAACUAGGUACAGUGGCGAAAUAAACUAAAUUUAACUAGCUACUUAAAUGAUCUAAGGUAUACACAUUGGUAGGAUUGAGGGCGGCCAGAUUUAGUUCACCACACCUGGGGAGCAGAUCAAGAGGAGGAGGGUGGCCGGAUCGAACUAACCACUAAUUAGACGUGUGCACACCGGCCGGCGGCAUAAAUGCCGCCAAUAAUCAUCGGCCAUAGAUUUCAAGAUGAGAAUGCAGGUUGUGGCAGGGAGAGGGCGCAAAGAGAUGGGGAGAGGAAGAAGAGAGAGUGAGUGGGAAGUUAAUAAAACCCGGGCAGGAUAGUUUGUAUGCAUACAAGCUAGCAGCGUGUGCGCCCGCAGAACACUGCUAGCUUACACGACGGUUUGUAUACCAAACACAAGCCACAUGUGCAACAACGACACAGGGCUAAUGAUGUAGAGGACUGGCAGCCUGGCAUACACAGGCGAACGCUACAAACAGUUUUUCAUUUGAAUUUAGAAAAAAUAAAUGCAUUUUAAAAUUCUUGAAACUUGGUGUACUGUCAUUAUAUGACAACUUGAACUAGCGGUUAAAAUUACAAAGUGUUAAACCAAAGUUUAGUAUAGAUUCCUCCCAAACCGAAGGUAGGUAUCACCAACGGUAAUCAGAAUAGUGCUGAAAAGUGUGCCUCCAAAAUUUUGUUGGCAUACCAUAUGCACCAUUUUAUUGUUACAUGUACACUUAUGGAUUUAUUGACUAUUGUUUUCAAUUUUCAAGGGGAUUGAAUAUAGAAAAUGGCUUAGUAGUGUGCCAUAGAGAGAACACGCUGCUAACAUCAGGGAAAGUAAAGGCAGAAAAAGAUCUAUUGAUGAAAUUGUGCCUGAAAAACAGUAGAGAGAGAGGGGCGGAAGGAGAAGAACGGGUACUCAAUUAUUGGGCGCAACAAUUAGCAGUUUUUGCCAUCCGCUGAAAGCUACGAAAGUUUACAAGUUAGCAGCGUGCGAGUAUAUAAACGCCACUAGUUUUUAAGACCCAUAUGCCCGUCGGUGCACAGAGUGUUAGACAUCAGAGUAGCAGCAUGCGGAGCAGAGCCACACGCUGCUAUAGGAGGUGACACCGGUGGCAUUCCCUCCAUCCGCACGCUGCCAGGGAUUAUGGCAAACCGUCUACCUUCAUGCACGUAACUAGCAGUGUUUCAAAUGGAUGAACGCCACUAAGUCCCUCACUACUGCCGCGUUCUGGUUUUCCCCGCACGCUGCUCGCUGUUACGCGAGUUAGCAGGAGCGUCCAUAUAGUUGUGGACGCUCCUAAUAGUGAAAUCCUAUAAGGGGUUUCCCUACUAGCGUGAGGAAGAUAAUAACGUUCUCUGUACCUGUGCAAUAGAAAAAAAAAUGAAAAUCAAGGGUGUUCUUUCGCGCAGAUGAUAUUAGUAUAUAAAAAGGAUGGAGGCAUGGGGCUUCUGUGAGCCCCACGCAUCCUAGGCCAUGCCCGGGACCCAAGGCAGGUGGCCAGGCACGUGGGCCAUAUAGGCCACCCCUAGGGCCAGUUUUCGGUAGUUGGGGCUAUUUUGCUCCAAAAACCUUUGAUACAUGUUUGCUUUAUUUUUUCCUUGCUCUAUAAAAGUGUUGUUCUCUUGUGAGAUCUUCAUUUUCUGGCUCCUGUUGCUUUUCGGUGCUCACUCCGGUGCAACCUUGCAAAAUGGAAAGAAAAUAUAGAUUAAAUUGUGCAAUGGCAAAUUUAGUUUGAUUUUCACCUCUUUGAAGUCCCCUAAAGAAUUGCUUUUGAAAAAUGCUUUGGUGCCACCAAACUCAAAAUUGUACCAACGCAAAAAUAUCCAGAUUAACAUUUAGAGUGACGAAUGGUUUCCAAUCAGGCGCUUGUUUUGCUGCUAAAAUUCCCUUUUACUUCUAGACAUUGAAAUACGUUGAAUUAUUAUAGUGUGCAAUGUUCAGGAAAUCCGUAACUGAUAGCUGCUCGGUCGGCUUGGGAGCAGUAACUAAUAUAUCAAUCAGCCUAUUAACUGGAUUAAUAGGUCGGCCAUUAAUCGAUAGAUUAUAUAGUAACCUGCCAGCUCAAGCAGCUAGCUAUUGAUGUGUAAGUCUAGGAUUGCAGUUAGGGAUGAAAAUCAAAAUAAAAAGUGAAUGUAACAGUGACAAGCAAUGCUAGCAAACAAGAACUUUGUUUGUCUUUUAUUCCCAAGCUUGAACUAGCACUGGUCGGGGUCACACAUGAUGGCGUACGCCACUUUAUUUGUCAUCGCUACAACGAUUGGUGCAUCAGCUAAGCAACGAUGAUCCAUCUACCUAUUAGCAUAACUCUUGCAUUUUUCAUUGGCCACCAAUGCCGACGACUAUGCUGGCAAAUGGUGCGUUGAUGGUGGAGCAGUCAGGUGAGACAUACACGUUGCACAUGGUUGGAAGAGUUCUCAAUACCAAUGACCUGAUCACCUCCAAUUGAGCUGGUUGUUGAGGUUGGAUGAUGCCCUGACCCUGAACGAGCUGAAACAGUGGCCGCCGGAUCUGCACGCCUUGUCGUUGUUCUUGCUGCAUGAUGAUGGAAUGCACGACACUAUGGAUGGCUGCACACUGGAGCUGCUGAGGAAUCUGUGCCAGUUGUUGGCAACAUUGUUGCUGCAUCACCUGGCAAUCACUUCGUGGCAAGAUCAUUGAUAUGAGGGAUGACACCAAUGACACAGGGUUGCAUUGCUGCAAGAGAAAAUUCUUGCAGGGGUUCAUCUGUUGUUGUAGAGAUAGCUGAAUCAACGGUUGUUGUUGCUGGGGGAAUGAUUGUUGCGGUUGUUGGGGCUGCAGGAAUUGUUGUUGGGGCUGGGGAAAAGGUUGUUGUGGUUGCUGUGACUGGGGAAAUUGUUGUUGGGGUUGUUGAGGCUGGGGGAAUGGUUGUUGGGGUUGUUGGGGAAAUGNNNNNNNNNNNNNNNNNNNNNNNNNNNNNNNNNNNNNNNNNNNNNNNNNNNNNNNNNNNNNNNNNNNNNNNNNNNNNNNNNNNNNNNNNNNNNNNNNNNNNNNNNNNNNNNNNNNNNNNNNNNNNNNNNNNNNNNNNNNNNNNNNNNNNNNNNNNNNNNNNNNNNNNNNNNNNNNNNNNNNNNNNNNNNNNNNNNNNNNNNNNNNNNNNNNNNNNNNNNNNNNNNNNNNNNNNNNNNNNNNNNNNNNNNNNNNNNNNNNNNNNNNNNNNNNNNNNNNNNNNNNNNNNNNNNNNNNNNNNNNNNNNNNNNNNNNNNNNNNNNNNNNNNNNNNNNNNNNNNNNNNNNNNNNNNAAUGUUUGUUGGGGCUGGGGAAAUGGUUGUUGUGGUUGCUGGGUCUGGGGAAAUUGUUGUUGUGGUUGAUGGGGGUAUGUUUGUUGGGGUUGGGGAAAUGUUUGUUGUGGUUGAUGGUGGAACGUUUGAUGGGGUUGGGGAAUAGUUUGUUGUGGUUGCUGGCAGAAUGGUUGUUGGGGCUGGGGGAAUGGUUGUUGUUGUGGCCAAUGUACUUGGUAGCCGGGGUCGACUUGCAUAUUGGCGGUGGCGAUGGUUGUUGCCAUCGCAAGGAUUGUUACGAUGAGUAAGGUCUUCAUGGUGGAUUUGCGUUAGGUACUACUUACUUGGAUUUGAUUCUUGUGCUCUAGUUAUGUGAAGGAUGGAUGAUGGUAUGGAGUGUACAUAUUACAGGCUUUUAUAGCUAUCAUGGUUAGGUUUCUUUUCAUUAUUGCUUUCACUUUUUAAAGUGAUUCGAUGCUUAUCAAACUAAUUAUUUGGUGUGUUCUGUUUGGUGGCACUACAUACAAACGUACUUUUGGAGUGGUCAGUAAAGUUGCCUUUUUAUUGUACAUAUCAUCUAAGAGUGGCGAAAACUAUAUAAUUGGCACUGACUCAUCUUAUCGACUUUACAAGUCAAACAAUUAUCUGGAUUGCAUUCCUUUUGGAUCUAAGUUUAUCAUGUUGUACAAGUUGUUAGGCAUAAACCAAAUCUUCAUAGCUUGCGGGGGACUAAAUUUGUAUCCUUGUGCAUGUUGUUAAAGAUAGAUCAGGCUAUUCUAAUGUUCAUUCUGGACUUUUAUUCUUUUUUAAACUAGCUUGCAGUGUUGUAUAGUAUGAUGGUAAGAUGAACAAGCUAAUAAGACUCGUCAGAUUCUUCUUUUAUGUCAAGGGUAGUAAUGUUGUACACGAAUCAAUACAUGACCCAUCAUAUUUCCUUUUUAUGUCAAUGGUUGUAAUUAUGUGCAAGUUAUUAAUUAAUAUUGGACAAGUACUAGCUUUACAUGUCUUAAUUGAUUCACUCUUUAGUACAUUUGAAGGUUUGUUCUCGCUUUAAUUGAUUAAUUUAUUGAACUAAGUUUGCAUGUAUUAUUUGUAACAUUUGAUGCAUUUAGUCGAAGUUGUCCAUGACAACCGUGAUUACUAAGAUUUCUGAGAAUGAUUUCAAGCAUUUAAAAAAUAAAUAGUGGCAUAUUUGUAUCCUUAGGGCAUUUCUAACCGAUCCUUUUAAAAUAACAUAGGAUUCGGCAGAGUAAACCUUUAGUGGAGUAUUUUUACUCCAUUAACUUUUGGUCGGACCUAGCCGAACUCUGAAAUCUAAUAGGGUAACAACCAAAUUUGCAUAAGUUAAAACUACAUUCAAUUGAAACAACUAAAGUUUUACACAUUUGUCUUGACAUCCCACGGGACGACCGAAAUUCAAUUUAAACAACCUAAACCUAAACCUAAACUUAUAAUUAAAACUAAACUUGAAAUUAAGCUAAACUACUCUUCAUCAUCAUCACAUGGUAGAGGUCGAGCCAAUCUUGGCUUGACAUUCUAGCGACCAUUGGGUCCGGGUUAGUGCCGUCGUCAUCAGAGUUGGGUAAGAUGCCUCUCCAUUCGUCGGCAUUGAACUCGUUCUCGUCCUUUCCACCUUCAUCGCCGCCUUCCACCUCGUCGUCGGAGAUGACGAUGACCUCCCCGUUGAUUGCCUGCUCCGCCUCCACGAGCUUGGGGCACUGGCGAUGGAGGUCUACCAUGUACUCCUCAUCGGUGGGCUCCACCGCGAUGUGCAACCUCGCCUCCCAGUCCUCCCAAGCCGUCGCCGCAUCCACCACCCGCGGUGGCAGUGAGUCGAGGUGGGAGGGUGCCGUCCCCCACGGGAAGUUGAGUUGCGUGUCCGCCACCCCCGAUGGGUCCCCAAUGGGAAGUUGAGCUGCGCGUCCGCACCGUGGAACCAGGCCUGCCACCGGUCAUAUUCCAGGGCGGCGAGCUUCGUCAUGUGUAACGACUCGAUCCACUUCUUCUUUUGGGUCUCCUGGUCGGUGAUCUCUGCCACCCAUGUCCCCCACGUUCGCUGGCGGACGCCGAGGUAUUUCCUCUCCGGCUGUUGCGGCGGAUUGAGGUCCGGUAAGUCGGAGAUGCAGGCGGGGGCCGCAUCGGCGGGGCAGCGGCGGUUCGAAGACGCGCGGCAGGCAUGGCAGCGUGGAUCCGCGCUACGGAUUGGCAGCGGGGAGCGCCGGCCAUGCAAUCCCGUCAUUGGGAGCAGGGCCUGCCCUGGCGUAUGGCCAGAGGGGCGACCGCCCAGGGCCCAGGCCUGGGGAGCGCCCCUAAUCUGGUCUGCGUGUAUACUUAGUAUUGUCCAGCAGAAAAAUAUAUAGGGAAAAAAUUAGGAGGGAAACGAAUAGAUGGGCUAUGGCCAAUUGACGUGGCUGGUUACGGCCGCACAUAGAGAUCAAUUACCUGAGGCUGGCCAUAGUAGGGGUAACAUAAGUAGUAUCAUGCACUUGAGACUCGCAAACUUGCUUAUGUGGCAGGCAAUUAAAGAAGAGAGAUGGUUAUAGUAACAUGGGUAGAUACCGUAACAUAAUAAAUGUGAUGUUACUAUGUGUCAUGCAUGGCAAUAAAUGAGAUCAUCUAUGAUACUAAUCUAUGAUAGUAUGCACUAUGAAUACAUGAUACUAGUGUAUGAUACUCCCCAUUAUGACCAGCCCGAUCGUUUGGAUAGACUUAAAAAAAACUAAUCAUUUGGAUUAGGCUAAAAAACACCCGAUCGCUUGGUUUACCCCUCAUAUAAAAAACUUGAUAGCUCAACUAAAAAAAAACCUGAUAGCUUCGUCUCUUCCUCGACCACGAACCACUCGGGCAUGCUUUCUCUUGCUGCCGCCGCGCGCGGCAGCCUAGUCGCUGGUGUUGCGCCGUGCGCCGUGCGCCCAUGUCGGCGACCCGGCUGCCGCAGUUGUGCGCCACCCGUGGCCGGUUGGCCCUCACGCCCAACCAUCCACGAGACCAUUAUCCAGUCUUUCGUAAAUACCUAACGAGAUUAGGGUUUAGAUGUACAAAUUUCUAGUUCUUCCUAUUCUCGUUUCUUCAUAAAUUUAGGACAUAGCAUGCCUUACAAUGUUAAAUAAAAAGAAGUAUUUGCUGGGUACUUUACAUCUUCAAGCAAUGUCUAUGUAUCACACAUACACACACACAACCUAGGGGCCAUGUCGUCAGGUUCGCCCUAGGGCCUUCCAAAACAUAGGGCCGGCCCUGAUUGGGAGGAGGGGGAGUCGGCGGCGAGGAUGGGGGAGGAGGAGAGGUAGAGGAGGCGGCUAGAGGGCUGAGGAAGUUUAACUCCACUAGCACCGAUUGGGGAUCGGCAAGGUCCCGAUUAGAGGAGUAAAACUUGGUUUUUAGUUCUCCAACUGGUUAUAGUGGAUUCGUUAGAAAUGCCCUUAGAUCGUUAAAAGCAUCUAUUUAUUACACUAUCUACUAACAUACCUUUAAUCUACGCAGACUUGUCAAGAAGUCCUUUGUUGGCGUGUUUAUCCACCUGAACGGAAGCCCGUCAAGUUCUAGUGUUGCAAAAGGAAGCAAGAAGAGGUGGCAAAAUUGCUCAACAAGUCAAUCUUGUUCUUUGUUUAUUAAUACCCUAGAACUAACGGUUGACUCCUGAUCUCUUGUGAGCAUAUAUAGUUUUCCAAAAUAAAAAAGUAAAGUGCAUUCUAGUUUUAAUAUGUUACAAAUGGUUCACAUUUUUAUCCACNNNNNNNNNNNNNNNNNNNNNNNNNNNNNNNNNNNNNNNNNNNNNNNNNNNNNNNNNNNNNNNNNNNNNNNNNNNNNNNNNNNNNNNNNNNNNNNNNNNNNNNNNNNNNNNNNNNNNNNNNNNNNNNNNNNNNNNNNNNNNNNNNNNNNNNNNNNNNNNNNNNNNNNNNNNNNNNNNNNNNNNNNNNNNNNNNNNNNNNNNNNNNAACCUGCAUGCUGCCGGGUCUUGCUGUGUCUUCAGCCGUUUCUCUUGCAUGUCCUCCUUAGGUAGGUCUUGCCACGGGAGCACGUGGUAGCAGCACUUAUCUGCUAGUGUCAGCAUCAUGGCCCUUGCUGCUGGAUUCCGUGCCAGCGCUCAGUCCACUAUGGCUGAUGGCGUCGACAUCACCCCUUGCCACCCCGAUCUGCGCCCGCGCCUACCGGAUCUCACUUCUUAGCUCAACAGUUGCAUACUUCGGCUACAUUUCUCUUAUUAUGUACUGUAAAUUUCAAAAAAUUGGUAUUUCAAAAUUUCAAAAAAGAAUAUAUUUCAAAAUCAGAAAUAUUUUUUGAAUCCACAAACACUUUAUGAUUUAUUAAAAAAAAAUUCAGAAUUCUCGUUUUUAAAAUUUCAGAACUUUUUUGAAGUCUCAAAUUUUUUAAAGUAGAAAAAAACGUAAAAUAAAAAGAACAAUUAAAAUAAUAUAUAAAACGCUGGCCACCCGGAUAUGGGCCGGCCCAAAGAGUUAUGCUGCAUCUUCUCCCAAAGAGCAGAGCGCGGUAUAGGAAGUCGCUACUGCAUAGGCCGGCCCUGGCGGGGGAUUUCCCUGUGUAAAAUGUUUUUUAUCACUUAUAGGUGCCAUUGGUGGGGCAUUUACGAAAUGUUGAAAACAAAUGUUCAGGAAAUCAAAAAAUGUUUAUGAUUUUUAAAAAGUUUGUAUAUUAAAAAAUGUAAAUUAAGAAAAAAAAAAUUCCAAGUCAAACAAUGUUCACGAAUGAAAAAAUAUCAUAAAAUUUCAAAAAUUAUCUGUGACUUAAAAACUAGCUUAUUCAUUCAUAAAAUGUAUGCUGAUUCAAAAAUUGAUCAUGCAUUUCAAAACAUGUUCUUUAAAUCAAAAAAAAUUCUUGAAUUUUAAAAAUUGUUCCACCUAUUUCGAAAAAAAUCUUCAUCGAUUCUAGAAAUUUUCACCGAUUCAAGAAAAUAGUUUCAAAAAUAUUUACAACUUUUAAAAAAUGUUUGAAAUAGUGUAAAGUGUUCAUGAAUUCAAAGUAUGUUCUUGAUUUUAGAAAAUGUUCAAAAUUUAUAAAAGUAUUCAUGAUUUUGAAAAAUGUUCAUGAUUUGAAAUAUGUUCACAACAAAGUAGACUAAAUAAACGCAUGAAGAGGACUAUAUGAAGCCUACUCGUCAACCUCCUAGUAUAAGAUGGCACGCAUGAAGAGGACUAGGUUAGCAUCCUGCCCCAUUUGGACAACGGUGAUGAAUUUUUUGUCAAACAUAAAUAUACAAAAUAUGAUUUUUUUAAUCUAAAAAAUCAUAAUUUGUAUAUUUAUAUUUGGCCAAAAAAUCUGAAAGAUUUAUCCUAGAUUCUAGAUAGAAAACUUUGCCACUCUGCAAAGGUUUGAACUUCAAAACAUGUUUUAUGCGAGAGAAACAAAAAAGAGAAAUGUGUUAAGUUGUUUGGUGUGCAUCACUAGACAAGGUUGUGCAUCAUCUGACCCAGAUUCACCUCUCUGAACUUUUUGUUGCCUUGACCUUUACUGCAAUGAUUUUCCUUUAUGACAGUCUAAUGAUGAUCUUUCGACGACAUCUUGUGAAUGAAACUUUAAUACUGCAGUAGGCACCACUUGUGUAUUAAUAUCAACCGUACGUAAUUCUGGUUGCUUAAUUUCUACUCUCUGUAGCCGUUUCUAAACCGGCAUAAGUAGGCCCCAAGGUUCCCUAUUUUUGUUGUGGAGGCACUAUAUGACUGUUUGGUGUUAUUUGUAUUAUUUAAGCAAAUGUCAUGGACCCUUUUUCAUCGUGCAAGUGAUUUUGAAGACAUAUAUCUCUGCCUGCUAUGUUCGCGUGGCAAUUUUGGUAUGGUCGUUAGUAAUAAUAUUAUGUCCAGGUUUUGAUGGACAUGUACGCAUGCUUGUUUUGUUGAUAUCAACUCUACCGGAGGAUGUCUUUGAUUGCUUCUCAAAAGUAUAGUGCUAGUUACCAGUAGCAUAAUUGUAGAUGUUUAGAUUCUAAAAUGGCCUGAAGUUGAGGAACAACUGAAACUACUGAAGGCCUAUAACAUAGAUGUGUGCUAAUUACAUUACAGGUAGGUAGUCACAUCAUGUCUUUGCUCUGGACAUCCAGCACUCAACAGCAUUUUCUUCUUACCUUUUUCAGGGGGUCGCAUCUCUUUUUCUACCUAUCAUGUGUUCCCUUGGUACAAAGAUUCAUCUCUUUUCGAGGGGUUCAGAUUUCUGAAUCAUUUUAUUUUAGCUCAAGUAACAAGACAUCUCGUUGCGUCAGUUCAGCUCGUAGGAACAACAUUUGCCUUGUAUUUGUACCUCAUCAAGAUGCCAACUUUGCUUUGCUGGCCAUGUACUUUAUACUGGCGCUAAAAUGAAAAAUGCGCCUUUCCCUUGCUGAAAAAAGGGAGAAUGAUUUAUUUAUUUACAUUAGCUCCUGCACGCCCUGAUCGUGGAAUAUUUACUAGUACAAAACAAACAAUGGGAAGAGUGAAACGACGGCUGAGCCGAUGAGCAGGAUGAAAGAGAGGAAGUAAGAAAUUAAUGCCUUGUCAUGUUCAGGGUUUUUCGUAGCAACUUUUCUUCAGCUGUUUGUGUGGCCAAGAUGCUGCUUGCUUCUAGAUGCCUUGAAUUCAACAAGGUGCAGCCAAACACACAAUUCGAUCAUGACUAGCUUUAUUGAAUUAAAGAACAAUUACAUUGUUCACUAGUUGGUGAAGUAAAAAACCUGGAGGUUCAUUAAUCUAACUAUCCUCACACUUAUUACAAAAACUGAAUUUCGCUAAGCUACAGAGUUUGCAUGACUGUCUAGGAAAUAUUUCACAGGAGAAAACUAAUCUGUCAUAUUUUUCCACAGGAGAAAAUAGAGGAUAGAUGGCGACACUGAAGAAGAAAAUUUUGGCAUGUCGGAUGUUACACGGCAACCAACACAUACGCGGGCUGGUAGACGUAAAGAAAGCGCCGGUAACCCACUUGUGUUUGUAUUUUCUUCAGUUUGUGUGGUCAAGAUGCUGCUUGGCUGCACGGGCUUUGAGUUCCAGAAGUUGCAGCCAUGGCCUCAUAUUCCCUCGGACACACGACUUCCAACAAGACUUAAGGUCCAGGAUUUGUAUUAAACAGAAUUCAACACUGAAACCUUUACUUCUACCACAGCCGGUGGAUAGAAUUCAAGCACGGAAUUUCCCCGCAAUUUGUAGUUGCGUUGCAUUGCGCCACCAGUCAUGAGUCCUUGAUCUAAAUAUUUGUUCUAUGUACCAGCUGAAAAGCGUAAAGAGAAACAUUUUUUAGGAUAGCUUAAGACAUAUAUACUAAAGCUGUUUUACAGUAUCAAAUAAACAAGGAAAUACUGCCAAAAAAUCACAGGUGAUACCAUCAAAGAGGUUGGAACUUCCAGUAGGGAUACCAUCAAUUGUUGAGUUCAGAGAACAGCUCCCUUUAUCCCUUUCUAAUAGAGAAGCAAAUAAGAGAAGUGGAUUUAUACCAGUUCAGAGUUCAGAGUUUAGAAACCAUUUCUAACAAGUUCAGAGUUCGGAGAACAACUUCCAACAUAAGACAACCAUGUACGUACUGAUAAGAGAGCGGAUACCAAUUCAACCUCGAAAAUCCAUCAUAGUUCAACUCAGCUAGUGAGGAUGUACAACUAACUACCGUAUGGCGAGCAGCUCCCAUUAUCACUCACCAUUAUUCUAAAACAAGUCUUCUUCUACAAGUGCCUUCUCAGAUUUUCGACUGGAAUAUCAGAGGUAGACAAGUGGAUUUAAUUUGCACUCAUUUGGUUACUCAUAAAUUAUGAAGGGGCAUACCUGGGAAUAUCGCCGUGUUAGAUGUUGCAAGCUAUCGACAACGUACGUGGGCCGGCAGGCGUCGACCAAGUUGAGCUUGGAUUUUUGCUUCAGUUUGUGUGGUGAAGAUACUGCUUGCUGUACAAGCUAUGAAUUCCACAUGACUUCCAACAAGACUCGUGUGGUUGUACAGUGCCACUUCAUCGUUUUCCUCGGACACAUGACUUCCAACAAGACUUGAGGUCCAGCAUUUGCAUUAACCACAAUUUAACACUGAAACCUUAGUUUUACCAGCAGGCAACAGCACGGGAUUUCCCCACAAUUUGUCCUUACGCUGCGCCGCCAGCCGAGUCCUUGAGCUAAAUAUUUUGUUCUAUGUACUGAAAAGGGAAACAUUUAGAGGAUAGCUCAAGACAAGCUGCUCCAAUUUAUUUACGGAAUUGCCAUAACUGAAGCAGUAACAGGUUACAUGAUCAAAUAUAAACAAGGAAAUAUUGUCAAAUCAAUCAGCAUCAAAUAAAAACUCCACUGCGAGUGUUAACUCAAGCCCAUUUUGCGCAUUAGAAGAAAGCGAGCUGCGGCACUGAAGACAGAGGAGAAUCGGGAAAGAUCUUGUGUCAUCUUUCUGCAUGGAUGAGAAAAGAAAAUAGAGGAAGAGAUGGCGACACUGAAGCUUGGAAAUUCCAGUAGAGAGAGACGGCGACACUGAAGAAUAGUCAUCCAGCGGCAGCUUAAGACACUGAAUACUUUAUUUUUACCAUCGGUAGAAUUCCACCACUGAAUAUUUCCAACGUUUAAUCAUUGUGUUGCACCACCGGUCACAGUUCUGAAAAGCGAAUAAGGGAAACAUUAGUACUGUACAGAACAGCUUAAGACAAGCUGCUUCAAUUUCUUUAGUGGAAUUGCCAUAACUGAAGUAGUUUCAAGUCACAUGUCUAAAUAAACAAGAAAUACUUUCAAACCAGGGUGGAGGACUAGAAUCUUGCAGAUAGAGCAACCGAGGGUCUUCUUCCCGGCAAGCCUCAUUCGCAGGGCUCUUGAUUUUAUCUUUUAAGAAUUCGUCCAGACAAUGUUGAGGUCUGAGACACCCGAAAUGCCCGGACGAAGGGCAAGUUCGCUGUAGUGCCGAGAACGCAGGUUGAGCAUGACAAAAAGAAAGGGUUUAGAGGUGAGGGGAUUUGGUAAUUCUCUGGACUUAAAUCAAGAAUGGAGAUGCAGAAUUUUGGGCAUCUACCAGGUUUAAUUAUUUUCAUCACUGCUGCGCACACAUUGGGAGGAAGCAGCUACCUGGCAUUGAUGUGGUUGUGCUUAUAUUUUUCCUUUUUCGCCUCAUCUCCAAACUUGUGCUUGCUUCAUGUAUGAACCCUGGUUUGUCCUUAAUCUGUAAAGCCGAGGGAGAGCCUAUUUCGAGAGAUUGGAUAGUUUGUACGUAAACUGAAUUUUGGCAUGGAGGUACCUAAGUGAAAUAGUUCGGUUCUACUGAUUAUUCUUCUCUAAAGUAUGCAAGAAAUAGUAACAAUUUCCACCCUUUUGAUUACUGAUAAAUUACAAAGGGCAUACCUGGGAAUAUUGGUGUGUCGGAUGUUACACGGCAACCAACACGUACGUGGGCCGGCAGAGCUGCAGAAAGCGCCAGUAACCCUCUUGAGCUUGGAUUUUUGCUUCAGAUUGUGUGGUCAUGAUACUGCUUUGCUGUACCACCUUUGAAUUCAACACAAAUUGCAGCCACAAUUCAACAAGACUUGGGGUCCAGGAUUUGUGUGAACCACAAUUUAACACUGAAACCUUUAUUUCACCACUGCCGGUGAAUAGAAUUCCAGCACCUAAUUUGUCAUUGGGCUGCGCAACCAGUCACGAGUCCUAGAGCAAAAUAUUCUCUUCUUUUUUCGUUGCAAUCAACAUACAUGGGCCAACAGACGUACAGAAAGCGCUAGUAACCCACUUGAGCUUAGAUUUUUGCUUCAGCUUGUGUGGUGAAGAUGUUGCGUGGUUGCACAGGCUUUGAGAAUCCACGAGUUACAACCACUACCUCAUUUCCCCUCGACACAUGACUUCCAUCAAGACUUGGGGUCCAGGAUUUGUUUUAAACAAAAUUCAGCACAGAAGCCUUUAUUUUUACCAUCGACAUAAUUCUAGCACGGAAUUUCCCCUCAAAUAAUAGUUGUGUUGCGCCACCGGUCACGAGUCAUUGAGCUAAAUCUUUUGCUCUAUGUACCAGCUGAACAGCGAAAAGGGAAGCAUUUUAGAAAAUAUAACACAAGCUGCUUCAAUUUCUUCAUAUUUGAAGCAGUUACCAAAGAAAUACUAUCAAACAAAUCACAGGAGAAACCAUCGAAUAAACAAAGAAAUACUAUAAAAAAAUUGACAGGAGAUACCAUCAAAUGAAAACUCUACUGCAUUAUUGUUGUUAACUCAAGUCCAUUCAGUGCAUAAGUUGUCGACGGAGAAUUGGGAAAGAUAUGUGUAGGCGUACCCAUAGGUAUUGCUUUCUAAGAACAAUUCAUGUGUGUGUUCUCCACAGGAAUGACGAAAGAAAAUAAAGGAAGAGAUGGCAACAUUGAAGAAGGAAAACAGGCGGCCCGGUAGCAGCUUCCAAAAGGGUGUGCUAGUUUCCAAACAAGAGCUUGGAACUUCCAGCAGGGAGAGAUGGCGACACUGAAGAAUGGUCAUCAAGCAGCAGCUUCCACUCAACUGUCUGUCUGUGUGUUCACGGAGGACCUCAUAACACUAUUUAAAUAUCAGUAGAGUUGCAAUUUAUAUUGAAUCUCAUCACCCAGCCAAACACACCAUGCAAACACUAGGCAGCAAGCCAUCUUGCUCAGCAGCUUUGUUCUACCUCUACUGCCUACUGUUAGUGUCAAGCCUUCAUCUCUUGGAAGAAGCACAUGCAGCACGGCAUGGAGGGAUCUCGCUGAGGUCUCAGCACAUGGCCCUCCUCCACUGGAAAGCUACACUUGUGAGUCCACCGCUGCAGAUGAGUUCCUGGCAGGAAAACACCAGCCCGUGCAACUGGACGGGCAUCAUGUGCACGGCUAUUCGCCAUGGUCGUCGCAUGCCCUGGGUGGUGACCAGCAUCUCCCUGCCGGAUGCUGCCAUCCGUGGCCAGCUCGGUGAGCUCAACUUCUCGGCACUUCCAUUCCUUACAAAUAUCGACCUUCAUAACAACAGUCUCCAUGGUACACUGCCCGCUAAUAUCAGCUCUCUGUCAGCACUUUCUGAUCUUAACCUUAAGCAGAACCAGCUCACAGGGGAAAUUCCUUAUGAGAUUGGUGGCCUGCAAAGUCUCAGGCAGCUUUCUCUCUCAUUUAACAACCUCACAGGAAAUAUCCCUGCAUCUCUGGGCAACCUAACAAUGUUAACUUUUCUUGCCAUUCACCAAACCAUGGUAUCAGGUCCAAUUCCAGAGGAGAUUGGACGGCUUGUAAACCUACAAAAUCUACAGCUAAGCAACAGCACCUUAAGCGGCAUCAUACCAAAAACCCUUGGAAAUCUGACCCAGCUAAUUGGUUUGUACCUGUUUGGUAAUCAACUCUCAGGGCCUAUACCCCAAGAACUAGGACGGCUAGUCCAUCUGCAAAUUCUUGAGCUUGAUUCAAAUUAUUUUUCAGGUCCAAUUCCAAUCUCUAUAACUAAUCUCACUAAGAUUAACGCAAUUUUUCUCUUUGAAAAUCAAAUCACGGGUCCAAUACCUUCAGAGUUGGGCAACUUGCUAAAUCUCCAGUCUUUAGUCUUAUUCGACAACCAAAUAUCUGGCUCUAUUCCUGACAGCCUAGGAAAUAUAACCAAGCUAGUAGUACUACACCUCUAUGAAAAUCAGAUAAGUGGUUCCAUCCCCCAGCAAAUUGGCAAUCUGAUAAACCUCAAAUCCUUAGCCUUGCACCAGAACCAAAUUUCCGGAUCAAUACCAAAAACUUUUGGGAAGUUGCAAAGCGUCCGAACACUGCAAAUGUAUGAUAACAAAUUAUCAGGUUCUCUUCCUCACGAAUUCGGAGAUCUCAUAAGCCUUGACAAUCUUGGGUUAGCUAACAACUCACUCUUAGGACCUUUACCCGCAAAUAUAUGUUCAGGUGGCAGACUUCAAAUUCUCACUGUCCAAUCUAAUAUGUUCACUGGCCCCAUUCCAAGAAGUUUAAAGACAUGUACUAGUCUGCUUAAAAUUAACAUUGAAAAGAACCAACUAACAGGAGAUAUAACUAGGCAUUUUGGUGUGUAUCCACAACUCACACUGAUGCGCUUGGCAUCAAAUAGACUCACCGGGCAGAUCUCACCAAAUCUAGGUGCAUGUACCCAGCUAACUGCCCUAACUCUAAGCAAAAAUAUGAUCACGGGUUCCAUACCUCCAAUCCUUUCUAAAUUGUCUAACCUAGGAGUACUAAAACUUGAUUAUAAUCAUCUCAACGGUAAAAUUCCACAAGAAUUAUACACUUUAACUAAUCUGUACAUGCUGAACUUAUCAUCGAACCACUUAUCUGGAUCCCUACCUACACAGAUAGAAAAACUAAGCAAUCUAGGAUAUUUAGAUAUUUCUGGGAAUAGACUGGGUGGAUUAAUACCUGAGGAACUAGGGGCCUGCAUACACCUACAAUCCUUGAAGAUCAACAACAACUUUUUCACUGGGAGUUUGCCUGGUACGAUUGGAAAGUUAGCGGGUCUGCAGAUCAUGUUAGAUGUGAGCAACAAUAACCUCAGUGGCAUAUUGCCGCAGCAACUUGGGAAGUUGGGAAUGCUAGAAUUUCUGAAUUUAUCCCAUAAUCAGUUCAGUGGCAGCAUUCCAUCCUCCUUUGCAAGCAUGUUGAGCCUUUCAACACUCGAUGUGUCCUACAAUGCCUUGGAAGGACCAAUCCCAAUAACACGACUACUCCAAAAUGCUUCAGCAAGUUGGUUUCUUCCCAACAAAGGUCUGUGUGGUAAUCUCUCUGGCCUGCCACCUUGUUAUUCAACUCCAGUAGAUGGUCACCAUAAACGAAAGACAUUAAAUGUGCUUUUUCCAAUUGUUCUUGUGGUGGGUUUCGGCAUUAUUGGUGCAAUUGUUGUCGUAAUAAUGCUUAGCCGAAACAAGAAUAAACCUGAAGAAAGUGUUACUCCUGAAGCAAGGGAACUAUUCUCUGUUUGGAAUUUUGAUGGAAGAUUAGCAUUUGACGAUAUUGUAAGGGCAACAGAAGACUUCGAUGAUAAGUACAUCAUUGGAACAGGAGGAUACGGCAAAGUCUAUAAGGCAGAGCUUCAAGACGGGCAGCUAGUUGCUGUGAAGAAGCUUCAUCAAACUGAAGAAGAGUUGGAUGAUGAAAGAAGAUUUCGUAGUGAAAUGGAAAUCUUAACACAGAUCCGACAACGAUGCAUUGUCAAAAUGUAUGCAUUCUGCUCCCAUCCAGCGUAUAAAUUUCUAGUCUAUGACUACAUUCAGCAGGGAAGCCUACGCAGGAUAUUGGAAGAUGAGGAGCUAGCAAAGGAAUUGGAUUGGCACAAGAGAAUUUCUCUUGCAAAUGAUGUGGCUCAAGCAAUAUCUUAUUUGCACCAUGAAUGCAGUCCACCUAUAAUCCAUCGAGAUAUCACGAGCAGCAACAUCUUACUUGAUACAACCUUCAAGGCUUUUGUCUCGGAUUUCGGCACAGCAAGGAUUCUUAAGCCCGAUUCAUCAAACUGGAGUGCACUAGCAGGAACAUAUGGCUACAUAGCUCCUGGUAUGUACUAGAAACCUUUCUUCUCACACUAGAAGCAUUCAUCUCAAUCCAUUUAUUCCUAAUUCUAAUGUUUUGAUUUUGUGCAGAGCUAUCAUACACAUCUGUUGUGACGGAGAAAUGUGACAUCUAUAGCUUUGGCGUGGUUGUGCUAGAGCUAGUCAUGGGGAAGCAUCCAAGGGAUCUAUUAGACGGUAGUUUACCAAGCAAGGAACAAGCUAUACUGGUAAAUGAUAUUCUGGACCAACGGCCGACAACACCAACCAUGUGGGAGGCAUACCACACACUCAUCCAGCGACCCUCUUCUAAUCCAUAUCCCGUGCCUUUCAGCGCACUUGCAUUAUGGCAAGUAAUGAAUGCAUGCUGAUAUAUGAUCCGAGUUCUAGUGAGAAGCCUGUGUCUAUUGUAGCGGAAGCCGUUUUAGGUUUUGGUUUUGCCUUGAGUCAUUCAUGCCAACUAUAUAUGUUGAAGUCUGUAAUCCUAUCAUGACAUCUCGUAGGUUUUAUUUCUAGCAAAAAUAAUGACCGAUCCAUGCAGUGUGAGCCUGUUACGGCCAUAGCGGCUUAGAACUGAGGCAUGGUCAAGGGACGUGGGAUGGCACGUUCGUGAAGCUUGGCCAUGGCGCAAGAUUAGUAUCUUUCUGUUAGUUAGUUAGUUGAGCUAAUGAGCUGUUUAAAUAAAGAAGAGAACAAAGCAGAAAAGCUACAAAGUUUUACACGACGCAAAUAUCCUAAGUGUUCACUAAUUCUUCUCCCACCCAUUUCCUCCAACAAUAUAUACCUCGGGAUGAGUUGGUGACUCAAUGUAAUUCUAUGUGUUGUAGACACUCUCCUAUUGUGUGCUCGUAGUUUUCCCCGCAAGGGUUUUCCACGUAAAAAAUAGUGCCCCAUGUUCUUGAUAUUUCUCCAUUUGUUUAGUUCCUGAUUUCUAACAAGGCAUAAAUAUAAUUUUUUUUUCGCUGGUUGCUUGUAAAAUGUAAUGUGUCUAUGCUUAUAUUUGUCAUUUUCUUUUGGCUGUUGUCUGCAAGGGUACUUGGAAUGGUGUACAAAUAUUUGUCUCUUUUUAUCUACUUCUGCUCCCAUGAACCUGAAGACGAAUUUGGAGUCCAAAACUGACGCGAUAUCAGGCGGUCACAAUGAUCAGGAUAAAAUACCUUGGACCAAGCAGGAAUGAUCACAAUGAUCAAGCGGUCGAUGCAUAAACAGGAACAAAUAAUGUUAGCACGCAGAGCUAGGUGCAUACAAAAAGGAAAAUUACCACAGUACUGAGUAAAAGAACUUAGAGAGGGUUGUAGGGCAUAAAAAGGGAAAAUUACCACUGUACUAAGUAUGAAGUUUUGAUCGGUUGAUGCAUAAACAUAAACAAAUGAAUGUAAACUUACGGAUCCAGGUGCAUAAAAGGGAAAAAUUACUACUGUACUAAGUAAAAGGACUUACAGAGGAUUGCAGUCCUUUUCCUUGGAGUCCUUGUCCUUAGGAUGGAGCAACAAAUGAUUUACUACUACAAUUAAUUUCAAACAUUAGUUAGCAAGAUUGACAUGGAACAAAGAUACAACCUUCUUUCUUCUUCAUGCCUAAUAAAAACUUAAGAAAGGAUGAGAUGAGAUGAUAUGAAAAGCCCCAGGUGACAGACAACAGUAAGAGCUAAGCUAGUGCAGUCAUAGACAAGAAGAGUCUGGUAUGAAAAUAUCCCAUAAUCUUUUUAACAGAAAAGUAGGUACGAUUCACCUCAAAUUCAACCAAGCUAGUGUAAUCACAGACAUACUAAGAACAAGAUGCACAGCCAAAUAGAGAACGGCUCCAUUUACCAUUGUUAAGCAACUUGUAGUGGUAUAUGUGAAAAGAUACAAAAAUUUGUCCAUGCACAAACAAAGCGCCGACCAUUUACAUCAAGAUCAAACCUACACCAUAGUUUUUUUUGGUUAGUUUCAGGUACGAAUUGACGUGUGCGGCACUGUAGGCAGUCCUAGUUCAUCCUCGAUCCUGCACAAGCAGAGGAAAUCAAGCAUAGAAAAUUAGUCUACUGGUUUAGACACAAGCAUAGGCAUUCAUUGAAACUGAAAUGAAGCAAAGUAUGUGCUGGCAUGAAAGGACCGAGAUGGUCAACCGGUAAUUGUUUCAAAAGCGCAGGAUCAAAUCCAUCUUAUUUUGCUAGUAAGAUCAAGCUGGAUAAGCUCAAUUGUUCACACCAACAAUAUAGGUAUGUACCAUGAAAUUAAGCACAAAACACACAAUUUAAGAGUUAAGAAAUACUUUCAUAAUGAUCUCAAGUAUCUAGGCCAUCAAUUAUAUCAUGUGACGAGAUAAAGAAACCCAUUUACAGCUUCAAGCAUGGUGACUGCAUGGAAAAUGACAAGAGUGGUCGAUUUCUUCCUAGGGACAUCAGCACCAGUAUGAGGAAAACUAGUUGAUUCAGUAUCUUUGAGGUGAUUAUAUUUGGCAUUUGAAUUAGCUGAGAAUAGCCAAGUAUGGAAUGAGAGCCAAGCCCCCCGUAAGUUCUUCCUCAUCGAAGUCAGCUGGGACAUUUUAGCUUCUACCAAGAUUUUCUUGUAUCUCAUUGCUCACAUCCAUAAGAUCCAUCAUCUCAUCUUGCACGCUCUGCAGAUUAUAAAAUCAGGCAUGGAUUCAGAUGCAAUCAAAACAAAAGUAGACCAGAAAGAUAUAUUUAAGUUGAAAAUCUUGAAAACAUGAAGAAUCUGGUAAACAACAGAGUGCUGCAUACAUCUAUAUCUUCAACCCUGACAGUCUUCAUCAUCCCUUUCAGCUCUUUAUUGGCAGCCUUCAUUGCAAUCAUCUGUUAAAUGAAAGACACUUCAACACAAGUCUAGGAGCUAGAAUCAGAAUGUACAUUGAACUAGAUAGAAACUAAGGCAACAUACAGUGUGUUGAGCGUCUUUAAUUCCCUCUGAUGCGUAAGCAACUUGGUCAAGAUUAUAAGUUUGGUUGUACAGCAUGUCACGCUGCCCUUCAUACCUGUAGAAAAAGCAUGCGCAGUAUAAAGGUUGGAGACUAGAACUAGAUUAAUAGGUUGCUGCCACAAAAAGAACAAUUAAAUCUUACAGGAUAAUCAGGUCCAUAUUUAACUAAGGGCAGGAGCAUGGAGAACUUGGUCUUGUCCAUGUGAAGAACUUGCUAGCGUUCGAAAUCAGCACUUUCUAUUAUAGCAAGUAACUGAAACUACACAAAAAUUACCUAUUAUUGUAAAGAAGCAAAAAAAUCUAAAGGUGUAUGAGAGUACAUCAAUCAGAUUCGGGAUUCAGCUAUACCUUCUCGGACAGCCUUUUAGACGGUGACUUGUCAACAUGGAUGGGUGGCAGCGUGGUCCUGCGAGCGCCCGUGAAGAGAGGGGAAGAAGACGUCGCUGCAGCGCGUUGUGGGCAUUUCAUCGAACAUGUGGUGUGCGGGAGCUGAUUUUUAUGGCCUCGCUCACCUUCUCCUCCUCUGAAUCCUCUUCCUGCCCCUGAAAUCGAAAAUCGACUCUGAAACCACGAAAAUCAGCAUCAACAACCCGAUUGCCUUCAUGCUGUUGAGUAAAUAGGCAAUUUCUCGAUUAAACUAAUCCACAAGUAAAUCACUAGCAUGGCAUUGAUACAUAUAAUCGCAUACUGAUAUUCAGUCAAACUAGCACAUACUACGCUAAUUGCAGAAAGAUCUACGUAUAACGCUAGCAUGGGUAAAACAGAAAACAGUAGGAGCGGGAUAAACGAGUUAUACCCUCCAGUAGGCCAUGCAGAGGCCGCGGCUUUGGUGACAGCAGCGGCGUCCUCGGCGGCCUUCUUGUCAGCUUCAGCUUUCUCGGCAGCGGCACGUUCGGCGUCGGUGGACAUGGUGAUGAUGAAGGCAACGCGGACAUAGAGGAAGUAGACGAUCGGAAGUGAGCAGUCGCGUAAUCGCUGCCCAAAAACCUAUUCGCCCCUCACACCGUACAGGAACCAGAAUGGCGUGGUUUCGGAGACCUGCUCUCCCAUCGACCAUGUACGCGGCGGACGGGAUGGAGUCACCGGCGGCAGCAGCAGCAAGGGAAUGACGGUGGGCGUGCGCUUGGAGCAGAUGUGAUAUGUUCGUGGCGGCUAGGGUUAGGAGACACCGCACACUUAUAUAGGCGCAGCCGCGUGGAGAGACAUGGGCUCGACCCACGUCCGAGUCCGUGACAGCCCACGAUCCGACGUCUCAGAUCGUGGCCUAGCUGUCAGAGAACUCUCCGUUAGUGACUGGCAAAAAUAAGCGUGUAGGUGUGAGCUCGGCUCGGCUCAAUCCCGCAACCCGUGGCGCGGCGGGCGGCGGAGGAGGAGUGCGCGAGGGCCUCUUCUCUUCUCAAGCUCCAAUAGCAUGCAGAAGAGAAACCUUAUAAGGAGGUCCAACUCCUCUUUCACUUCCGGGGUGGGACUAAACUUCCCACUACACCUAGUGCCAUAUAACCCACAUGGGCCCUUAGAGAUUUUUCAGAAAUUACUAUAUGGGCCUAGAGCCCAUCUCAAAUUUCAGCAAUCCCCCACCAGAUCUCGAGGGCCCAUUGUGUCCUCUGUUCCAAUUACUAUUUCGAUAUACCAGUGUUUUAGUGAAGACCUGUUAAGGUUGAGCUUCACCUAGAGCAAGUAGCUACACUCCUUCACAACUGAACAAUGGACUAUGCCUUGAAUUGUCAGUUUGGCGUAAAGAAGUUUCACCACAUUUCUCACUAGUACUGGGCUGCCGAAGGCUGACCCCUCGGGUGGAGCAUAUAAGUCACACUCCUGGCCUAUUCAUGAGCUUACUAGAGAUCACCCCAAUCUCAUAGACUGUGACCAGCAGUCGGGCUCAUAUAGGUGUGUUCCUCCAAAGAUCGCUCUGUAGGAUAGCAUCUUGCUUAUAUAAGCUUCGGAACACAUUAAGACAGUAGUCAUCCUACCAUACAGUAUCGAGAGUAUUGCAUCUCCAACGGAGUGGGUUAGUAUAGUUACUCUCCUCAGUUCACCACUGGCUUGUUUUCCCAAGUCCUAAUUCACGGGAUCUCCGAUCACAUAGGUUGGGUUACUACCAUGGCAACUCAUGUGGGUCUCAUACCCAUCUCCCUCAAUGCAUUAUCUAUCAAAACACGUGAUAGCCCUUUCGUAAAGGGAUCUGCCAGAUUCUUAGCCGUAUGGACAUAGUCCAACACUAUCACUCCGGAGUUUCUUAAUUUUCUGACAGCUUUUAAUCUCAUUCUUAUGUGUUUGCUGGACUUCAUGUUGUCCUUUGAACUCUUCACCUUGGUGAUGACAGUCUGAUUGUCACAGUUCAUAAGGAUAGCCGGAACCGGUUUAUCAACCAAUGGCAAGUCCAUCAAAAGAUCUCGAAGCCAUCUCGCUUCAACACCAGAUGUGUCUAAUGCCGUUAAUUCUGCUUCCAUUGUCGAUCUCGUUAAGAUCGUUUGCUUGCAAGACUUUCAGGAAACAGCGCCACCUCCAAGAGUAAACAUAUACCCAGUUAUGGCCUUCAUCUCAUCAGCAUCAGAGAUCCAAUUUGCAUCACUAUACCCUUCAAGUACCGACAGGUCUCUGGUAUAGUGAAGUCCAUAGUUCAUAGUACCUUUCAGAUAGCGCAUAACUCGCUCAACAGCAUGCCAAUGUACAUCACCCGGUUUGGAAACAAACCGGCUCAGUUUGCUCACAGCAAACGCGAUGUCGGGCCUCGUUGCGCUCGCUAGGUACAUCAGUGAACCAAUGAUUUGAGAGUAUCUCAACUAAUCUAUAGCCGUGCCUUUGGACUUUCGAAUCAACACGCUAGGAUCAUAUGGUGUUUGAGAUGGUGUGCAAUCUGAAUAUCCAAAACGAGUCAACACCUUCUCAACAUAGUGGGAUUGCAGAAGUGUAAUCCCACCCUCAUUAUCUCUCAGUAGCUUGAUGUUCAAGAUAACAUCAGCCACACCAAGGUCUUUCAUCUCAAAGUUCUGAGACAGAAACGACUUGACCUCCUCAAUGACUUUGAGGUUGGUUCCGAAUAUCAGUAUGUCAUCAACAUACAAGCACAGUAUAACUCCUUCGCCCCCCACCAUGGCGAUGGUAUACACAUUUGUCAGCCUCAUUAACAACGAAACCAACAGAUGUCAGAGUUGUAUUAAACUUAUCAUGCCAUUGCUUAGGUGCUUGCUUCAGGCCAUAUAAAGAUUUCAGCAACCUACACACCUUUCUUUCCUGACCAUCUAUCAUAAAGCCAUCUGGCUGUUGCAUGUAGAUUUGCUCGUUUAGCUCUCCAUUCAGAAAAGCCGUCUUAACAUCCAUCUGGUGGACGAGAAGACCAUGCGAGGCUGCCAACGAGAGUAAUACUCGAAUGGUGGUCAGUCUAGCCACAGGUGAAUAAGUGUCGAAUAAAUCUUCCUCUUCUUUCUGGUCAUAGCCCUUGGCCACAAGCCUAGCCUUGUACUUUUUAAUUGUACCAUCGGGCCUAAGCUUCUUCUUGAACACCCACUUACAUCCUAAUGGUUUGCAACCAUAGGGACGUUCAGUGAUCUCCCAUGUCCCGUUAGCCAUGAUGGAAUCCAUCUCAUUACGGACCGCAUCCUUCCACUAGUCAGCUUCUGGAGAGGCAUACGCUUCUGAAAUAGAAGUGGGAGUAUCAUCCACGAGGUACACGAAGAAAUCAUCACCAAAGGUCUUUGCAGUCAUUUGUCUCUUGCCCCUACCAAGGGUUUCCUCGUCAUCCUCCUCAGGAUUUUCAUCAUGUGUUUGUUCGUAAUAUUCCAUAGGGAUGGCAGGUUCAGGAGUCUCUUCAGAUUCCUGUCUAGAAGUGCUUUGCAUAUCUCUCAUAGGAAAAAUAUCCUCGAAGAAUGUAGCAUCCUUAGACUCCAUAAUUGUACCGACCUUCUGGUCAGGUACCUCAGAUUUCACUACUAGAAAUCUAUAGCCAACGCAGUUCUUAGCGUAGCCCAAAUUAACGCAGUCCACAGUCUUGGGUCCAAGCUUACGCUUUUUGGGGAUCGGCACAUUGACUUUCGCCAGACAGCCCCAAGUGCGCAAGUACGAGAGUGUUGUCCUUCUCUUUGCCCAUUUCUCAUAGGGAGUGAUCUCAUUAUCCUUUGUCGAAACUUUAUUCAGGACAUGACAUGCCGUCAAUAUAGCCUCCCCCACCAUGCCUUGGAUAAACCCGAUGUAUCUAACAUGGCGUUAACCAAAUCAGUUAGAGUACGGUUUUCCGUUCGGCAACCCCGUUUGACUGGGGUGAAUAGGGAGGCAUCCUCUUAUGAAUAAUGUCGUGUUCCGCACAGAAGGAAUCAAACUCACUCGAGAAGUACUCUCCACCACGAUCUGACCGGACUCGUUUAAUUUUCUUUUCAAGUUGAUUCUCAACUUCUGCCUUAUAGAUUUUAAAGUAGUGUAGAGCCUCAUCUUUAGUAUUUAACAUAUACACAUAGCAAUAUCUAGUGGAAUCAUCUAUCAAUGUCAUGAAGUAUUUCUUUCCACCUUUAGUCAAUACACCAUUCAUCUCACAAAGAUCAGAAUGUAUGAGUUCUAAUGGUGCCAAGAGUCUCUCCUCCGCGGCCUUGUGAGGCUUGCGAGGUUGCUUAGCUUGCACACAUGAAAGGCACUUAGAACCUUUGGCUAAAGUAAAACUCGGGAUUAAAUCCAACUUGGCUAGCCGCGUCAUAACACCGAAACUAAUGUGACAAAGACGUGAAUGCCAAACUUCAGAUUCAUUAACAUUCGAAUGAACAUGGUUCACGACUUAUUACAAAAAUCUGCGAGGGAAAGGCGGAACAUCCCUCCGCUCUCAUAACCUUUUCCAACAAAGAGUCCAUAUUUCGUAACAACUAAUUUAUUAGACUCAAAAACCAACUUAAACCCUUCUCUACAUAGAAGGGAGCCACUAACGAGGUUCUUCUUGAUGGCGGGGACAUGCUGCACGUUCUUCAGCUGCACGAUCCUUCCCGAAGUAAACUUCAGAUCGACCGUGCCAACACCAUGAACAGAAGCACUCGCGCCAUUCCCCAUCAAUACGGACCCGUGGCCUGUGACCUGGUAAGAAGUGAACAAUGACAUGUCAACACACACAUGUACACCUGCACCUGUGUCCACCCACCAAUCGGUGGGCUGAAACACUGAAAAAAACAGUAAAUAAAUUACCAUACCCAGGUGCACCAUUCUCAUUGUUGUCCAUAAUCAUGUUGACGGACUUGGAGUCCUGUCCUGACUUCUUGUACUUGUUUGGGCACUUGUUGGCCCAAUGUUCAACCGAACCAUAAGUAAAGCAGCCCUCGUCCUUCUUGUUUUUCUUGAAGGUCUUCUUACCCUUUUUCUUAAAGUCGGUAUUGUGUUGGACACCGUUCUUUCCCUUGGGCUUGUGGGAGUGGAAGUUCUUCUAGUUCACCAUGUUGGCGACAGAAGUCCCUUCGACCCCUUUCCCGUGCGAGUCCUUUGCCCUUGAAUUCUGCUCAACACUCAGAUGGCUAAUGACAUCCUCCACAGAGAAUUCACGCCUCUGAUGUUUCAGAGUGGUGGCAAAGUUCCUCCAGGAAUUAGGGAGCUUAGCGAUUAUGCAGCCCGCGACAAACUUGCCCGGUAACUCGCACUUAAGAAGUUCAAGCUCCUUAACAAUGCAUAUUAUCUCAUGAGCCUGCUCCAAUACAGGACGGUUUUCAACCAUCUUGUAAUCGAGGAACUGCUCUAUAAUAUACAUCUCGCUUCCGGCAUCGGCUGCCCCGAACUUAGAUUCGAGCGCCUCCCACAAGUCCUUGGCGACAUGCACAUGUAAAUAUGCGUCGACCAGUUUAUCUCCGAUCACGCUAAGAACUGCUCCGAGAAACACAACGGUAGCCUCCUUGAACGCCUUCUCCUGUUCAGGAGCAAUCGUUCCCGUGGAGACACCGGUGUCCCAGAACACGUUCAUAGCCGUGAGCCAUAACGUGGUCUUAGUCUGCCAACGCUUAAAGUAUGUACCGGUAAACUUAUCUGGUUUCAGUGCAGCGGCAAAGCCACUUGCCGAAAAAUUCCCUCCACAUAAUAGGUUUUUGGAUUGUUGAGUAAAUAGGCAAUUUCUCGAUUAAUUUAAUCCACGAGUAAAUCACUAGCAUGGCAUUGACACAUAUAAUCGCAUACUGAUAUUCAGUCAAACUAGCACAUACUACGCUAAUUGCAGAAAGAUCUACGUAUAACGCUAGCAUGGGUAAAACAGAAAACAGUAGGAGUGGGAUAAACGAGUUAUACUCUCCAGUAGGCCAUGCAGAGGCCGCGGCUUUGGUGGCAGCAGCGGCGUCCUCGGCGGCCUUCUUGUCAGCUUCAGCUUUCUCGGCGGCGGCACAUUCGGCGGCGGUGGACAUGGUGAUGAUGAAGGCAACGCGGACGUAGAGGAAGUAGACGAUCGGAAGUGAGCAGUCGCGUAAUCGUUGCCCAAAAACCUAUUCGCCCCUCACCCCGUACAGGAACUAGAAGAGCGUGGUUUCGGAGACCUGCUCUCCCGUCGACCGUGUACGCGGCGGACGGGAUGGAGUCACCGGCGUCAGCAGCAGCAAGGGAACGACGGUGGGCGUGCGCGUGGAGCAGAUGUGAUAUGUUCAUACCGCACACUUAUAUAGGCGCAACCGCGUGGAGAGACGUGGGCUCGACCCACGUCGUGGCCCAGCUGUCAGAGAACUCUCCGUUAGUGACCGGCAAAAAUAAGAGCGUAGGUGUGAGCUCGGCUCGGCUCAAUCCCGUAACCCGCGGCACGGCGUGACGAGGCGGGCGGCGGAGGAGGAGUGCGUGAGGGCCUCUUCUCCUCUUAAGCUCCAAUAGCAUGUAGAAGAGAAACCCUUAUAAGGAGGUCCAACUCCUCUUCCACUUCCGGGGUGGGACUAAACUUCCCACUACACCUAGUGCCAUAUAACCCACAUGAGCCCUUAGAGAUUUUUCAGAAAUUGCUAUAUGGGCCUAGAGCCCAUCUCAAAUUUCAGCACAUGCAUCGCAUAAAUCACAAGAAGUUGAGAAGAGCACCCAGCUUGUCAUAGCAGAGGUCGCAGGCGUGGUCGGUGGCGUUGUCGUGCAGCUAGCCGGCGAGCAGGCACGACAGUCGCUGCAAUCGGCGGGGGCGCGGCCCGAAGCUCGGUGGUGGGGGGUCGUGGCGCCUGGCGCGGCUCGGGGUCGACCGCCGGGAGCUCGGCCAGCGCCGCUUGGAGGACGGACGACGGCGAUGGGGCGGGCUGCCAGGGGCGAACCAACCCAAAGAAAAGGACGUGUGGCCCAAGUGAGUGAGAGGGGCCAGUUCUUGUUUUCCGCUCACUGCUAUGGGCUGGGCCCAUUGCCAGUUUCCCCUGUUUUUAUUUGGUUUUUAUAAGUUUUUAUUAUGUUGAUUACUUUUGGUUCAGGGUGGCUUUUUUGUUUUUGUUUUUUGUUGUUCUCGAAAUUAUCCUUUUCUUCGAUUUUUAUUUGUUUAUACUAUACGUGCAAUGCACGUUAAUUUGGAAGUAUAUUAAGUGCAUGCGGAUAUUAAAUACGAUAUUAUUUACGUGUUAUUAUGUGAUUAGCACUAUUUUUGAUAUGAAAUUAAUUGCACGCUAAACGUGUUGAGCGCUCGACAUUGAAGCAGUCUAGAUUGUUGGAUUGAUAUGAUUUGAUGGCCGAGAUUAAUUGGAUCUGCCCAUUUGGAUCUUUUUAUAUUGGUAUAGAUAUAGAUAUAGAUGUUUGUCUUCAUUUAUAAUUAUAACGCUGGUGUAUAUGUGAACAUUUUUAAAAAUAGCUUUUGUAAUACUCCCUCCGUUCCUUUAUAUAAAGUGUAUUUGUUUUUGAUAAUAUUUCAAAAUGUAAGGUGCAUUUCUUAUAAUUCCUCAUAAUUUCAUUGUUAGCCCUUUAGAAAAAGAAAAAUAUCUCUCUCAUGAUUGUCUGUAUAUCUUCUUGUAGCAAAAGAAGGAAAGUAUCUUUCUGUCGAUCGCAUGUAUCUCAUACUUUUCUGGACUAACUGAUUUAUUUGAUACUAACCAAUAAAUUUUUCAAGGGUAAUUUCUUCCUAACAAGUCGAUAAUUUGAUGCCUUGAUCACCGUGCCGAAAAUAAUACACGUUACAUAAAGGAAUGAAGGGAGUAAAUUUUUAAUAUAUAUUAACUUGUUUUAACAAUAUUUUAAAGACAUGUCUUUGAAAUGUAUAUUUUAAGAAAAUCCGCAUUCGCCUCUUGUAACUCCUAACUAGGGGUUAAAUAGGUUAUCCGCACGUUGCUACCUCGAUCUCUCCCUUCUAGAGGUAUCGUCGGCGGCCAGAGGUGCGGGGAGUUAAUUUUCAAUGGACAUGUUGUGUGAUGGUGUCUUUUUAUACUGAAAAAGUCUUUUGCCCCGCUUUAUAUAUCAAGCACCGACCAACAAGCAUCCAGUACAAACACACGUCACCGUAACACACGCACACACCCAAGACAAGAUACAUAGGCGCUGAGCGCAACAACACCACUCCUAGCAAUACUACAACGAAGAGAUGAAGUUACAUAUGACGAACCAUGGGCUCCAAGACGGCGCCUUCAGGAAGGGUAUGACACCGGAGCGCUGCCACCGCCCGAUCCAAGGAUCAGAGUUUCCCCUGGAGCCGCAUGACGGGCAAUGAGAGCCGCGACGACGCCUUCAAGAAGGGAACGAUCUUCGCCGCCGCCGGUCCGUCCAAAGAUAGAACAGGUUUUCACCUCGGCCACCACUCACCGCCACUGAACGGCACAUCCCGGCAACCACGCCGCCCACACGGCCAUGGUGACCGGGCAGCGCCAUAGCACGGGCUCUGUCCAAAAGCACCGUGCUACCACCACCAGGGCCGCGGCCCCGGCAUCCAAGACCUUUACACCACCUCACACGAGACCCGCCUCCACCCCAACGAAAGAGACGAGCGGAAAGGUCCCCCCCUUUCGCACCCCUGGGCGACCCCCAGCGUCGAGACCCGAUUGGCUGGCCAGAACUGGCAUCCACCGACCCGUCCUGCUGACCCGAGCGCGAGAUGAGCGCGGUCCUGCAGCACCAAGAGGGGGACGAGGUCAGUCCUGCUGCAACGUGCGCGAGACGAGCUCGAUCCCGCUGCACCGUGCGCGAGACGAGCGGUGGACCGCAGCUGGGUGAGGACCAGCCCUUUGAUGGGAGUAGCGCCCAGAUGACGAGGAGAUGGGGCGAAGGUCGAGAUGGUCUGACCGCAGACGAGCCGACGCGGGAGAAGCCGGCCGCUGCCGCGGGCAGAACCGCAACCACCGCCACUGCGCCGCCACCCCGACCACCCGAGAUGGCCCCGGUCGAGGCAGCCGCCCGCAGCCCUAGCCGAACGCGGCCCGCGCCGCCGAGAGGUCAGAUCUGGCCGGGCCACUUGCCGCCAUCCCCGACCCCUGGCUCGCACCACUACCACCCUCCUUGACCCGCGCCGACCAUGGCCCGCCCCGCAGGAGGUCAGAUCUGGCCGAGCUACGCCUUGCCAGCCGCCGUCCCCGACUCCAGCAGGCACAUCCACCGCGCCACCGCCCGCCACGAGCAGGAUCCGGCCAGGGCCGAGCCGGAUCUCGCCACUGCGGCCGCGACGGGGCAUACCACCGCCCAGCAGCCCACCAGCGACGCCAACAGCACCCGCCGUCGCCGGGACGGCCGUCACCGCCGCGCCGCCGCNNNNNNNNNNNNNNNNNNNNNNNNNNNNNNNNNNNNNNNNNNNNNNNNNNNNNNNNNNNNNNNNNNNNNNNNNNNNNNNNNNNNNNNNNNNNNNNNNNNNNNNNNNNNNNNNNNNNNNNNNNNNNNNNNNNNNNNNNNNNNNNNNNNNNNNNNNNNNNNNNNNNNNNNNNNNNNNNNNNNNNNNNNNNNNNNNNNNNNNNNNNNNNNNNNNNNNNNNNNNNNNNNNNNNNNNNNNNNNNNNNNNNNNNNNNNNNNNNNNNNNNNNNNNNNNNNNNNNNNNNNNNNNNNNNNNNNNNNNNNNNNNNNNNNNNNNNNNNNNNNNNNNNNNNNNNNNNNNNNNNNNNNNNNNNNNNNNNNNNNNNNNNNNNNNNNNNNNNNNNNNNNNNNNNNCCGGUCGAUGGUGUCUUUUUUCUUUGUGCCGGCUACUGUUUUCCUGGAUCAAUCUUACUUAGACACCACCGGCAAGAAAAAAACUGUUUUCCUUGAUGAAUACCAAAUAUGAUACACCUUUGGGUGUCAGCAUUGAGUUUGAAAGCUGGAAAAAUAGAAAUUGACUAGGAGCAUAGGCCCCACUCUGCCUAAUGUAGGUUUGCCAUGGUACCUGAUCAAGUCCUUACCGCCGCGGCUUGCACGAGGGUUAGGGAGUCAGGGGUGCGCAUGGGAGGUUGUGUUGGAACCAAGGAAAAAAACGCAUGGUAGCGGUUACCUGCCCCCAAGACGCUGCAUCCAGGGCCAUAUGGUCAACCACUCAUCACUAAAAGAUGCACGUAAAAAGGGUAAAUCCGAAGCAGUCAAAACGAACGGCCGAGGUGAAAAACAAAAUACUCUCUGUUUUCAUUCACUAUGCAUAUUUGCUUUGGUCUAAGUCAAACUUUAAAAAACUUGAUCAAGUUUAUAGAAAAUAAUAUAAACAUUUAUACGAACAAAUAUAUAUGAUGUGGAAAUAUAUUCGAUGAUCAAUCCAACAGUAUUAGUUGGUAUUGAAGAUGUUAACCUUUUUUUUCUAAAAAUUUUGUCAGAAUUUACAAAGUUUGACUUUAAAAAAAGAAGCUAAUAUGCCGAGUAAAUACAGACAUAGGCAGUACUUACUGCACAUGAAUCUUGCCAUUUGCAGCAGGUGAGCAGCAAGAUGUUCUUUCACUUUUAAGAGAAUGUAUAUAUACUUACUUAAGUUUUCCGAGAUUUUUAGUCCAACUGAAUGCAUAUGACAAGAUUGCAGCGUAGUAGACAGACAGAUGUCUACACAAAACAGAGCACAAGCAGAGCAGUCUUCCUUCCUGCACCACUCUGCUGCCUCUCUCGUCUCAGCCAGCCUUGGCAUGCAAUACAGUGCUUGCUUUCACCACUAUGUCAUGUGUAUAUACUGAUAAGAGAUUUUGAUAUCAAUUCAACCUAUAAACUCCAUCGUAUUCAACUCAGCAUGUGCCAUCAUAGUAGACAUGCUAACAACAGGAUGUACUGACAAGAGCUUCAUCGUUCAGAGGAUCAUAGAACGAAUCUCUCCAUGCACAAACCAAGGCGCCUACUAUUUACUCGAGAUCAAACCAACACCUAUAGAUUUGAAUCCAUGCGUUUGCUACUGUACUCUCCGUAGUCCCAGUUCAUCCUCCUGUCCUGCACAGGCAGAAAAAAAAAACAAGCACCAGGUCAGACAAAAGCAAUUAGCUGAGCACAUCAUUCUACUGGUGGAGAGCCAAGCUAGAUGUUUCAAAGCUCAAGAUAAUGUCUGUCCAUGCAUUAGAGGCUAGGUGCAUCGUAGCCUGUUUCUAUUUUCGCUGGCGGUGGCAUAUUUUCUUUUUCUUUUUGUCAAGCUCCGUUUGUGUGCCAGAUUUGGACCUCACACUAUGUUCCACACUUUAUUUAAUAAUAUAGUUGCAUUCAUCAUUCUGAUGCAGAGGCCUGGGAUCAUCCCCCUUUUGUAUAUUGCUCCUGGUAAGUGAAUAAAACAAGAUGAUAGGCAACAGAUGCUCAACAAAAGGCAAUUGUUUACAUUGCUCCUGGUAUGUACUAGUAUAACCUUGUUUCUCACAUCAGGAGCAUUCGUGUCUAUCCAUUUAUUCCCGAUUCUAAUAUUUUCGACGGUUUUGUGCAGAACUGUCGUACACAUCUGUUGCAAGAAGAGCUAGCACGGUUUCAACCAAGUGAUGGUGUUUCCGUUCAGCGAUCCCGUUUUGUUGGGAUGUGUAUGGACAGGAUAUGCGAUGAGAAAUACCAAUGCGCCGAAAAAAUGUAUGCAAGCAAUGCUUUUCGCCCACNNNNNNNNNNNNNNNNNNNNNNNNNNNNNNNNNNNNNNNNNNNNNNNNNNNNNNNNNNNNNNNNNNNNNNNNNNNNNNNNNNNNNNNNNNNNNNNNNNNNNNNNNNNNNNNNNNNNNNNNNNNNNNNNNNNNNNNNNNNNNNNNNNNNNNNNNNNNNNNNNNNNNNNNNNNNNNNNNNNNNNNNNNNNNNNNNNNNNNNNNNNNNNNNNNNNNNNNNNNNNNNNNNNNNNNNNNNNNNNNNNNNNNNNNNNNNNNNNNNNNNNNNNNNNNNNNNNNNNNNNNNNNNNNNNNNNNNNNNNNNNNNNNNNNNNNNNNNNNNNNNNNNNNNNNNNNNNNNNNNNNNNNNNNNNNNNNNNNNNNNNNNNNNNNNNNNNNNNNNNAUUUUUGCGUUGAGGAGUCGUUCAACAUGUGCUUGAAAAUUAUGGAAAAUUUGUUCGACAUCAGAUUUAUUCCUAAGAAGAUAAAUCAAAGUAAAACGACUAAAGUCAUUAACGAAGCUGACAUAAAAUUUAAAACAUCCAGAGGAGGCGAGGGCAGCCCCCUGGCCCACACAUCGGUAUGAAUAAGCUCUAGCAGUUUUGAAGAAACACGGGAAUAAUUAUUGUAAGGUAAUUGAUGACUUUUGGUGCGUUGACACGCAUCACAAACGAAAGUAUCAUGACCCGACGAACAAGGAAGUUUAUUUGACCGGGCGACAUAAUCAACUACAUUAUUUGAAGGGUCAUACACAUUAUUUGAAGGGUGAUGCAUUAACAGAGAGCAUCAUAUAUACACUCAGUGGAGGUCUCUACCAUGUCAUAAAGAUUUUGGGGAAGAUAACCCAUACUUUAUUCGACCGAACACACUUUGGCAUAAAUUCCAUGCACACACCUACUUGCGAAUAACACAUGUGUGUAUAUUUUUACAUGACAAAGUAAGAAAUGUGAAUUUUUAUUACGCACUCUAAAUAUUUUGACAACAUGCAUGGUUGUAUUGUCAUCAUUUUCCUGAAAUGCUCUAUGACUUGUUCCCUAAUCAUGAUUACAAUGAGAAGUAUAUAUGAGAAGUAAGAAAUGUAUAAUCCUUCACAUCUGAUUAUAUUAAGACAUAGACCCGUAAAAAGAAGAUUAGGUUAGACAUAGAUAAUUGAGACAUUUACAUUUGUGCCCCUCGAACUCACUACUCAGAUUUACUUCCAAUUUUGAAGCAUGCUCAAAUUUGUCCAUCUGCCAUUAAUUGCACUUAUAGAAAUGGCCUUAUGUGCCGUUUCCGUCCAAUCAAAGCUCUUUGACCAGUAUCUCACCGUUUCUUUGACAAUUUUACCUCUGUCUCCAUGUGUCACUUACUGGUGGGACCCACUCCCAUUUUUUUAAACACCCUUUCUCUCGCACACACUUACAUGUGGGUCCUAGCUAGGAAAACUAAAAUGAAAAGUAUAUCCAUGUGUUACUUACGGGUGGGCCACCAUCCAUAGAAAAAAGAAGCAAAAUUCUCGCUCUCCUCUCUUUCUUUCAAUUACAAGUGGGCCAAAGAAAAAAGGAAAAAUAAAAACUAUUCUCUUUCUCUCACCUCUCUCUCCCCCGAGGAAUAAUGGGCCGACGACACUCUCUCUCAACUCCGGCGAGAGUGCCGAAAGUGCCGCUUCCGGCGCUAGCCUCCCCUGACGCCGCAGCCCUCUUGCCCUCGUUCUCUCUCUCUGUCGCUCGCCCGAUUUCUCUAUCCCUCCCUCUAGCCCUCUCCCGCAAGCACGUCGGAGAGUGCCCAGUCGCCAUCGUCUGUCAAGAACAUAGCCAACAGCAACCCCAUGCCCCGCCACUUCGCCAGGAAGCUCUUACGACAUGAACUCAUCCUAAAAUCCUAUGAAUUCAACCAAAGAUGUCAAGGACUGAGCGCCAGGACGCAUCUUCCCCACCUCUGGCCUCGGACCGCCGCAUUCGAUUCGACGCCAUUGAGGCACACCGGCCGAUUCCUGCCGCUCAUCGGGCAUCGGGAUGUAUCAAAGAAUACAUGGGCGUCCUCCAUAGCAAGCCCCAUGACGUCGAGUUGUAUUCCCCGCGAGCUCCGAGCUUUGCCAUGGCCACCAUCGUCGANNNNNNNNNNNNNNNNNNNNNNNNNNNNNNNNNNNNNNNNNNNNNNNNNNNNNNNNNNNNNNNNNNNNNNNNNNNNNNNNNNNNNNNNNNNNNNNNNNNNNNNNNNNNNNNNNNNNNNNNNNNNNNNNNNNNNNNNNNNNNNNNNNNNNNNNNNNNNNNNNNNNNNNNNNNNNNNNNNNNNNNNNNNNNNNNNNNNNNNNNNNNNNNNNNNNNNNNNNNNNNNNNNNNNNNNNNNNNNNNNNNNNNNNNNNNNNNNNNNNNNNNNNNNNNNNNNNNNNNNNNNNNNNNNNNNNNNNNNNNNNNNNNNNNNNNNNNNNNNNNNNNNNNNNNNNNNNNNNNNNNNNNNNNNNNNNNNNNNNNNNNNNNNNNNNNNNNNNNNNNNNNNNUUUUCCCUCUCCCUCCCCUCGCAUGGAAGCUCACCUCCUUGCACCACCUAGAGCCGCCGCGGGAAUGGUUGCCGCCGUUUGCUCAUGGUCCUACGAGGAUAUCCCUGGACGCGGUAGAUCUAGGGCUAUCGUCUGGUUGCCUCUGCUGGCCUCCUUGCGGCCUCCCUGCGUGCCUCCGCCGCGGGAAUUUCUUGCCACGGGCAACCGUCAGCAUAAGCCACGAUUUUCUAAUUGAGCCAGCCUAACCCAACGUUAACUAAAACAAAAUAUUUGAGAAAAUAUGAUAAGUUUGACAUGUGGGCCUGAUAUUUUGUUUGACUAGUCCUUUUGUAUUUUCAUUUUAUUUCUUGUAGCUAGGACCCACCUAUAAGUGUGUGUGAGAGAGAGGGGGGUGAGAGAAAGGGUUUUUUCAAUAAAAAAAGUAGUAGGUCCCACCGGUAAGUGACACAUGGAGACUGGGGCAAAAUUGUCAAGAAAGGGUGAGAUACUAGUCAAACAACUUUGACUGGACGGAAACUGCACGAAAGGGCAUUUGUAUGAGUGCAACUAAUGGUAGAGGGGCAAAUUUGAGUAUGCUUCGAAAUUAGGGGUAAAUCUGAGUAGUGAGUUCAAGUUAGGGGCACAAAUGUAAAUGUCCCUACAUAAUUCAGAUUGGGGUUUGAUUAUUUUCACAUUUCUUGAUUAUUCUAUUUUUGAUACCAUGAAUGUUUUAGCGUCAUUAUCUCAAAAAUAUUCUAUGACUUGUAAUUAAUAUCCUUAAUCAUGAUUAUAAUUUAAGAAAAGUCCACUUUAGAACAUUAAACUUCUCACUUGGUUUAAAAUGCAACCCCUAACUUCAAAAUUGGUCAUCCCGCACCCUGAACUAACAAUCCAGCUUAGGAAUAAACCCCUCGUCCGGUUUUGACUCACUCGAAUGGCUUUGACCUUGUUGACUGUUGAGUCAGCACGACAUCGUCAGUUUUUGAACCUUUUUUCGACAUGUUUUUACCACCUCCCCCUUCUCUCCCGGCCGCUCAAGCAUCCAGCCGCCACCAGGCCAGCCCAUGAGCGCCUAUCUAUCCAGCAUGUUCUGGAAGCGGCCAUAUUCCUGAAAUGUAGAUACGGCGGCGGCGGGCUCCUGCUCGUCGGGCAAGAGGCCACGACGGCUGGUCCAUGGACCCGUGUGGCUGCUCCCUUCGCCCAUUUGACUCCACCCCCGGCAGUGCCCUCUUGCCGCUGGAGAAAGCCCAAGGUGGAUCUCGCUGGAAUAUGUCGGCUCGUAGGUGCAGGACGCGGCACUACACAAAUUCAUUGGCGGUGGCGGCGCGCAUCGUCGCUGGGAGCGGAGGCGCUGAGAUCUCCGCGUACUCCAGAGGCCAUGUAGAUGUGCGGCGAGAAGAGUAGCAUUCGUGGUGGUGUGGGUCAUGUGUUGUCGCGGCUCGAGUAAGAAGGUGUUGGCAGGUGAUAGGCGCCAGGGAGGGCAGGAGCGAUGCGGGGUGGGGUGUCGUAGCGGGGUGACAUGCCAGGGUGGUCCAGGGCACAUGUGCGGCGGUGCCUCAGGUCAAUGGGAAGGUAAGGUUCAAGCCGGAACGAUGUGAGAGGGGUGGUUCUGGUGAGAAGUGGAGGCGUAGGAUCCGGGGUUAGGUGGGUGCCACAUGUAAGGAGUUGACAUGGUGGGUCGACUCAGUAGCCAACACGGUCCAAGCCGUCAAAGCAGGGUUCAUUCCUAACUAAGAGUAGUUAUGAUCUAUUAGUUCUUAGGUCUCGAAACUGGAAUUAAGGUUGCGGCAACCCAUAUGAAUCUAUAAUACAUAAAUAGCUUAUCCCCACUAUCUUAUUUUUCUUUGACAUGCAGCCUAUUCACGUCAGCAAAUGUAUCAUGAAAUCACCUCAGUGUGUUGCAAGUUCUCGUAAAAGCGUGCAACCCAAAAACAGUCCACACAUCCAUGGCCGUGGCCACUGAUAUUUUACUUAUUGUAUUUUUCCUCUGCUUCUAUUAUUUCUUGUACUCAAAAGAUGCUCACAUGCUACGCAUUGUUUGCAACACGCAUCAAAUUAUGAGAGCAUCAUCAUACAUACAAUCAGUGGAGGUCUCUUUCAUAUCACAAAGAAUUCGGAGAAGAUAAUCCUUACUUUAUUCGACUGAACACACUUUGGCAUAGAUUCCAUGCACGCACCUACUUAUGAAUAAGAAUAACACAUGUGUAUAGGACGCAGAGUUUCUUAGCUCGGGUGAACAGUAAAAUCAAAACAAAACAAAAUCCAAAUUUUUUUUGGAACAAACAUUGACAAAAGUUUUAAGUGCUUGCGAAAAUUCAUCACGAAAUCACAUUCCUAGAAGGCGUGGUGAAAUUAAAAAACAAAAUCGAUACUCUGAAAAUGCUACUUCCGAAAGCAUUUUGGAGCAUUGAAUUUGUUUUUUUGCGCCACGCCUUACAGAAAUGUGAUUCCAUGAUGAAUUUUUGCAAGCACUUAGAACUUUUGUCAAUGUUUCUCCCAAAAAGAAUUUGGCUUUAAAAAAAAAUUCGAUUUUACUGUUCACCAGGCUCAAAUGAGCUCGGGAGCAGAAAGACACUUUCGCAUGUGUAUAUAUGUUUAUAUGAGAAAGUAAGAAAUGUGGAUUUAUAUUACGUACUCGAAAUACUUUGACACAGCUCGUAUUUUCAUCAUUUUUGUGAAAUGCUCUAUGACUUUAACUUGUAAAUAACAUCCCUAAUCAUGAUUAUAACUGAAUACUACUAGUAGUUUUCGCAUAUUGCAUUGCAUAUAUGGGUCAUUUAUGUUUGACAAGGUAAAUCUUAAUUACCAGGAGAAGUUAAACAAGUGAGGAUCAAGAGUUGCACAGCAAGCCGGCCAUGACCUUGUCGACCUAGCCAGCUAGCAAGCUCUCGCUUGGCUAUUUAAUGCCUGCCUUGGCUACCAGCGUUCCACAGCACAUACACGAAGAGCUAACAAUGGCAGAACGUGGCGGACUGCUUACGUUUCUCCUCCUGGGGCUCUUUCUCGGCCUCGCUGGAUCCAGUCCGCCGCCGGAGCCGGUAGAGUGCGCGCAUGGCACGUCCGACUGCACCGUCACCAACGUGUAUGGUUCCUUCCCGGACCGCACCGUCUGCCGCGCGGCCAACGCCACGUUCCCGCGCACCGAGGAGGAGCUCGUGGCAGCCGUGGCUGCCGCCGCCGCAGCCAAGCGCAAGGUGAAGGUGGCCACGAGGCACUCCCACAGCUUCACCAAGCUGGCCUGCCCCGGCGGCCGUGACGGCACGAUCAUCAGCACCAAGCGGCUCAACAAGACGGUGAGCCUCGACGCUGCCAAGGGGCUGAUGACGGUGGAGAGUGGCAUGGUGCUCAAGGACCUGAUCCAGGCGGCCGCGGAGGCGGGGCUGGCGCUACCGCACUCGCCCUACUGGUACGGAGUCACCAUCGGGGGCCUCCUUGCCACGGGUGCCCACGGCAGCUCGCUGUGGGGCAAGGGCAGCGCCGUCCACGAGUACAUCGUCGGGAUGAGGAUCGUAACGCCGGCGCUGGCCAGCCAGGGAUUCGCCGUGGUCAGGGAGCUCAGCGUGGGAGACCCUGACCUCGACGCGGUCAAGGUAUCUCUGGGCGUCCUCGGCGUCGUCUCGCAGGUAAUACCUGCUCCUCCGUGACUUUGCACAAAUCACAAAUGCAAGAUGAAAGUUCUUUCUCUUCUUUUUUUACGAGAAAGAUGAAACUUCUUUCGACUAAACGAUCGAUAGAUUUACAUUAAUCACUACUCAUCAUUCAUGGAAUGAAAACUAAGUAUAUAUUGGAGUACGAUUAAUUAACUACUCAUUGUUCACAAAUAUAACAUGUCUUGAAUAUUUCAAUAUGAACCACAUACGGACAGAAAUAAGUGAACAAACACUAAAACUUGUAUAUGUAUAUUUGUGAACCGAGGGAGAACUAAUUUUUGGUCCACCCAACCAGAAAAAGAAAAAACAAAAAAAGGAAGGCACUAACAAAAUUUGGGCUUCGAUAACUGCCACACGUGUGGCAUGUAGUAACACCGUCAUACGUCUUUUACACUAAAGUUGCCAUCUAGAAAAAAAAUCUCUAAAAAAUCGAAACUUGCCAUCCAAAUAGAAAGUCGCCAUGCUUCACAUUUAAAGUUGCCAUCCCCUUGUAAUUAAAGUUGCCAUCAAAUAACAUGUGGCCGUUAUCAUUUGGGUAAAAAAAUUGGACAUGCGCAGGUCACGCUAGCCUUGCAGCCAAUGUUCAAGCGGUCAGUGACGUUCGAGACACGUGACGACAUGGACUUACCGGCGCAGGCCGCCGUGUGGGGCAGGCUGCACGAGUUCGGCGACAUGGCAUGGCUGCCAUGGCAAGGCAAGGUGAUCUACCGCAAGGACAACCGUGUACCCGUCUCGACCAAGGGCCACGGCCUCAAUGACUACCUCGGCUAUCGCUCGAACCCGACCCUAGCACUCAUCACGGACAGAGCCACCGAGGAGCGCCUGGAGGAGGACAAUAGUGACAUCGCCCGUUGCCUGGCGGCGCGGGUGCCAUCGGCGCUAUUCGAGCUGCAGGGCUACGGCUUCACCAAUGAUGGCUCCUUCUUCACAGGGUGGCCUGUGAUCGGGUUCCAGAACCGUAUCCAGGCGUCUGGCACGUGCAUCAGCAGCCCAGAGGACGGACUCCUCUCCACAUGCACAUGGGACCCGCGCAUCCGGAGCCCCUUCUUCUAUAGCUCCAGCUUCAGCAUAGCGCUUUCCAAGGCGCCGUCAUUCAUCGCCGAGAUGCAGAAGCUCCGCGACCUCAAGCCUUGCGCCUUCUGCGGUCUCGAUGCCACGCUGGGUGUGCUCCUCCGCUACGUCAAGGCCUCCUCCGCUUACCUUGGCAAAUCAGAGGACUCGAUCGACUUCGAUUUCACCUACUACCGGAGCUACACCCAAGGCGAGCCACGUGCCAACUCUGAUGUGGUCGAUGAGCUCGAGCAGUUGGCACUGUGCAAGUACGACGCCGUACCUCACUGGGGCAAAAAUCGCAACUUUGCCUUUGACGGCGUCAUUGCCAAGUACCCCAAAGCCGCUGAGUUCCUCAAGGUGAAGGCCAGGUACGACCCUGAUGGGAUCUUUUCCAGCGAGUGGAGUGACCAAGUGCUCGGCGCCAAAGGCAGCUCCAAUAUGGCUGAGAAAAGUUGCGGCAUCGAAGGGAUCUGCAUCUGCUCUGAUGACUCGCACUGCGCUCCAGAGAAGGGAUACUUCUGCCACCCGGGGAAGGUGUUCACGGAUGCCAGGGUUUGCUCAACCCGACGCACAUUCGGCGACGACCUUCUGAAGGAACAGUGAUUGGUAAUGCAUGUAUGCAUGUGUCGGCUCAAGCAGCACCGCGAUCAAAGCGAUAUGCUGACUUUAAUAUUGUUUGUAUCGUGGUGUGUUAGCAUUUUCCAGAGAUUUCAUCCAUCUCGGUGGAAGAUUUAAAUAACGACGCUAUAGCACCGCUAUAACGUUUGAAGGGGCACCACGCCGCAGCUACGCUUGCUUUGCUAUGCUAUGCUUUGUUAUGGCUGGAUGCCAAGUAUAUGUGAUAUAUGUAUGCAUGUCAACUAUCAAAAAGUGUGUGUGUGUGUGUGUGAUAUUGAUUGUAUGUUUGUUGAAAAUAUAUCCUAGAGACAAUAAUAAAGUCGUUAUUAUUCUAUAUUUAUGUUCAUGUUUAAGUAUAUUCUUCUAUGCUACUCCCUCAGUUCCUUUUAGAUAUUCCAAUAAGGACUACAUAUGAAGCAAAAUGAGUGAAUCUACAUUCUAAAAUAUGUCUAUAUACAUCGAUAUGUAGUCCGUAUUGAAAUUUUUAAAAGGUUUAUAUUUAGAAACAGAAGGAGUAGAUCACAAACCCACGGGUAUAGCAAGUGAUUCCAUGGUUGGUGCAUCCUGGGCAUGCUUCCUAUAUUCACAUAAGGCAGCUAUGAAACUGCCACUAGAGUCUCGAAAGAUGGCCGCCACCGCUCCCGAAUCUGAAUCGUUGUGUUACGAUAUGAAGCAUCAACAUUCAGUUUUAUACACCCUGCAGGAGGUCUUGCCCAUUUUAUUUCUCAGUGUGGAGGCUGGAUUUUUCCCACCAAAAAAUUAGCUGCAAUCCCUCUAAUAUUCUUUCCUUUGCCGGUCCCCUCUAAUAAUGUUCAUUGCUGCACGUGUCAGGGAACCCACCUUCUCCACAUGGGCUACCUUUUGCGUUCCCCACCAAAUAAACCAGCAUGCGACCAUGAUAAUUUCCAAUAUAUUCCCUCCAGGAAUAGAUGCACCACCAGGAGCAUUAGCGCAUAGAAGCAUCUCUAGAGUAGUCGCUCCAGAUCUGUGUCACCCUGUCACUCUUGUAAUAUCUCCGAGACCCAGCUCACUCCAAAUACCCACCGCACGAUCACAUAGAAAUAAAUAGGACGGACCUAGGGAGCGCCGCUGCACUCGUUUGUUGUUUGGAGUGCAACGUUGUAUAUAGUAAGUGCAUGUCUUUGUGUUCACCUAUCUACGUUAGAAAAGAAAAUUGUUUGGUCAUAUCCUUAGCGCACAUGGUUGCUGACUGAAUCAGCCUAAAUUCUACCCCCACGUGCAUUUAUUUAGGGAUUAAAACGUUCUAAAAGCCAUAACAUUUGGUUCAAACAUCGAAAUCCAGUCCGUUUUCACCGCCGGGUUUCUAUCGACGAGUUCUUCAAAACUAGACUCAUAUGAGUACAUUUCGUCAAACUUUUUUUUCAAGGGAACUUUGGGUGCAAUGGAGGCAACUAUAAUGCUAUAGUGAAGCAACUUAUUCUUUUUGGCCUAGUUGGACUGACUAUUAGGUUGAUUUGCAUACAAACGAGAAAAAUCACACAAAAUAUAACGCAUCUUUGGUGCUACAGACAAAGUAACUUCACUGUAGUUUGUGUAUCUGCGAGUUUUGCAAACAUUAUCCCAACUUGCCUGUCAUGGCUGCUCAAUUGCCUAUUGUCGAUGCUUAGUUACCUACGGUUGAUGUUCAAUUGCCUAUAAAUGCUACAAAUUGCCUAUAUUGAUGCCUAGUUGCCCGCUAUUCAUAAUUAGUUGCCUACAAUCUAUAUCUAUACCUAAUCUUUACCUAAUAAUAAAGGACGGAGGCUUACAUAGUUCUUCAUACGUCACCACUUUAUAUCCGUUGAUUUUAUGCUAAUCACGGAGAUUGACGGCUAAGAUUUGUGCCUGUUUUAAAUAAAAAAAUUAGCGAAAACGUUUUGACCGCAGACAUAAGAAUUGCACGAGUUCUACUGGGCCUCGGUCUUUCCUGGGCCGUCCAUGUUUAGUAUAAGGAAAAAUAACGUUUCACGAUAGAAAAAAGGAAUCCAAAUCUUCUUCAGCUCAGCAAUUGCUUCCACCACAUCAAAUCAAACGUGACUCAAACUGUCUCCUUCCGUAAAAAGACAGGACCGGCAGCCGCAGGCCGCAGCCUCGGGCUACACGCCCCCCUCUAAUCGACCGGCUCUCUUCCUCACGAACAAAACGAAAGCUACUGGUGCUGGCAAUUGGGGAUCAUGGCAGUGCGGGGCGGCUGAGAUUAGUAUUCCCUCCGAUCCAAAUUACUCGUCGCAGAAAUGGAUGUAUCUAGAACUAAAAUACAUCUAGAUACAUCCAUACCUGCGACAAGUAAUUCGGAACGGAGGGAGUACUUUGGAGAGAGAUUUAAGGGAAGAAGACGACCCCAAAACACUGGAUGUAGAUCCCACGUUUCUAGAAACGGAAGAAUUAAUUCCUGGAGAUGUUAACGUAGGGGGACUCCAUGGAGUCUGCCUUCCUCCCGCGCGUGAACAUGGUGCCCGGCGGCCUGCAGUCCUGCCUCCCGUUGCCAUUGUGUCGCAUGGUGCUGGUGGCCUGGCGGUCAAGCGACCAGGAGCGGCGAGCCACCGCGGGCGGCGACUACGUGCGGACGUGACGCCGAAGUGCGGAACCGGCGUCUCUCUUUGGUUCAUGUUGCCCCCGGGCUGCUGUGAACUUUCUGAAUGAUUUUUGGCCAAUACAAGAUGACAUGUACUGUAUGACUAAUAACGUAGAUAAAAGGGCUGAUCUGUUGUACCUAUAAUUAAGCCAUGCAAUUAGCGAUAUGCUGUCUCUGUACAAUGGAAUCAAUCAAUUGUGUCCUUAUUUGACUCUCGCGGUGACACAGUGAACUUCAAAUUUUGAAUUGGCAAGGGUUGUGUUCCUUGAUCUGCCUUAUUGUUCCGGGGUUCCCAAAAUAUUUGAAACACGUCCUGCCUAUCGGUCCCUCAUUCGGAAGAGUUAUACCCCGGUCGCUACAUUUUAUUGGCCACAUGGCGGUGUUGAUGAGCGACGGUUUUACGGCCAUGGAGCAGUACAAGAGUGCCGUCUCCUUGAAAGUCAACAGCAAAACCUGAGGAAGAUUGUGUUUUUCUUCUUCAAAGCGUGUACAGCAUUGAGUUGAUAACGUUUUUUUAGGGUUUUUGUUUCUUUUUCUGAAUUGAGGCCAUCUACCUACGCGAGUCGAGUCGCUGACCAUGCCACUGCCGCCGACCACCUGCUCAUGUUCGUCUCGCGGUGCAGUUUGUGUUCUUUUCAUCUGAAAUGCAGCUAUGAAUUGCAGAGUUGCCAAUCAUUGUUCUCAGGUAAGCAGGGCUGCUUCCCACAUUAGAUUUUGAAGUAUUUUACUUCUACUGUAUAUGCAGGCAUACUGCCUUGAUUAAGGUAGCCACCAUUUGCCCAGUAGUAUCUAUAUUGGCACAUUGAUGGACUAUUUAUAUGAUGCAUGCAAAUCUGCAAUAAUUUAAUACAUAUCGCACACAUGAUUGGCCAAUACUGCUUUAUUUUCCAUUCUCUCGCUAGCCUUUACAUGUUACUUUGCCCAUUUAAAGCUACAUAUACGCUUUUCUCUAUGCAGACCAUGGGUUGCACUUGCUUCUCAGGACAAGCAAUGGCUUGUUUCCUUGACGAACAAAUUGUUUGGCAGAUUUGGUUAUUAUGGAUACUGGAAGUACUACUCCUUUGUUGAUUAUAGGGCCGUCUCCAGAAAUUUGGGGGCCCGGGACAAAAAUCGAAAGAGGGCCCUAAUUUUUUUAAAACCAUAUAGAUUAAGAACUAAUUUUGCUAAAAAAAGAGCUGAAGAACUAAUAUAAGUAAAUAAUAGUCUCACUUAAUUAUUUAACAUCAAAUAAGUCUGCUUUGGUACAAUAUUUAGAAAAUAUAUCAAAUACUAAGGUAAAAUAGUAAACAUGGUACUAAAGCAAUAAACUUCUAAACUGACCUCAUUUUGUACCAAAAAGCAAUAUUCUUCUAGUAUUUCUUGAAAUGAAAUCUUCGAUCAAAUAUUCAUAAUUAAUCUUCUCCAAGACAUCAUUCUCAAGUGCUAUUGUUGCCAAUCCAUUGAGUCUUUCUUGUGUCAUCAUGUUCAUCAGAUUCUGCAAUGUAAGCCUCAACCUCUACUGGAUCACCACCAUGUGCAUCAUCAAUAUUAGCAUCUGGAGUUUGGUUUUCAGAAUUGCUUUGAGGUUCUCUCACAACAAAUUUAUCGAGAGCGCCCUUUUGGGAUCGAGAAUCUUCUUCUAGUUUUUGUUUCUUCCUACACUUUGAACACCGGAAUCAUACUUCCUCCCGGGAUGCAUGAAUAUUUCUGUUUAAUGGAACAAAAAGUAAUCUGAAUCAACUCAAACUCUAUGAAUUAUAGGACUGUAUAGCUAAGAAAAAAGAUAAAGACUCCACCUAGAUGUAAGAUUUUGACAAUUGCAUUUAACAAAAAUUAGUUUACUGCCUAGUGCCUACGCUGGAAAAAUAAAAUAGGGCUUUGUCUACAAGGACUUACGCCGGAAAGGGACGAUGCACCGUGGGGCGCGCCGGUCUGAACUGACCUCUUAGCUUUGCCGCCGUCGCCCUGCGAGACCUCUGUAUCUGUCGCCGUCGCCCUGUUGCCGCUAACUUCGGGUGCUAAUCGAUUGAGAUUCGCCGUGCUAAAGUGCUAAUCGAUGCGGAGUGAGAGAAACGAACAGACGGGCUGCAAGGGCUACAUGCGUACGUGUAUUUGGGCUGCCUGGGAGUGCAUUUUUUACUGGGCCUUAUAUAUUACUGGACUGGGGGGCCCCAAAAUUUUGGGCCCUGUGCGGUCGGCCAAUUUGGACUUGCUCAUCGAUGGGCCUGGUUGAUUAGUACAUCUACCAAGGAGAGAAAUAAGUCCGUUGAAUGUUAUUAGUACUUGACUUGGAGUGUGUUAUCGGCGGGGGUACAUACUUUUUUCUAUUAAUUCAUGAAGAGGGAAAGAUAAUUUAAUUUUCUUUGACUUGAUAUAUUAAGAGUUUUCAAUAUAAUUCUAAAUCAUGUAAGUAUUCUAUUUGCUUGCCAUUGGCUUCACGUGUUUUCCCUUUUGCUUUUACUAUGACAAGUGCACAGCGACUUUCUGUAGAAAGUCAAAAGAAUUUGAGUAUGCGAGGAUUUUUUUAUGCAUAUUGCCCCAUUUUGUUGUGUUGCAUGAUCUGUUCGCUAUAUCUUAUCAUGGACAGCCGAGAUGACAAUUGUCGUUGUAUGUUAGCGUGGUAGCAGUUGUGCAUCCCUUUAACGGCUCUCCAAGAGUUGUCGUGCUUUUCAAUUCAGCCGGCUUGGUGGUGACAAGCAUCAAGAUCCUCAACAUACAUGAGUGGCAGUCAAAUGGCUUCGGCUUGACCAUGUUCGAAUAUUUUGUGAUCAUUGGGGACAUCACGUGUUAUUUUUAUCUCCCGUUGCAACGCACGGGCAUGUUUGCUAGUAAUAUUAAAAGGAGGAAGCUUUCAUGGUUCUUCAUAAAUCACCCUUUUAUAUCCGUUGAUUUUGUGUUAACAUAUGAUCGAUGGCUGAGAUUUCUCUUCUACUUUUUUUCUCCUAUAUAUUUUCAUCAAUUAAAAAGAAUGGUUAACUUCUCCUGAUCCGUUCCUUUCGUCGAGCCCCCUAGCGAUCGAAGCGAUCGAUCUCAUCUGAGUCCAUGCGAUCGAUCAGAGUCCAAGCACGGUCUCAAUUUUUUUUCUAAAUUUGUGAUUGAUCGCUGACCAGAGGAGAGAAGCCCAACUAGCCUGCAUGAUCUCAGAGAAGCCCAGCCAGCCUUGCGGGAUUGCAUCAAGAAGUCGAUCGGAUCGAUCGGACAGUCUAGCGAUUGGUAGCGCACGAGAUCGUAUGUUUUAAGGCUUUUGCUACACCAGCGCGCCGUCUCCUGCUCGUAUAGUAUUCAGUUUUUGUUACAUGAACAAUUCCAUCUGAUGAAUCGCUCAGAUCGAUUGCUAGCUGAUGGAAAAUUCGCCGGAAAAACAAAACGGAAACGCUGCAACGCACGAAGCCAGCAGGAGCGUACAUGCCGAUCCAGUUGACAGCUUUAUCCAUCCACGCACACGCGACGCAUGGCACCAAUGGAAUCCUAGCGGCUAGCAGGGCAAGAGGGAGGCUGGCGGAGCUGGCGGAAACGGUGAGUAGCCGGGCAAGAGGGAGGCUGGAGUGUCCUGGAUGACAACGUCAACGCCGGCGGUGCUGCUCCGUAUGUGAUUCUAUUCUUUCUGUUCGAGAUUGUGGUAGAAUUCAUGCUUCUAGUAUGUGCUUUAGAUGUGAUCUGUUCAUCUACUAUACUAGUUCGCAUCAUUAGUUUAAUCUCUACUAUUGCUGUCAUAUGAUCUAUUUCCUAUUUAUUCGGAUUAAAUCUCAUAGUAAUUUGCUCAUAUUUCCAACUGGUUUCUCUCACAAAACCAUUCACCGGGGCUGUAAAGAGAUCAAUUAGACUGAUUCAAGAUGAAAAAUUGAUGGCAACGAACGGAUGAGGGCAAGAGGAAGACGCCGCUGCUAUAUUUGUCAUGUACGAAGGUCAUGAGAAAGAGUGAAAGAAAGAUACUAUACGUAACUAAGUUUACUUUACUAGGUAAUUGCCCGUGCGUUGCAACGGGAGAACAAUAGUCAUUUAUGCAUUGGUGAUGUAUUUUAGGUCAUGCUUUCAAAAAUAAAUCAACCAAGAGCUCUUUACCUUCCUAUUGGUACAAUACAAAACAUGUGCAAUACAUGUAUUAGUUGAUGAAAUAGACAUAUAUAGAUUGUAUAUCGUUAAACCCACAUGCAUUGCUAUGGAGAGAAAGAAAUAGGAUCACCAAAAUGCAACUUUCUCAUUUCCUAAUUAAUCUGGGGCACCUUGUUCCACCAUCUACUAUCUUUUCACUCAAGAACCAACAAAACCUAGUUUAGUGUUCCAAUCAAAUGGCAUAAAAUAGUCCUUCAUAUCUACUUUCGUAUGCAUUGUCGGUGGACAGAUUAUGAUAAAAAAAACCAGCACCUAUUCAAUUCCUUGCGCAUAUCUGAGUCAAAAGAUGAAACCACGGUAAUUAUCCAAUUCAAGGGCGAAGAAGAUACAUAAUUUAGUUCAUAGCAUAUCUGAAUGAAAAGAAUAGUCAUGGUUAAACUGAAUAAAACAUUGAAUCGCUGCUUCUGCAGUUGUUUCCACUGUGAUCUUUUCUCUAACCAAAAAAACAUUAAAUAGCAACUUUUCAGUAAAGUCUAUGUAGGGGCACCAUUCGCUCUCCAAGGUCACUGCUAAUCAAAGUAUAUUCCAUCGGCUUCCUUUCAUCUUCACACAACUCAUCAAAUUCAUCUCCAUAGCUUACAAAAAGAAUGAGCUUACCAAUAUUCUGACUUCGGUCUAUAGUACAUUUAGAAUAGUUAUUAAAAGAACAUUUAGAAUAGUUAUUUUUAAACUACCAAAAUAAAAAAAUAUAGAUGUGGUGUGUGACAUGAUUUAUGACUAACAAAAUAUCAUGCAAAAUUUAGAAGUACUUUUGCAUGCUCAAGGCGGCAUGAAAUGUUCAGCAAACAACUUACGGAAAGAACAAGAACUUGCUAAAUUACAAUAGUACUAACAAAAUAUGCAUAUAAUGGAUAUGGGCCUGCCCUGAUUACUGACAUAAGUGCAGCACAUCUCUCCCCUUGCAAUCACUACAAACAAAUGUCACAAAUUAGGAUUCGGCUAUGGUACUGUACAAGAUCACUUAUGAACAUAAAUUACGAAUAUAGUUUACCACCUGUGAACUUGCUCUUGCGCGGCCAAUAUAGUGUGUUACCCAUGGGUACGCGCACAGGUAUGUGAAGCUCGCCAUCCGACCAGUCGCAAAUCAGCCGGCCGUGCUGUCACCGAUGACCGAGCUCUGCUUCGACACAGCCACCGACGCCCGAGCUCUCCACACAGAAGUAUUUUGAUUGGGAAAAAGGGCAGCAUGUCCAUGUUGUUUCCUAUAUAACAAAAAUUAGCAUGAUCAAUGGUAGAUUGAAUUAGCUAAACAGACAGCUCCCAUCUUUCCGAAUCAACAAAGAUUGCAUGGCGGGGAACGAAGUGCUCAUGGAACCAGACUAAAUUCGCACCAUUAGACAUGGAUGUUCACCUUGGCCUAUGGAAAAUAGCCUCUACCGGCGGCGGCAGGGACAAGGCAGGGCUAUUUCGUCCCGACGAGAUAAAGCGCAACCGCGGCUGGAUCGUCAUCUGCGCAUCUAGAGUAGCUAUUUUGCUGAUAAGAGAGCCCCUGUGAUGAGCCAGGCUACAGAUUCUGAUGAUACAACAUCAAUUUACUUAAGCUCUUUCACGGGCAGUGAAGGUCAAGGUGAACCUAAGGAAAUAUCAUAGUCACCAAAAAUAAGAUGGAAGAAGACGAUCAAAUUAAAAUCAUGUAACUAAAUACACAGAUGAAUUUUCUUAUAAAUAAAUCAGGCAACAAAUAUUUUGUCGGAUAUUGAAAGAGCUUUGUUUGAUUGACUCUUCUAUAUUAUAUGAUGCUCUAAGGCAACAGAUAAAUGAGAGCCAAAAGAGUAUUAUUAAAAUUGCAUGCAUGCCUUAUAUAUACCAAGGGUCAUUCUUGAGAAAAUUUGUGGCUCAUGCCUCAUGACAUUUAGAAGAAAAAUUUGGAUAAUAUGUAGGUGCUAGCACUUUGCAUAAGGUACAAGCCUUACAGGUUCACUCAAGCAAAUACCACAAAUCAUAUAAUCGCACAACAAUGGUUCACAGAAUUACAGAAAAAAUUGAGAGAGAGAAGCAGCAACAACGCUAGGAGAGAUGGGACAGCCGCAGGUUGGAGUUCAGAGAAGAACUUAAGCAACGGGCUUGAGAAGAGCUUCAGAAGAAGUGCAGCAGCAGCGCUAGGAGAGAUGGGACAGCCGCAGGCAGCAAGGAGCAGAGAGGAGAGGCAGCAGUUUGUCGUAUUAUUAGGCUGGGUCAGAUUAGUAAAUUUGUCACAUAUACACAGUUUGUCGAACCAAUUCCAAUAAUAAUCAAUAGACGCCAAACAGUGGAAGUGUCUCGAGGGCCAAAGUUUGCUGGAAACUAUCAUAGCAGAAAUCACCAAAUUUGUUUCAGAGGUAGAGGGUAGAACAAUUAGAAAGUGUACAAAGUGCUAGAUGAAUCUGAUUGGAGAACAAAAGACAACAGAAUAUCUUGUGCAUAAUUUCCCAAUUAUAUGUCCAAUUAGUACUGUCCAGUUAAAGGUCGAAGCUAGAAUCAAAGAUCUUACAACUGUACUUCAGAAAAGAACCAUCCAAUGUCAGAGUUUUAUCAUUGCUAAACGUCCUGAUCUCAUAUCAUACAGUGAUAAUCCUCCUAGGUUAGGAUUAUACCAAAUUAGUGAAUGAAUAAAAUAACUACAAUUUGGAGCUUCAAGUAAAUCAAACAGUUAACUUAAUUCUCUAGUCGACGACUAUGUUGGUACCUGAAGAAUCAUUCUGCCCGUGCCGUUAGUUCAUCACCUUGGUCCCUUGUUAUUGGCGCAUCCGAUCCCAAAUCUCCAACCUGGUAGCGAAUUAGCAUGGUUCAGUUUACCCAUUAUCUAUACACUUGAAUCAAAUAAACAUGCAAACAUGGCAUUCAAGCUUGCCGCUGCAGGCAAUGGCAUAUCUGAUAGCAAUAUGCAGUAUGAACACCAUUGAAUAACUGAAAGCAAUAGUCUUGGGUCACCUUACCUGGCACCUAGUGUCCUGAAAAAAAGCAAAGAAACGCAAAGGCCCACUUGCGGGAGAGGCAGGGAAGCGACCAUGCCACGUCGUUCUGGAGGGAGGCGACCAUGGCAUGGGAUGGCGUCGGCUGAGCGCAGCGCCGGCGCUCGGGAAGACGGCGGACCAUGGAGGCGCGCGGAGCGAGGCGGAGACGCACGGAUCUGGUCGCGUGGCGCCGGUGCUCGGGAAGACGGCGGACCAUGGAGGCACGCGGAGUGAGGCGGAGACGCACGGAUCUGGUCGCUCCCAGGUCAGAUCGGGCUGCAGUGGAGCUCCACAUCAGGAUCCAUGGUGCUGUUGUUUCUGAAACAGAGAGAGACAAGAUUUGUGAGAGAGAGAAAAGGAAGGGAGAAGGGAGAAGAAGCGAGAUAGGGCGCGCGGGAGAGGUUACUGGACGAUGGCUGGAGGUUGGUAGCGGUGGCGCCGGACGCCGGCAUGAGGAGCAUGCCAGAGGGGGAAAGAAAAUCGAGUGGGUCGUACGAGAGGUGGGACUGGGACGGGGGAAAUAAAAUCGGGGGGUGAGGGGGUCGUACGAGAGGCUUGACGAAGCGGGGAAUGUAAGAGGGGAAACGGAACGCUAAGUUUCUUUUAGAUAGUAGAGAUUUAUUGUGUCAACCUACUACUUUAGGUAUUUUUAACAUCCUCUACUAUUUACUGGUAUUAAGUUCAUUGUAACUAUUUGUGUCGUCUUACAAGUAUCAUUGUAAAUUUAUAACCAAACUGAAAGGACUGAAGGAGUUGCUCGUAAAACAAAUAAAUGGAUUAAAGUAUUUUGUCAAAAUAUAUUUAAUUGUUUACUCCAUAUACUUACUUUGAUAAAAGGAGAUUAUUUCAAAAAUAAAACAAGUUUCUCUUAGAGCAUUAUUUUCAUUUAAUAAUUAAUAUUGAACAUGGUAUGAUUAAGACGGCCUUUACUGGAAUUUUUGGCUGGCUUUGUAAUGAAGUUCUGGCGAUCGACGUAAGUUAGAUUGUCAUUGUAAUCUUUUACUAGAAGCAUAUUUCAAGAUUGCACUGAAAUGAUUAUUUGUUGAGCGUUGAUCAAUCGACAGGUUUGUUAUUUUUAGUUGCUCUGCCGAUUCGAGUAUUUUUUUCCCUUAUAGUUCUAAUGGUACAUGUCAAGAUUUUUGACCUAUUUUCUUUCUCACUAAAAGUUUAGUUUCAAUGCACAAAAUUAGAUAAACAAGAUGACUGUUAAAGUAUUUUUGCUAAUUAGUUAUUUUUACUAGUGAAGUUGCUUCUGUUUAGCAGUAAAGUUGGCUCAUCUAGCAUCAAAGUUGCUUUUGGAAAAAUCAAAUAAAACAUAUCCAUAUGAGGUUCAGAGCAUCUCCACUUGUUUGCCCCCCCCCCACCCCCCAUGCGGCAUUUUUCGCCGCUUGGGGGGCUGCCGGCGAAAAUUUUGGCCUGGAGGGAGGGUGAAAUUUUCCACUUCUUGCGCCCCCCCCACGAGCAUCUUGAGCGCGGCGGCGCCGACGACCUCCUCGGCGCGCGCCCAGUGGUGGAGCGCGAGCGUCAACGGGGAAGCAAAGCUCGUGGAGACGGGCAGUGGUGGAGACACGGGGUGUUGCACUGCCGCGGUGGCGUCCCUCGGUGAGCACGGCGGCGAGGAUGAGGCGGUGUCGCGGUCGUGUGCGAAGCCGCCGGGGCGGCACGCCACCCAGCAGAGGAACUCCCACGCCGUCUCCGGCUUCCUGAAUGCGCGCGGGAACUUGCACACGAGUCGCGGCGUCCAGACGAUCCGGGCGGCCUCCAGCUCCGCCACGUCCUUGGGGUCCCAGCCUUCCAGCGCCCUGGCGAGCUCCCGCGGGUCUAGCCAUGGCUUGAGCGGCGUCUCUUUAGCACUGGGCGUGUCCUUGUCACCAUCCUCUUCCUCCUCGAUGUCUCCCUCGCCAUCUGCAUCGUCCACGGCGCACGGCAUCCUAGCAUCCAGCGAAAGCUCCUGGACAAAGUCCUCGGUGCCCUCCGUGUGGCCGGCCUCGCUCAUGAUGGCGAUGGCAGACCGCAUCUGCGGCCCGGGCAUUACACUGUCGAUGGCCACCAUCUCGCGGACCAGCCACUGGAGCUGGUCGAACCUCCCGGCCUCCGCGAGCGCCUUGGCGAGCCCUUUGUACAGCCGGGUGGUCCUACACGUGCACAACGACGGCAGGAGCCGGAACACCUCGAGCGCAAGGGCCAUUUUCUGGGAAAUUAAUAUCCCGAAAACCGGUCCUGACAUAACAUUGCAGUAGAGUUUUUGUUUGAUGGUAUCUUCUGUGAUUGGUUUGAUAGCAUUUCUUGUUUAUUUGAUCGUGCAACUUGUAACUGUUUCAGUUAUGGAAAUUCCAUAAAGAAAUUGAACCAGCUUGUCUUAAUCUGUUCUCUAAAAUGUUUCCCUUUUCGCUUUUCAGCUGGUGCAUAGAAGAAAAGAUUUAGCUCAAGGAAUUAUGUGAAAAAUUCGGUGCUGGAAUUCCAUCGAUGUUUCGGAAUGAAGGUCUCGGUGUUGAGUUGUGGUCAUUACAAAUCCUCUGGACCACAGGUCUUGCUGGAAGUCAUGUGUCCAAGGAAAAACGAAGCAAGAGUUGCAGCUUUUGUGGAAUUCAAAGCAUGUACUCCAAUGGGUCCACUCUCCUGGACUUAAGGGUUUUGUAGGGAGGACUAUAAGCAGGAAAAAGAAUCAUGGGCAACAGAGCAAAAUAAAAUGGGGUUGCAGUAGAAAAUAUCAAACUGGGCCAGAGAGCAAAAGAGGAUGAUUUGCUCAAAAUUUUCAAAGAACAUCAGUGGUUUUUUGCAUAAAGUUGAAUAAUAUACUCCUACUAACAUCCCCUAAUUAUGGUGGAAGUUUUAAAGAAAUAUUUAAAUAGGUUGUAGUGCAAAAGUGCAAACUGGAUCAGAUUUGAAAACCUGGGGAAAAGCUCAAAAUCUCCAAAUGACUAAAGGGGUAUUUUUGCACAAAAGUGAUCUAGGAACAUCACAUGUCAUCCCCAAAUUUUGGUGGGAUUUUUACAUGAAUUUAUCAAAGGGUUGCAGUGCAAAUGGGACCCUAAAACUUAUGAAAACCCAUUUUAGAGAAAUAAAGCUCAGGGAAAAAUAAUUAUAAAUAAUCCCACUGAUAAAAGAAUUGUUUUAUUAGAGAGGGUAAACAAGUCCAAUAAUAAUUGGAAAGUUUUCACUUGGGGUGAAAACUCCACAACUUAGGAGAAAAGAGAGGUUCUGAGAUCAAAAAUAAAUCCAGAAAAAGGAAAAUUUAAUUUCUUAGCAAAAUUUUAAUAAACAAAAUAUGGUUAAAUUUUUGGGGUGUUACAACACUACCCCCCUUAAGAAAAAUCUCGUCCUCGAGAUUUGCUAAGGACAUAUUUUGCAAAAAGAUUGCCCGUACCAUGCGAUAAUCGUAACAUGGAAAGCGGUUACUCCACACACGUGAUAGGACGGGGUCACAGUAGAAUCGCUAACUAACACUACAGGAAACAGCUACUUUGUCGUCUGCCACGGCGGACGGCAAAGGCUCGAAAGGCGGACGGCAAAGACCUUUGCCGUCAGCCGCGGACGGCAAAAGGCUCCGGCAAAGAAGGCUACGGCAAAGACCUACUUUGCCGUCUGCUUCCAGGCGGCGGACGGCAAAGGCUCUUUGCCAUCUGCGGCGGACGGCAAAGAAGCGGACGGCAAAAUGAGUAGUGUUAGUGUCCGUUAGGUGGCUAACGGCAGCCUUUGCCGUCCGCCAGCUGACGGCAAAGGCUGCAGGCUCUUUGCCAUCUGUUGGCAGAUGGCAAAGAGACCAAAUAGGCAUUAAUUCUGUUUCUUCUUAUAUCAAUUCAUUUUCACAGAAAAUCAAACACACACACACANNNNNNNNNNNNNNNNNNNNNNNNNNNNNNNNNNNNNNNNNNNNNNNNNNNNNNNNNNNNNNNNNNNNNNNNNNNNNNNNNNNNNNNNNNNNNNNNNNNNNNNNNNNNNNNNNNNNNNNNNNNNNNNNNNNNNNNNNNNNNNNNNNNNNNNNNNNNNNNNNNNNNNNNNNNNNNNNNNNNNNNNNNNNNNNNNNNNNNNNNNNNNNNNNNNNNNNNNNNNNNNNNNNNNNNNNNNNNNNNNNNNNNNNNNNNNNNNNNNNNNNNNNNNNNNNNNNNNNNNNNNNNNNNNNNNNNNNNNNNNNNNNNNNNNNNNNNNNNNNNNNNNNNNNNNNNNNNNNNNNNNNNNNNNNNNNNNNNNNNNNNNNNNNNNNNNNNNNNNNNNNNNNNNNNNNNNNNNNNNNNNNNNNNNNNNNNNNNNNNNNNNNNNNNNNNNNNNNNACACAUAUAUAUCCAACACAUAUCCAUGAACACAUAUCCAACAAAUAUUACAAGGAAUGAUCUAAAACUAAAUAUCUAUUUUCCUAAAAGACUAUCUUAUUACUAAGAUCUUCUCUGGAUCUUCUUCUUUUCUUCCAACCUGCAUAACAAAAACACUAAGAAAGAGAGAAUGGGUUAGGAGUAGAAAUGUAGCAUUUCACUUGGUGAAAUGCAAUGCCCUAGGAGCCAGUACUUGAGAUCAAGAUAAUCAGCCAACCAGACCAAGUCCCAACACAUCCAACCACCAACACAUCCAACCAGCUGACGGCAAAGAACUGACUAAUGGCAAAGGCCUGUUUUGCUGUCUGCCAUUUUCUUUGCCGUCUGCUUUUGGGUAGCUGAUGGCAAAGACUUUCUUUGCCAUCCGCUAGCAGACGGCAAAGAGCUGGCAGAUGGCAAAUUAGCUGAUUCCAGUAGUGUAAGGUGCAGUUGUGGUGUACUAGCAAGGUAAUCGAUUAGGUGAUAGAAGAACGCGCGGUCGUGUAUUUAGUGUAUGCGUCUCGCGAGUCGUAUAACGCGAGGGCAUGCAAAUUAAUUAUUUUUAUUGAGAAAAACAUUUUUUUCAUCGCAGUGGUCUUUUAAGAAAAACCUUACUAUGAAGUUUGCUAUAAUUAAAAACAAUCGAUUGUAUUUUAUCACGAGAAACAACUUCAACCAAUGCAAUAUACUAAUACAGAAAAUUUUAAAGCACAACACAGUUAUCACAACAAGCAGUCAAACGAUACGCAAACGGAUAUAACCGCGGUGCUGACGGUUCAGGAAAUAAGCUAUAUGUUACGAGGAAAAAUAUUCCUUGCAAUGGGAUAUAUCUCUCGUCUACUUGGAGCGGAUGGGGGACUCACAAAGGCGUCUCUCUUAGUCUGGCCCUCAGGGGUCUGCUAAUGGCGACUAGGGUCUUACACAGCAAGGGUCUGGAGAAAAAUCCAUCACUUGUUGGGUCAAGUGCUCUCGAGCGAUGACAUAGUGCACCAGCUCAAUUAGCGUCGAACUUUUCUCUACUCAGGUGUAGGGAAAGGAUGUGGUUUCUCUGGCUGCUGCACUAUUCGAAAAACAAAAUAGCCACAUUCACUGGCAUAGGGUACCAUGAUUUGAAGAUGGGUAACCGUUCCAUAAGCAGCAAUCUUAAUUGCCAUUGUUGGAGUGGGUAUGGAUCUUCCCGAUGAAGGGAACUUCCGCAGGCUCUUGGUUUGGGUCUACCUACGGGGUGUGCCUGGCUGUACAAUAUUUCGAGGGGGUGAGCGUGACCCUCGAUUUGAACAGAUUGUACCAGGAUGGCUGGGGAAAACCCAUGGUACUGUGGUCAAAAUCCCACAAUUAUUUUGAUAAAAUCCCCCCCCCCUCGGGGUGGCAUCUGGGGUCUUUAUAUGAAUCCCAAGGUGCGACCUGAAAAAAACAAAUGGCUAUGAAGGCAGUGCACAAGGUGAGGGAUGUUUGGUAAGAUCACGGAGUGGCCUCAUGUAUAGUAUCUGGGUUUGGAUGACAUAUCGUGUUGUGGGGGCAAUAUUAAUUGUCGGUUGGGGCAAACGUUCCCUUUAUAUAAAGAAAACGGAGUCUUCCUUCGCACGCUUGCGAAUGGGGCAACUCAGGUGUCGAUCACGGGCGUGUAGCUUACUGGGCUAGUCUGAUAGGUUGGGCACCGACUGCCAAAAGCUGUCGGGGUCACUGUGGGGGCUAUCGGGUAGGAUAAGCUUGGUUGUGGUGAGGUUAAGGUCUGGUGGGUGGGUUAACCUAGGUUUUUUGACCUGGCUAAGAUAGGAUUAGCCAAUGGUCAGCCUGGCUCUGAUACCAAGUUUGUCAGGACCGGUUUUCGGGAUAUUAAUUUCCCAGAAAAUGGCCCUUGUGCUCACCAGCCCCAGGAUUACUGUUAGCUGAUGAGGCACCAACUUGAUACAGAAAUUCCAAGCAAAGUACAAAAUAUGUAGUACAAGACCAUUGUGGCCUAUGAGUACAACAAUUUGUUUCUAGUGGUUGAUGGCGGAAGCGGUUUGUGGUUCAUCUGCGUCUAUGGGACUCCAUUUCCCACAGGAACAGCUGACCUAGAUAACUCCUAUCUUCGCGAGGCUGCUAUCACCGUUGCUUAGGUUCCGGGGCUGUCAUCGCAACGCUCCUCUCCAAGCAGGUAAUCUGGCCAAGACAAUAGCCAGGGACAAGCCAGUGAGUACUUUUGAAUGUACUCGCAAACAUUAUGAACACGGGUAUAAUAUAACAAUUGAUAAUCACGCUCUGAAAUAUUCUAUGAUCGCAAUGUCAGUCACGAAAUAAACAAAAUCCAUGAUGCACGCAUGCAGGUUGUUCGUAUAAAACAUGAAUAUGCAAUCCUGAGAAUAGAAAUAAAAAAAUGCACCGAUCGGGUGUCUGAAGCGACGCCUCGAAAGGACGACAACAGAAAGCGUGCCUCAGUCGGGCGUCUGAGCGACACCACAUAAAGGGCUUAUAAAGUAAACAAAUAACUAGCAUGCCACAGUCGGGCGUCUGAGCGACACCACAUAAAGGGCUUAUAAAGUAAACAAAUAACAAGCAUGCCACAGUCGGGCGUCUGAGCGGCACCACAUAAAGGGCUUAUAAGAAAAUAAUCACAAUGAAUAUCCAGGAGGUAGAACCGUCCCAGGGAUACUCAAUAAUUCAAGUAAUAAAAAGGGUUAGUCCAAUAUAAGAAUAAUCAUAAUCAUCAUAAGUCACAAGUCAUGAUCCAUGUUCCGGUUUAGUAGUUUCUCCUCCGAAGACCGACACUAAGACCGACACUAGACCCAUCUCAGACUGUAGUUCCUUACCCAUGGACACGGCUAUUCGAAUAGAGUUAACCUCUGCAGAGGGUGUACUCUUUACCCACGAGUAACGGAUUUCUUUAGUCCAUCGGGACUAAUUCCAUCUACGGUCUUUUAAUUGAAAACACAACUGACCGCACACACCAGCCUAACUUACCGGUGUCUGGAAUCACCCACAACACCUGUUAAGCAAAACUCUAAGUGGGGAGGCUACAACCUCGCGUAGCAUGGGAUCAAAUUUAUAUCGCGCGCUCUAAGGGGUGCCCCCCUCUCGGUCCCAACCGGAAACACCCAUGCCCCCGGACCAGGUGGCAUGCCUACCGGAUGCAGCCGGUAUCACUAGUAGAAAAAGAGGCUUCCAUAUGCCCCCAUUAGUCCCUAAAAUAAUCGAACCGCGACCAAAGGGGUCUUUAGUCGCGGUUCGGGAGGAGACCCGCGACCAACUAUCUGGGCCUAGCGCGCUCGGUCGACAGCUGGCGGACGGGAGGGGCUUUAGUCCCCGUUGGCCUGGCCAACCGGGACUAAAGGUCCUCAGGCUGGCCCGAUGGCCUUUAGUCGCGGUUGGCCAGGCCAACCGGGACUAAAGGCCCAUCCCUAUAUAUAGGACUCAGCUCACUUCACUUCACUCAGCUCACUUCACAAUAUUCAGAAGGGGGGUGGUGGGUUUGCUUUUGGUUCCUCCUAUGCACACAAGGUGUUCGAUGAAAUGCCCGAGAGCAUGAAACAAACAUGAUAUGAAGUGUCCGAGCCACAAUUGAGCUUUCUCAUUUAUUUUUCCUCCGCGGUCGCCGUUAGCAACUUGAACCUUUCAUGUGUCAUUGAUAAAAUAUGCAUGUGUGUAGUUCAUUGUUUAAUUUGUAUUAUUUCUAGCUAGUUAGUUUAACAAAUGCAUGAUGGUUAAUUAUAUACUUUAUAUAAUAAUAAUGCAGAUGAAUCGGCAAUGGAUGUACGGUCCCCGACUCUCCGGCGAGUUCACUACGGGUUUGAAAGAUUUCCUCGUAGUGGCAUAUGCGAACAAGCAGCGAGGUUUUAUUAUCUGUCCAUGUGCUGUCUGUAAGAAUCAGAAGGGUUACUCCUCCUCAAGAGACGUUCACAUGCACCUGCUUCGGCACGGUUUCAUGCGAAGCUAUAAUUGUUGGACCGAGCAUGGAGAAAGAGGGGUUAGAAUGGAAGAAGAUGAAGAAGGGGAUGAUAUCGAUGACAACUAUCAUGAUCAUUUCGGUGAUACUUUCAUGGAGGAUGAUGCUGAAGGUGGGGAAGGGUUAGGUGAAGGUGAAGAAGAGGCACAUGAUGAGCCCGCUGAUGAUCUUGGUCGGACCAUUGUUGAUGCACGGAGACGCUGCGAAACUGACAAGGAGAGGGAGAAUUUGGAUCGCAUGUUAGAGGAUCACAAAAAGUCGCUGUACCCAGGAUGCGAUAAUAGUCUAAAAAAGCUGGGCUGCACACUGGAUUUGCUAAAAUGGAAGGCACGGGAAGGUGUAGGUGACUCAUCAUUUGAAAAUUUGCUGAAAAUGUUGAAGAAUAUGUUUCCGAAGAAUAACGAGUUGCCCGCCAGUACGUACGAAGCAAAGAAGGUUGUCUGCCCUCUAGGUUUAGAGGUUCUGAAGAUACAUCCAUGCAUUAACGACUGCAUCCUCUACCGCGGUGAAUACGAGAAUUUGAAUGAAUGCCCUGUAUGCACUGCAUUGCGUUAUAAGAUCAGAGGCGAUGACCCUGGUGACGAUGUUGAGGGCGAGAAACCCAGGAAGAGGGUUCCCGCCAAGGUGAUGUGGUAUGCUCCUAUAAUACCACGGUUGAAACGUCUGUUCAGGAACAAAAAGCAUGCCAAGUCGUUGCGAUGGCACAAAGAGGACCGUAAGUCCGACGGGGAGUUGAGACACCCCGCUGAUGGAACGCAAUGGAGAAAGAUCGACAGAGUGUUCAAAGAUUUUGCAGCUGACGCAAGGAACAUAAGAUUUGGUCUAAGUACUGAUGGCAUGAAUCCUUUUGGCGAGUAGAGCUCCAGCCAUAGCACCUGGCCCGUGACUCUAUGCAUCUACAACCUUCCUCCUUGGUUGUGCAUGAAGCGGAAGUUCAUUAUGAUGCCAGUGCUCAUCCAAGGUCCAAAGCAACCCGGCAACGACAUCCAUGUGUACCUAAGGCCAUUAGUUGAUGAACUUUUACAGUUGUGGGGCAGACCUGGUGUACGUGUCUGGGAUGAGCACAAAGGAGAGGAAUUUGACCUACGAGCAUUGCUUUUUGUAACCAUCAACGAUUGGCCUGCUCUCAGUAACCUUUCGGGACAGACAAAUAAGGGAUACAAUGCAUGCACGCACUGCUUACAUGAGACUGAAAGUGUACGUUUGGGUAAUUGUAAGAAGAACGUGUACCUGGGUCAUCGUCGAUUUCUUCCCCAAAAUCAUAACGUAAGAAAGAAAGGCAAGCAUUUCAACGGCAAGGAAGAUCACCGGCCGAAGCCUGCGGAACGUACUGGUGCUGAGAUAUUUGAUAUGGUCAAGGAUUUGAAAGUCAUCAUUGGAAAGGGUCCUGGCGGACAAUCAGUUCCGUGGGGAGUUGACGGGCACGCACCCAUGUGGAAGAAGAAAUCUAUAUUUUGGGAGCUACAAUAUUGGAAAGUCCUAGAUGUCCGCUCUGCAAUCGACGUGAUGCAUGUUACGAAGAAUAUUUGCGUGAACCUGCUAAGCUUCUUGGGCAUGUAUGGGAAGACAAAUGAUACAAAGGAAGCACGGCAGGACCAGCAACUUUUGAAAGACCCAGAUGACCGGCAUCCGGAAUGGUUUCAAGGUCGUGCCAGCUACGUAUACGCUCUUACCAAAGAAGAGAAGGUCAUUUUUUUUGAAUGCCUGAGCAGUAUGAAGGUCCCGUCUGGCUUCUCGUCGAAUAUAAAGGGAAUAAUAAACAUGGCGGAGAAAAAGUUCCAAAACCUGAAGUCUCAUGACUGCCACGUGAUUAUGACGCAAUUGCUUCCGAUUGCUUUGAGGGGGCUCCUACCGGAAAAUGUUCGAGUAGCCAUUGUGAAGCUAUGUGCAUUCCUCAAUGCAAUCUCUCAGAAGGUAAUCAAUCCAGAAGAUCUACCACGGUUACAGAACGAUGUGGUCCAAUGCCUUGUCAGUUUCGAGUUGGUGUUCCCACCAUCCUUCUUCGAUAUUAUGACGCACCUCCUGCUCCACCUAGUCGAAGAGAUUUCCAUUCUCGGUCCUGUAUUUCUACACAAUAUGUUCCCCUUUGAGAGGUUCAUGAGAGUAUUAAAGAAAUAUGUUUGUAACCGUGCUAGGCCAGAAGGAAGCAUCGUCAAGGGCUAUGGAAAUGAGGAGGUAAUUGAGUUCUGUAUUGACUAUGUUCCUGACCUUAAGCCGAUUGGUAUUCCUCAAUCGCGGCACGAGGGGAGACUAAGUGGAAAAGGCACGAUCGGAAGGAAAUCAACGAUAUGUAUGGACGGUCAUUCUAUGACUGAAGCACACCACACCGUUCUGCAAAAUUCCAGCUUGGUGGCUCCGUACUUCGAGCAACACAAGAAUAUUUUACGCUCGGACAACCCGGGGAAGCCUGAAUCCUGGAUUAGAAAGGCCCACAUGGAGACUUUCGGCAGUUGGUUGCGAAAACAUUUAAUGAAUGACAAUGAUGUUGGAGAUCAGCUGUACAUGUUGGCCAAGACACCAUCUUCGACUAUAACGACUUUCCAAGGGUACGAGAUAAAUGGGAAUACAUUUUACACCAUCGCCCAAGAUAAAAAGAGCACCAACCAAAACAGUGGUGUCCGCUUUGAUGCAGCAACCGAGAAUGGGCAAAAGGUCACAUAUUAUGGUUACAUAGAGGAGAUAUGGGAACUUGACUGUGGACCCUCCUUUAAGGUCCCUUUGUUCCGGUGCAAAUGGUUCAAGCUAACAGGAGGUGGGGUAAAGGUGGACGAGCAAUACGGAAUGACAAUGGUGGAUUUCAACAAUCUUGGUUACCUUGACGAACCAUUCGUCCUUGCCAAAGAUGUCGCUCAGGUUUUUUAUUUGAAGGACAUGAGUAGCAAACCGAGGAAACGGAAAGAUAAGAAAACGAUCAGUACAUCAUGCGAUGAUCCAAAGCGCCACAUUGUUCUUUCAGGGAAAAGAAACAUCGUGGGAGUGGAGGACAAGACAGACAUGUCAGAAGAUUAUAAUAUGUUUGGUGAAAUUCCGCCCUUCAAAGUGAACACUGACCCAAGCAUUAAGUUAAAUGAUGAGGAUGCUCCAUGGAUACGGCACAAUCGUAAGCAAGCAGGGACACAAGGGAAGAAUUGAUGUGUAAUAAUUUAUUGUACCAAACUUUGUUGAAUGGAUCAUGUGAAUUAAAACGUACGAUGGCGAAUCCGGAUGAUUUGUAUUUGGUCGAUGAACUGAAUGAUGUAUCAAACCUUUUGUCAAACCUUCAAGGGAUCGAGGAUGUAGAACAAAACAAUUGGUAUCGCCAUCAUACAGCCCUGCCGUGGCUACUGAGUGCAUAUAUGCAUACCAAAUGCACGGCAGGACGUAUGAUGACGAAUCCAGAUGAUUUGUAUUUGGUCGAUGAACUGAAUGAUGUAUCAAACCUUUUGUCAAACCUUCAAGGGAUCGAGGAUGUAGAACGAAACAAUCGGUCUGAAUUUUUAAAAUGAAUUAGUUUUAUUUUUCUGGAUUUUUUGAUAUAUUAUUUGUAUUUUUAAGAUUUUAAAAUGAAUUAGUUUUAUUUUUUUGAAUUUUUUAAUAUAUUAUUUGUAUUUUUAAGAUUUUCAAAUGAAUUAGUUUUAUUUUUUUGAAUUUUUGAUAUAUUAUUUCUAUUUUUAAGAUUUUAAAAUGAAUUAGUUUUAUUUUUCUGAAUUUUUUGAUAUAUUAUUUGUAUUUUUAAGAUUUUAAAAUGAAUUAGUUUUAUUUUUCUGAAUUUUUUGAUAUAUUUGUAUUUUUAAGAUUUUAAAAUGAAAAGUAUUUGAAAAAGGACCUUUAUUCGCGGUUCGUGACACGAACCGCGACUAAAGGCUCUUUCCGUGCGGGAACGAAAACGGCGCGAAAGAACCUUUAGUCGCGGGUCGUGACACCAACCGCGACUAAAGGUAUCCCUUUAGUCCUUUAGUCGCGGUUGGUGUCCCCAACCGGGACUAAAGGCUUGCCCUAUAUAUUCUCCGCGGCCCUCGUCUUCUCCGCGCUAACCACCAAACGCAUCCAGGACCUCGUCUUCUCCGCGGCGCCGCCCUCGUCUUCUCCGCGGCGCCGCCCUCGUCUUCUCCGCGCCGCCCUCGUCUCCGGUAGGUGCCCGCCGCCGCGUGCCGUCCUCCUCGCGUGCCUAGAAGAAGAGGGGACCGCCGCCGUCGUCUUCUCGCCCUCGUCUUUUCGCCCGCCUUCUCGCCCACCGCCGCCUGCCGUCCUCCUCGUCGCCGCGUACUGGAUGCGUGCCUUGCCAGCCUCGCGCGCGUGCGGAAACGGCGCCGCCGUGCGUGCCCGUGCUGGUGGUCAUAUGGCGGACGAGAAGAGUCCUCCUGACGGGCGAGACGCUGCUUUGUAGGCCGGCCCAUUUUGUCGCUUCUCCUCCAAAACAGACUAAAAUCAGAUGCUGCAGUAAUAAAAAAUAAUUUUUUGAAAACAAUUGUUAGUUUUAAAAGAGUUUGUGAAUUCUGAAAAAUGUUCGUGAGUUCACAAAAUGUUUGCUAUAUAUAAAAUGUUCACAGAUUUGGAAAAUAUAUAAUGUCCAUGAUUUCCUAAAAAUGCUCGUCCUUCAACACAAUGUUAAUUCAAAACAAAAAUAUGAAUUAAAAAAACUUGUGUGUUCAAAAAAUGUUCAUGACUUUAAAAAAAUGUUUGCGAAUACAAAAACUAUUCAUGAGUUCUUUUUUUCACUAAUUUCAGAAAAAUUCACGAAAUAAAAUAAAUCAUGAAUUUGAGAUAAUUUUCAUAAAUUUUAAAAGUGCUCACGACUUUCAAAAAACAAUGUUUACGAGUUUGAUAAAAUAUUCACGAAUUUCCAAAAUUGUUUUCAAAUUCAAAAAAAGGCUGAAAUGAAAGCAAAAAUUAAUAGCUCUUAAUCAUUCAACCGUCGCUGCUCCUCCUCUAUGUCCCCUUAAUCUUAUUUUUUAAUGCCUUUAAACUUAAUUAAUUUUUACUACAUGCAGGAGUGACAUAUGGCGGACGAUAGAGCCGAGCCGCUUAGGGAUCCGGAGGCUGAACGUUAUUUAAUGGGCAUCAUAAACAACGAGAUUCCUUAUGUGCCGGGCUCAGAAGAUGAGCAAGAAUAGGAUGUAGUCUCUUCUUUUCUGAACUUUGACGGUGGAACAGACAUUGUCGAUGAUCAAGAAGGUGAAGGAACGGACAUUGUUGACGGAGGUCAACCGUCAACAAACAACGAUCUCGAAUUGCAAGUAGCAACCACCUCCGGCGAGGUAUAUAUAUACAUUGAGCCUCUCGUGAUACAAACUUACUGAAAUGUGAAUACAUAUGUAUUAACGCACGCGACUCUUUCUUUUUUUAGCCCUCGGCCGGAUCGAGUACGACAAAGCGUGGCAAAUCCAAGGCGAUGAAAACAGGAGAAACAUAUACCAUUGAUUUUGUCAGUGAAACCGGCAAGCCCCUACAGCACACCUCAAAGUUUAUCAACCAAUGCGGAGUCGUUGUUAGAGACAACGUCCCGAUCACCGUCCAGGAAUGAAAGGAGCCAAAGAAGGCACGUCUUGGUUUCAGUUUUGUCGACAAGAGAACGAAAAAGGAUUGCUGGAGAAAGCUUAUGGAACAUUUCAUUCUACCUCCGGAAUACAACAAAGUCGAUGAAUUCGGUAACGAGGUUCCGGGUGGACGUGAGAGGAGGAGGCUAGUUAAAGAGUUCGCUCUUCAGAAGAUGGCCGAAGCAUUCCGGAACUUCAAGAAAAAUUUAACCUGUGACUAUGUCAACAAGGGCAAGACUCCGGAUUUCAAUGGACAACAUGAGAAACUGAAAGAUGAUUGGCCAGAAUUUGUGAGGCAAAAGAAAUCGGAGCAUUUCAAGGAAAUAUCGAAAAAAAUAAGGAUAAUGCGAGUAAGAAAAAGUACCAUCAUAUUAUGGGGCCAGGAGGAUACCGCCUUUCGGAGCCUAAGUGGCAGAAGAUGGAGGAGGACCUGAGGGUGCGAGGAAUCCCUCUAGGUACAGAGGGAUGGGACCCAAGGGCCAAAAGCUGGUGGUAUGGGCAUGGGGAAUCGCUAGACCCGGAGACAGGGGUGUGUGUUCACCGGAAGAAAAAGUUUGCUCCCACCCAAGCCCUUAUUGUCGCAAUGACCCAAGCUCAAGAGGGCUUCAUCAAGUUCAACAGAGAGAAAGACGCACUGACAACAGCCCUCGGGAAUGAUGAACACGGAGGACAUGUACGAGGCAAAGGCAGAAUUUCGUGGAAAGUAGGGUUUUCCUAGGACAAUGACCCGUACUGUUACAGAAGCCGUAAGAGAAAGACGGACCGGGAUGCAGAUCUUUUGGCGAAGUUUGCAUCGGAACUCCAUGAGUUGAAGCAGACCGUGGAUGAACUAGUAAAAGAAAAAUCGGCUGCAGGGCCGCAUGAAGAUCAUGAAGCGGAUCGCGGAAGCCAGCAGCGGAGAAGCAGCGUGGCUUCCACGGAUGCCCCGCCUGGUGCUAAUGCACCGACGAUCGAGAUUCGUUCACCGGAGCCUCACUACCCCAUGGAUGAUGUAAAGGAGAUGAAAGAAUGUGAUAUGCAUUAUCCCGUGGGGAACGUUUCCACGAAGGUAGCUACCGGCAGUGCUUUACCCUGUACACCUGGAGCACUCCACCACAACAACCCCAUUGCAUAUGGCUAUGCUCGUGUCAUGGUGGAAGACAUAGUCCAAGAGUUUGAGGACCUGGAGAUUGACAAAGCUACACCCGAAGGGGAGAGAAGACUUGGAGAUGUCAAGCGCCAGAUCAUUCUAUGGAAAAAGAAGUACAUAGUGUUUCCAGGCGAGGCGCCAAGGCUAACAAGUCCACCCCCCUCCGAUGGUGGUGGUGGUGGUCGUGGUGGCGGUGGUGGUGGUCGUGGUGGUUCACCUACACCUCCUUCACGCCAUUCGACGUCGUCCCCCGAUCCACAACAUCCGGCGGGUAAGCAGCCGCCGCCCCCCAAUCCUCCUCCGGCGGGUAUGACGCCCCCAAUCCACCUCCGGCAAACAAGCAGAAGCAGGCGGACAGCAAGGAAACCCGCUCCUGGACUAUUAACCCGGACCCUUAUGUACGUAAGACCACAAGGGUACCGGAGCCAUCACUGUAGCCUCUCCUCCCAAGGCCUUGGGAACUUAGUGAAGCUGAAACCAAAUUGGCCGCGUUUGCUCAUUAUGAGAAAUGGAAGGCGGAUACGAAGGCGAUAAAAGAGCCUGAGCCCAAGCAAGUAUUCACUGAGAAGCAAAAGAAGUGGGCUAAGGAUUUUUUGACGACACCGUCCUAAGCCGAGCUGAAUAUGCCUGACGACUAUGGACAUGAACUUCGUAGGCAAGCAAAAAUAUUGAAGGAGGAGAAAGAAGAAAGUAAAAAAAGCGGGAAACAAGUUGACCAGCUCGGGAUGCAGAAUAAACAAUCAAUCCCCCCGCUCAUAGUGAAAGCCGGUCCGGAAGAGGACCCCGAGAUCAUAGCAGCUGCGGCAGCACUUGGAUUGACUGUAGCGAGUGCCAUGAAACAAGCGUCCGAGAUGGGUUUGACUCUUCGUGCCUCGUUAGGCCUUGAGGAUGCGCCAGUAUGUGAGAUAGCAUUACAAUAUGUGCGGAAUGGGCCUCUCGUCGAGCCUGCGCGGGAAAAGAGUCUACCACCACAAAUGCGAAAUCUGCUACGUUGAUACAAGCAUUUCAUAACAUGGGCCGGCAAAGAAUAUGUUUAUGCGGAUGUUACAGAGGAGCAUCACACCAAACGGUACUCUGUAAAAGUUCUUAUGAGUGAAUUGUUCCGGCUGUUCAAUCUGCGCGAGCUCGACAAAUCUAUCCUGAGUUGCUACGUUCUGUAAGUGAUUUAUUUCUACCUCAUCUCGUUCUUCAUUGCCUGUACUAUAUAUAUAUAUAUUUUUUUUCCUAACUAUAUUGUUGCGUACGCUAUUAUGCAGAUUGAAGAUUUGGGAAUGCAAAAUAAGAAACAUCCAUGAUGUUGGGUUCAUUGACCCACAUAUCGUUAAUGGACAUGUGUUACAACAUCACCCCGAAGACGUGGAGAAAGACUUGUACAAGUUUCUUAGAAAGCAUCAACUCAAAAGUCAUAUUCUAUUUCCUUACCAUUUUGGGUGAGUGUUUCUCUCUUGUGCCCAUUCUCUUUUGUUUACUCCAUGCAUGGUAUGUCUAAUCGAUGAGUUAUGCAUGACUGUGCAUGUAACGUGUCCGCAGGUUCCACUGAAUUCUGCUAAAUAUUGAACUUCACACCUCCAGAGUUCUAAUCAUGGACUCUAUGGAUUCGGAUCCAAAGCGUUGGGCCGACAUGAGAAAAAUGCUGCAAAAGUAAUUAUUUUAAAUCAUUUGAGCUCUAUAUCGAUCGGUCUCUUUCGUUCAUUUCCUAAUAUCAAGUAACUAAUAACUCCCUUGUUCAUUUAAUUUUCUUUGCCCUGUAGGGUUUGGAGACGGUUCUCAGAAGAAAUUGUCGGUGAAUUCAAACAUGAGCUAGAUUUUAGAAGAUUAGUUAAUGUGGAUAAGCAGCCACCGGGGACCAAUCUAUGUUGAUACUAUGUUUGUGAGAACAUCCGGAGACACACCUCUGAGCGGAAGGCAUCGGAUAGCGUGCGGAAGGCGACGGAUAACUUGCGGAGGAGGCUUAGUCCAGAAGCUCGCUUCCGACCAAUUCAAGAUGAAUUAGCAGGAUUUUUCAUGAGGGAAGUGAUCAAUCCUAAAGGAGAACACUAUACCGAGGACGAAGAAAUUUAUAUGCAUACCCGAGAUUGAAACUUGUUCGAAGUUGUAUAUGGUCAUCCAUCCUAAUUGUGUAUGGAAACUUGUUCGAAGUUGUAUAUGGUCACCCGAGAUUGAAUAUAUAUUAUAUAUUCCUCUUGAAUUCUUCUUGUUUGAAAUUUCAUAUGCAUGUAUAUAGUAGCGUAGAAUAUGUGUACUGAAACUUCAUCAAAAUUAAAAUAAAACACAAAAUAAAAUAUAAAAGAAAUAAAACACUACAAAUUAAAAAGAAACCAGGUUUAGGGGGGCUAAAACCCUAAACCUGCGGAGGAGGCCUUUAGUCCCGGUUAGCCACGAGAACCGGGACUAAAGGUCCUCCGCCCCGACGGACUCCUGGCGCCCACGUGGACGGGCCUUUAGUCGCGGUUCGUAAGAGGCGCGACUAAAGGGGGGGCCUUUAGUCGCGCAUAUUUAGUCCCGGUUGCACAGCCGGGAUUAAUGGCCUUUGCGAACCGGGACUAAAGGCCUAUUUUCUACCGGUGUAUCUUCCACCAUGGCCUCUCUGUACGGUGUGUGCUUGGAAGGGGUUGACAACUUACUGAACCGUACCCUACCUGCGGCAGGGACAAGUGGUAGUACGAAACAAGUAUGGGGUUACUGGAACAAGACUCGAUCUACGGCCGACUCAGGAGGUUCAAGUAUUCCCUGUAUGAUUAGCAUAACAAAUAUAUUUCAAUUAACAGAUAGAAUCACCACUCAUCAUACCUCAUCAUGCCAUACCGGACACCCUCGUCUCGACGAGGAACUAGGGACAAGCUCGUGUCUACCCAAGACAGAGACUUUCCCGGCUUCCUUCCGGUAUGCAUGAAAAGCAUACGAGGAUGAUUACUAUCACCAGCAUAUCCAUUUCUAACAGCCAAGAAUCUUCAUUAUGCACUCAUGCGUAUGAUUGUAUCGUCACAUAAAAUAACGAAUGCUCCAUGUCAAGGUGGUGUUGUAACCGUAUCAAACAACACACAAAAAUAUUAUGCCAGGGUUCAGAAUGCUUGCCUUCAAGUUGUGGAGAGGCAGGGUGCAUUUCAAAACUUUUGAAAGUUUUCUUCACUUUUGAAAAUAUUCAAAUUAACACAUAGAUUCAAAACAGUGCAAAAAAGUUGUUUGAAUUUUUUUCAAAUAAAUAUGAAAAUAAACUAGACAAAAUUUGAGGAAGUUAGGAAAAAGAAUCAACUCAUUUGGAGUUAUAUUUAAAAAGUUAUAGCCAGUCAAAGUUUGGUCAAAAUUCUGUUUUUAAAUAAAACAGAAAAACGUUUUGAAAUAAAUACACGUCGAAGACGUACUCUGGGAUUACGCCUCCACUUACGCCAGCGUGGACCGACGCGGGGUCACUAACAGUGGGUCCAGGGGGGCCAUUGGUCAGGUUUGACCAGUCGUCCCCGCCUCCUUCCUCCUCUGGCCGAACAGAGGCGGGGCUCCGGCGAUCGUCGCCAGCGAUUUGCGGCUCCUCGCGGGGCUCCGAGGGCGGGGAUGGAUCCGCCAGUCCAGGGCGGUCCUCCCGGUGGUCGAGGGGUUGGUGGGGGUGGAGGGAGUCGCCGGCGGCGAGCUCUGCGGCGGACGGCGGCCUCGGGAGGAUUGGGGCUUCACGCUACGGUGGCGCCCCAUCGAAGCUGAGGGUUUGGGCGGCUCCGCAAGAUCGAGGGGAAGAGGACGGUGGCUCUAGAUGGGCUGGGGAGGCCUUGCUUGCGACGAAAUGGAUCGGAGGGCGGCGGCGGCCGAACUGGCCGGAGACGGGGAAGAAGGCUUCCCGCUGUCGCUGGCUGGCCGUGGGGGCUUUGGUGGAGCGGCUUGAGGUCGCCUGGGUGCCUGGUCGAGCUCGGGGUCCCUAUUUAUAGCGCAACUACGUCGGUUCCGCGGCCGUGGAUAAGGACGCCGGCGAACCGCCGUUCUGUAGCUGCAGGGCGACGUGGUGAGGGCUGGCGGGGUCUGGCAGGGCGAGGGGAUGAGCUCGAGCUGUUCAGGGCGAGCUGGCGCGCGGCUGUGGCUCGGGCGGCGCCGUCCAGGGCAGGAGCCCACUGUGGCCGACCGCUAGCCGCCGUGGCCAACCUGACGGCGGCGCUGUGGGGCUCCAGGGGCGGCUCUGCGGCGAGGGAAGGGGCGGGCGUGUUGGUUGCGGGUGGGGAAGGGCCAGAACGAGCGCGGGGCAACGGCAGUGGGACGCGGCGACUCGGUGCGCGCGCGUGCAAAACGUGCGCUCUGGGCGCGCCCAGCGCACGUACGCGAGGUGUUCGGCAAAAUGCCAAGGCAUGCCAGGAGGCUUGGGUGGGGCUGGGGAUUACCAGGUCUAGGCUAGGGUUUGCAAGGAGAUCAGUGGUCAAGCUUGUUAGGUCAGGGGAUCAAGUUCACAAUGCAAACUAAUAAUCAUGCCAAAUCUGUUCAUGCACUCAAGGUGUUCGACAGAAUGCUAAGUGCAUCUAGGCAACUCUUGGGGUGGCCAAAAGCUCCAGACCAGUGUCUCUUUACAUGUAGGUGGUGGUGGCAAGGUUAGUUUGGCAAAACUAGAAACUAGUUAGUGCAAGUUUUUAAGAAAACCAAUUCUGGGCAGAAACUAAAAGCUAUCAUUCCAUGGACCAAAAUUACUCCAAUGGGUCCACUCUCCUGGACUUAAGGGUUUUGUAGGGAGGACUAUAAGCAGGAAAAAGAAUCAUGGGCAACAGAGCAAAAUAAAAUGGGGUUGCAGUAGAAAAUAUCAAACUGGGCCAGAGAGCAAAAGAGGAUGAUUUGCUCAAAAUCAACAUCCCCAAGUAAACGCAUUCUCGAAUUCCAGAUGCAAACACUAGGCAGCAAAAUGCAACCUGUGUUGUACCUCUGCCUAUUGCUCAUGCCCUGCCUAUUUCUCGUGGAAGAAGCACACGCGGCGCGCCAUGGAGGGAUCUCACUGAGGUCCCAACACAUUGCCCUCCUCCACUGGAAAGCUACACUUGCAAGCCCACCGGUGCAGAUGAGCUCUUGGCAGGAAAACAACACCCCCUGCAACUGGACGGGCAUCGUGUGCACAGCUGUUCGCCAUGGCCGCCGCAUGCCCAGGGUAGUUACCGACAUCUCCCUGCCGGAUGCUGGCAUCAGGGGCCAGCUUGGUGAGCUCAACUUCUCAGCUCUUCCAUUCCUCACAUAUAUUGACCUCACCAACAACAGUCUCCAUGGUGCACUACCAGCUAGUAUCAGCUGCCUGUCAUCACUUUUGGAACUCUACCUUCCCUACAACCAGCUCACAUGGAAAAUUCCCGAUGAGAUUGGUGGCCUGCAAAGUCUGAGGGUGCUUGAGCUCUCAUUUAACAGACUCACAGGACAUAUUCCUGCGUCUCUGGGCAACCUAACAAUGUUAACUGAUCUCGCCAUUCACCAAACCAUGGUAUCAGGUCCCAUUCCUGAGGAGAUUGGAAGGCUUGUCAACCUGCAAAUUCUACAGCUAAGCAAUAGCAUCUUAAGCGGCAUAAUACCAAAAACCCUUGGAAAUCUGAGCCGGCUAAAUACUUUGUACCUAUAUGGUAAUCAACUUUCAGGUCCUAUACCACAAGAACUAGGCACGCUAGUACGUUUGCAAAUUCUUGAGCUUAGUUCAAAUAAUUUUUCAGGUCCAAUUCCAAUAUCCAUAACCAAUCUCACUAAGAUGAACCAACUUUUUCUCUUUGAAAAUCAAAUCACAGGUUCAAUACCCCCAGAACUAGGCAAACUCGCUAAGCUAAACCAACUUGUUCUCUACAAAAAUCAAAUAACAGGUUCAAUACCCCCAGAACUAGGGAACCUCGCUAUUCUAGACCAACUUGAACUCUAUAGUAAUCAAAUAACUGGUUCAAUACUCCCAGAACUAGGGAAUCUCACUGUGCUUAAUGAACUUUCUCUCUAUGCAAAUCAAAUCACAGGUCCAAUACCUCCAGAACUAGGAAACCUCACUAUGCUCAAUGUACUUUAUCUCUAUACAAACGAAAUCACAGGCGCGAUACCUUUAGAAUUGGGCAUGUUAUUGAAUCUCAGAGAAUUAGACUUGUCCGAUAACCAAAUAUCUGGCUCUAUUCCCCAAGAGAUUGGCAAUCUGAUGAACCUCAAAUAUUUAUACUUGUUUCAGAAUCAAAUUUCGGGCUCAAUACCUAGAACUUUUGGGAAGUUGCAAAGCAUGCAAGAACUGCUAGUCUUUGAUAACAACUUAUCAGGUUCUCUUCCUCAAGAAUUUGAAGAUCUCAUCAGCCUUGUUACACUUGAGUUGUCUAACAACUCAUUUUCAGGACCUUUACCCGCAAAUAUUUGUUCAGGUGGGAAACUUCAAUAUCUCAUUGCCUUCUCUAAUAUGUUCAAUGGCCCCAUUCCAAGGAGUUUAAAGACAUGUACGAGUUUGGUUGAAAUUGACCUUCAAUCGAACCGUCUAACAGGGGAUAUAUCUCAACACUUUGGUGUGUAUCCACAACUCAUAAAGAUGAUCUUGAAAUCGAAUAGACUCUCUGGGCACAUCUCACCAAAUAUAGGUGCAUGUACCCAACUAACGGUGCUACGUCUAGCACAAAAUAUGAUCACGGGUUCCAUACCUCCAGUCAUUUCGAAAUUGUCCAACCUAGAACAACUAAGACUCGAUUCUAAUCAUCUCAGCGGUGAGAUUCCACCAGAAAUCUGCACUUUAGCAAAUCUAUAUAGCCUUAACUUAUCAUCAAACCAAUUAUCUGGAUCCAUACCUACACAGGUAGAAAAGCUAAGCAAUCUAGGAUACCUUGAUAUAUCUGGGAACAUACUGAGUGGAUUAAUACCCGAGGAACUAGGAGCAUGCAUGAAACUACAGUCCCUGAAGAUCAACAACAACAACUUCGGUGGGAGCUUGCCUGGUGCGAUUGGAAAUUUAGCAGGCUUGCAGAUCAUGUUAGAUGUGAGCAACAAUAACCUCAGUGGUGUGUUGCCCCAACAACUUGGGAAGUUGCAGAUGCUAGAAUUUCUGAAUUUAUCACAUAAUCAGUUCAGUGGCAGCAUUCCAUCCUCCUUCACAGGCAUGGUGAGCCUGUCAACACUCGAUGUGUCCUACAACGGCUUGGAAGGACUGGUGCCAACAACACGGCUACUCCAAAAUGCUUCAGCAAGUUGGUUUCUUCCCAAUAAGGGUCUGUGUGGUAACCUCUCUGGCCUGCCACCUUGUUAUUCAACCCAAGUAGCUGCUCACCAAAAAGGGAAGAUACUUUGUUUGCUUUUGCCAAUUGUUCUUGUGAUGGGUUUCAGCAUUGUUGUUACAAUUGCUGUCAUAAAAAUGAUUAGUCGAAACAAGAGUAAACCACAAGAAAAUGUUACCGCUGAAGCAAGGGACCAAUUCUCUGUUUGGAAUUUCAACGGAAGAUUGGCAUUUGACGAUAUUGUAAGGGCAACAGAAGACUUUGACGAUAAGUACAUCAUUGGAACGGGGGGAUACGGCAAAGUCUACAAGGCACAACUCCAAGAUGGGCAGCUGGUUGCUGUGAAGAAGCUUCAUCAGACCGAAGAAGAGUUGGAUGAUGAAAGAAGAUUUCGUAGUGAGAUGGAAAUCUUAUCGCAGAUCCGACAACGAAGCAUCGUCAAAAUGUAUGGAUUUUGCUCCCAUCCAGCGUAUAAAUUUCUUGUCUACGACUACAUUCAGCAGGGCAGCCUCCAUAGGAUACUGGAAAAUGAGGAGCUAGCAAAGGAAUUCGAUUGGCAGAAGAGAAUUGCUCUUCCAAAUGAUGUGGCUCAAGCAAUAUCUUAUUUGCACCACGAAUGCAGUCCACCUAUAAUCCAUCGAGAUAUCACGAGUAACAACAUCUUACUUGAUACAACCUUCAAGGCUUUCCUCUCGGAUUUCGGCACAGCAAGGAUUCUUAAGUCAGAUUCAUCAAACCGGAGUGCACUAGCAGGAACGUAUGGCUACAUAGCUCCUGGUAUGUGCUAGUAUAACCUUUCUUGUCACCACACAAGCAUUCAGCUCUAUCAAUUUGUUCCUAAUCCUAAUGUUCUUCUCGAUGUUGUGCAGAACUGUCGUACACAUUUGUUGUGACAGAGAAAUGUGACGUAUAUAGCUUUGGCAUUGUUGUGCUAGAGCUACUGAUGGGGAAGCAUCCGAGGGAUCUAUUAGAUGGUACUUUCUUAAAUGGAGAACAAACUAUACUGGUGCAAGAUAUUCUGGACCAACGGGUGACAACACCAACAACAACAGAAGAGAACAACUUAUGUCUCCUCAUUAAGCUGGCCUUUUCUUGCUUGGGUUCUUUUCCACAAGCAAGGCCAACCAUGAGGGAGGCAUACCAAACGCUCAUCCAGCGAUCCUCUUCUAGUUCAUGUCCCGUGCCUUUCUACGCAUUUACAUUACAGCAAGCAAGGGAUGCAUAUUAAUAUAUUAUCCAAAAUCUAGUGAGAAACAAGGAUCUAUCAAAGCGGAGGCCGAUUUAGGUUUCCGCUUUUGAGUCGAGUCACUCAUACAUGCUACCUAUAUAUAAUUCGGGAUGAGUUGAUUACUCAUUGUAAGUCUAUUUGUUUUGUAGACACUCUCCUGAUACAGUGAACGAUCACCGUUGUGUGCCCGUGGUUUUCUCCGCAAUGGUUUUCCGAAUAAAAACUGGUGUCCCAUGUUAUUGAUAUUUCUCGGUUUGUUCGCUUGCCGAUAACAAUGCAUAAUAUAAUUUGUUUUCCGGGUUGCUUGUAAAAUGUAUGCGGUGUUUCUGAUUAUAUUUGUUUUAAGACUGUGGACAUGGUAUCCACAUGUGACACUUUCUUUCGGUUGUUGUCUACACUUGAAAUGGUGUGCUAAAAUUUGUCUCUUUUUAUCUAGCUAGUAUUUGCCCCCAAGAACCUAAAGAUGGAAAAAAAAAUGGAUCUGAAACUGGUGUGAUGUCAUGUAGUCCCACUUUAUUGUUCCAUAUAUAUGGGAACCAAGAUAAAAUAUCUUGGACCAAGCAGGAACGAUCAAAUGGUUGACACAUAAAUGGGAACAAAUGAAUGUAAACACACAGAAAUAGGUGCAUCACAAAAGAAAAGUACCACAGUUUGUAGGGCAGGAGUAUGUAGUCCUUGUCCUUAUGAUGGAGAAAUGUACUAAUGCUCAUCUCGUUUUAUCUAUUAUUAUUACUCCCGUGAACCUGAAGAUGAAAAAAAUUGGAAUCCAAAUCUGACGCGAUAUCAUGAUCCCGCUUUAUUGUUCUUUGGGUAUAAAAGUAAAAAUACCUUGUACCAAGCAGGAACAAUCGCAAUGAUCAAGUGUUUGAUGCGUAAACAGGAACAAUGAAUGUAAACACACGGAUAUAGAGGCAUAAAACAAGAAAAGUAGAACGGUACUAACUAAAAGGACCUACAGUUGGUUGUAGGGCACGAGUAUGUAGUCCUUGUCCUUGGGAUGGACCGAUGGAGCAUAUGUUGUCCUUGUCCUUAGGAUGGAGCAAUAAACAAUACUACACUUAAUUUCAAGCACUGGUUGGCGAGAUUUUCAUGGAACAAAGAUACAACCUUCCUUUCUUCAUGCCUAAUACAAACUUAACAAAGGAUGAGAUGAGAUGAGAUGAUAGGAAAAGGCCGUGACUGACAGCACGAGAGCCAGCAAUGUCCCAUAACUUCAUUAUCAGAAAAGCAGAUACCAAUUCAACUCAACAGAGACAUACUAACAACAGGAUGUACAACCGUAUACAUAACACUCACUUUAUUGCUCACUAUUAUUCCAACACAAUGGGGAAAAGACAUCUCAUCGUUCAACGAAUUGCAGUGGUAUAUGAGGAGCGAUGCAAUGAAUUUGUCCGUGCAUAAACAAAGCGUCGACUAUUUACAACGAGAUCAAACCUAUAACGUAGUCAUUUUUGUUACUUUUCAGGUACCAAUUGAUGCAUGCGGCAUUGCAGGCAGUCCCAGUUCAUCCUCCUGCGCCAACAGACAAAAGUAAGGAGAGCAAAUUAGUCUCCUUGUCAUGUGAUAAGAUAAAGGACACCGUUUAUAGCUUCAGGCACUGUGAUUGCAUGGGAAAAUGACACGAGUCAUCGAUUUCUUCCUUGGGAUAUCAGCACCAUAAUCAAUGUGAACAGAAACUAGUCAGUCUCGCAAUUGACAUACCUGCUGCCGGUUUGCCGGGACUGCUGCAUGAUCACUUGGUGCAGCAGGUUAGUUAAGCUCAGAAUAAAGAUCGGUCUCCUUGUCUGGUUGGAGGUACGGUGGGAGUGAGUUUGAUUCGAAGUCCAUAUCAGCUUUCAAAGCAUCAAGCUCUGCAUGCAUUUUUCAACAUAAAAAUGAGAAUAUCAUACAGAGAACUACUGUCUUGUCUCUAAAUUAACAUGUGCGUGACACAAAACUACUGAAGUUUUGCAAAAGUGCCAAAGAAAUUUUCAGAAGAAAUCUAAGACUGAUAUAAAUUGGAGAGUUUGCUGGAUCAGACUCAACUAUGAAAUUCAAAUAGAAGUGGCUCCUCCUCAUAGAUGUCAUCUGGGACAUUGCUCACAUCCAUAAGAUCCAUCAUCUCGUCUUACAUUGUUCACGUCCAUAUAUCUUGAAAACAAUCUACUCCCUCCUUCCGAAAAAGCUUGUCUCUCAAAUGGAUGUAUCUAGCACCAAGUUAGUGCUAGAUACAUCCAUAUGAGGGACAAGCUUUUCCGGACGGAGGGAGUAGUAAACAACAGGAUGCUGCAUACAUCCAUGUCUUCAAUCCUGACAGUCUUCAUCAUCCCUUUCAGCUCUUCAUUUGCAGCCUUCAUGGCAGCUAUCUGUUAAAUGAAGACACUUCAACAUAAGUCUUGGAGCAAGAAUCAGAAUCUAUCAUGAACUUGGUAGGAAACUAAGGCAAUAUACAGAUUAUAUGAGCCUGGUGAGCAACUGGGUCGAGAUUAUAUGGUUGUACAGAAUGUCAAAUUAUCCUUAAUACCUGUAGGGAAAGCAUGUGGACUAAUAGGCUGCUGCCACAGAAAUGAAAUGAAUGGUUAGAUGCUACAGGAUCGUCAGCUCCAUUUAACUACGGCCAGGAGCAUGGAGCAAUAAUAGCACUCCAUUUCUAUCCUGUCCAUGUUAAGAUGACAGAUAACCUAAGCAGAUAAGUACACAACUCCUAUAUGUAAGGAACUUAUGAGACUACACAAAAAUGGCAUAUAUUACUGUACAGAAGGGGGUAAAAUCUAAAGGUGUAUUAGAGCACAUCGACCAGAUUCACGAUACUAUAUCUUCUCGGAUAACCCUUUAGACGGCGACUUUUCAACAUUGAUGGGUCGGCUCCUUGUUGGGCAUUUCAUCGAACAUGUGGUGUGUGGAAACUUGCCCUUAUGGCCCAGCUCGCCUCCCUCCUCUGAAUCCUCUUCCUGCCCCUGAAAUCCGCGUCAAUCACCAGAAGUUGCAGGAUUCAUUAGAUUGGGAGAGCACCUACUGACCUGAGGCACGGUGAGCACUGGUAGUCGACGGAGUUGGCGUUGGCGGUGGCGUGGCUACCCUCGAUCAAUGUACGCGCUUGUCAUAGCAGAGCUCGCGGACGUGGUCAGUGGCGUUGCCGCUGCACUCACUUGAUGGCCCCCCGGAGCGAGGGGAGGAGACUUCGCGUGGGGGAGGAGGACGGCGAGAGGUCGGUCGGUGCGGCUUGGGCUUGGAGUUGCACGCCGACGGGGACGCAUCGGUGGCCGGAGCACGGAGGCCGGCCGGCGGUGGGACUGGAGUACCUGCCUGCCAGGGCCGGACCCCGGCCCAAAAAGAAAUAUUGCUCACUCAUAGGCCGCAGUCCAAUCACGAAAUCACUAAUUGAGGAGUACUCGUUGCAAAGAUCAUUCCAAUUUCCCUAGUUGCGACAAGUGACGCACAUGCAGCGCGCCACAUGUCGCAACCUGAAGUUUUCUCUUUUUUCAUAGAUUCGUUUAUUCAAAACGUUUUAUCUCUUAAACCAUGCGUCCAAAUCUCGAAGCGCUUUCAUCGUUGAAUUCCUCGCGUCGAGAUCUUCAAAAUCAGAUCAUAUGUUGAUAGGUUUUAACGAACCUUUUUUCAUGAAAAAACCGGACGAAAAACCAAACCAGGAGCACGGGUUUUUUUCCCUUUUCGAAAGAGACAUGCCCGUGCCUCUCACGAAAUCACAACCGUGCCUCUCGCGGAAGCAAAACCGUGACUCUCGCGAAAGGAAAAAAAGAGAAAACACGUUUUUUUUCGUUUCCGAGAGGCACGGCUGUGACUCUUGCGAAAGCACACCCAUGCCUCUCGCGGAAGCAAAACCGUGACUCUUGCGAAAGAAAAAAAACAGAAAACACGUUUUUUUUCAUUUUCGAGAGGCACGGCCGUGACUCUCGCAAAAUCAAAACCGUGCCUCUCGCAGAAUCAAAACCGUGACUCUCGCGAAAGGAAAAAAACGUGUUUUUUCGCGUUCAAAUUUUUUUAUUGAAAAGCUAAGGAAGACCGAUGGAAAACCAAAACGCCGAAAAAACCCAAAAAAACCAUUUAAAAGCCGAAAAAGCGUGUAGAAAAAUAAAAAAAUAAAAUCUGGAAGGAGCGCCCAGAGCGCGACACGUGGCGAAUGGCUAUGAGCGCGCCAAGUGACGCUGAUCGUUACGAGGCUCCCGAAGGAGCGCUCGUUAACUAGUUGCUCUCGUCCAAUCAAGCGUUUUCUUCUGUUGGCUAGAGCUGGCCCAAAAAGAAAGCGCUCAAGUCGGCUGGAGUUUUUUUUGUGUGUUUUUUUUUCCUUUUUCUUUGUGUCCGUUCUUUUUUUUUCAUUGUCAAAUGCUCAUAGUGUUUUUUAUUUCAUCAUGUGUUUUAGAAAUCCAUACAUUUCUCAAAAUUGUUUAUCAUGUAUUUAAGAAAUGUUUACCGUUGUAUCUACCAAUUGUUCAUUGUAUAAAAAAAAUAUUCACGGUGUUUCUAAAAAUAUAUUAAUAGGCUGACGUGGGCAGGCUGGUCGGGUGGAUACCUCCUACACAUAGAUCCUGCCCGAUUUGAGAGCAGGUGAGGGGGAGGAAGAUGUGGCACUCGGGAUAUUUGUGAUGUGCUUUCACUUUUGACAAGGCACAAGAAGCGACCACAUGGUCAAGUACAGCACCAUCAUCACCCACAGACACGUACAUACAUCAUAUCACAAUGUUUGAGAUACAUGUUGAAUUCUUCACUUGAACUCUCUCUUGUAAUCAUCAUCUCAGGAUCUUGAUCCUCCAUGGCUUAACUCAUAAGGUAGAGCAACUAAAGUUUGAGUCGCACACGAGGACUCUGUCUUUUAUUUUUCAUCUUCUUUCAACCUUGAAUUCAACAUAUGGUCUCCAAGCAUUGCCUAUGGAUAAACCUUCGAGUAUAAAAAAAGAGAAUGACUCACACAGACCAACAAAUAAUUUACUACUCCCUCCGUUUCAAAAUAUUUAUCAUGGUUUUAAUUCGAAUUUAAACUAAAACCACAGCAAGCAUUUUGGAACAGAGGGAGUAGUACCUUAUGUGGCUUACUUAGUUUCUUUUUCUUUUUCUUUUUUUGCGGGGGACGGCCUACUUAGUUUCAACCAUUGGUUGGCAGGACUGACAUGGAAAGCCUUCUUAUUUCUUCAUGCCUAAUGCAAACUUAUUAACAGAAUGGGUGAGUAGAGAUGGUACGAGAACUAGCAAAUACCCCAAUAAGCUUUUCUUAUCAGAAAAGUAGAUACCAAUUCACCUCAGAACUCAACUAGGCUAGUGGCAAUCACACGCAUGCUAACUACAGGAUGUACAGAGAACACCUUCUUUUAGCACUCACUAUCAUUCGAAAACCAACAAUGUGAAGACACCCUGGAAUGAAAUGAUGGCUGAGCCGAGGAGCAGGUUGAAAGAGAGGAUGCGAGAAGAAGGAAAAUGUCUUGGCAUCCUUAGUUUUACCGUAGCAACGGGCAAAGAGCCAUCGUGGCAAAUAUUGCCGUGCUUGAUAUGACACGGCAAUCCAGCAGACGUACAGGAAGCGCUAGUAGUAGACUUUUACCGGUUCAACCUACGUGAGCUUGCAACUUUUCUUCAGCUUUGAAUUCCACAAGCUGCAGCCAAACACAUGACUUCCAACAAGACUUGCGGUCCAGUAUUUGUCUUAACCUCAACCGAACAUAGAAACCAUCAAUAGAAUUCCAGCACGGAAUUUUCCACUGGUCUCUUUUACUAGUAAGAUCAAGCUAGGAUGAGCUCAAUUCUUCGCACCAACAAUAAAGGUAUCUUUCAUGACACUAAGCCUGAAAUAGACGACUUAAGAGUUCAGAAAUAUGUUCAUAACGAUCUCAACAAUCUAGCCUCUCUCAAUUAGAUCAUGUGACAGGAUAAAAAAAAACCCGACUAGUACAGAGCAUGGUAUAUUAGAAGUUGCAUUCAAAGCGGGCCUCGAGGACACUAUCCACGCGAGUGGGCACUAUCUGAACACGGGCAUCUGCACCCACUUUUAAAAAACUGCAUUUUAAGCAUGUUUUGAAAUGUUAAAAAUUGUAACAGAAAAUUUUAUGCAUACAUGUUCGCAAAUGUGUGUGCGCGGCACAAAGUUUUGUGAAAAAAUGUCUUUUUGGUUUGCCUCCGUAAAAACGACAAAUUUCAGUGCUUCUAAAUAGCGUUUCACGACACAAUUUUUGUCUUUUUUGCACAGGCCUAAAAAAAGUUAAUUUUUUAGUGAAACUUUAUGCACGCCCAUAGAACAUGAAGACGUACCCGUGCAACCUUUUUCAGAUUUUCGUGGCAUUUAGAAAUGUGUUUUUCAAAGUGGGUUCAUAUGUACCCGGGUUCAUCUAUGCACUUCCCCUAUCCGCGCCCCCUACAUUCCGCGUGGCUUCGCGGCUUCCCUACAUUGCCGGAUUCAUCGGUCCGUGGUGCUCCCCACCGCCCACACACUCCUCAAUCUUUCUACCCACCGGAUCCAUACGCCGGUGGUGCUCCACGCCGAAGGGUGCUUCUGUAUAUUGCCUUUACUGGCGCGGAAUUCAUAAUGGGCCGGUUAUUGGCGAAUCCAUAAUGGGUUGGUUACUGGCGUGGCCCAUUAAAAGAUAUACUUUUUCUUGUUAAAUCUCAAAAUUUAUAUUUACUUUAUAAUAAUAUAUUAAAAAUUAUUUCAAAAGAAAAUGUUCACGUGUACAAAAGAAAUGUUCAGGUAUAUUGGAAAAAAAAGGGUUCAUAUAUUAGGAAAAAAUGUUCACAUAUAAUUUGAAUCUAGCUUAGUUUGCUUUUAUCUUUGUCGCAUUCAUACAAGUGUUCGCUGCACUGUUGCAUCUCUAUGCACUACCAUAGUACUGCUGUAAGUAUGGAGGCAGUAGUAAUAAUUUGCACACUUUUGGUUACUUAUAAAUUACCUGUGGGCUGUGGUUGGAAUAGUGUGAUUGACAUGCCAAUAACAGGAUGCACAACGACCGUACAGAGACCAGCUCACAUUACUCCAAGACAAGUCUUCAUCUACCUUGCUGAGAACCUUCUCAUAUGUUUGACGGAAUAGCGGAGGUUGACGGAUUUGUACCCUUUUGAUUACUCAUAAAUUAGAAAGGGGCAUACCUGGGAAUAUUUGUGUGUCGGAUGUUACACGGCAAUCAACAACAUGCACGGGCCCGCAGACCUACCGAAAGCGCCGGUGACCCACUUGAGCUUGGAUUUUUUGCUUCAGCUUGUGUGGUCAUGAUGCUGCCUGGUUGUAUAGGCUAUGAAUUCCACAAGACUUCCAACACAAUAUACACUUGCGUGGUUGUACAGCGCCACUCCGUCAUUUUCCUCGUACACAGGACUUCCAACAAGACUUGGGGUCCAGCAUUUAUAUUAACCACAAUUCAGCACUGAAACCUUUAUUUUUACCACCAGCACGGAAUUUUCCCAAAAUUUGUUGUUGUGUUGCGCCACCAGCCACGAGUCCUUGACCUAAAUCUAAAUCGUUUGUUCUAUGUACCAGCUGAAAAGCGAAAAUGGAAAUUAACAUUGGUACCGUGGAGAAUAGCUUAACUGAAGCAGUUACAGAUUACAUGAUCAAAUAAACAAAUAUACUAUCAAACCAACCACAGGAGAUACAAAAACCUCUACUGCAAUGUUAACUCAAAGUCCAUCAGCACAUAAGUCGUAGACGGAGGAGAUAUGACUAGGCGUAUGCCGCGUGUACCCUUCUAUCCCUUCCUUCAGUUGCUUUCUAGGAAUAAUUACAGUUUCAUUCUUCCACUGGCACGAGCAAAGAAAAGAGGAAUAGAUGGCGACACCAGAAAGCUCUCGUGUAGCUCAGGCUACAUGGAACCUCUUAUCCUCAACCCUCCAGCCUUGCUUUGAGAUCCGUACUCUCCAACUAACUUACAACAAGAAGAUUUCUCUUUUUUGUUUCUCUCAAAUGAAGCAACAUAUGAAUUUCAAAGGGAAAGAAAAAGGGGCAGAGAUGGCGACACAUUGAAGAAUAGUCAUCCAGCAGCAUCUUCCACUCAACUAUUGUGUGUUGAUUGAGGACCUCACAACAACGAAAGACACACUAGUUAAAUACACAUCAAUAGUUUGCGUAGAAUCACAUCCCCCAACCAAACACAGCAUGCAAACACUACGUAGAAAAAUGGCAUCUUGCUCAACACCACUGUUGUACCUCUGCUUACUGCUGGUGCCAUGCCUUCUUCUCUUGGAAGAAGCGCAUGCGGCACGCCAUGGAGGGAUCUUGCUGAGGUCUCAACGUAUGGCCCUCCUCCGCUGGAAAGCUACACUUGCAGGCCCACCGCUGCAGAUGAGCUCUUGGCAGGAAAACACCAGCCCGUGCAACUGGACAGGCAUCAUGUGCACGGCUGUUCGCCAUGGCCGCCGUGUACCCAGGGUGGUGACCAACAUCUCCCUGCCGGAUGCGGGCAUCCAUGGCAAAUUUGGUGAGCUCAACUUCUCGUCUCUUCCAUUCCUCUCAUAUAUUGACCUACGUAACAACAGCCUCCAUGGUGCACUGCCUACUAGUAUCAGCUCUCUGUUAGCACUUUCGGUACUUGGCCUUACCUACAACCAGCUUACAGGGAAAAUUCCUAAUGAGAUUGGUGGUCUACAAAGUCUCAUGCAGCUUGAGCUAUCAUUUAACAGAUUCACAGGACAUAUCCCUGCGUCUCUAGGCAACCUGACAAUGUUAACUUAUCUUGGCAUUCACCAAAACUUGGUAUCAGGUCCCAUUCCUGGGGAGAUUGGAAGGCUCGUCAACCUACAACUUCUACAACUAAGCAACAGUAGCUUAAGCGGCAUGAUACCAAAAACCCUUGGAAAUCUGACCAAACUAAAUACUUUGUACUUGUUUGGUAAUCAACUUUCAGGGCCUAUACCCCAAGAACUUGGCAAGCUAGUCCAUUUGCAAAGUCUUGAGCUCGAUUCAAAUGAUUUUUCAGGUCCAAUUCCAAUCUCCAUAACCAAUCUCACUAAGAUGAACACACUUUUUCUCUUUGAAAAUCAAAUCACAGGUUCAAUACCCCCAGAACUAGGCAACCUCUCUAUGUUAACCCAACUUGAUCUCUACACAAAUCAAAUAACAGGUUCGAUACCACCAGAACUAGGGAACCUCACUAUGCUAACUGAACUUUUUCUUUAUACAAAUCAAAUAACAGGUUCAAUACCCAGAGAACUAGGCAACCUCGCUAUGCUAAACAACCUUGAUCUCUCUACAAAUCAAAUCACAGGUUCAAUACCCAGAGAACUAGGGAACCUCACUAUGCUAACUGAACUUUUUCUUUAUACAAAUCAAAUAACAGGUUCAAUACCCAGAGAACUAGGCAACCUCGCUAUGCUAAACAGCCUUGCUCUCUCUAGAAAUCAAAUCACAGGUUCAAUACCCAGAGAACUAGGCAACCUCACUAUGCUAACUGAACUUUUUCUUUAUAAAAAUCAAAUAACAGGUUCAAUACCCAGAGAACUAGGCAACCUCGCUAUGCUAAACAACCUUGCUCUCUCUAGAAAUCAAAUCACAGGUUCAAUACCCAGAGAACUAGGCAACCUCGCUAUGCUAAACAACCUUGCUCUCUCUAGAAAUCAAAUCACAGGUUCAAUACCCAGAGAACUAGGCAACCUCACUAUGCUGAAUAAACUUUAUCUCUACAGCAAUAAAAUCACGGGUCCUAUACCUUUAGAAUUGGGCAUCCUGUUGAAUCUUCAAGAAUUAUACUUGUCUGACAACCAAAUAACCGGUUCCAUUCCCUAAGAGAUUGGUGAUCUGAUGAAGCUCCAAUAUUUAGGCUUGUAUCAGAACCAAAUUUCAGGGUCAAUACCAAAAACUUUUGGGAAGCUGCAAAGCAUCCAAAAACUUCAAACCUUUUAUAACAACUUAUCAGGUUCUCUUCCUCAAGAAUUUGGAGAUCUAAUAAACCUUGUUCAUCUUGCGUUGUCUAACAACUCACUCUCAGGACCUUUACCAGAAAAUAUAUGUUUAGGUGGCAGACUUCAAACUCUCAGUGUCUUUUCCAAUAUGUUCAAUGGCCCCAUUCCUAGGAGUUUAAAGACAUGUACCAGUUUGGUUCGAAUUGACCUUGAGUCGAAUCAACUAACAGGAGAUCUCUCUCGGGAUUUUGGUGGGUAUCCACAACUCAUAAAGAUGAGCUUAGCAUCGAACAGAUUCUUUGGGCAAAUCUCACCAAAUCUAGGUGGAUGUACCCAGCUAACAGUACUACAUGCAUCUAUCACAUAAUAUGAUCACGGGUUCCAUAUCUCCAAUACUUUCUAAAUUGUCCAACCUAGUAGUACAAAGAUUAGAUUCUAAUAGUCUUAGUGGUGAGAUUCCACCAGAAAUCUGGACUUUAGCUAAUCUAUAUCAACUAAACUUAUCAUCGAACCAAUUAUCUGGAUCCAUACCUACACAUAUAGAAAAGCUAAGCAAUCUAGGAUACCUUGGUAUGUCUAGAAACAGACUGGGUGGAUUAAUACCUGAGGAACUAGGGUCAUGCACAAAACUACAGUCAUUGAAGCUCAAAGACAACAACUUCAGUGGGAGUUUGCCACCCGCGAUUGGAAAUUUAGCAGGCCUGCAGAUCAUGCUAGAUUUGAGCAACAAUAACCUCAGUGGUGUGCUGCCGCAGCAACUUGGGAAGUUGGAGAUGCUGGAAUCUCUGAAUUUAUCACAUAAUCAGUUUGGUGGCAGCAUUCCAUCCUCCUUUGCAAGCAUGGUGAGCCUUUCAACGCUUGAUGUGUCCUACAAUGACUUGGAAGGAUCAGUCCCAACAACACGGCUACUCCAAAAUGCUUCAGCAAGUUGGUUUGUUCCCAAUAAAGGUAUGUGCGGCAACCUCUCUGGCCUGCCACCUUGUUAUUCAACACCAGUAGCUGGCCACCACAAGAAGAAGACACUUGGUUUGCUUUUGCCAAUUGUUCUUGUUGCGGGUCUCAGCAUUAUUGUUGCAAUUGUUGUCAUAAUAAUGCUCAGUCGUAACAAGAAAAAACCCCAAGAAAGUGUCACUAUUGAAGGAAGGGACCUAUUCUAUAUUUGGAAUUUUGAUGGAAGGUUAGCAUUUGAAGAUAUUGUAAGGGCAACAGAAGACUUCGAUGAUAAGUACAUCAUUGGAACAGGAGGAUAUGGCAAAGUGUACAAGGCACAACUCCAAGAUGGGCAGCUAGUUGCUGUGAAGAAGCUUCACCAGACCCAAGAAGAGUUGGAUGACGAAAGAAGAUUUCGUCGUGAAAUGGAAAUCUUAUCACAGAUCAGACAACGAAGCAUUGUCAAAAUGUAUGGAUUCUGUUCCCACCCAGCAUAUAAAUUUCUCAUCUAUGACUACAUUAAGCAGGGAAGCCUCCACAUGACAUUGGAAAAUGAAGAGCUAGCAAAGGAAUUAGAUUGGCAGAAGAGAAUUGCUCUGGCAACUGAUGUGGCUCAGGCAAUAUCUUAUUUGCACCACGAAUGCAGUCCACCAAUAAUCCAUAGAGAUAUCACAAGCAACAACAUCUUACUUGAUACAAUCUUCAAGGCUUUUGUCUCGGAUUUUGGCACUGCAAGGAUUCUUAAGCCCGAUUCAUCAAACUGGAGUGCACUAGCAGGAACAUAUGGCUACAUAGCUCCUGGUAUGUACUAGUAUAACCUUCCUUCUCAUAUCAGAAAUAUUCAUCUCUUAUCCAUUUGUUCAUGAUUCUAAUAUUUUGAUUUUGUGCAGAACUCUCGUACACAUCUGUUGUGACGGAAAAAUGUGAUGUAUAUAGCUUUGGUGUGGUUAUGCUAGAGCUAGUGAUGGGGAAGCAUCCAAGGGAUCUAUUAGACGGUAGUUUGUCAAGCGGGGAACACGCUAUGCUGGUAAAAGAUAUUCUAGACCAACGGCCGACAACACCAACAGCAACAGAAGAGAAUAGCUUAGCUCUGCUCAUCAAGCUGGCCUUUUCUUGCUUGGAAUCUUCUCCACAAGCAAGGGCAACCAUGCGGGAGGCAUACCAAACACUCAUCCAGCGACCCUCUUCUAGCUCCUGCCCCAUGCCUUUCAGCGCACUUACAUUACAGCAAGGGAGUGAUGCAUGUUGAUAUAUGAUCUGAAUUCUAGUGAGAAGCCAAGGUCUAUCAUUGUGGAAGCCGAUUUAGGUUUAUGUUUUGCCUCGAGUCACUCAUAUACCAUCUAUAUAUGUAAAAGUCUGUAAUCAUCUCAUGUCAUCUCGUAGAUUUUAUUUCUAGCAAAAACAAUAACCGGUCCAUGCAGCAUGAGCCUGAUCACGACAUGGCCAGAUCAGUAGUUGCAUGCUAUUAUGAUCGCCUCGUGGGAUGGCACGAGUACCGGCUGUAGCGGCUUAGAACUUGAGGCAUGAUCAAGGGACGUGGGAUGGCAUGUCCGUAAAGCUUGGUCAUGGUGCAAGAUUAGGAUCUUUAUGUUAGCUAGUUGAGCUAAUGAGCUGUUUAAAUAAAGAGGAGAACAAAGCAGAAAGGCUGCAAUGGUUUACACAGAGCAAAUAUCCUGAGUGUCCACUGAUUCUUUUCCCUCCCUGUGCCUCGGGAUGAGUUCAUGACUCAUUGUAAGUGGUCGAUGCUUAAACAAGAACAAAUAAAUAUAAACACACGAAGCUAGGUGCAUAAAAAAGGAAAAUUACCAUAGGACUAAGCAAAAGAACUUAUGCGGGGUUGUAGGGCAAGAGUAUGAAGUCCUUAUCCUUAUGAUGGAGCAUUGUAUCCAGGAGUAUGUAGUCCUCGUCCUUCAGAUGGAACAACAAAUAAUUUACUACUACACUAAAUUUCAAACAUUGAUUGGUGGCGAGAUUGAAAUGGAACAGAGAUACAACCUUACUUUUUAUUCAUGUCUAACAAAUGCUUAACAAAGGAUGAGAUGAUAUGAUAUGCAAAGUCCCAGAUGACAGACAACAGUGAGAGCUAAGCUACUGAAUCAUAGACAUGAAGAGUUUGGUAUGAAUAUAUCCCAUACUCUUUUUACCAGAAAAGUAGGUACCAGUUCACCUUAAAAUUCAAUACAACGAAUUUGUCCAUGCACAAACAAAGCACUGCAGGCAGUCCUAGUUCAUCCUCCUGCACAAGCAGAGGAAAGCAAGCACAGCAAAUUAGUCUACUGGUUGAGACACAAGCAUAGACGUUCACUGAAACUGAAAUGAAGCAGAGUAUGUGUUGUGGUAUGAUAAGACUGAGACAACGGUUAUUGCUCCGAAAGCUCAGGAUCAAAUCCAUCAUAUAGCACAUAUAUGGCGUUAAAGUGGUUUGGAUGUGUUCCCGUGAGUUGUUUUUGCUAGUAAUAUCAAGCUAGGAUAAGCUCAGUGUUGUUCACACCAACUAUUUGAUUCAGUAACUUUAAGGUGAUAAUACCUGGUGUUUGAGUCAUCUAAGAAUAGCCAACUACAAAUAAGUCCCUCCUCAUCAAUGUCAUCUGGGACAUUGUAGUUUCUACCAAGAGUUUCUUGUAUUUCACUGCUCACAUCCAUAACAUCCAUCGUCUCGUCUUGCAUGCUCUGCGGAUUAUGAAUGCAGGUACGGAUUCAGAUGUAAUUCAAACAAAAUAAGCUGAAGAUCUUGAAAAUAUGAACAGUUAUGCUCCAUACAUCUAUAUCUUCAAUCCUGACAGUCUUCAUCAUCCCUUUCAGCUCUGUAUUGGCAGCUUUCAUUGCAGUCAUCUGUUAAAUGAAAAACAAUUCAACAUAAGUUUGGGUGCCAGAAUAAGAAUCUAUCAUGAACUUGACAGGAAACUAAGGCAACAUACAGUGUGUUGAGCAUCUUUAAUUCUGUCUGAUGCGAAAGCAAGUUGGUCAAGAUUAUAGGUUUGGUUGGACAGGAUGUCACGUUGACCUUCAUACCUGUAGGGAAAGGAUGUGGAGUAUAAAUAUUUGAGCCCUAUGAGCUCGGCUGACACAGUGAUCGAAAGCUGCGCAACCAAAACAACUUGAAACCGCAUAGCCUACUGCCACAAGAGGAAUGAUUAAAUGAUACAGGGUAAUCAGCGCCCUUUAACCAAUAGCAUUCCCACGUCUGUCUUGUCCAUGACAAGAACAUGCUAGCAUUCGAAAUCAGCGGCUUCUAUAGCAAGUAACCUAAGGAGAUAAGAACAAAACCUUUUACAUGUAAGGAAAUUUUGAAACAACACAAAAAUGGUUUAUUAUUGUAAAGAAGGGGGAAAAAAUCUAAAGGUGUAUGAGAGCACAUCAACCAGAUUCGGGAUUCAGCUAUAUAUACCUUCUUGGACAACCUUUUAGAUGUUGACUUGUAACAUUGGUGGAUGGCAGCAUGGACCGGCGAGCGACCGCGAAGAGAGGAGAAGAAGACGUCGCUGCAGCGCGUUGUGGGCAUUUCAUCGAACAUGUGGUGUGCGGGAGCAGAUCUUCCGAAUCCUCGUCCUGCCACAGAAAUCGGUGCUCAAACUACCAAAAUCAGCAUCAAGCCAGUUUUGUUCAUCCGUGGCAUGGCAUCAAUCAACGGAAGUUGUAGGAUUUGGUAGAACGAGAGAGCACCUACUGACACCGAUAUGAGCNNNNNNNNNNNNNNNNNNNNNNNNNNNNNNNNNNNNNNNNNNNNNNNNNNNNNNNNNNNNNNNNNNNNNNNNNNNNNNNNNNNNNNNNNNNNNNNNNNNNNNNNNNNNNNNNNNNNNNNNNNNNNNNNNNNNNNNNNNNNNNNNNNNNNNNNNNNNNNNNNNNNNNNNNNNNNNNNNNNNNNNNNNNNNNNNNNNNNNNNNNNNNNNNNNNNNNNNNNNNNNNNNNNNNNNNNNNNNNNNNNNNNNNNNNNNNNNNNNNNNNNNNNNNNNNNNNNNNNNNNNNNNNNNNNNNNNNNNNNNNNNNNNNNNNNNNNNNNNNNNNNNNNNNNNNNNNNNNNNNNNNNNNNNNNNNNNNNNNNNNNNNNNNNNNNNNNNNNNNNNNNNNNNNNNNNNNNNNNNNNNNNNNNNNNNNNNNNNNNNNNNNNNNNNNGAAUGGCGGCGAGAAGAGGUGGCGGACGUGGUCGGUGGCGUUGCCGACGAGUGGACACCGCAGUCGCUCGACGGCGGGGACGGAGCUCGCGGCGGGGACACAUGCAGUACAAUUUGUUUGCAUAAAAUUUAAACAAAUCACACCACUCAAUUAAAUUUUUGUGACAUUUAAAAAUGUUCGCACGUUCAAAAAAAUACGUUAAUGAAAAAUUGGAAAACAAGUUUUUCCAUGCUCAACAUGUAUCAAAAAAAUAUUCGUAUGUAUAUGGAAAAUGUACAACAUGUAUUGAAAAAAAAAAACUUCAGUGUGUAUUUAAAAAAAUAUUCAUCUUGUAUUUAAAAAAUUAUCGAGGUGCAUCAAAAAAAUGUUAAACAUGUACUUGAAAAAUGGUUAACAUGUUCAAAGACGUAUUUUACAAAAUGUCCAUCAUGCAUUUGAAAAAUAUUCAGUGUGUAUAAAAAAGUAGAACCUGUACUAGAAAAAUUCUGUCAUGUAUUUGAAAAAAAUAAAAUGAAAACUGAACGGAAAAGCAAAAGAACCAUACGACACCCGCGAAGGAAAACUUAGUAAAAGACAAAAGAGAAAACUACAUGGAACCUUCCAAAAACCGGUGAAAGGUUCCACGAGCUGGUGUAGAAACUUCACAACACCGCACGUGUACAUGUUAAUUGGACCGGCUCGACCUACUGCUCACCUACUGUGUUAGGUAUUGCAGUAGGCGAGAUAUUGGUCUGGCGCUCCUAUUCAUCGCUUUUAGCGAGCGCUAGGGUACGAGUCCCUCGCCGGUCACCCCUAAAUAGGUCUGACCCGUCAGCGGGAGCAAGCACCUGCGAGCGAGCGCUGUGGCACCAGCGAGCCACGUUGGCCGUUUUUGUUUUGUCCAAAAAUUGCAAUUUUUUAUUGUUUGCAAAUUCAAAAUUCUGAACAUUUUUGGAAACGAUAAAUCCUUCAAGAAAUUUUGAAUAUUUUCUAAAAAGUGAACUCUUUCGAAACACGAACAAAUGUUGAAACACAAAAAAUAUAUCCAAAGCAAAAAACAAUAGAAAUUAUAAAAACUUUUAAAUUACUUUUUAAAAUGCACAAUUAAAAAUUAAUAUGUAUUAUUAUGAACAUUUAUUUAUAUAAGAUGAAUAUUUUUAAUAUAUGGUGAACAACUUUACAAAAUACAUGCUGAAGAAUUAUUGAAUAUGCAAUGAACAUUUUAUUUGUGUACAAUGAACUUUUCUUAAUAUACGGUGAAUAAUUUGUAACUACAUUGAUCAUUUUAUGUUUUGCGGUUAACAAUAUUUGAAAAUCGCAAACAAUUUUUGAUGUCUUGAACAAAUUUUGAGAAAUGUGAAAACUUUUCGAAAAUUUCUUGAAAUUGUGAUCAAAAUUUGAAAUUCCGAACAUAUUUUGGUAAAACAAAAAAAUAUUUCAAAAACUUUUUUUUCAUAAAAACAUGAACAAUCUCGAAAUUCUGAACAUUUACUGAAAAUGUUGAAAUUAAAAAUAAAACAAAUUAACCAUAAAAGGUAAAAAACCUGGAAGGAAAAAAUAAAAAAAAAUAAAACUAUUAUUUUUGUGUCAUGUAUUUAAAAAGGAAAAGGUAAAAGAGGAGAAAGGAAAACGAAAAAAAAAAGAAACCAAAGAAGGAAAAGAAAAGGCAGAAAUAGAAACCUGGUACAAAAAACAAGCAGAAAACACAGAGAAGAAAAAACAUCUGAACUUCCCAAAACCGUUGGGAACGCUUCCGCUCAAUGGACUGGCCCGCUGGACGCGCCUGUAGGCGAUUGACGUCGCAACACUCGCAAAGAACGACAUAUAUCAUUUGUGAUAUAGCUCUCGCGCUUGGUGAAGGCAAUUCCAGUCAACUGUGUGUGCGUGCCAAGCUUUUUGCGAUUUGGUGCCCAUGAUGGACCUCACAAUUACGAUGGGCUCAAGUAUUCCACACCACACAAAAUGAUGGCCCGAAAACGGCCCAAGGUCUAGACUGGAGAGCUGAAACGGCCCAAAGAAACAGAUGUAGGAUGAGUAAAAAAAAAGACCUAUUAAACGGGUCGCCCGUGCCUUGUUAAUGAUUGCCUGGAAGCCCUUCACGCCAGGCAUGGGCCCAAAGUUAUUACAACGGAUCCUUAAAGUUUUUUACAGCGGAAAGCAUGCCCUUGUAUCUCAUGCUAGAACUCCACGCAUCGCCCUGUUACCGGCACAAUUCUCGAGGGACGUGUCGCUGUUUUGCCCUCCACAUAUGCCUUCAUAAGACCAUAGUAGAAAUUGUAUGUUGUGCAACUUCUUCCCUUGAUUCCUCCGCAACUCAUCCAUCGUCGUCGACAGGGAAGCACAGAUCUAGAGUCACACACGACCGUGAUGGCAAGCAGGAGUGACGCAACCGUUGACCUUGAGGGCCGGAACGCCACAACAGAAGAUACUAUGAUUUGACAUUCUUUCUUGCUCCGCUAGAAUGGCUGCAAAGUCCAAAGUCCCUGGGAGCUGGUUAGUCUCCAUGACUUCUUUCGACCACCUACAAGAUAUGGUCGCUCCAAGUUUUCUGCCUGACUGGCGCGUCCUCCUUUGGCUCCAUGUAUUUCUACACGUAAAGAAACACAUGGAAUUACCCCUCAAAAAACACAUGGAAUUUUCCUUAAUCACAACUAUUAGUAUAUUAAUCUUUUUAUAAUAAACACAAUUAAACUUCAAAAUGGAUAGAUAUGUUCUCACUGAUGUUUGUCUCUGAAAUUGGAGAUGUUCUAUUCGCAAUAUAUUAGCAAAUCUUUGGAAGCAUUUGGGCUUGGUGUUGUCGUUGUGAGAUCGGUGUUGUCGUUGUGAGAUCGUGAGGAUCAUCUUGGUGUCGUGGCCCUAGAUUGUAAUCAAUGAAUGGCGAAUGAUGAAAUUUGUGAGUCAUUCCAACAAAUGGGUUUUGUCAACGGAGUACAUAUAGUAUAUUUUUGUAGCCAGGCCAGCCAAUGAUCCCAUGUCUAUAGGUGUUGUAAUAUUAAAAUUAGCCCAAUUUCCCUGCAAUUAACAUGGAAACUCUCUUUAACUUAACUGGUAUAUGGAUUAAAUGGAGGAAGUGUCAAUCAAGUCCAUUAAGAAAAAAAUUGAUGAAAAAUCUAUCUAUAUUCAUAUCCAAACAAUCAUUAGACGUAAAUCAGCUCCACACUUAAGGAACAUUGGCACAACGCCUAUUUUUUCAUAUAAGAAAAUAUAGAUCAUGAGGGCAUGUAUAAUGGUUGAUAAGAUUGUCUUAUUUGUCCCCCAUGUAAUCUAAAGAAGACAACAAAAAAUGAUGUACAAUGUAUUACUCUUAGUCUUAUCUCUAAUAACAAGAUAUUCCUAAUUAUGUGGUGAGAGAAUUGUUGCUAAGAGAUCAUCUCUUAAUGAAGAGAAGGCAAGUCUUUUCUUAUGGUUUCUCUCUCCUCCACCUCUACAAUUAUCCUAUGUGGCACUUCUAAGCUAAGACCAUUGUAUAUGCCCUCAUACAUCCAUUCUUUGGAUGUAAUUAAAUCAAGUCCAUUUUUAAUGAUUAUUGGCAUAAAUUGAUCUAUAUUCAUAUAAAAAGAUAGGCCAUCAAGCAAUCAUUAAUUGGAUGUAAACCAAGUCCAUAUUUAAUGAACAUUAAUUAAACAAUUGAUUUAUACCCACCUCUAGAAAGAUUAUUUCACCGGAUGACUACCCAUUAAAUGUUCAAUGCAUGAUCAGUACAAUGCAAUCUAAAACUUUCUAAAGAAAGAACCUGGCUCAAUUCUAUAUAAGUUGUGUUCUAUAAAGAAGAUACAAGUACGUCAGGAAUCACAUAGUUACUAUUUCAUUGAAAAUAGCACAAUUACCUAUACAAAUGGGAGGUGAUUAUGUUGUCAUAUCGGUCUUACUAUGCUUUUUGUGUAUAACUUUCCACCUCACCUUUGUUGAAUCGAUAGACGUAGAUGUCAAUCUCCAGACGAAUGAGAAGGUAACCAAUAUUUUACUUUUAGAUUUUGAUAUAUACAACUUCUUAUCAAUUGGUUUAUGUAUUAUCCCAUUGUUGUAUCUACUUGACCACUUAAUCUUGAUAAUUAUUAUUGGUGUUUAUCAUUCAUAACUACUUUAUGUUACUUAUAUGCCCAACUAAAAUGUAGGACACACAUGUGAAAUGAAUACUUAUCUUUCAAAGACUUUGUACAUCAAUUAUAUAUGCUAACUACUCAUGAACUAUUAUUUCCCUCUGCAGAACACCACUCUUUUAAGACCUAAGCAUUUCCAUUUUCCUUGGAGAGCUAAUAUCAUGGAUGAAGGAAGCGGCAUUAUUUCCCAUGUACACACACUCUCCCCCAUUCUCUGUAUAUAUCUCUCUUUACCUUUUCAUGUGUUAGAUUUGGGAUGUUUUGUUGAUUUGUUGGUGAGUGUUGAUCACAAGAGGCAAAGCCAAAGUAUUUUCAAUAUAAGCAUCACAUAUUUAAACCACGGAGAAAAAAAGUAGCAAUCUACAUUCAUUAAUGAUGUACCUAAAUCAUAGUUGGUCAAGCUAAAUUCUGGUCAAUGGCCCAAGAGACAUGGUCGUACAUAAAGACCAAAUAAAAGACAUAGACCUAAAUGAACUAAGCUUGAUGCCCUAUAUACCGCGAAAGCUAGGAUCAUUACAUAUAAAGCAUGCUACCAAAAUAACGUGAACAACAGAUUCAGAAAGGCAUUUAAGACAUACUCUAUAUAGGAGACUUAUGCUGACAUACCAACUUUAUUGGCAAUACACUUCACACCUAUCAGAGAGAGAAUCAAAUCUUGUUUCACCCAUGCCACAAGGAGGAUAGAAGAUGUUGUUAGCCCAAGAACCUAAGUAAGACCAUCGAAAAUGCACAUGAACUAAAGCUUUGCAUGCAUCACCACAAAGGGUCUAAUAGCAUUGGAUUGACACCACACCCCGUGGAGUAAGCUAAAUCCAGUAUGAUAUACUCAACAAGGCCUAUGAAAACAAAUCUAGACUAACUCCAAGAUAGCAUGAAAGAUUCCCCAUUGUAAAUGUCUGGUAGGUGAACCUCAUACCAAGGCCAAGAACGCACACCCUCACUUGUUUAUUAUGUCGUUCGCUAUAGAUUUUUCCGGUUAUUUACUAAUUUGCUAUAAUUUUCUAUCACUAGUAUGCAAUGUGGCACACAGAGCCAGGACAAUUCUACGGCCUUCGAGCUGACAUGAGUAUAUGGGCUUCACCAAAUCAAGGAACUUCUCAAGAAUCUGGAGCAUCCUUACAGAUCUAUUGUCAAGAUGGAGGAAACUACAACUUAAUUCAAGUUGGAUUUCAUGUACAAACAUAUCACCCAUUAUGGUAAAGUCAAAUUCUUUUGAAUAAACAACUAUUUCAUAAUUUGCUUCUACUUGCAGAUUUCCCCCUCUUUAUACCAUAACAGAGAUAUUCGCUUCUUUACAUAUUGGACCGUAAGUAUAAUCAAUGCCAUUUUAACAAGUUAUAUAUUAUUGUGGUCCCCAUAUAGUUUUAUGGUAUUUCGUAGGAGUUAGAGGCACUAUUGGACUAAGUAAAGGUCUCUUUACAUCCACAAUAAUACAUGUUUCCUCUUUUUUUGUUGCUCAGAAGGACUUGAAACCGAAGGGGUGCUACAACUUGCAGUGCUCAGGAUUUGUUUCUGCAAGUCGAGCUAAUCUGGUGCCUGGACAAGCCAUGGCUCCUCCAUCAAUUUAUGGCAAACAAGACCACUACGUUAGGCUUAGCCUCAACAAGGUGCACCAUUUGUCCCAUUCUAGAGAUUACUAUAUCGAUAUAAAUUCACAAAUGUGCUCCUAUUUUUUCUAUAACUAGAUGAAACAUGCACGUUCCUGCAGUAACCCCAUUGAAUGAAACAUGUAAAUAGAUGCUAUAAGAGCAACUACAAAAGAGAAAAGGUAGGAUUGUGGUUAACAGAAUGUCAUUUUUCUAUCAAAAAUGUGAAACAUGAACUACAUAAGUAUCCUCAGAGUGUCCAACACAUGAUCCAUUCACGACAACAAAAAAUAAACGCAAAAACAGUAAUUUAUGAGGGGCAUGCAUGACUUGCUGGCGUGUAGGACUGCAUGGAUAGGAAAAACAAGCACAUAUGAAAAAUAUAACUUAUACGAACAUGCAUGACUUGUUGAUGUGGUAUGGCUGCACACAUAGAAAGAAAAGUAAACGUAUAACUAACAUGUAUGACUUGUUGACGUGGCAUGGCUGCUUGAAUAGGAAAAAUAGGUAGUGUAUUGCAACUAUUUAAGAAUAGAGGAUUAAAAUUAACAAAGAUAGAUUUUAUGAAUGUUAAAAUUAGUUAGGCAUAAAUUCACAUGGUUACUAAGUAACAUGCUUUCUAUUUUAUUAAGAAAAUAUGGAACAUUGGAAUCUAGGAAAUUGUACGCCACCCAAGAUUCUUGCUAAUAACAACAUGUUUUCUGGAGUACUCUGCUUGUGCAUGAAAUUUAUUGUUCAUGGAUGUCAUCAAUCCCUUGUUGACUACAGGAUCCAAAUUCCGGAGAUUGGGUGGUGUACCGUCAUGAUUUACAGAAACCAUCAUUCUUGGGACAUUUUCCAAAUAAGCUUUGCCCCGGAACACCACGUAUACAAGCCUUGACUGGAUUCGUGAAUUACUUGAAGAAUGCACAUGGUCCUCCAAUGGGUAGCGGCCACUUCCCCGAUUAUGACGAUAAGAGAUCUGCGUACUUCAAGCACAUUCAGAACUACAAUCCAAAUGGUCAUUCUUCCGACCUCUUUGGCAUUCCCAUGAUCAAGUUAGUUGAUAGGCCAGAUUGUUAUGGAGCGAAUAAUUUAUUUCUUGAAUAUAAGAAGGGUUAUAUGUUCAACUAUUGUGGACCAAGUGGUUGUGUUGGUUGACAACAAAAGUUGUAUUGCCAUUUGGAUUCAAUAAACAAAAAAUAUGUUACUUAAUGGUCAAAGACUAUCACUUAAGCCAUUCCCAACACGUGCGGUUGUGACGGGGAGCUAGGUAAUUCAUGUUUAAGUAAUGGAAAUUGAUUAUAUUCAAACGACUGAUUACUUGCGGGUGUAAACCUCCUCCGACGCCCGCCACGCGUCCCUAUGGACCUACUCAACGUUUAUCCAUCUGCCACCCUUAUCUCUUCUUCUACGCGCCCGAACCACUCUUUUUUUUUNNNNNNNNNNNNNNNNNNNNNNNNNNNNNNNNNNNNNNNNNNNNNNNNNNNNNNNNNNNNNNNNNNNNNNNNNNNNNNNNNNNNNNNNNNNNNNNNNNNNCUUAUCCAACUAAUCAUUUGGUUUGUUGUGUUUGGUGCAACUACUUACUAGCGAGAUUUUGGAUUUUCUUGAUAGUUGCUUUUUGCUGAAAUCAUCUGGUUGUAAGGAAUGUUGGAUAACGACCAAUGACUCAUCUUCUUCACUUUACACUGCAAACAUUGAUCUAGAUUAUGUCCCUUUUUGAAAUUUAGUUUGUGAAGCUCUACAUGUUGUUAGGCUUAUCCAUAUUGGCAUGGCUUGAGUGGAACUAAGUUUGUAAGCUUGUGUGCGUCAUUAUGAUGGAUCACACUAUUAAUGUGAUGAUUGUUCUAGAAAUUAUCUUUCCAAAACUGACUUUAUGUUUUUUUGCCCAAUAUGAUUCUAAGUUGGAUAACUAGACAUGACUCAUCAAAUAACAAGAUAAACCGAGUAGCAAGUUGGGGGUUAUAAGUUAUAACAUGGACUUUUCUCUAAGAUACACCAUCUUGUCUUGCAUGCUAUGUGGAUUUCAAAAGCAUCUACUAAUUUAGAUGCAAUUGAAACAAAAGUAGACCGGAAAGAUAAGCAAUGAAAUGAGAAUACUAUUAUGUGAAGCUCUACAUGUCUGGUAAGCAGUAAGAUACUGGAUACAUCUAUAUCUUCAAUCCUGACAGUUUUUCUCAUCCCCAUCAACUCUUUAUUGGCUGCCUUUACUGUAGUCAUCCCUUAAAUAAAAAUCACUUAAAGAUAAGUUUGGGAGCUAGUACCAGCAUCUAUCAUGUACAAGAUAGAAAACUAAGGCACAUAUAGUAGUCUAUCGACCAUAUUUAAUUUCUUGUGAUGUGAAAGCAUGUGGAGUAUAAGCUCGUUAAAUAUAAAGUUGUCCUUCAUACCAGUAAGGAAAGAAUAUGCAGUAUAAAGAUUAGAGCAUUGGAUUAAUAUGCUAUUAAAUGCUACAGGAUAAUCGACAGUUCAAGUUAAGAACAACAAUAGCAUUCCAACUUUUGUCUUAUGCAAGUUAAGAACAUGCUAACAAAGUAACCUAAGCAAAUAAGUGCCAAACCUUCACCUAUAAGGAAGUUUUGAAACUACACAAAAUGACCUAUUUUAACGAAGGAAAAAAUCUAAAGGUGAAUGAAAGCACGUUAAGUACAUUCAGGAUUCGGUUAUGCCUUCGUGGAUAACCUUUUAGAUGGUGACUUGUCAACCUUGAUGUGUGUCGGCAUGGAACGAGGACAAGAAGACGUCGUUGUGUCGUACUUUGGGAAUUUCAUCAAACUGGUUGUGCGCGGGAACAAAUAUUUGUCGCCUCCCUACUCAAAUCUCUCUUCAUGUCACUGAAUCCGACACUCCACCUACCAAAUCUGCUGCAAGCCAGGGACAAUCAACAGGUUUCUCCGCCCGUAGCAUCUAUCACCAAAAGAAGUUCAGACUAUAGUCUUGUAGUUCAAAAUUUUGUAAUAACAAGCACUACUAGGUUGCUUUUGUUUGUACGUCUUCAUUCUAUACAACCCAUGGAACUAAAAAUGCAUUGGUCAUUCUUCGGUAUAUACAACCAAUGCAACCAAAAAUGCAUUGGGCUUUUCUUUGUACAUCUUCAGGUUCUACAACCAAUGCAACAAAAAAUCCAUUGGGCAGUCUUCCAUUCUAGUCGGGCACCAAUAGUUAAACGAGGAGCUAAACAGUGUUGGAGUCUAAAACUACAUACAAUCAUGAAGCAGAGAGAUGCGACUUGGAAGCUGUGCUCCUGUGAGCUCGUAUUUUUUGAAGAAAAAAGUAAUAUUUGAAUUUUGAAGUGGAAAAAAUCCUAAAAAGGGAUGUUUUGCGGGUUAUAACUUACUAUUUUUGAGUCCUGGGCUGCAGGAAGGUCGUCAAAAAUCAAUGUGUUUUCCCAUUCAUGCAUGUUUCUUGGGUUAUAGGUCACGCUUUUGGUGUCCUAAGGAGAUCACUUCCCUAGUCAGGAACAUUAGGUGAUGAUUUUUAGCAAAACUCAUUGUUUUAGCCUAACUAGUUUCGAGGAUUGGUGGACGAGAUUAUCAUGGAACAAAGUGACAACCUUCCUUUUCUUCAUGCCUAAUAUAAACUUAGCAGUCAGCUAAAAGUAACUAGCGAUAUCAUCGAAUGUUUUUUGUCAAAAGUAGAUACCACUUCAGGAUUCAACUCGGUUAGUUCAAUCACAGACAUGUUAAGAGCAGGAUUUACAACUAACUGCAUAGGCAACAUCUCCUUUUAUCGCCCACUAUAUGUCUUUGCACUUUGGUUUUCCCGUAGCAGCAAACAAAGCACUUUGUUAGUACCAAUAAUGUGCGCCAACUCUACACAUUAAUCAUCUUGAAUUCUUCUACUGAUGUUGAACAAUGUUAUAUCUUGAAUUCUUCUAACGAGUUCGGAUUAGACUACAUGGGCAAUUUAUGUGGUCCCUGAGAUGCAAGGUCGAUGAACAAUCGCUUCGUCUUAUGACGAGGGAUUGUUUUUGCCUAAGAAACCAAUACAUGUAACUUCGACACCAGAUUAAUAAUUGGUAAAACCCAAAUAAAUUAGAUCACGAGCUAAACCAUUUACUUUUGUAUGCAUUUAAACUGUUGAUACAUAUGAGCUUGUUAAGAUGUUCGCAUAAACACCAUGGUGAUUUGAAGCAAGACAAAGUAAACUUGAACCGCUUGAGCCAUUGACUUAAUAAGAACCUCCUUUCCCGUGGCAGAGAUUGUUUUUAAUACAUCCACUCACUUUGGUUCUCUUGUGAAAUCUGAUUCCUUCACCAAGGCUAUUGCUCCAGUAUUGUCACAAAAGAUUUUUAUUGGACCCGAUGCACUAGUUAUGACACCUAGAUCAUAUAUGAACUCCUUCAUCCCGACUCCUUCAUUUGCUGCUUCCGAAGCAGCUAUGUACUCCUCUUCACACGUAGAUCCCUCCACGAUGCUUUGCUUGGAACUGGACCAACUGACAGGUCCACCAUUCAAUAUAAAUACAUAUCCGGUUUGUGACUUAGAGUCAUCCGGAUCAGUGUCAAAGCUUGCAUCGACGUAACUAUUUACGACGAGCUCUUUGUCACCUCCAUAAACGAGAAACAUAUCCUUAGUCCUUUUCAGGUAUUUCAGGAUGUUCUUGACUGCUGUCUGGUGAUCCACUCCUGGAUUACUUUGGUACCUCCCUGCUAAACUAAUAGCAAGGCACAUAUCAGGUCUGGUACACAGCAUUGCAUACAUGAUAGAACCUAUGGCUGAAGCAUAGGGAAUGACUUUCAUUUUCUCUCUAUCUUCUACAGUGGUCGGGCAUUGAGUCUGACUCAACUUCACACCUUGUAACACAGGCAAGAACCCUUUCUUUGCUUGAUCCAUUUUGAACUUCUUCAAAACUUUAUCAAGGUAUGUGCUUUGUGAAAGUCCAAUUAACUGUCUUGAUCUAUCUCUAUAGUUCUUGAUGCCCAAUAUAUAAGCAGCUUCACCGAGGUCUUUCAUUGAAAAAUUCUUAUUCAAGUAUCCUUUUAUGCUAUCCAGAAAUUCCGUAUCAUUUCCGAUCAACAAUAUGUCAUCCACAUAUAAUAUCAGAAAUGCUACAGAGCUCCCACUCACUUUUUUGUAAAUACAGGCUUCUCCAAAAGUCUGUAUAAAACCAUAUGCUUUGAUCACACUAUCAAAGCGUAUAUUCCAACUCCGAGAGGCUUGCACCAGUCCAUAAAUUGAUCGCUGGGGCUUGCACACUUUGUUAGCACCUUUUGGAUCGACAAAACCUUCUGGUUGCAUCAUAUACAACUCUUCUUUAAGAUAUCCAUUAAGAAAUGCAGUUUUGACAUCCAUUCGCCAAAUCUCAUAAUCAUAAAAUGCGGCAAUUGCUAACAUGAUUCGGAAAGACUUAAGCAUCGCUACGGGUGAGAAGGUCUCAUCAUAGUCAACUCCGUGAAUUUGUCGAAAACCUUUCGCAACAAGUUGAGCUUUGUAGACAGUAACAUUACCGUCAGCGUCAGUCUUCUUCUUGAAGAUCCAUUUAUUCUCUAUGGCUUGCCGAUCAUCGGGAAAGUCAACCAAAUCCACACUUUGUUCUCAUACAUUGAUCCCAUCUCAGAUUUUAUGGCCUCAAGCCAUUUUGAGAAAUCUGGGCUCAUCAUUGCUUCCUCAUAGUUCGUAGGUUCGUCAUGGUCGAGUAACAUGACCUCCAGAACAGGAUUACCGUACCACUCUGGUGCGGAUCUUACUCUGGUUGACCUACGAGGUUCAGCGGUAACUUGAUCUGAAGUUUCAUGAUCAUCAUCAUUAGCUUCCUCACUAAUUGGUGUAGGAAUCAUUGGAACUGAUUUCUGUGAUGAACUACUUUCCAAUUUGGGAGCAGGUACAAUUACCUCAUCAAGUUCUACUUUCCUCCCACUCACUUCUUUCGAGAGAAAGUCCUUCUCUAGAAAGGAUCCUUUCUUAGCAACGAAUAUCUUGCCUUCGGAUCUGUGAUAGAAGGUGUGCCCAACAGUCUCCUUUGGGUAUCCUAUGAAGACACAUUUCUCCGAUUUGGGUUCGAGCUUAUCAGGUUGAAGCUUUUUCACAUAAGCAUCGCAGCCCCAAACUUUAAGAAACGACAACUUGGGUUUCUUGCCAAACCACAGUUCAUAUGGUAUCAUCUCAAUGGAUUUAGAUGGUGCCCUAUUUAACGUGAAUGCAGCCGUCUCUAAAGCAUAACCCCAAAAAGAUAGCGGUAAAUCAGUAAGAGACAUCAUAGAUCGCACCAUAUCUAAUAAAGUGCGGUUACGAUGUUCGGACACACCAUUAUGCUGUGGUGUUCCGGGUGGCGUGAGUUGCGAAACUAUUCCGCAUUGUUUCAAAUGAAGACCAAACUCGUAACUCAAAUAUUCACCUCCAUGAUCAAAUCGUACAAACUUUAUUUUCUUGUUACGAUGUUUUUCCAAUUCACUCUGAAAUUCUUUGAAUUUUUCAAAUGUUUCAAACUUAUGUUUCAUCAAGUAGAUAUACCCUGCUCAAAUCAUCUGUGAAGGUCAGAAAAUAACGAUACCCGCCGCGAGCCUCAACACUCAUCGGACCGCAUACAUCAGUAUGUAUUAUUUCCAACAAGUCUGUUACUCGCUCCAUUAUUCCAGAGAACGGAGUCUUAGUCAUCUUGCCCAUGAGGCAUGGUUCGCAAGCAUCAAGUGAUUCCAAAAGUCCAUCAUGAUGGAGUUUCUUCAUGCGCUUUACACCAAUAUGACCUAAACGGCAGUGCCACAAUAAGUUGCACUAUCAUUAUUAACCUUGCAUCUUUUGGCUUCAAUAUUAUGAAUAUGUGUGUCACUACUAUCGAGAUUCAACAAAAAUAGACCACUCAUUAAGGGUGCAUGACCAUAAAAGAUAUUACUCAUAUAAAUAGAACAACCAUUAUUCUCUGAUUUAGAUGAAUAACCGCCUCGCAUCAAACAAGAUCCAGAUAUAAUGUUCAUGCUUAACGCUGGCACCAAAUAACAAUUAUUCAGGUCUAAAACUAAUCCCAACGGUAGAUGUAGAGGUAGCGUGCCGACGGCGAUCACAUCGACUUUGGAACCAUUUCCCACGCGCAUCGUCACCUCGUCCUUAGCCAAUCUUCGCUUAAUCCGUAGCCCCUGUUUCGAGUUGCAAAUAUGAGCAACAGAACCAGUAUCAAAUACCCAGGCGCUACUACGAGCAUUAAUAAGGUACACAUCAAUAACAUGUAUAUCAAAUAUACCUUUCACUUUGCCAUCCUUCUUAUCCGCCAAAUACUUGGGGCAGUUCCGCUUCCAGUGACCAGUCCCUUUGUAGUAGAAGCACUCAGUCUCAGGCUUAGGUCCAGACUUGGGCUUCUUCACUUGAACAACAACUUGCUUGUCGUUCUUCUUGAAGUCCCCUUCUUCCCUUUGCCCUUUUUCUUGAAACUAGUGGUCUUGUUAACCAUCAACACUUGAUGCUCCUUCUUGAUUUCUACCUCUACAGCCUUUAGCAUUGCGAAGAGCUCGGGAAUUGUCUUAUCCAUCCCUUGCAUAUUAUAGUUCAUCAUGAAGCUUUUGUAGCUUGGUGGCAGUGAUUGAAGAACUCUGUCAAUGACACUAUCAUCAGGAAGAUUAACUCCCAGUUGAGUCAAGUGGUUGUGGUACCCAGACAUUCUGAGUAUAUGUUCACUGGUAGAACUAUUCUCCUCCAUCUUGCAGCUGUAGAACUUAUUGGAGACUUCAUAUCUCUCAAUCCGGGCAUUUGCUUGAAAUAUUAACUUCAACUCCUGGAACAUCUCAUAUGCUCCAUGACGUUCAAAACGUCGUUGAAGUCCCGAUUCUAAGCUGUAAAGCAUGGCACACUGAACUAUCGAGUAGUCAUCGGCUUUGCUUUGCCAGACGUUCAUAACGUCCGGUGUUGCUCCUGCAGCGGGUCUUGCACCUAGCGGUGCUUCCAGGACGUAAUUCUUCUGUGUGACAAUGAGGAUAAUCCUCAAGUUACGGACCCAGUCCGUGUAGUUCCUACCAUCAUCUUUCAAGUUAGCUUUCUCUAGGAACGCAUUAAAAUUCAAAGGAACAGUAGCACGGCCAUUGAUCUACAACAACAUAGACAUGCAAAAUACUAUCAGGUACUAAGUUCAUGAUAAAUUAAAGUUCAAUUAAUCAUAUUAAUUAAGAACUCCCACUUAGAUAGACAUCCCUCUAGUCAUCUAAAUGAUCACGUGAUCCAUAUCAACUAAACCAUGUCUGAUCAUCACGUGAGAUGGAGUAGUUUCAAUGGUGAACAUCACUAUGUUGAUCAUAUCUACUAUAUGAUUCACGCUCGACCUUUCGGUCUCAGUGUUCCGAGGCCAUAUCUGCAUAUGCUAGGCUCUUCAAGUUUAACCCAAGUAUUCUGCGUGUGCAAAACUGGCUUGCACCCGUUGUAUGUGAACGUAGAGCUUAUCACACCCGAUCAUCACGUGGUGUCUCGGCACGACGAACUGUAGCAACGGUGCAUACUCAGGGAGAACACUUGUACCUUGAAAUUUAGUGAGAGAUCAUCUUAUAAUGCUACCGCCGUACUAAGCAAAAUAAGAUGCAUAAAGGAUAAACAUCACAUGCAAUCAAAAUAAGUGAUAUGAUAUGGCCAUCAUCAUCUUGUGCCUUUGAUAUCCAUCUCCAAAGCACCGUUAUGAUCACCAUCGUCACCGGCUUGACACCUUGAUCUCCAUCGUAGCAUCAUUGUCAUCUCGCCAACUAUUAUUUCUACGACUAUCGCUACCGCUUAGUGAUAAAGUAAAGCAAUUAGAUGGCGAUUGCAUUUCAUACAAUAAAGCGACAACCAUAAGGCUCCUGCCAGUUGCCGAUAACUUUUACAAAACAUGAUCAUCUCAUACAACAAUUUAUAUAUCAUCACGUCUUGACCAUAUCACAUCACAGCAAGCCCUGCAAAAACAAGUUAGACGUCCUCUACUUUGUUGUUGCAAGUUUUACGUGGCUGCUACGGGCUUCUAGCAAGAACCGUUCUUACCUACGCAUCAAAACCACAACGAUUUUUCGUCAAGUGUGUUGUUUUAACCUUCAACAAGGACCGGGCAUAGUCAAACUCGAUUCAACUAAAGUUGGAGAAACAGACACCCACUAGCCACAUGUGUGUGAAGCACGUCGGUAGAACCAGUCUCAUGAACGCGGUCAUGUAAUGUCGGUCUGAGCCGCUGCAUCCAACAAUACCGCCGAAUCAAAGUAAGACGUUGUUGGUAAGUAGUAUGACUAUUAUCGUCCACAACUCAUUGUGUUCUACUCGUGCAUAUAACAUCUACACAUAGACCUGGCUCGGAUGCCACUGUUGGGGAACGUCGUAUUUCAAAAAAAAUCCUACGAUCACGCAAGAUCUAUCUAGGAGAAGCAUAGCAACGAGCGGGGAGAGUGUGUCCACGUACCCUCGUACACUGAAAGCGGAAGCGUUUAGUAACGUGGUUGAUGUAGUCGAACGUAUUCGCGAUCCAACCGAUCCAAGCACCGAACGUACGCACCUCCGCGUUCAGCACACGUUCAGCUCGAUGACGUCCCUCGAGCUCUUGAUCCAGUUGAGGCCGAGGGAUAGUUCCGUCAGCACGAUGGCGUGGCGACGGUGAUGAUGAAGUUACCGGCACAGGGCUUCGCCUAAGCACUACGACGAUAUGACCGAGGUGUGUAACUGUGGAGGGGGGGCACUGCACACGGCUAAGAGAAACUUGUGUGUCUUUGGGGUGCCCCCCUCCCACGUAUAUAAAGGGGGAGGAGGAGGAGGCCGGCCCAAGGGGGGCGCGCCACAUGUGGGGAGUCCUAUCUUCUCUCCCAUGGCCCAUAAGGCCCAUGACUUCCCCCGGGGGGUUCCGGUAACCUCCCGGUACUCCGGAAAAAUGCCUGAAUCACUCGGAACCAUUCCGAUGUCCGAAUGCAACCUUCCAAUAUAUGAAUCUUUACCUCUCGACCAUUUCGAGACUCCUCGUCAUGUCUGUGAUCUCAUUCGGGACUCCAAACAAACUUCGGUCAUCAAAUCACAUAACUCAUAAUACAAAUCGUCAUCGAACGUUAAGCGUGCGGACCCUACGGGUUCGAGAACUAUGUAGACAUGACCGAGACACAUCUCCGGUCAAUAACCAAUAGCAGAACCUGCAUGCUCAUAUUGGCUCCUACAUAUUCUACGAAGAUCUUUAUCGGUCAAACCGCAUAACAACAUACGUUGUUCCCUUUGUCAUAUGUAUGUUAUUUGCCCGAGAUUCGAUCGUCGGUAUCCUCAUACCUAGUUCAAUCUCGUUACCGGUAAGUCUCUUUAAUCGUUCCGUAAUUCAUCAUCUCGUAACUAAAUCAUUAGUCACAUUGCUUGCAAGGCUUAUAGUGAUGUGCAUUACUGAGAGGGCCCGGAGAUACCUCUCCGAUACACGGAGUGACAAAUCCUAAUCUCGAUCUAUGCCAACUUAACAAACACCAUCGGAGACACCUGUAGAGCAUCUUUAUAAUCACCCAGUUACGUUGUGACGUUUGAUAGCACACUAAGUGUUCCUCCGGUAUUCGGGAGUUGCAUAAACUCAUAGUCAUAGGAACAUGUAUAAGUCAUGAAGAAAGCAAUAGCAAUAAACCUAAACGAUCAUUAUGCUAAGAUAACGGAUGGGUCUUAUCCAUCACAUCAUUCUCUAAUGAUGUGAUCCCGUUCAUCAAAUGACAACACAUGUCUAUGGUUAGGAAACUUAACCAUCUAGUAGAGGCAUACUAGGGACACUCUGUUUGUCUAUGUAUUCACACAUGUACUAAGUUUCUAGUUAAUACAAUUCUAGCAUGAAUAAUAAAGAUUUAUCAUGAUAUAAGGAAAUAUAAAUAACAACUUUAUUAUUGCCUCUAGGGCAUAUUUCCUUCAGGAAGGGCAUAGCGGGUGGGAGGGAGAAGGGGAAUUAAGAGAGUGUGGGUUUGAGUUUGGGCCUCCGCACGCUAUGUGUACACAUGUGUUGGUGGCUCGAUAGUAGUGGUUGUUGGAUAACGUAGUAAUUUCAAAAAAAUUCCUACGAACACGCAAGAUCAUGGUGAUGCACAGCAACGAGAGGGGAGAGUGUUUUCCACGUACCCUAGACCGAAAGAGGAAGCGUUAACACAACGUGGUUGAUGUAGUCGUACGUCUUCAUGAUCUGACCGAUCAAGUACCAAACGCACGGCACCUCGGAGUUCAGCACACGUUCAGCUCGAUGACGUCCCUCAAACUCCGAUCCAGCCGAGUGUUGAGGGAGAGUUUCGUCAGCACGACGGCGUGGUGACGAUGCUGAUGCUCUACCGACGCAGGGCUUCGCCUAAGCUCCGCUACGAUAUUAUCGAGGUGUAAUAUGGUGGAGGGGGCACCGCACACGGCUAAAAGAUCGUUGAUCAAUUGUGUGUCCAGAGGUGCCCCCUACCCCCGUAUAUAAAGGUGCAAGGGGGAGGCCGCCGGCCUAGGAGGUAGAGGCGCGCCAGGAGGAGUCCUACUCCUACCGGGAGUAGGACUCCCCCCCUUUCCAUGUUGGACUAGGAGUGGAAGGGGGAAGAGGUGGAGGGGAGGAAGGAAGGGGGGGCGCCGCCCCCUUCUCCUUGUCCUAUUCGGACUGGGGGGAAGGGGGGUGCGGCCCUGCCCUAGCCUCCUCUCCUCUCUUCCACCUAGGCCCAAUAAGGCCCAUUAAGUUACCGGGGGGGUCCGGUAACCUCCCGGUACUCCGGAAAAAUCCCGAUUUCACCCGAAACACUUCUGAUGUCCAAACAUAGGCUUCCAAUAUAUCAAUCUUUAUGUCUCGACCAUUUCGAGACUCCUCGUCAUGUCCGUGAUCACAUCCGGGACUCCGAACAACCUUCGGUACAUCAAAACAUAUAAACUCAUAAUAUAACUGUCAUCGUAACGUUAAGCGUGCGGACCCUACGGGUUCGAGAACUAUGUAGACAUGACCGAGACACCUCUCCGGUCAAUAACCAAUAGCGGAACCUGGAUGCUCAUAUUGGUUCCCACAUAUUCUACGAAGAUCUUUAUCGGUCAGACCGCAUAACAACAUACGUUGUUCCCUUUGUCAUCGGUAUGUUACUUGCCCGAGAUUCGAUCGUCGGUAUCUCGAUACCUAGUUCAAUCUCGUUACCGGCAAGUCUCUUUACUCGUUCCGUAAUACAUCAUCCCGCAACUAACUCAUUAGUCACAAUGCUUGCAAGGCUUAAAGUGAUGUGUAUUACUGAGUGGGCCCAGAGAUACCUCUCCGACAAUCGGAGUGACAAAUCCUAAUCUCGAAAUACGCCAACCCAACAAGUACCUUUGGAGACACCUGUAGAGCACCUUUAUAAUCACCCAGUUACGUUGUGACGUUUGGUAGCACACAAAGUGUUCCUCCGGUAAACGGGAGUUGCAUAAUCUCAUAGUCAUAGGAACAUGUAUAAGUCAUGAAGAAAGCAAUAGCAACAUACUAAACGAUCGAGUGCUAAGCUAACGGAAUGGGUCAAGCCAAUCACGUCAUUCUCCUAAUGAAGUGAUCCCGUUAAUCAAAUGACAACUCAUGUCUAUGGCUAGGAAACAUAACCAUCUUUGAUUAACGAGCUAGUCAAGUAGAGGCAUACUAGUGACACUCUGUUUGUCUAUGUAUUCACACAUGUAUUAUGUUUCCGGUUAAUACAAUUCUAGCAUGAAUAAUAAACAUUUAUCAUGAUAUAAGGAAAUAAAUAAUACUUUAUUAUUUCCUCUAGGGCAUAUUUCCUUCAGUCUCCCACUUGCACUAGAGUCAAUAAUCUAGAUUACACAGUAAUGAUUCUUACACCCAUGGAGUCUUGGUGCCGAUCAUGUUUUGCUCGUGGAAGAGGCUUAGUCAACGGGUCUGCAACAUUCAGAUCCGUAUGUAUCUUGCAAAUUUCUAUGUCUCCCACCUGGACUAAAUCCCGGAUGGAAUUGAAGCGUCUUUUGAUGUGCUUGGUUCUCUUGUGAAAUAUGGAUUCCUUUGCUAAGGCAAUUGCACCAGUAUUGUCACAAAAGAUUUUCAUUGGUCCCGAUGCACUAGGUAUGACACCUAGAUCGGAUAUGAACUCCUUCAUCCAGACUCCUUCAUUUGCUGCUUCCAAAGCAGCUAUGUACUCCGCUUCACACGUAGAUCCCGCCAUGACACUUUGCUUAGAACUGCACCAACUGACAGCUCCACCGUUCAAUGUAAAUACGUAUCCGGUUUGCGAUUUACAAUCGUCCGGAUCAGUGUCAAAGCUUGCAUCAACGUAACCAUUUACGAUGAGCUCUUUGUCACCUCCAUAAACGAGAAACAUAUCCUUAGUCCUUUUCAGGUAUUUCAGGAUGUUCUUGACCGCUGUCCAGUGAUCCGCUCCUGGAUUACUUUGGUACCUCCCUGCUAAACUUAUAGCAAGGCACACAUCAGGUCUGGUACACAGCAUUGCAUACAUGAUAGAGCCUAUGGCUGAAGCAUAGGGAACAUCUUUCAUCUUCUCUCUAUCUUCUGCAGUGGUCGGGCAUUGAGUCUUACUCAAUCUCACACCUUGUAGUACAGGCAAGAACCCUUUUUUGCUUGAUCCAUUUUGAACUUCUUCAAAACUUUGUCAAGGUAUGUGCUUUGUGAAAGUCCAAUUAAGCGUCUUGAUCUAUCUCUAUAGAUCUUGAUGCCUAAUAUAUAUGCAGCUUCACCGAGGUCUUUCAUUGAAAAGCUCUUAUUCAAGUAUCCCUUUAUGCUAUCCAGAAAUUCUAUAUCAUUUCCAAUCAGCAAUAUGUCAUCCACAUAUAAUAUUAGAAAUGCUACUGAGCUCCCACUCACUUUCUUGUAAAUACAGGCUUCUCCAAAAGUCUGUAUAAAACCAAAUGCUUUGAUCACACUAUCAAAGCGUUUAUUCCAACUCCGAGAGGCUUGCACCAGUCCAUAAAUGGAUCACUGGAGCUUGCACACUUUGUUAGCUCCCUUUGGAUUUACAAAACCUUCCGGUUGCAUCAUAUACAACUCUUCUUCCAGAAAUCCAUUCAGGAAUGCAGUUUUGACAUCCAUUUGCCAAAUUUCAUAAUCAUAAAAUGCGGCAAUUGCUAACAUGCAUGAUUCGGACAGAGUUAAGCAUCGCUACGGGUGAGAAGGUAUCAUCGUAGUCAAUCCCUUGAACUUGUCGAAAACCUUUCGCAACAAGUCGAGCUUUAUAGACAGUAACAUUACCGUCAGCGUCAGUCUUCUUCUUGAAGAUCCAUUUAUUUUCAAUGGCUUGCCGAUCAUCGGGCAAGUCAACCAAAGUCCAUACUUUGUUCUCAUACAUGGAUCCCAUCUCGGAUUUCAUGGCUUCAAGCCAUUUUGCGGAAUCUGGGCUCACCAUCGCUUCUUCAUAGUUCGUAGGUUCGUCAUGGUCUAGUAACAUAACCUCCAGAACAGGAUUACCGUACCACUCUGGUGCGGAUCUUAAUCUGGUUGAUCUACGAGGUUCAGUAAUAACUUGAUCUGAAGUUUCAUGAUCAUUAUCAUUAACUUCCCCACUAAUUGGUGUAGGUGUCGCAGAAACUGGUUUCUGUGAUGAUCUACUUUCCAAUAAGGGAGCAGGUACAGUUACCUCAUCAAGUUCUACUUUCCUCCCACUCACUUCUUUCGAGAGAAACUCCUUCUCUAGAAAGGAUCCAUUCUUAGCAACGAAUGUCUUGCCUUCGGAUCUGUGAUAGAAGGUGUACCCAACAGUCUCCUUUGGGUAUCCUAUGAAGACACAUUUCUCCGAUUUAGGUUCGAGAUUAUCAGGUUGAAGUUUCUUCACAUAAGCAUCGCAACCCCAAACUUUAAGAUACGACAACUUUGGUUUCUUGCCAAACCAUAGUUCAUAAGGUGUCGUUUCAACGGAUUUUGAUGGUGCCCUAUUUAGAGUGAAUGUAGCCGUCUCUAAAGCAUAACCCCAAAACGACAGCGGUAAAUCAGUAAGAGACAUCAUAGAUCGCACCAUAUCUAGUAAAGUACGAUUACGACGUUCGGACACACCGUUACGCUGUGGUGUUCCGGGUGGCGUGAGUUGCGAAACUAUUCUGCAUUGUUUCAAAUGUAGGCCAAACUCGUAACUCAAAUAUUCUCCUCCACGAUCUGAUCGUAGAAACUUUAUUUUCUUGUUACGAUGAUUUCCAACUUCGCUCUGAAAUUCUUUGAACUUUUCAAAUGUUUCAGACUUAUGUUUCAUUAAGUAGAUAUACCCAUAUCUGCUCAAAUCAUCUGUGAAGGUGAGAAAAUAACGAUAUCCGCCACGAGCCUCAAUAUUCAUCGGACCACAUACAUCUGUAUGUAUGAUUUCCAAUAAAUUUGUUGCUCUCUCCAUAGUUCCGGAGAACGGUGUUUUAGUCAUCUUGCCCAUGAGGCACGGUUCGCAAGUACCAAGUGAUUCCAAAAGUCCAUCGGUAUGGAGUUUCUUCAUGCGCUUUACACCGAUAUGACCUAAACGGCAGUGCCACAAAUAAGUUGCACUGUCAUUAUCAACUCUGCAUCUUUUGGCUUCGACAUUAUGAAUAUGUGUGUCACUACUAUCGAGAUUCAUUAAAAAUAGACCACUCUUCAAGGGUGCAUGACCAUAAAAGAUAUUAUUCAUAUAAAUAGAACAACCAUUAUUCUCUGAUUUAAAUGAAUAACCGUCUCGCAUUAAACAAGAUCCAGAUAUAAUGUUCAUGCUCAACGCUGGCACCAAAUAACAAUUAUUUAGGUCUAAAACUAAUCCCGAAGGUAGAUGUAGAGGUAGCGUGCCGACCGCGAUCACAUCGACUUUGGAACCAUUUCCCACGCGCAUCGUCACCUCGUCCUUAGCCAAUCUUCGCUUAAUCCGUAGCCCCUGUUUCGAGUUGCAAAUAUUAGCAACAGAACCAGUAUCAAAUACCCAGGUGCUACUGCGAGCAUUAGUAAGGUACACAUCAAUAACAUGUAUAUCACAUAUACCUUUGUUAACCUUGCCAUCCUUCUUAUCCGCCAAAUACUUGGGGCAGUUCCGCUUCCAGUGACCAGUCUGCUUGCAGUAGAAGCACUUAGUUUUAGGCUUAGGUCCAGACUUGGGUUUCUUCUCCUGAACAGCAACUUGCUUGCUGUUCUUCUUGAAGUUCCCCUUCUUCUUCCCUUUGCCCUUUUUCUUGAAACUAGUGGUCUUACUGACCAUCAACACUUGAUGCUCCUUUUUGAUUUCUACCUCUGCUGCCUUUAGCAUUGCGAAGAGCUCGGGAAUUGUCUUAUUCAUCCCUUGCAUGUUAUAGUUCAUCACGAAGCUCUUGUAGCUUGGUGGCAGUGAUUGAAGAAUUCUGUCAAUGACGCUAUCAUCCGGAAGAUUAACUCCCAGUUGAAUCAAGUGAUUAUUAUACCCCAGACAUUUUGAGUAUAUGCUCACUGACAGAACUAUUCUCUUCCAUCUUGCAGCUGUAGAACUUAUUGGAGACUUCAUAUCUCUCAAUCCGGGCAUUUGCUUGAAAUAUUAACUUCAACUCCUGGAACAUCUCAUAUGCUCCAUGACGUUCAAAACGUCGUUGAAGACCCGGUUCUAAGCCGUAAAGCAUGGCACACUGAACUAUCGAGUAGUCAUCAGCUUUGCUCUGCCAGACGUUCAUAACUUCUGGUGUUGCUCUUGCAGGAGGCCUGGCACCUAGCGGUGCUUCCAGGACGUAAUUCUUCUAUGCAGCAAUGAGGAUAAUCCUCAAGUUACGGACCCAGUCCGUGUAAUUGAUACCAUCAUCUUUCAACUUUGCUUUCUCAAGGAACGCAUUAAAAUUCAACGGAACAACAGCACGGGCCAUUUAUCUACAAUUAACAUAGACAAGCAAGAUACUAUCAGGUACUAAGUUCAUGAUAAAUUUAAGUUCUAUUAAUCAUAUUUCUUAAGAACUCCCACUUAGAUAGACAUCCCUCUAAUCAUCUAAGUGAUUACGUGAUCCAAAUCAACUAAACCAUGUCCGAUAAUCACGUGAGUUGGAGUAGUUUCAAUGGUGAACAUCACUAUGUUGAUCAUAUCUACUAUAUGAUUCACGCUCGACCUUUCGGUCUCCGUGUUCCGAGGCCAUAUCUGCAUAUGCUAGGCUCGUCAAGUUUAACCUGAGUAUUCCGCGUGUGCAACUGUUUUGCACCCGUUGUAUUUGAACGUAGAGCCUAUCACACCCGAUCAUCACGUGGUGUCUCAGCACAAAGAACUUUCGCAACGGUGCAUACUCAGGUAGAACACUUUUAUCUUGAAAUUUUAGUGAGAGGUCAUCUUAUAAUGCUACCGUCAAUCAAAGCAAGAUAAGAUGCAUAAAAGAUAAACAUCACAUGCAAUCAAUAUCAGUGAUAUGAUAUGGCCAUCAUCAUCUUGUGCUUGUGAUCUCCAUCUCCGAAGCACCGUCAUGAUCACCAUCGUCACCGGCUCGACACCUUGAUCUCCAUCGUAGCAUCGUUGUCGUCUCGCCAACUAUUGCUUUUACGACUAUCGCUACCGCUUAGUGAUAAAGUAAAACAAUUACAUGGCGAUUGCAUUGCAUACAAUAAGCGACAGCCAUAUGGCUCCUGCCAGUUGCCGAUAACUCGGUUACAAAAAAUGAUCAUCUCAUACAAUAAAAUAUAGCAUCAUGUCUUGACCAUAUCACAUCACAACAUGCCCUGCAAAAACAAGUUACACGUCCUCUACUUCGUUGUUGCAAGUUUUACGUGGCUGCUACGGGCUUAGCAACAACCGUUCUUACCUACGCAUCAAAACCACAAUGAUGGUUUGUCAAGUUGGUGCUGUUUUAACCUUCGCAAGGACCGGGCGUAGCCACACUCGGUUCAACUAAACUGAGAGAGACAGACACCCGCCAGUCACCUUUAAGCAACGAGUGCACGCAACGGUGAAACCAGUCUCGCGUAAGCGUACGCGUAAUGUCGGUCCGGGCCGCUUCAUCUCACAAUACCGCCGAACCAAAGUAUGACAUGCUGGUAAGCAGUAUGACUUAUAUCGCCCACAACUCACUUGUGUUCUACUCAUGCAUAGCAUCAACGCAUAAAACCAGGCUCGGAUGCCACUGUUGGGUAACGUAGUAAUUUCAAAAAAAAUCCUACGAACACGCAAGAUCAUGGUGAUGCACAGCAACGAGAGGGGAGAGUGUUGUCCAUGUACCCUCAUAGACCGAAAGCGGAAGCGUUAACACAACGCGGUUGAUGUAGUCGUACGUCUUCACGAUCUGACCGAUCAAGUACCGAACGCACGGCACCUCCGAGUUCAGCACACGUUCAGCUCGAUGACGUCCCUCGAACUCCGAUCCAGCCGAGUGUUGAGGGAGAUUUUUGUCAGCAUGACGGUGUGGUGACGAUGAUGAUGUUCUACCGACGCAGGGCUUCGCCUAAGCUCCGGUACGAUAUUAUCGAGGUGUAAUAUGGUGGAGGGGGGCACCGCACACGGCUAAAAGAUCGUUGAUCAAUUGUGUGUCCAGAGGUGCCCCCUGCCCCCGUAUAUAAAGGUGCAAGGGGGAGGCCGCCGGCCUAGGAGGUAGAGGCGCGCCAAGAGGAGUCCUACUCCUACCGGGAGUAGGACUCCCCCCCUUUCCAUGUUGGACUAGGAGUGGAAGGGGGAAGAGGUGGAGGGGAGGAAGGAAGGGGGGCGCCGCCCCCUUCUCCUUGUCCUAUUCGGACUGGGGGGGAAGCGGGGCGCGGCCCUGCCCUAGCCUCCUCUCCUCUCUUCCACCUAGGCCCAAUAAGGCCCAUUAAGUUACCGGGGGGGUCCGGUAACCUCCCGGUACUCCGGAAAAAUCCCGAUUUCACCCGGAACACUUCCGAUGUCCAAACAUAGGCUUCCAAUAUAUCAAUCUUUAUGUCUCGACCAUUUCGAGACUCCUUGUCAUGUCCGUGAUCACAUCCGGGACUCCGAACAACCUUCGGUACAUCAAAACAUAUAAACUCAUAAUAUAACUGUCAUCGUAACGUUAAGCGUGCGGACCCUACGGGUUCGAGAACUAUGUAGACAUGACCGAGACACCUCUCCGGUCAAUAACCAAUAGCGGAACCUGGAUGCUCAUAUUGGUUCCCACAUAUUCUACGAAGAUCUUUAUUGGUCAGACCGCAUAACAACAUACGUUGUUCCCUUUGUCAUCGGUAUGUUACUUGCCCGAGAUUCGAUCGUCGGUAUCUCGAUACCUAGUUCAAUCUCGUUACCGGCAAGUCUCUUUACUCGUUCCGUAAUACAUCAUCCCGCAACUAACUCAUUAGUUACAAUGCUUGCAAGGCUUAUAGUGAUGUGCAUUACCGAGUGGGCCCAGAGAUACCUCCCGACAAUCGGAGUGACAAAUCCUAAUCUCGAAAUACGCCAACCCAACAAGUACCUUUGGAGACACCUGUAGAGCACCUUUAUAAUCACCCAGUUACGUUGUGACGUUUGGUAGCACACAAAGUGUUCCUCCGGUAAACGGGAGUUGCAUAAUCUCAUAGUCAUAGGAACAUGUAUAAGUCAUGAAGAAAGCAAUAGCAACAUACUAAACGAUCGAGUGCUAAGCUAACGGAAUGGGUCAAGCCAAUCACGUCAUUCUCCUAAUGAAGUGAUCCCGUUAAUCAAAUGACAACUCAUGUCUAUGGCUAGGAAACAUAACCAUCUUUGAUUAACGAGCUAGUCAAGUAGAGGCAUACUAGUGACACUCUGUUUGUCUAUGUAUUCACACAUGUAUUAUGUUUCCGGUUAAUACAAUUCUAGCAUGAAUAAUAAACAUUUAGCAUGAUAUAAGGAAAUAAAUAAUACUUUAUUAUUGCCUCUAGGGCAUAUUUCCUUCAGUGGCGCCGGGUUAAGACCCCACGCUACUACUAUGGCCUAUCCCGAGGGGGUACGGUAGAGACCACUUAGUAGUGGCGAGGGGUUUAUACCCCUCGCUAAUACUAUCAACUUAGUAGUAGUGAGGGAUUUAUACCCCUCCAUACUACUAUGGCCAGUCCCGGGGGGCACGGUGGAGACCACUUAGUAGUAGUGUGGGGUUUAUACCCCUCGCUACUACUAUCAACUUAGUAGUAGCGUGGGUUCUAUACCCCUCGCUACUAAUAAUUAGCAGCAGUGUGGCCCAUAUACCCCUCAAUACUGUUAAGCAUCUAUCUAUAAGGUAUUUUCUAGUAGUGCAUGGAUGGCGGCGAAAUCAGUCGUUCUGCUUGUUUUCCCUACUAGCUCUCUGACGUCCAGAACAAGUUUACGGUCAUAAGGUGCAAUGCCCUUGCCUUCGUGAGUGACACGAUGACACGGGAAUGGGCUUCCAAGCCUAUGGUGUCGCAUCGUCUCAUGGUCUGCUAGACUUAGUGGACGGAUGCUACUCCAGUAUCGGUUGAUCCCAUACUAUGAUACCAAGGAAGACACGUAACUACUAUAUAUAUAUUUCUUCAAGUCAGUCAACACAAGUAAAAUCUGGGAGUUCAACCGGUGCAGCUAUGCAAUGCUAAUGGAGACAACACAAUUCAACUUUAGCACUUCACACAUAAGCAACACCACGUUCAAUGGCACACACCUUAGAGUGUACCAAUGGUGGUUGAUUGGGCUAUAAGAAAUGUGAGUCCAUGUGAAGAUGCCAAACAUAAUAACACGGCUAAUUACACAUGCAGUGGCAGCAGCAACAAGUGCGUGAAUUCCACAAAUGAUCUAGGGUACACAUGCAACUGUGUCCUUGAGUAUGACAACAACCCUUAUCUUCUAGACAAAUGCAUGGUAUGCUACUAAUUUAUUUGCUACAAAAUCCAAUGAAUUGUGUCCUUUACUUUGUACAUACCCAAUUAUGAUAUUUGAUUUUGCUAAUACAAUGUAGCUUUCAAUUUAAACCAAGUUUUGCAUCAAUUAAUUAUGUUAGGUUCAUAUGACUUCACUACAUAAAUAGGUAGAUAAUGCAUAAGACUGAGAUUGUAGCUAGGGAUGAAAAACUAAAUAUGGCAUGAAUCUAACAAUUAUGAGUGAUGUCUUUGUGACAAGAACUUCCUUUGUCUUUUAUUCCCAUGUUUGAACUAGUAUAGGUCGGGGUUACACAUUAUGGUGCACAUCACUUUAUUUAUCAUCAUUACAUUGAACACUCAUUGACUAAACAACGAUGAUCCAUCCGUCUUGUAUUACAGGUCUUCAUUUCAUUGGCCAUCGAUGCUUGUAAGACUACUCCCAUAUGGUUGUUGUUGUGGAUAUGGUUGUUGAGGUUGGUGUGGUUGCUGGGGGAAUGGUUGUUGGGGUUGCUGGGAAAUUGUUUGUUCUAGUUGCUGGGAUAAUUGUUGUUGGGGCUGCAGAAAUGGUUGUUGUGGUUGCAGGAUGGAUGGUUGUUGGGGUUGCUGGGGUUGGGGCUGGGGAAAUGAUUGUUGUGAUUGUUGGGGUUGCUGGGAAAAUGGUUGUUGCGGUCGUAGGGGGAAUGGUUGUUGUGGUUNNNNNNNNNNNNNNNNNNNNNNNNNNNNNNNNNNNNNNNNNNNNNNNNNNNNNNNNNNNNNNNNNNNNNNNNNNNNNNNNNNNNNNNNNNNNNNNNNNNNNNNNNNNNNNNNNNNNNNNNNNNNNNNNNNNNNNNNNNNNNNNNNNNNNNNNNNNNNNNNNNNNNNNNNNNNNNNNNNNNNNNNNNNNNNNNNNNNNNNNNNNNNNNNNNNNNNNNNNNNNNNNNNNNNNNNNNNNNNNNNNNNNNNNNNNNNNNNNNNNNNNNNNNNNNNNNNNNNNNNNNNNNNNNNNNNNNNNNNNNNNNNNNNNNNNNNNNNNNNNNNNNNNNNNNNNNNNNNNNNNNNNNNNNNNNNNNNNNNNNNNNNNNNNNNNNNNNNNNNNNNNNNNNNNNNNNNNNNNNNNNNNNNNNNNNNNNNNNNNNNNNNNNNNNNNNNNNNNNNNNNNNNNNNNNNNNNNNNGCCAGGGAAAUGGUUGUUGCGGCUGUGGAAAAGGUUGUUGUGGUUGUUGGGGUUGCUGGGGGAAUGGUUGUUGUGGUUGUAGGGGGGUCGGUUGUUGGGGCUGGGUAAAUGGUUGUUGUGAUUGCUGGGGAAAUUGUGGUUGGGGUGUGGGAAAUGGUUGUUGCGAUGGAUAUGGUUGCUGUGAUGGAUAUGGUUGUUGUGGAUAUGGUUGCUGUGGAAAUGGUUGUUGUUGAUGGGAAAAUGAUUGUUGAGGUGAUUGUAGCUCUUUGUUGCUAGGGUUUAGCUGCCUAGCAGCAGUGGCGAUGUUCAUCGCCAUGGCAAGGAGGACAAAGAUGAGGAAGGUCUUCAUGUUUGAUUUGUGGUUACUACUGCUUGCUUGCCUUUGAUGCUUGUGGUCUAGGUGUGUGAAGUUUGGAUGAUGGAAGGUGUCCUUGGUGGUGCAUGUGUAUUUAUAGUUUUCAUGGCAUGGCUUGCUUUCAUCUUUGCACUCGCUUUUUGAAAAAGUG